RNAcentral lists this long non-coding RNA (262498 nucleotides) under Citrus x clementina. RNAcentral's name for it is "Citrus clementina (C. clementina) long non-coding RNA (CCLE_LNC002471)". The stretch from base 79732 to 79840 matches the Rfam family "Plant small nucleolar RNA R71". The record is from RNAcentral. Lineage: Eukaryota; Viridiplantae; Streptophyta; Magnoliopsida; Sapindales; Rutaceae.
AUGAUUGGGGAAGAGUAUUUCAACAUUUUAGCAGCACGCUCUUUCUUUCAAGAAUUUAAGAAAAAUGAUGAUGAUGAUAUUAUGAGUUGCAAGAUGCAUGACAUAGUACAUGAUUUUGCUCAAUUUGUAGGUAGCAAAGAAUGUUUGUGGCUAGAAAUUAAUGGUACCAAAGAAUCAGUCAUAAACUCUUUUGGUGGGAAAGUCUGUCACUUAGGGUUAAAGUUUAAAGGACGUGCUUCAUUUCCUAUGUCCAUUCAUGGACUUAAUAGAUUGCGUACCCUUUCAGAAUGAUGAAAGUCUUUUCAAUCCGUCUCUUAAUAACAGCAUCCUUUCAGAAUUAUUUAGUAAAUUGGCGUGUUUAAGGGCAUUAGUUAUAAGCCAAUCGUCCCUAAAUUUUCCUUCUUUUCAUCUUGACCCAUAUAAGAUUAGAGAAAUUCCAGAAAAUGUCGGAAAAUUGAUACAUUUAAAAUAUCUUAAUUUGUCUGGACUAUGUAUAGUGAGACUACCUGAGACUUUGUGUGAAUUAUAUAAUUUACAAAAGCUAGAUAUUAGGCGGUGCCGAAAUCUAAGAGAAUUGCCUGCGGGGAUUGGGAAGUUAAAGAACAUGAGGAGUUUAUUAAAUGGUGUUACUCUUUCGUUGAAGUACAUGCCAGUAGGGAUUUCCAAAUUAACCAGUCUUCGAACAUUAGACAAGUUUGUGGUGGGUGGAGGUGUUGAUGGUAGCAAUACGUGUAGGCUUGAAUCUCUGAAAAAUCUUCAACUCCUUCGAGAAUGUGGAAUAGAAGGGCUGGGUAAUGUGUCACAUUUAGAUGAGGCUGAGAGGUCACAACUUCACAAUAAGAAAAACCUCCUUCGUUUGCAUCUUGAGUUUGGUAGAGUCGUAGAUGGGGAAGGCGAAGAAGGGAGGAGGAAGAAUGAGAAAGAUGAACAACUUCUUGAAGCUUUACAACUGCCUUUGAAUGUAGAGGAAUUAUGGAUUAUAUCCUACCGAGGCAACAUUUUUCCCAAAUGGUUGACUUUGCUAACCAAUCUAAGGAAUUUAACACUUUCCGCGUGCGUUAACUGUGAGCAUUUGCCUCCUUUGGGAAAAUUGCCUCUGGAAAAACUCAAACUACGGAAAUUAAAAAGUGUAAAAAGAGUGGGUAAUGAGUUCUUGGGAAUAGAAGAAACUAGUGAGGAUGACCCAUCUUCAUCUUCAUCAUCAUCAUCAGUUACUGCCUUCCCGAAAUUGAAAUCACUCGAAAUUUGGGAAUUGGAUGAAUUGGAAGAGUGGAAUUACAGGAUUACGAGGAAGGAAAACAUCUCCAUCAUGCCCCGUCUUUCUUCCUUAAAAGUUGGUUCUUGCAACAAAUUAAAGGCGCUGCCGGAUUGCCUUCUUCAAACGACGGCACUGCAGGAACUGAGUAUUUAUUUUUGUGAAAAUUUGGAAGAACUGCCCAUUCUAGAAGAUCGCAGGACAAUAGACAUACCGCGUCUUUCUUCUUUGCGAAUUGGGUAUUGCCCCAAAUUAAAGGUGCUGCCGGAUUACCUCCUUCGAACGACGGUGCUGCAGGAAUUGAGUAUUAUAAAAUGUCCCAUUUUGGAAAACCGUUAUGGAGAGGGGGAAGGAGAAGACUGGCAUAAGAUAUCUCACAUUCCCCACAUCAAGUGGUCGCCGUAAUUUAUCACUUGCCGGUAAUUUCUCCUCCUCCUCUAAUUUACUUCAUUGUUGCUUGCAAUGAAAUUAAUAGAAAUAAUUAUAUUUUGAAUUAAAAUUCUAUAUAGAAUCAAUCAUGGUAUAAAUACGUAAAACUUCCUAGUUAUCAAAUCUGUUAAACUUGUUUUCUAAAGAUUAAAUAAUUAAAAAAAAAACAAAGUGUAGUCUGCUGAAAUUUCUAUAUUUACUUUUAAAAAAUAUGUGCUCUUUUGUAAAAUUUCGUGCAAUGUAAUUUAUUUUUUAAUGUACGAAAAUUUGUUAUGUGUAACUUGCUGAGAGACAAAAUCUCUGUGAUAUAUUUGCAGUAAUGUUGAAAACUAAAUUAUCAAUUUUAUCUUGUAUAAUGCUAAUCUUAUUUUUUAUAUAUAUAAUAUACAUGACUUUAAUUCUUUAAAGUAAUUGUGUAAUUGUUUUUACUACAAUAGCCCACUUUGUUUUAUUUCAUACUUGUUUAAUUGCCAGGUCCAAGCUAAUUUGGUUUUAAUGAUGCAGGCAGGAGAGCAAGACUAUGAAAAUGAAAAGUUUAGCCAAAGGAUUGCUAAAAUGUUCUGCUGGUAAUUCACUUGCUUUAUUUUAUAGAAUUUCAUUUCCAUCUUCUUCUAUUGAUAUCUUGUUGUGAAUAAACAAGAACAGAGAAGUAAAGAUAUAUCAAAAUUUACUAUUACGAUGAUGCUAAAACAAGCUCAAGCUCAAGCAUUGCAUUUUUAUUUUAUUUUAUUUAUAGAAUUUUCAUUUCCACCUGCAUUGCAUUUUUAUUUAUUUUUAGGUUGACUUUGAAUACUUCAUGGUGAACAUUGGGGUGACCAAGGAUUAGGGUGGCAGUGGACCGACUACCACUGUGGUUAUUAUGCGACUUUAAAGAAGAAAGUGAUGGCUGGGUCUGCUCUGUUUCUAUCUUUUUUAAUUCUUUGAUCGGUUUAUCCUAUAUAAACAUAUGGAAUUAUGCUAAUAUUAUCAAUUUUUUCACCCAAUUUUCACUGUUGGUUGUGAUAACAAUUUCAGGCUCUCAAAAGCUACAAAGCAAAGCAUUUGUGGGCUGAUCAUAUGCUUCAAUUGAGGAAGGAGUUUGGUGUUGGCAAUAUUGUCCAGGUAACCACAGCUGAUAAUUUCCACAAAUUUGCAUUGUCAGAAUACACUUUAAUGUUCAUUGUAUUCCUAUGUAUUAUCAGGUUAUCGUGGUAUGAAAAGUAUCAUCUUUAAGGAUUCGUAAGAGACUUCGCAGUAAACUUAGUUGUCACCAGCUCGUGCAAUUGGUCAUUCAGUCAAGAGUACUUCAAAAUUAGAUUUUCAAGGUUUAUAUGUUUAGUUGCGAUCAAAAUGUUUAGUCAUUCAUUCGUAAUCUUUUCUGAUUUUCAAGUUCUUUAGGGCCAUAAACAUUUUUCGAACUCAUUCUUAAUUUUUAGGUUGAUUUCGAGAACCCUGUUGAGGACAUUCCUGAGACCAAGGAUUAGGCUGGCGAAGAAACUACUACCUCUGUUGUUAUAGUGCAGGGUUUGAUCAUUGGACCUUGAAUAAGAAGGCCUUCCACGCAUUCUGUAAUUCAAGCAUUCUCUAAAGGAAAAGAGCAGUAGAAGGGAUAGUGAUGGCCGGAUCUGCUCUAUUUUAGUUGAAGAUCUCUGUGAUGUCGAUGAACUUAACGCAGUUGAUACUUCUUGAAAAUUGUUAUUACGGAUGAAUUGAUUCUUGGAGAGGGGUAUCCAAAGGCGGAUUUUCAUAAACUUCCUUCUUUAACAAAUGUUCCAAUGCUUGUUGUAGUAACAAUUUCAUAGCUUGCAUCUCUCGGGUGCAUCAUGUUCACGGGUUGGAAAAAGCAUUUGUGGUAAAGCUUCAAAGCUUGUAAAAUGGCUGUGAAAAGGCACAUUCAAUUCGGUAUGCUUUGGUGCGGUCUCCUAAUGCUAAUAUUAUAUUUUGUAUAGCAAUCUUAAUAUGCAAAAAAUCAUUGUGUCCAAAGUUUUCUGUUAAUUAUAUGGUGACUGAAAUUUUAAUUAUCAUAUCAAUCUUAAAAAUUUUUGUAACCCUAUUUUACUUUGCUUGUACAGAAUACCUGUUUUCGCUGAUAUGUCUAAUUCCUAGAAAUUCAUUUCCAUCGGUUUCCAUUGGUUUUAGCACAAACAGAAACAUAGAGCCCUGGGAAAAAGUUUUACUUUUGGUGGUAUUAUGCCUUAUUUUCUUCAUUCAUCAUAUUUGUUUCGAAUUCAUGCUCUCAUUCAGAGAGUAAAGCCUUUUCCAGGCUGUUUUGUAGCCAAAUUUCGAUGCCAUCGAUGCGUGAUUGUCAUUUAGAUUUUCGAAAUAAUUGUUAGAUUGGAGAAGAAUAAGAAUAUAUUGUUCAAAGGCUAUUUAAUUAGCACCCUCUGAAUUUAGUUGGCAAUAAUGCAUUGAAAUGGUUGGGGAAAGUUAUUGUCUUAAUUAAAUUACAGGUGAUAAGAUGCUGCUUCAAUUUUGCAAGCAUCUUGUACUGCAAAGAUUCUGCCCACAUGAGAUGCUGUGAUUCUUGACGUCAGGACAACACAGGUCAAAUUUUAGUAUCAAUAUAUAUCAUCUUCUUUACUGUUCUGCCUCUAAAUAUUAAACUUUAAUCAACUUGUUUUUGUUUGUGUAAAUUAUCAGGUUAAGGAUACUAAGCUGCUUAUUAAGGCAAAUGUCAGAAUGAAGAUUGCUCACCGUACCUGGUAUGCAUGAUGGCCAGGAAGAUUAAUUGUUCACAAACCAAUUUGAUCAGUGUUAGAUUUUUUGCCUCCUUUCGAGGGACAUCAUCAUCAAAUUUGAGUAGAGAAUCUUUGAAGGGAAUUUUGUUGUAAGAGCUUCACAGUAGUGAAUUCUGGGAGCUCGAACUUGAGUGAGAUAAUAGGGAGUAUUGGGGAUUUGGGUUAUGAGUAAUCAUUAUCCUUCCAAUAUGUGUAAGCACUCACUUGUUAGUAAAAUCAUCUUCAUAUAUUAAUUGUUUCUUUGUUAUCAGGUAGAGUGUGAUCUUCAAGGGUUUGAGAAAGUCCUUGCAGUAAAGUUUCCACCAGAAGCAAUUGCUCAGUUUCAGAUUUUUUAGGCGCUUAAUUAGUUUCGAUUAUAAUGUUUAGUUAGUUUCAAUUAUAAUAUUUAGUCACUCAUUCUGAAUCUUUUCUAAUUUUCAAGUUCCUUAGGGCCACGACCUGUUUUUCAAGUCUGCAUGUGGCUGCGAAAAGAUUGAUGGUCAUAAAAUUAUCUUGACCCUUGAGCCAUUGCGUUUGAGCACAAACAGAAACAGAGCUAAAGGAAAAGCACUUGACGCAAGAAGAUGCUCUGAAUAUAACUGUUGAUAAAUUAGAAGUAAUUGAUAAGGAUUUGUUUGUUAGAGAUUUGGAUAAAAUCCUAAGAUUUAGGGAUGAGAUAAGUUAGUUCCUGAGUGUAGGAUUAAUCCUUUAUUUUUCCUUAUUUAAGUUGUUUGUUUUCUCUAUUUUUUAGUGAAUUGAAUAAGAGAAUUUUUCCUCCUUCUUCCUCUGUAAAAUCUACAUGGUAUCAGAGCUAGGGUUUGAUCAUGAAUUUCAAGGCCACCAUGGUUGGCUCUAGUUCAACCACUUUGGAUGGCAGCAGUAGUACGACUUCAUCGGAGGAAGUUUCUCAACCACUUCCGACUAUUUCUCUUUCUGAAAAUUCUCUUCAAAUUAUCAUUCACAAAUUGAAUGGAAAGAAUUAUUUUGAAUGGUCUUAGUCUGUUCGUUUGGUGAUUGAUGGAAAAGGGAAACUAGGGUACUUGAAUGGCGAGGUAACACCACCAGCCACUAAUGAUCCAAAAUACAGGCAGUGGCGUUCAGAGAAUUCAAUGGUUACUGCUUGGCUGAUCAACUCAAUGGAUUCUAUUAUUGGAAAAACCUUCAUGUACUUGAAGACUGCUCGUGAUGUCUGGGAAGCAAUUCGGGAAACCUACUCAGAUUUAGAAAAUCAGUCACAAUUGUAUGAAUUAAACACCCAUAUGUGGAAGAUGCAGCAAGGUAAUCGUGAUGUAACAGCUUAUUAUAAUGAUAUGAUGGCUGUUUGGCAGGAAUUGGACUUGUUUGAAGAUGAACAAUGGGAAAAUUCUAAUGACAGUGCUCGAUACAAAGAGAAAGUUGAAAGAGGUCGGGUAUUUGUUUUCUUGGCUGGUUUGAACAAAGAACUUGAUGAGGUUCGAGGACGUAUACUAGGGAAAAAACCUUUGCCAACUAUUAGAGAAGUUUUCUCAGAAGUGCGCAGAGAAGAAGCACGACGGCAAGUGAUGUUGAAGAAUAACGAUGAACCAAAAAUAAAUAGUGAAGGAUCUGCUCUUGUGGCUCGAGGUACAGACUCAGGGGGAAAGCAGAAGCCCCGGUGUGACUAUUGUCGAAAGUCGUGGCAUACUCGAGAAAGUUGUUGGAUGUUGCAUGGGAAACCAAAGAAAAAAACAGGCAGCGACACCAAGUCAGGGGGAGAUGUCCGCGCAUUUCAAGCUAACAGCACUGAUCCAGGGCAGCAAUCAUCCUCAGAGUCUCUUCCUUUUACCAAGGAACAGAUAGAGCAUCUACAUAAAAUGUUUCAUUCCCAAUCCUUAGAAAAAUCUAACCUAUCUUGUUCUCUAGCACAGUCAGGUAAUUCUUUCAUUGCAGCCCUAGCGUGUACUAAGUUUCAUGGCUCCUGGAUAUUAGAUUCAGGUGCUACUGAUCAUAUGACCGGUAAUUCGCAGCUCUUUUCCUCAUAUAUACCUUGUGCAGGAAAUCAAAAGGUUAAAAUUGCAAAUGGUUCCUUAGCUACUGUUGCUGGAAAAGGAACAAUUACUAUUUCUCCUUCUCUAGUCCUUAAGAAUGUUUUGCACGUCCCACAUUUGUCUUAUAAUCUUUUAUCUAUCAGUAAAUUAACUUUUGAUCACAACUGUCAAGUUAUUUUUCAAUCUUCCUGUUGUAAAUUUCAGGAUUUAACCUCAGGGAAGAUGAUUGGGGGUGCUAAAAUGGGUGGUAGACUCUAUUUCUUUAAUAACGGAUCAACCUAUGGAAGGCAAGAUCUGCAGACUUGUUUUAAUUCUAUCUCUGUUGUUAAUGACAGUAAGAUUAUGUUAUGGCAUUAUCGAUUAGGACAUCCAAAUUUUCAAUAUUUAAAGCUUUUGUUACCCAAGUUAUUCAUGAAUAAAAAUCCUUCUGUUUUUCGAUGUGAAUCUUGUGAAUUAGCUAAACAUCAUCGGGCUAUUUUUCAAUCUCAACCAUAUAAAAAAUCAAAACCAUUUACCAUGAUUCAUAGUAAUGUUUGGGGUCCUUCUAGAGUGCCAACUUUUUCUGGAAAGCGCUAGUUUAUUCUUUUUAUUGAUGAUCAUAUUAGAGUCACUUGGGUCUUUCUUUUAAAAGAAAAAUAUGAUGCUGAAACUGUGUUUAUAAAUUUUUAUAAUAUGGUUCAGACACAAUUUCAGACUCAGAUUAAAAUUUUUCGAAGUGAUAAUGGAAAAGAGUUUUUUAACAAAGUGUUAGGAAUUUUUUUUUGCUGAAAAGGGGAUUGUUCACCAAAGUUCUUGUAAUAAUACACCUCAACAGAAUGGGGUGGCUGAAAGAAAAAACAGACAUCUCCUUGAAGUUGUUAGAGCUAUUAGUUUUACGACUAAGGUUCCUAAAUACCUUUGGGGAGAAGCAGUGUUAACAGCCACUUAUUUGAUCAAUAGACUGCCAACGAGAAUUUUGGACUUUAAACCACCAAUUAAAGUUUUAAGUGAAUGGUUUCCCACAACUCGGCUAACAGCCGAUAUUCCCUUUAAAAUUUUUGGAAGUGUGGCUUUUGUUCAUAAUCAUGAUACUAGACAUUCAAAACUUGAUCCAAAGGCACAUAAAUGUAUUUUUGUAGGCUAUCCUACAAAUCAAAGAGGUUAUAAAUGUUUUGAUCCAAUUCUGAAAAAAAUGUUUGUGUCUAUGGAUGUCACUUUUUUUGACGGAUAAUUAUACUACAACAAUUUCCUUCUUCAGGGGGAGAGCACUAGUGAAGAUGAUUUUUUAGAUAAUUCUGAUGUAACUUUUGAGUUUGUUCAGGAUGAUGAUGUUUCUUACAAACAGUCACCAAAAGAAAAUGGGAUGGGAAACACAAAAUCUGUGGAAACAAAUGAACUAAAUGUUGAAAAUAUUGAAUCCACAACUGAACAACCUUUGGUAAUUCCAUCUCAAAAUCAAAAUACUAAAACAACUGAGAUGUGUACAAAACGAUUUAAAGGUCUUGUAUAUUCAAAGGAACAUCUAGCACAAAAAAGAGCCACUAUCCCACAGCACUAUCAAGAAUCUGACCAGAGGUUGGAUCAUGAAGUUUGUGACGAUUCUCCAGAAAUCCCUGAAAACAAUCCUCCAUGUAAUUAUGAGUCAAAUUCUUCUAGUCAGCUUGAUCUUCCCAUUGCUCUUAGAAAAGGUAUUAGGUCUUGUACAAAACAUCCUUUGCCAAAUUUUAUAUCUUACAAAAAUAUUUCUUCAUCAUAUUGUGCUUUUAUUUCACAAGUGUCCAGUGUGGUUAUUCCGAAAAGUGUCUAUGAGGCUCUAAAUGUUCCUGAGUGGAAAGAAGCUAUGCUUGAGGAGAUGAGAGCCCUGGAAAAGAAUGCUACUUGGGAGAAAGUGGAUCUGCCGGAUGGGAAGACAACUGUCGGCUGUAAAUGGGUGUUUACUGUGAAGUACAAUUCAGAUGGGUCCUUGGAAAGGUACAAGGCUAGACUUGUAGCCAAAGGUUUCACUCAGACAUACGGAGUAGACUACUCUGAAACUUUCUCUCUAGUGGCAAAGCUAAAUACAGUUAGAGUACUCUUGUCUAUUACAGCUAAUCUUGAUUGGCCUCUGAAUCAGCUGGAUGUGAAGAAUGCUUUUUUGAAUGGGGACUUAAAGGAGGAAGUCUAUAUGGAGCCUCCACCAGGUUUUAAUGAGAAAUUUGGAACCAAGGUAUGUAAGCUAAAAUGGUCUUUAUACGGCCUUAAACAGUCUCCCAGAGCUUGGUUUGAGAGGUUCACAAAUUUUGUUAAAAGCCAAGGAUAUGAUCAAGGGCAAUCUGAUCAUACGCUGUUCACAAAGAGAUCUAUUGAAGAUAAAAUUUCUGUUCUUAUUGUGUAUGUAGAUGAUAUAAUUUUAAUUGGAGAUGAUAUAGUAGAAAUGAGCAAAUUGAAACAAAACCUAGCCAAGGAGUUUGAGAUUAAAGAUUUAGGCCAACUAAAAUACUUUCUUGGAAUGGAAGUGGCAAGAUCAAAUAAGGGUAUUGUUGUCUCACAAUGGAAGUAUAUUCUUGAUCUCUUGAAAGAAACUGGGAUGAGUGGUUGCAAACCUUCUGACACUCCAAUAGAAGCCAACUCUAAGCUUGGGGAAGUAAAAAAUGGUGUUCCAGUAGACAAGGGGAGAUAUCAAAGACUUGUUGGGAGACUAAUUUACUUGUCACAUACUCGUCCAGACAUUGCUUUCGCUGUAAGCAUGGUAAGCCAAUUUAUGCAUUCCCCAUAUGAAGAACAUCUUGAAGCUGUAUACCGAAUCCUUCAUUAUCUGAAAAGUACACCAAGAAAAGGACUCUUCUUCAAGAAAAAUGAGAAGAGGGGAAUUGAGGUGUAUAUUGAUGCUGAUUGGGCAAGUUUAGUCACUGAUAGAAGAUCAACUUCGGGGUACUGUACAUUUCUAUGGGGUAAUUUAGUCACAUGGAGAAGCAAGAAGCAGAAUGUUGUUGCUAGAAGUAGUGCAGAGGCUGAAUUCAGAUCAAUGGCGCAAGGAGUAUGUGAGAUUCUUUGGCUAAAGAGGGUUCUAGAAGAGCUUAAGAGGCCAGUGAGUUUGCCUAUAAGGUUGUAUUGUGACAACAAGGCAGCUAUCAGCAUUGCUCAUAAUCCUGUUCUACAUGACAGGUAGGGGUGGGCAAAAAAAGCUGAUUAAUUAAAAACCGAAUCGAACCGAUCGGUUCGGUUCGGUUUUUAUGCGGUUUUUUUAUCUUCAAAAAACCGAAAUAGUAACAUAAAAAAAUAGUAAAAUCAAUCGGUUCGGUUUUCGGUUUUUAAAAAAAAACCACAAAACCGAACCAAAAUCUCAAAUAAACCGAUUGUUUUGAAAGCUAAAGCCAAAACCUAAAAGCCUAAAAUCUAAAUCUAAACUUCUGACUUCUGUCUUCUUCGGUUCCCGACUUCCCGCUGGCCGCUGCUCGUCGUGACUUCUUCUGUUCCCGCUGGCCGUGCGGCAUCCCUCGCUGUAAUUUUUGCGAUCGUGCGGCAUCCCUCACUGCAAUUUUUGCUUCUGCUAACCUUGUUACUGUCUCAACUGCACUCUUUUCCACAGAGUUGAAAUCAUUCUGCUUUUUGGCCUCCGUUGUCUGCACCCAGACCUUUACAAAUUGACCUUAUUGAUUGAUUCAAUCAAUUUGAUUGCUUUUGCUUGGGAAAUCACAGAGAAGAUGCAACACGUAAGGUGGGAUGCACUUUCCUUCUUGGGCAUAUUAAAAAAUUAAUUUUAACUUUUUUCUUUAAACCAAAAAAGAAAAAGAAAAAUUAUUAUCCAUAUGUCAUCAUCAUCAAUUGGAAUUGGUCAUAAUUUGGGACCACCACGUUUGUGCUGCCAUGUCAAAUUUUUCUGCAGUUCUCUUUUUCAUUUUUUUAUCAUAUAUAAUCUCGAUUUUUGUAGAUAGUUUAUGUAAUAAUUUAAGAUAUAUAUUCUUGGUUGGCCAAAAUGAAUACAAAUGCAAUUAAUGAAUGAAGAAGUUAUUCAUAAAGCACCAUUUAUUUAUUUGUUCAUUGCGGUUAAGUUGUAUGCGAUCCAUUUGGUUGUUGGUUACAACCAGUUAAAUAUUUAUUUAAAAAUAAAAUAUAACUUGUUAAUUAAGAUGAAUGUUGUAAUAUGAAGUGUCUUAAUUUUGUAAAAUGUGUGUGGUUAUUCAAUAAUUUUGUAAAAUGGUAGAUUUAUUAAUUUAAAGUUUUAAAUUUAAAAAAGUCCAAAAUAGGCCCAAUAGGCCCAUAAUCGAAAUAAUCGAACCGAAUCGAAUCGAAUUAUUUCAAUUAAUCGAGUAUUUGAUUAUUUCGGUAAUUUGAUUAAUCGCGAUUAUGAUUUUAAAAUAAUCAUAAUCGAACGAUUGUGAAAAAUUUAGUAAAAAACCGAACCGAACCGCGCCCACCCCUAAUGACAGGACGAAACAUGUUGAGAUUGACAGGCACUUUAUAACAGAAAAGCUUAAAGAAGGAAUAAUUUGUACUCCAUUUGUACCGACCACACAGCAAGUUGCAGAUGUUUUAAGUAAAGGCUUGCUGAGACAGCCAUUUGAAGUUCAAGUUAGCAAGUUGGGCAUGACAAAUAUAUUUGCACCAACUUGAGGGGGAGUGUUGAUAAAUUAGAAGUAAUUGAUAAGGAUUUGUUUGUUAGAGAUUUGGAUAAAAUCCUAAGAUUUAGGGAUGAGAUAAGUUAGUUCCUAAGUGCAGAAUUAAUCCUUUAUUUUUCCCUAUUUAAGUUGUUUGUUUUCUCUAUUUUUUAGUGAAUUGAAUAAGAGAACUUUUCCUCCUUCUUCCUUUGUAAAAUCUACAAUAACAAAAGUAUAUUUCUGCUUCUUGUGGUUAUUUACUUUGUUUCUCCUGUCAGCAUAUUUGAUUAAUUCGUUCGAAUUCACACUCUCACACAUUAUUUAAAACCAUUUGUAGGUGGCUUGCAAGCUAAUUAAGUUAAUGCAGAAGCAAUACUCUAGACAAAGAUGAGCAAAUUGAAGGUGAUAAAUGCAUAUAUGGUGGCCCAAUCGCUUAUUAUAUUUCAUCUCUCAAUCUAAUAUGAUUCUGAGUUUUAAUUUCCAUGAAUAAUUGUUAGGCUGGUACAGAUGUUCUUAAAAGGGCCAUCAAACUACCUUAUGAAGUUGGAAAGUUGCUAUUGCUUGAAUGAAAGCACCAUCUUCUGUUGCCAAGGCAUUCCCCACAUGAUGAGAUUAUGUGAUUGUUACCGGCUUCUUAAUUAUUUGUUAAAUCAGGUUUUUCUUAUCAAGUACAUCAUCUUAUUCACCAUUUUGGCUAUAUCAGAAUUUGCUAAUACCAUGAUGUCAAAGCAAGCUCAAGCACUAGAUCCCUAAUAAUAAUGCAUUGCAUUUUCAUUUUAUUUUUAGGUUGACUUUGAAGACCGUAUGAAGAACAUUGGGGUAAUCAAGGAUUAGGCUGGUGAUGGAACUACUUCCACUGUGGUGUUGUGUGCAACGUUCAGUUGCUGGACUUUGAAGAAGAAAGUGAUGGCCAGGUCUGCUCUGUUUCAAUUGAGGAUGGAUAGCUGCCUGGAAGGCAUGAUGAUUUUUAUUGCAUGAUAUUAAGGUACAAAGAUAAUCAUUUCUAUCUUGUUUUUUUCUUUGAUCAGUUUAUCCUCUAUAAGCAAAUUCAAUUAUGCUAAUAUUACCAUUUUUUCUCCCAAUUUUCACCGUUGGUUGUAAUAACAAUUUCAGGUACUCAAAAGCUACAGAGCAAAGCACAUGUGGGCUGAUCAUAUGCUUCCAUGGCGGAAGGAAUUCGAUAUUAACACUAUUAUGCAGGUAACCGCAGUUGUUAAUUUGCACAAAUUUGCAUUGUCAGAUUGCCCUUUAAUAUUCACUGUGUUUCUUUUUGUUAUUCAGGGUACCAUGGUAUGUAGAGUAUCAUCUUUGAGGGUUUGUAAGAGCCUUUGCAGUAAAUUUACCUGCUCGAGCAAUUGCACAUUCAUCGAGUACAAUUUUGGAUUUUCAAGGUUUGUAUGUUUAGUUGCGAUUAGCAGGCUUAGUCACUCAUUCCUAAACUUUUCUGAUUUUCAAGUUAUUUAGGUCCAUUAACAGUUUUCACACAUGUUUCAAUGCUAGUUGUACUAACAAUUUCUCAUCUUGCAUCUCUAAGAUGCAUCACGUUUGAAACAGCUUUUGCGGUAAACUUUCAAUGCAUGUACAAUGGCCGUUAAGAGGUACAUUCAAUUCGGUACGUUUUGCUGCAGUCUUCUAAUGCUAAUAUCAUGUUGUGUAUAUUUAGUUUGCAAUUAAAACUUAGGUAUACAACCUUAAUCUCAUAUAAAUGAUUGUGUACAAAGUUUUCUACUAAUUAUAUGGUGACUAAAAGUUUAAUUAUCUUAAAAUUUUUGUAACUCUCUUUUACUUUGCUUGUACAGAGUACCUGUUUUGGCUGACAUGUCUAAUUCGUAGAAAUUCAUUUCCAUGGAUUUCCAUUGGUUUGAGCACAUACAGAAACAGAGCUUUACUUCCUGAGGUGUUAUGCCUUUGUCUCUUCAUUCACCAUAUUUGUUCGAAUACGUUGUCUCAUUAAGAAUUUAAAGCCUUUUUCUAGGCAGCUUUGUGGCCAAUUUUUGAUGCCAUCAAUGCAUGAUUGUCAUUUAGAUUUUCCAAAUAAUUGUUAGGUGGGGAAGAUAUUGUUAAAAGGGCAUUUAAUUAGCUACGUCCCCUAUGAAUUUAGUUGCCAAUAAUACAUUGAAAUUGAGAAGGCUAAUUUAAAUUACGGGUGAUAAGAUGUUGCUUGAAUUCAGCAUCUUGUAUUGCGAUGAUUUUGCCCACAUGAGGCUCUGUGAUUCUUGACAUCAGGAUAACUCAGGUCAAUUUUUUGUAUCAGCAUAUAUCAUCUUGUUUACUGUUUUGCCUUUAAAGAAUAAACUUUAGUGAAGUUUUUUUUGUUUGUGUAAGUUAUCAGGUUAAGGAUACUAAGCAGCUUAUUAAGGAAAAUGUCAGAAUGAAGAUUGUUCACCACACCUGGCAUUUAUGAUGGCAAGGAAGAUUAAUUGUUCACAAGCCAAUUUGAUGAGUGUUAGAUUUUUGGCUUUAUAUAUUAUUAGAGCUCUCCCUUCUGAGAGAUAUCUCAUUAAAUUUGAGUAGAGCUCUCCCAAUAACUGCAAGCUUUCAUUUGUUUGUAAAAUCAUCUUCUUAUAUUGAUUGUGUUUCCUUGUGUUAUCGGGUAGAGUAUCAUCUUCAAGGGUUUCAAAAAGUCUUUGCAGUAAAGUUUCAACCAAUUGCUGUGAAGAGGCAUAUUCAUUUGAGUAAUUCAGUUUCAGAUUUUCAGGGCGUGUGUGUUUAAUUAGUUUUGAUUAAAAUAUUUAGUCACUCAUUCUGAAUCUUUUCUAAUUUUCAAGUUCCUUAGGGCCACAGCCAGUUUUUCAGGUCUGCAGAAACUAUCUUGAGUGUUGAGGAAUUGCGUUUGAGCACACACAGAAACAAGGCUAAUGGAAAAGAACUUGACAGAAGAAUUAUGCUCUAAAUCUAACAAAAGUAUAUUUCUACUUCUUGUGGUUAUUUUACUUUUGUAUUUUCUGUCAUCAUAUUUGAUUAAUUCAUUCGAAUUCAGACUCUCAUUAUUUAAAACCAUUUUCAGGUGGCUUGCACGCUAAUUAAGUUAAUGCAGAAGCUAUACUCUAGACAAAGAUGAGCAAAUUGAAGAUGAUAAAUACAUAUAUGGUGGCCAAGUCGCUCAUUACAUUUCAUCUCUCAUACGAACAUGAUUCUGAAUUUGAAUUUCGAUCAAUAAUAGUCAGGCUGGUGCAGAUAUUCUUAAAAGGGCAUUAAGCUACCUUAUGAAAUUGGAAAGUUAUCAUUGCUUGAAUGAAAGCACCAUCUUCUGUUGUCAAGGCUUUCCCCACACGAUGAGAUUCUGUGCUUGUUAUCGGCCACUUAAUUAUUUAUUAAAUCAGGUUUUUGUUAUCAAGUACAUCAUCUUAUUCACCAUUUUGGCUAUAUAUAAAGAUUAAAAUUUCUAACAGUUGUUUCGGAUUCUUGUGUACUCAGGUUAAUAUAGCAAAUGUCAUAAUGAAGAUUGGUCAGUGCAACCGGUAUAGCAAGGAUGAUAGUGGUGAGGAAGAUUGUUGGCAAGUCAAAUAGAGCCCUCCAUUUUGAGAAAUAUCAUCCUCAAAUUUGAGUUGUUGAGCAUGUGAAGUGAAGCUAUAGCCUUAAUAAUGAGACCUUCCUGUGAAAGUUUCAUUUGAGUGAAUUGAACGUUCUUAGUGGGUAAGAAAUUAAGUUCCCAGCUUGUUUAAAUGCUGUGUAAUUUUUACCCAAGAUUAUGCAAUUGACUUAUGCAAUUCACUUACAGUGUUCUGAGUACUUGAGUUUCAGAUUUCCAAGAUGUGUAAUUUUAGUUGCCAUUGAAAUAUUUAGUCGCUCAUUCUUAAAAAUCUGUUCUAAUUUUCCUGUUAUUUUGGGCCAUAAACAGUUUAACAAGUCUGCAUGUGGUUUCUAAAGAUUGAUGGUUAUGAUAUAUAUUGUGAGGUAUGAAAUAUUAAUUUGCUAUAAAUAUGUGUACAAAUUUUUCCUAUUACAUGGGGACUGAAAUUGUAACUUGCAGGGUCAAAAGAAAUCUUAAUUUGCUUAAGUGUCUGCAUUUGUGUACAAAGGAAAAAUAAGAAAUUCUGCUACGUGGGGACCGAAAUUUUAAUUGGCAGGGUCUUCAUCAAAUGUUUGUUAUCAAUACUGAUCCCGGAAUGUGUGGAACACGGUGAAAAGUUUUUCAUAGUUUUGUGAAGAAGGCUGAUUUAUCUGAUUCAUAGAAUUGUUAAAAGGGCAUCGGGCGGGGGACAAAAGAAGUGUUGAAAUUAAAAAGGUUAAUGGUUAAAGCAUGCAGUUUCUGUUGCAUUUGCAUUGGCCUGGGUUUAGGGAACUGUCAGAACUUUCAGAAGAAGAUGGAGUUUCUCAAACCAAAUCUAAGAAGAUAUCUCACAUUCCCCACAUGGUCUCAACGCACAGGUAAGUUCUUCUCUAGCUCUGUUUUUCAUUGUUUGUUUUAUCUAUUUUUAAUUCACAUGUCCACAGUAAUUUCAUUUUAGUUUGAGCUGAGUGAUGACUUUUCAAGGCUCACUUACUCAUUGGGAGAAGCUGCAGGACGCAGGCUGCAAGGAUUUAGAUUUUCAUUCGAAGGCUCACUUGCUCAUUAGCUUGUGCAAUUCCUGUUAAGAGGCACAUCCAUUCGAAGUAAUUCAAUUUUAUAUUUUCAUAGUGUGCGUGUUUCGUUGCGAUUAAAAUGAUUAGUCUCUCGUUCUUAAUGUUUUCUAAUUUUCCGGUUAUUUAGGGCCAUAAACAUUUUCCAAGUACUGCAUGUGGCUGCCAAAGAUUGAUGAUGAUAAUUAUAUCUUGAGGCCUGUGUCUUGCUUUUGAGCACUCGCAGAAACAGAGCUCAAGGGAAAGAAAUUGGAAGAUGCUCUAAAUAUAAUGAAAGUAUAUUUCUACUUGUGGUCAAUUUACAUUUGUUUCUUGUGUCAUUAUGCAGAUUAAUUUAUUCAAAUUUUUCCUAUCUCAUUCAUUUAUUUUAGACAAAGUUUGAAAAAAAAUUAUAAGUAUACAAUUUCCAAUGGAUUUGAUAGAGCGGUCAUCAACCAUAUUGAUGUUAUUGGAGUAGCACUGUUCUUAAGCACUGCUUUGAGGUCUCUCCCUCUCUAUAUACAUUGAUAGACUAUUCUGGUCGUACCAAAUUAUCCUUGUUUUAAUGUUUUGUUUGUUAAACUUUGACUGGGGGAAUCUGUUUAUUUGUCUGAUAUGAUGUUAGUGUGGUUUCUAUUGAAGUGUGUUAGAUCUAUCACCAAUUAUUAUUUCAAUUUUUCUUACCAAAUCGACUUGCAUACUUUCCAAGUCUAGAUCCUUAACAAUAGUGAGACUACGCUACAGAAGUACGAUUUCUCUAGUUUUGUAGUUAAAUACGUUAGAAUGGUUUUAAAUUAACAGAACUUUGAGAUAGUUCUCUGAGGAAAUACAAGUGGUGAAUAUGGUUCCAACUUUUAAGUGCCUUAAUAUUCCCAUUUGUUCAGCCCUGUGCGUAAACAAUUAGUAAUUUCUGUCCAAAUUCUUCUUUAAUGCCUAUAUGUGUUGGACUUUGUCUAUUGUUCAACUUCUCAAAUGGAUUCCAUGCAGGGUUCUUAAUGUCCAAUUAGGAGAAAGAUCAAGGCUUGCUUGGCUAGGAGUGGAAGCGGAUCCACUACUUCAGUCAGAUGACCUUUUGAAGAAGGCUUGCAACAGGCCGUCUCAGGAUGUCAAUGGCUCAACUCAAAAGUCCUCAAAGUGGCUGAUAUCAAAGAAUGCCAUUGUCUCUGGGCUUGGGCUCCUUGGCAUCAAACAAGGGAAUGUCGACUCUGUUGAAGGGGAAGCAAGGUGUUGAUGCGGGAUUCCGGUUCUCCUCGUUCUACGACCAGGAUCUCUGCUCGAUCAACUUCAUCACGACCAGGAGGUCUCCUCGUAAGGCUUCUUCUCCAGAGGUUCCUGCGCACACAGACAAGUCAGAGUACGCCGGUUGUUUUCCCGGCGCAAACCCUCCGACGCUCAAGUCAGAUAUCAAGGUUCGAGGAACGUUUGCCACAGAUCUUAUGGCUUUUUCGUGGUUUUCUCUCUUUUUAAUUUCUUUUCUAAAAAAAUGCCAACCCUUUUACCUCGUUGGCUACCUUUUUAUAGGCUUCCUCUGAAUCCCAGUUUUCUGCUUUUUUCGAGACGGUAUGGGACUCUGACUGCUGCGUUAUGGGCAAACGUGGGAUCUUGCGUGUUACGCCACGGUCCUGGGGAAAGCGUGGCUGUCGUGGUUCUGUGAGAUCUUGCGUGUUACGCCACGGUUCUGGGGGAAGCGCGGCUGUCGUGGUUCUGUGAGAUCUUGCGUGUUACGCCACGGUUCUGGGGGAAGCGCGGCUGUUGUGCCUAGAUUCUCGGGCUGGAGAGCAUGUCUUGCCAACUGUCGUUGACCGGAUCUCCUCGCCUCUCGACCUCUAGCCGGAAUGGCCUUAUGCCUCUUACAGGAAAUUGGCCUCGCGGAUGACGUGCUCGUGGACGAGCAGGAUAUUUCUGCUCCUGUUCCCCCGCGCGCCAGGCUCUUACGGAACACACCGGUUCGCAGAACUAUGCCACCAGAUAUCUGCUCACCAUGCCUGGUCUCGUCGACGUAUUUCUCCCAAACACCGGUCCCCCAGUUUCUGGUGUUGGGCAAUGUAGUGGACCAGCAGUAGAAACUCGAUAGUACUCGCUCGCGUGGGAUUGGAAAAGGCUGCCAAGAGUCAUGUCGCAUUUAAUUGCGGACGAGGUGACGUGGCAGAAAUCCCCCCCCCCCUCCAUUUGAAUUUCAAACCGACGGUUAUGAGACCCUCGGGAUUCGGCGCUGUUAAAUGCUGGCAACCUAAGAGUCCGUCCUCAGUAGGAAAACCAAAUCCUCUCGAACGGCAUAUUCGCCAUUCACUCCGUCUCCGUCUCUGUCUCUCCGGCAAAGAAGUUCCGGCAUAAAGGUCCUCCAUCUCUGAUUUUCACCGACUGAACCAUUACUUCAGGUAUUUCUUCUAUCUCCUUGGUCUCGGAUAGUUGUAGAUAAUUUCUCUUCUCUUCUGUUUGGGGUAGUAGUUGGUGGUGUUGUGGUUAGAGCUUAGGGAAUGUCGAAAGGCAAGGAGAAGGUCAUUGAGGUUGAUGACGACGAGUUGGACUUCCUGCCUAGUCUGCUCACCGAUCCUGCUUUUGACCCCGGGAUCCCUUUAGAGCCCAUUAGGUCUAGUGUCGGGACUAGUGCUAGGAGGAUGUCUCCCCAAACAACCUCUACGAGCGGAAGUAAUGGUGAGGAGAGAUCUUCUGGCUCCGAGGAUACUUUGAGUGAGGAUGGCGAAGGUGAUUCUGGUGAGGUGUCUCCAUCUGGAACGUCACGACCAGAAGGACGGGGUACAGUAGGGGGUAGAGCCUUGUUGCGUGAUUAUGCCAUCGACUAUAUGACGUGCACGACCACGUUUGACGAGCUCGAUGACCUCCGUCUUAGGUACAGCAUUCCUGGUGAAAUACUUCUCAAGGUCCCAGGCAAGAAGGAUACCCCUAGCUGGCCUCCUAGGGGAUAUGUUACCCUGUAUCUGGAUAGCUUUAAGUAUGGGCUUAGGUGUCCCUUGCAACCUUACUUUGCCCGGAUACUUAGCGGGUUGAAUCUAUCUCCUGGUCAGUUGAACCCAAACGGUUGGAGAGUGCUCUCUGGUCUGUUCAUACUGUGGGACAGAUGUUGCCAAAGCGAGCCCACGGUCGACGAGGUGAUGCACCUGUACCAGCUGAAAAGCAGCCCAAAAGAUGCCGGCUGGUAUUACUUCCAAUCAAGUACCAAGACCAGGAAACCCAUAACCGAUCUCCCUACUGGUGGUGGUGGGAAUUGGAAGAGGAAGUUCUUCUUCGCAGGGGGUCCCUGGGGUCAAGUUGCACGGGUUGAUGGGGAAGACUUCCGCGUCCCACCCCGUUUCGUGGUCCCAGGUUGCCUGCUCGUAUUAGAUGUCUUGUCUCCCUUGUCGUUUGCGCUUUACUGGUUUGUCUCUAAUCAAAUGUUUGUUUGUGUUGCAGGUUCUUGGGGUGUCCACUUCCCGCUUGAACCUGACCAGCUCAAACGGGUCGAGGCUGUACUAGCCAAUUCCUGCUCAAGCCGAGAACUGUUAACUACAUACAACUUGCUCGAGUCUCGCUUGAUACUUCCUGGCCAUAGGAUGGAGGACGCUGUGAUUGGGGCUCUGACCCGAAAACGUUCUUGACCUCCAACCACGAAAAGGGACCAGAGUAAGGAUGCCCCUGCUGCGAAGCGGGCCAACAUCGUGCAGCAGGUCCCAUCCUUGAAGAUUUUACCUCCUGCUCCUGUAAAAGUCGGGGAAGCUAGUGGAGCAGCCACAGAUCCUGCUUCCUCUUCUCCUCCUGUCGGGCCUCGAUCUCGCUUACCUGACAGCCGAGCAGAACACCUGGUCCCCUACCUCAAUGAGUUAUCUAAACUCGUGAGCAAGAAGGACCUGGAGGACUUUGACGGCUGCACCUUGGGUGAGCUGGUGGGGGCCAUGCAGCAUAGCGCUUUCCACCUCAGCUGCAUGACCACCUAUUACAAGGCUAAGAUUGGCCGCUACGACCGGAAGAUGAAGGAGGAUAUUCAAUCGGCGACGACCAGAGCUGACGUUGCCGAGCAGAAAGCAGGGGAGCUGAAUCUCGAGAAUCUGAAGCUGAUAGAGCAAGAAUCACUUGCUCAAGCAAAAGCCAUUACCCUCGAGGAGGAGCUUACCAAGGUCAAGGAGGAUCUGCAAAGGCAGAAGGCUAUGUAUGAGGCUCAGCUCGAAUCUCUCCACGACUCCCACCGAGCUCAGGUCGAGAAUUUGGAGAGGGAGGCCGACAACCAGUACGACCAGGGACUUCGGCAUUCCUAUCGUUGCAUCAUGGCCGUCCUCGGGAAGCAACACCCUGAUCUGAAGAUGGAUGACCUUGCAGCUGGUGUUGCUCAACAUACGGACGAGGAGGCGGCCAAGGAAGAUGCCGAAAGGGUAGAGCCGAUUGUGAUUGAGGAGGAAAACUAUCCUCCUCGUGCAGUCCCUGCUGAUGUUGGCGAGGCGAGCACCCCCCCUGACGCAACUGGUGAUACCCCUCCUGCACCUGAGGAGGUCCAACCAACCGAUGCUGCUGGGCUUACUGAUCCACCAUCUUCUUGAUAUAUUUCUUAUAUUGUAAUGAACAAUGUUUAUGGAGAUUAUCCCCUCUGUUAAUUAUUAACAAAUUAAUAAAAAUGUUUUUUGAUUACUUUCUUGUGUUGUAAUUAUGAAUUAAUUUUCGUUUGAGAAUCUGCUCGUCUUUGUCUAGACGAGCAGGUUCCGGCUUGGCUCAUGGUUUUGUGCCACAUGCCUUUGAAGAUUCUUCAAUGCCUGGGUUUCGGCUCGCAUUCGCGCGGUCAAGCAGAUCCUGGUACGCUUGACUUCUAUCUCGCUAUAAAACAGGCUUUGAGACUUGGUGAGCCUUUACAUGCCUUGGGAAUUUCUUCGAAUGCUUUGGAGUCUGCUCGCCUUCUCGUGGUCGAGCAGAUCCUGGCAUGCGUGGCUUCUGUCUCGCCAUAAGACAGGCUUUGAGACUUGACGGGCCUUUGCAUGCCUUGGAUAAUUUCUUCAACGCUUGGGAUUCUGCUUGGCUUCUCGUGGCCAAGCAGAUCCUGGCAUGCUUGGCUUCUGUCUCGCCAUAAGACAGGCUUUGAGACUUUGUCGAGCCUUUGCAUGCCUUGGAUAAUUUCUUCAAAGCUUGGGAUUCUGCUAGCCUUCUCGUGGCCGAACAGAUCCUGGCAUGCUUGGCUUCUGUCUCGCCAUAAGACAGGCUUUGAGACUUUGUUGAGCCUUUGCAUGCCUUGGAUUCUUCGAGGAUUGGGAUUCUGCUCGCCUUCUCGUGGCCGAGCAGAUCCUGGCAUGCUUGGCUUCUGUCUCGCCAUAAGACAGGCUUUGAGACUUUGUUGAGCCUUUGCAUGCCUUUGAUUCUUCGAGGAUUGGGAUUCUGCUCGCCUUCUCGUGGCCGAGCAGAUCCUGGCAUGCUUGGCUUCUGUCUCGCCAUAAGAAAGGCUUUGAGACUUUGUUGAGCCUUUGCAUGCCUUUGAUUCUUCGAGGAUUGGGAUUCUGCUCGCCUUCUCGUGGCCGAGCAGAUCCUGGCAUGCUUGGCUUCUGUCUCGCCAUAAGACAGGCUUUGAGACUUGACGGGCCUUUGCAUGCCUUGGAUAAUUUCUUCAAAGCUUGGGAUUCUGCUAGCCUUCUCGUGGCCGAGCAGAUCCUGGCAUGCUUGGCUUCUGUCUCGCCAUAAGACAGGCUUUGAGACUUUGUCGAGCCUUUGCAUGCCUUGGAUAAUUUCUUCAAAGCUUGGGAUUCUGCUAGCCUUCUCGUGGCCGAACAGAUCCUGGCAUGCUUGGCUUCUGUCUCACCAUAAGACAGGCUUUGAGACAUUGUUGAGCCUUUGCAUGCCUUGGAUUCUUCGAGGAUUGGGAUUCUGCUCGCCUUCUCGUGGCCGAGCAGAUCCUGGCAUGCUUGGCUUCUGUCUCGCCAUAAGACAGGCUUUGAGACUUUGUUGAGCCUUUGCAUGCCUUUGAUUCUUCGAGGAUUGGGAUUCUGCUCGCCUUCUCGUGGCCGAGUAGAUCCUGGCAUGCUUGGCUUCUGUCUCGCCAUAAGACAGGCUUUGAGACUUUGUUGAGCCUUUGCAUGCCUUUGAUUCUUCGAGGAUUGGGAUUCUGCUCGCCUUCUCGUGGCCGAGCAGAUCCUGGCAUGCUUGGCUUCUGUCUCGCCAUAAGACAGGCUUUGAGACUUGACGGGCCUUUGCAUGCCUUGGAUAAUUUCUUCAAAGCUUGGGAUUCUGCUAGCCUUCUCGUGGCCGAGCAGAUCCUGGCAUGCUUGGCUUCUGUCUCGCCAUAAGACAGGCUUUGAGACUUUGUUGAGCCUUUGCAUGCCUUGGAUUCUUCGAGGAUUGGGAUUCUGCUCGCCUUCUCGUGGCCGAGCAGAUCCUGGCAUGCUUGGCUUCUGUCUCGCCAUAAGACAGGCUUUGAGACUUUGUUGAGCCUUUGCAUGCCUUUGAUUCUUCGAGGAUUGGGAUUCUGCUCGCCUUCUCGUGGCCGAGCAGAUCCUGGCAUGCUUGGCUUCUGUCCCGCCAUAAAACAGGCUUUGAGACUUGACGGGCCUUUGCAUGCCUUGGAUAAUUUCUUCAACGCUUGGGAUUCUGCUUGGCUUCUCGUGGCCGAGCAGAUCCUGGCAUGCUUGGCUUCUGUCUCGCCAUAAGACAGGCUUUGAGACUUUGUCGAGCCUUUGCAUGCCUUUGGGAACUUUCUCGGUCUCAAGCGAAAGAAAUUCUUCGACGUUCCAUUAAUGGCAGGAUUCGACUUACAUGAAAUUGUUUGGACAUAAAACGUGAAAGAUAAAUGAUAAUGAACAUGAGCAAAAAUAGCUUUCAAAUGUGAACAAGUCUUACUGGAAGUAUUUUCGGAGGUGUGCUGCGUUCCAUGGGCGUUUCACCUCGUGGCCGUCCGUGCGAACCAGCUUGUAAGCUCCGGGUCCCGCUAUCUGCUUGACUCUAUAUGGCCCUUCCCAAUUCGGUCCCAGUACUCCUUGAGUCGAAUCUUUGGUGCUCUGAUUCACUCUUCUCAGUACCCAGUCUCCGAAUUGCCGUAUGUUCACCUUCUGGUUAUAGUACCGAGCAACCCUCUGUUGGUAAAUGACUGAUCGCUCGGCUGCUUGCUCCCUCCUUUCCGUUAGCAGAUCAAGAUUCAAACAUAUCUGCUCGUCGUUCUCCUGCUCAUUGAAAUGAUUUGUCCGGUGUGUGGUCGUUCCUAUCUCAGCCGGCACGACCGCUUCAUGUCCGAAAGCCAAAGCGAACGGUGUCUCCCCAGUUGCGGUUUUGUGGGUUGUUCUGUAUGCCCAUAGCACACAUGGCAGCUCGUCAACCCACGCACCCUUUUUUGCUCCAAGCCUGGUUUUCAGAAGCCUCUUGAUGGUCUUGUUGGCUGCUUCUACUUGUCCAUUUGAUUGAGGGUGAGCAGGCGAGCAAUACUUCAGCUCUAUCCCGAGGUUCUGGCAGAAAUCCCUGAAGCUGUGAUUAUCGAACUGCCUGCCAUUAUCCGUUACCAAGGCAUAAGGGAUCCCGUAUCGACAGACCAGGUUUCUCCACACGAAGUCUGUUGUUUUCUUCUCUGUGAUCCUGCUAAGGGCUUCUACCUCAAUCCACUUCGUGAAGUAAUCUAUAGCAACUAUUGCAUGUGUUGCUGCUCCUCGUGCCUUUGGCAAUGGGCCGAUCAGAUCAAUUCCCCAUUGAGCAAAUGGCCAGGGGGAGGUCAUGGAGGUGAGUUUCUCUGGUGGUUGGUUAGAGAAAUUUGCAAAACUCUGGCAGCUUACACAACUCCUGGUCUUCUCUUGCGCAUCCUGGUGCAUUGUCGGCCAGAAAUAUCCCUGCCUUAGAACCUUGUGGGCCAGGGACCUCCCGCCAGAAUGAUUUCCGCAGAUUCCUUCAUGUACUUCUCUCAGUACGUAAUCCGCGUCGUCCUCAUCCAAACACCGAAGGAACGGUAGUGUAUAUCCUCGCCGAUACAGUACCCCAUCAAUCAUCGUGUAUCUCGAGGCCUGGGCUCUAAUCUUGCGAGCUCGCAGCUUAUCUGGUGGUAAUACCCCGUCUCUAAGGUACGAAACUAUCGGGUCCCUCCACGAGCAUUUUUGUUCUAUCCGCAACACCCCCAAAUUCUGAUCGAUACUUGGGCUGGACUUCACCUCCAGAGGGACCGACUUUGGCAUUUUUGGGUCGGCUACUGCUGCCAUCCUAGCCAAAAUGUCUGCUCGACUAUUCUGCUCCCUGGGGAUUUGUAUCACCUCCACUGCUUCGAACUUCCCCAUCAUCUGCCUGACUAUCUUCAGGUACUGCUCCAUCUUUUCCUCUCUUGGUUGGAAUCUUUCACUGACAUGAUUCGCAACCAGCUGGGAAUCAGUUCUGAUCUUACCUCUGUCUGCUUUCACGGCCUUAGCCAAUUCCAGACCUGCUAUCAAGGCUUCAUACUCUGCCUGGUUAUUCGUGGCUGCAAAUUCCAACUUUACAGCAUAAGAGAUCUCCUCCCCCUCUGGGCCUUCCAAGACAAUCCCUGCUCCUGAACCCCGCUCCCCUGAUGACCUGUCCACAGACAUCUGCCAUACUUGAGUUUCGUCAUUGCUUAUAACUGCAUCUUGUUGAUCUAAGCAUACUUCGGGCUCUGUGAAUUCAGCUACGAAAUCGGCCAUUGCCUGGGCUUUUAUCGCUGCGCGAGGUUUAUAGUCUAUGUCGAACUCGCUCAGCUCUACAGCCCACUUGACGAGCCGACCAGAAGCAUCUGGCUUGUGCAGAGUUUGACGCAAUGGCUGGUUUGUUAUUACCGAGACCGAGAAUGCUUGAAAAUAUGGCCUCAACUUCCGAGCAGCAACCACAAGGGCAAGUGCCCAUUUCUCCAACGGUGGGUAUCUGGUCUCAGUGUCGAGCAGGGCCUUGCUAGUGUAGUAUAUCGGAUGCUGAACUCCUUCUUCCUCUCUCACCAGAACAGAACUGGUGGCCCGAUCCGAUACCGCCAAAUACAGAUACAACUUGUCCCCAUCCCUCGGUGUGGACAGCAGCGGAGCUUGCUGCAAGUAUUGCUUCAAGUUCCGGAAGGCUUCCUCGCAUUCCGGGGUCCAUUCUGUUUUCUUUCCCCUCCUUAUCACUUGAAAGAAUGGCUGACACUUAUCUGUAGCCUUGGAUAUGAAUCUGCUCAACGCCGCCAACCUCCCCGUGAGGCUCUGCAUCUCCUUCAGGUUACGAGGAGACGUCAUUUACACAAUCGCCUGGAUUUUCUCGGGAUUUGCUUCAAUCCCCCUAUGGCUCACCAUGAAUCCAAGGAAUUUCCCUGACUCGACCCCAAAAGCACACUUUUCCGGGUUGAGCUUCAUCUUAUACUUCCUCAAAAGCUCGAAUGUCUCCUCGAGGUGUCUGACAUGUUCCUCCGGGAUUUUGGACUUGGUGAUCAUGUCAUCCACGUACACCUCCAUGGUUUUCCCAAUCAACGGCUUAAAGACUUUGUUCACCAACCUUUGAUAGGUGGCCCCAGCAUUUUUGAGACCGAAUGGCAUUACCCUGUAACAGAACAAACCUUGGUUAGUGAUGAAAGCCGUGCUCUCCUCAUCCUGCUCGUACAUGGGGAUCUGGUUGUAUCCCGAGAACGCGUCCAUGAAGCUAAGCAGACCAUGUCCAGCCGUUGAAUCCACUAACUGAUCGAUCUUUGGUAAAGGGAAGCUGUCUUUUGGGCACGCCUUAUUGAGGUCUGUGAAAUCCACACACAUCCUCCACUUGCCAUUCGCCUUCUUUACCAACACCACAUUCGAUAUCCACUCGGGAUAAUUGACUUCCCGAAUGAAUCCUGCUCUCAAGAGCUUUUCUACCUCGCCAUUUAUAGCCUCAUACCUCUCCUGGUUGAAGCACCUCCUCUUUUGCCUUACUGCCCGAGCACCUUUCUUUAUUGCCAGCUUAUGACAUGCUACCUCAGGGUCAAUCCCCGGCAUGUCUUCAUGUGUCCAAGCAAACACAUCAGCAUGAGCCUGUAAGCAUUUCACCAACUCCUGCUUUUGCUCUCUCUUAAGUCUCGACCCGAUUCUGAUCGUCUUUCCCGGGUUCUCUGGUCCUAGGCUUACUGUUUCCAGAUCCUCUACAGGUUCUUGUCUGCCCUUCUUGUUUUCCACUCGGGUAUCGAGGGAUGUUAUCUGCAUUGCUUCCCUUGCUGCCGAGGAGUAGCAGCUUCUUGCGAUCCUCUGGUCUCCUCGUACCACUCCUACUACCCCAUUCACCCGGUACUUCAGAGCCAGAUAAUGGUUGGACAACACCGCUUUGCUCAUCCGUAAAAAUGGCCGACCUAGGAUCAUCUGGUAAGGACCUUCCUCAUCCACUACGACAAAGUCCAGUAUCAUUGUUCUUUCUGUCGGGGAGCUCCCAAUUGUGAUAGGCAGCUCGACCACGCCCAGAGGGACCAGCUUCCCUCCUCCGAACCCCUUCAAGGAGGUAUUCCUGUAUUCCAACUUCCGGUUGGCUAUUCCCAUCUCUUCCAGGGUUGACUUAAAUAACACAUCAACUGAGCUCCCUGUAUCAAUCAGGAUCCGGUCAAACUUCUUGCUAGCGACAGUAGCCUUGAUGACUAAAGCAUCCUCGUGGGGGUAUAGAAUCCCUUCCUCAUCCUCAUCCGUCCACAUGAUUGGCACUUGCCUGACCCUUGCUCGUUUGGCUGCUGGGGUGUUGAAGAGUACCUCUUUACUGGUCAUGGCGUACCUAGCAUAAUUUUUUCUCGAUCUGUUGGAAUCUCCGGCCAAUGUUGGGCCCCCAGCUAUCACCCUUACUGCGGGCUGCUCGCGCCUCAAGUUUCUACCACUCUGCUCCCCUUCACCUGUUGUGGCCACCAUCGGGAAAGUCCCAUCCAUAAACUCGUCCAGGUACCGAUUUCUCACCAAAUCUUCGACCUGGGUCUUGAGAUCUCUACACUCUGCUGUGGUAUGGCCAUGGGUGCCAUGGAACUUACAAUAACGUCCUCUAUCCCUCCUGUUGGGUAGCUUUGUUAUUGGUGUAGGGAGGUGCAGCAGCCCUCGAUCCUUUAUGGCCUCGUACACCUCAUCCAGGGACAUCUUCAAGGAAGUGUACCGCCCAUAGUCCGGGUUCUGGUCGAUCAGGCGCACUGCUCUUUCUCUGUUUGCCCCGCUCUGAGUUGGGGGCAGUGGGAGUACUUCUGGUCCGCUCGCUCUGCUACCGUGGGGAUGUUGAUGAAGACCACCAGAUGCCGACUCAUGCCUUCUCCAAGGCUCCCUAGCUGGGGAACGAGGAGGUUGCGCCCUGCUGCGCUGAUACUGUGGUGGCCUCUGAUGAGGCUGGUAUGCAGUUACCCGACCUCCUGCUCCACUACCGGAGGCCUGGUGGUCCCUCCUCCUGAUCGGCCCAUUCCCCGGUAAUGCUUUCUUCUCUUUCCUCCCCAACCCUUCUAACUGGUCUGUCUUAAUCCGUGCAGCCUUCUCCUCUUCAAUCUCGAUGUCUCUCUUAGCCUGUUCGUAUGCGGCUGCAUACGUUAUAAUAGCUGGGCUUCUUAAAUUGUACCACAGCCUUCCUAUCUUCACCCCUUCUUUCAAUCCCCUUAACGCCUGAGGGUGGUUGAAGGCUCCCAAGUCGAGGACAGCCCGAUGAAACCUCUUGAUGAAUUCCCGAAGGGUUUCUUGCUCCCCCUGUUUCAUGCUUUUCAGCUCCAUCAUGUCAUCUUCCGGUGCCAUUGCCCCACAAAACUGCUCCGCGAAUUCCUGACACAUCUGCUCGAAGGUUUUAAUGCUGCCCCGAGGAAGUUUUCUGUACCAUUCUCGUGCACGUCCCUCAAGGGAUAGUGGGAACACCCUGCACCUUUGGGAUUGGGAUAAUCCUUGUACCCCAGUUAUGUCGUUGAAGCGCUCUAUGUGCACCAGCGGAUCUGUUCUUCCUGAGUAUCUGAGGUCUGGGAGGCGGAAAUCUCUCGGAAUAACUGCCCUCAUGAUCUCUGCUGCGAGCGGUGAUUCUCCGUCCAGCAUUAUCCUCCAACCAGGGGCUCUGUUCCUUCCUUGCAUGUCGUCAAUUAUCUGUGCUAGUCUGCGCACUUCCUCCUCCAGCUGCACUGCACGACCAGGGUCACGUGCUGCAACUUGAUCCCGUUCUUGCUCUACAUCAUGCAAGUGUUGCCUCAACUCUGUUUCCUCUGCAUUCACCACCCCGUCGUCCUCGUCACCAGUCUGUCUUACCGGGGACUGCUCUCUUUCUCUAUGAAAUUCUCCCCGCAGAGGUACGUUACCUCUCUCACCACCAAAUCUCCCGGUGGUUUGACUUCUCCCCGCACUAUCGGGACCUGGUGCCACUCCACCGCCUCUCACCCUUCCCUCUUGGGUUACCCUUCGCUCGCUCCGCAGCUCAUGCAGGAUGGUUGUCAAGGUCUCCAUCUGCUUUUCCAUCCGUUCCAUCCGGUCGAACAUGACUUUUUCCCGUGCUUCACUGACUAUCUCCCUCAGCGUCACGGAAUCGUUAAGCCUCCUAUCACCCCCUUGUGCACUACUUCCUCCUGUCUCCAUCGCUUUUUACUUGCUUCGCCCCUCUUCUUGCUAUCAACAGAAGCUUUUUGCUUUCUCCCCACAGACGGCGCCAAAAUGUUGAUGCAGGAUUCCGGUUCUCCUCGUUCUACGACCAGGAUCUCUGCUCGAUCAACUUCAUCACGACCAGGAGGUCUCCUCGUAAGGCUUCUUCUCCAGAGGUUCCUGCGCACACAGACAAGUCAGAGUACGCCGGUUGUUUUCCCGGCGCAAACCCUUCGACGCUCAAGUCAGAUAUCAAGAUUCGGGGAACGUUUGCCACAGAUCUUAUGGCUUUUUCGUGGUUUUCUCUCUUUUUAAUUUCUUUUCUAAAAAAAUGCCAACCCUUUUACCUCGUUGGCUACCUUUUUAUAGGCUUCCUCUGAAUCCCAGUUUUCCGCUUUUUUCGAGACGGUAUGGGACUCUGACUGCUGCGUUAUGGGCAAACGUGGGAUCUUGCGUGUUACGCCACGGUCCUGGGGAAAGCGUGGCUGUCGUGGUUCUGUGAGAUCUUGCGUGUUACGCUACGGUUCUGGGGGAAGCGCGGCUGUCGUGGUUCUGUGAGAUCUUGCGUGUUACGCCACGGUUCUGGGGGAAGCGCGGCUAUUGUGCCUAGAUUCUCGGGCUGGAGAGCAUGUCUUGCCAACUGUCGUUGACCGGAUCUCCUCGCCUCUCGACCUCUAGCCGGAAUGGCCUUAUGCCUCUUACAGGAAAUUGGCCUCGCGGAUGACGUGCUCGUGGACGAGCAGGAUAUUUCUGCUCCUGUUCCCCCGCGCGCCAGGCUCUUACGGAACACACCGGUUCGCAGAACUAUGCCACCAGAUAUCUGCUCACCAUGCCUGGUCUCGUCGACGUAUUUCUCCCAAACACAAGGGCUCCUAAAGUUCGAAGAAAGAGAAUAGUCCGGAAGAAGGUGAUCGCAUAAAUUUCUUGGGAGUUAAUCCUAGUCAAUAGCCCAAUUUUGCUGCCUGUCGAAGAGAUACAACACGGAAGUCCUCAUCAAACUCUUUUGAGACAUCUAAGAACUAGUAGGGAGGUGGUGGUAUUUCACCGUGUUUCCUGGCAAGUAUAGUUCACUGAUAGAGGGAUUCUUUUCUUGAUGUCUAAAUACUAUAUGUGAUACAACGUCGUAUAUUCCAAUUUUUCUCCAGUUAAAUUAUAGUAAGUUAGAAAAGUUAAUUUUGUUCUAGCGAUGAAUUGUUUUCUUAAUAAUAAUAAUGGCCUGUUGCUUUGGAAUCUUAUUCACUCUCUGUAACCCAAUUAAAUUGUGCAAAUUCUACUGCAGAUUUGUCAAACAGAGUGUCUCUGUGAUUGUUUUGAUACACCUUUUAAUUACUAGAUUGUACUCGAGUUCCUAUUUAUUACUACUGUGUUGUAGUUAUAGUUAUUGUGAAAAAGGAACUGAAACUAUAAUAUAAAUGUUGAUCUUCUGUUGUAUAUAUGAUUUUUAAAUAAUAAUUUUGACAAAAUUAAUAAAUGUAUCAUUGAUUUUUUUAUACUCCCAACUUAAUUUUUAAGUCACCAUAAUAAAUAUUUAUUAAAUACUUUGAUACUGUAACUUUAAAACUAUGCUCCGCGGCACUCUUAUCUAAUUUUAAUUGUACUUUAUAGCUCGAUUAUAGAAAUCCUUACUCGAUGUACUUUACCAUACAAGAUGUUAGUUUACUUAAUCUUACUCGACUUUAAUUGCAUAUUUUAUAACGAAAUUUUUGUCAAAAAAUUGGUCCCGAUUCCAGCAAAACAGUAACUUCCAUUCAAAAGGGUUCCACGUUGAGUGCAUGUAAUCUGCACCAAGUUUGAGAAGAAAUAACCAAAAAAAAAAAGAAACCCGCGUCCAAAGAGGCCGUCAUUGAAUUCAAAAAUUAUGAUCCAAAAUCCAAAAAUAGAAGAAGAAUUGGAAACAUAGUCGGAGUUUUAAAUUGAUAUGAGAAAAGAAUUUAUCAUUUUUUUAACAAAAUUUAAGCUAAGACGAAAAAAUAUGCCUAAAACACCCCUCACAUUAUCCCAAACUUUCGAAACUCCCCCAUUCCUCUGACCAUCAUCUCUCCCAAAUCAAUCUUCCCCCAAAACCAGCCAUGGCUUCAAAUUCAAUCAGCUUAACACUCCAAUAUUGCUUGUAAGCCACCCACAAGUCCUCAACUUCAUAUGGACUCAAGACCAAACCCUAGCUUCCUUCCCACACAUCCUCAUUCACUCCAUCAUUACUUACCUCUCCCUCACAUCCAUCCUUUACCACACAUCAACAUCAACAUCACCAUCACCAUCAUCAUCACCUCUCAUUGGACCCCACAUCCUCAGACCCAUCACAGCCAUCCAUAACAUUUUUCAUUUUGAUGCUGUAUGAUCAUUUUACGGGAUUUGGUUUCCCUGGGUUUUGGGGUUGGUGCUUCAAUACUGUGUUUAAUGCUUCCCUUUUGGCCCUUUUUGUUAAUUUUCAUUACAAGAGCUAUGCUAAGAAAAAGAAGCAGGGAUGAUCAAAACAACUAGUAGUUAUCCUUGUUUUGUGUUUUCUUUUUUAAUUUAUCUCUAUCAUUGCCAUUGACAGAGAUGUUUCCAGUUGCCUAAACUUUGUUUUUUCAAUUUUGGUACUACGUGUAAUUUGUCACCACAUUUGUUUAGUCUCUCCCUUUUAAAUUCCCUCUCGCACACAAAAAAUUCGGAUUUGUAUUUUGUAGACUAAUAUUUUUCAUUUUGUUAAUGAAUUAACUAUUAUUAUCUACAUUAAUGUGAUGGAACACAAGCCACAUCAACUAGAAUUAGAUUAUGAAUUUUUGCAGCCCCAGCAAAAAACAUUUAUGAAAGAUGUUUAGGUAAGGAUUAUUUUGGUAUUCUAAAGAGUAGAAUAAAAAUUAAUGUUCAAAAUAUUAGAACAUAUAUAUUCCCAGCCUUAAUAAAAUUUUGCGACAUGAAAUGUACAAAGUUAGAAAUAUAGAAUGCAUAUUAGUACAUGUCAAUAACAAGACCAAUUAGAUUAUGGCAUUACUUUAUUUUAUUUAUUUAUUUUUUUUAUUCUUUUGAAACAAGAUCAAUUAAUUAGAUCAUGCUAGAAGUUAAAUUGUUUUUUUUCAAAUGAAAAAGGAGCAGUCAUACAAAGUUUGAAUAUAAAAUUUAUAAUCUAAAAUUAAUGAUGUGACAAUUAACAUGUUAUUAACCUAUCUAAUAGAGUAGGAAGUCCCAAAUACAUCAUAUUCUGCUCCCGAAAUCAAUUCCACCUAGAAUACUUCUUUCUAUUGAAAUUAAUGAUGAUUUGUUUGUUUGCAUCAUGAAAGUCAAAAAUAAUUUUGUGAGUAAUUUGAUUCUUUACGGUACAAAAAAUAAAUUCGGAAAGUACUAAUUUCUGUCAUACUUUUCGGGCUAAAAAAUAAAUGUAAGUCUAUCAUAUUUAUUAUUUAAUGGUUUUAUAUCAAUCAUCUGUAUGUAUUUUUCUUGGGAGAAGCUCAAUUAAUUUCUCUCAUACUUUUUGAUCUGAUCCAAUUCUAGCCUAAUCAACCUGAAACCCAUUCAAGUUGAUAUGAACACAAAUUUGCCCACUCCGGAGAUUGUGACCCUACAAACUUUGAAAAAUUUUGAGGUUUCGAAGUAAAACAUUAAAAAUUAGAUAUAAAAAGACUGAUUUGACCCCUAAGCACUUGAUGUAUAAACUUUAUACAUAUAAUAGAAAUUUAAUUUAUAUUUUGUAAAAUAAAAUCAAGUAAACUCGAUUUUUUUUUGUUAAUUAUUUUUUCAUUAUGACAAAAUGAAAAAUAGCCUUUUAUUAAAAUUUUUAUAAAUAAUCGGGCCUAAGUCUUUGAUUUUUAUUUUGUUAAUUAUUUUUUAGUUUUACUUGCAACAGUAAGUUCAAUUAUGAAUCAAAGUCGGCAAAUCAAAAUCGCUGCAGCCUGUAGCCACAAGCAAAAUUCUCAAAUUUCGAAAUUCCUAACGACUACAUAAUAACUAUAAAUAGAAUAACAGUCUAAAAUUAAUCCCCAACUAACAUUUUAAGUGAAGUUGGGCCUUCCGAAGAUUUACCCCAUAUGGAACAAAAUAUUAGUUUUGCUACUAAAAUUGCGAACUACGUUUUUCUUUGUAUUUUCCGCUCAAGGAUGAAGAAAUUUCACUCAACUGUUGUGCUGAAUAUCUUGCGAACAUAUGACAAUUUAAGACCCGUUUGGGGCAGCUGCGCGGUGGUCCUUAAUCUUUGGCUGAGACUUGUUUAAAAUAAAAAAUGACACUUUAAAGCAAUAGGAGAGUUUUAUAUAUCAAAAUGGUAAACGGAUGGAGAAAACUCAAAAUAAUUUUUUUAACUUUUUAUCUAUUUUGACAUUCGAAUUUUAAACUCGAGAAGUCAAGCAAUGAAUAAACCUUUUUGAGGGGCUAAUUAAAUUCUUAGUAAUUUCACAUAAUUUUAUUUCAUCAGAACAGUUUUAUCAAAAGCAAUUUUAUAAAUCGUUGUUGAAAGAUUUAUUCCUUAAUUAUCUUUCACAUAUUUUUUUGGUAAUAUGAGGUAAGUCAUAGACCAUAGUAUGAUAUUUAUUAAAUAUCAAAAUUAAUAUGAUAUUUAUUAAAUAUCAAAAUUAAUUAGACAUGUCUUUAUAAUAAGACAUCAUUUAUUUUGAAAUUGUUCCAGCACUAAGAUUAUUCUAGAUCAAAUUAAUCUAUUAUAUAUAACUUCAGAAGAUUUCUCGGUGGAUUGCUUUAAGGUUUUACAGGAGCUGAUGCUGAGUAGUCUGAAUAAUUAUUAUGAAUCAUAGAAACGGGGCAGAUGCUGUUAAAUUAUUGAGGUGGUGGAGCAGAUGCUCAGUAGUCUGAAUAAUAAUGAUGAAUCGGAAAAAUAGGGCAGAUGCUGUACAAUUAUUGAGGUGGUGGAGCAGAUGCUCAGUAGUUUGAAUAAUUAUUAUGAAUCGGACAAACAGGGCAGAUGCUGUACAAUUAUUGACGUGGUUGAACAGAAAGCUAGCCCCAGACGGUAACUCCUGUGGGGACUCCUUUAAUUUUGCAUCACAAAAGAACGUUCACACUGACAUUGACUCACGGGUAAAAAUUAAAUAUCUCAUAUGGUAUAAGAAGAAUGCAAACAUGCUUGAAUCAACAUUCUCACAGAAUACAUAAAACCUACUUUCCUCUGAGCAUUUUAUCAAGAAAAGCAAUUGCUGCAUUUACCAUUUGAUCUAAUAUCAGAAUGGUUGAUGCGAUCGUUUCCGCUCUCCUGGAGCAGCUGAUCUCUGUUGCGGCUGAUGAAGUGAAACAGCAGGUGAGGCUUGUGACUGGUGUCCGAGAAGAGGUGAAAAAGCUUACCAGCAAUCUUCGAGCCAUUCGAGCUGUGCUGGAAGAUGCAGAGAAAAGGCAAAUGCAGCGCAACAAUGCUGUUACUUUUUGGCUGGAUCAGCUCAAAGACGCAUCUUACGACAUGGAAGACGUGUUGGAGGAGUGGACCACUGCAAGGCUCACAUUGCAGAUUGAGGGCGUUGAUGAUGACACUGCUCUUGCUCUUGCUCCUCAUAAGAAGAAGGUACGCUCCUUCUUUUGUGCUGCAUCAAACUGCUUUGGUAGUUUCAAACAACUUAGUCUUCGUCAUGACAUUGCCGUCAAGAUUAGGGAAAUCAAUGGAAAGCUAGAUGAUAUUGCCUCCCAAAAAGAUACGUUUAAAUUUGUUGAGAAUGUGAGCAACAAUGUUAGGGAACCAGAGCUAGUGGGAACCACCUCCUUCAUUGAUGAGGGAAAGGUUUGUGGUAGAGUUGAUGAGAAAAAUGAGCUCUUAAGCAAAUUGUUGUGUGAAAGUAGUGAACAACAAGAAGGCCUUCAUGUCAUCUCACUAGUUGGGUUAGGGGGUAUAGGUAAAACCACUCUUGCACAACUGGCCUAUAAUAAUGAUGAGGUGAAAAGAAAUUUUGAAAAAGUUAUAUGGGUGUGUGUAUCAGACACUUUUGAGGAGAUUAGGGUUGCGAAAGCAAUCAUUGGAGGUCUAGGUGAGUCAACUUCUAGUUUAAGUGAAUUCCAAUCUCUUAUGAGCCAUAUCCAUCGAUCAAUUGAAGGAAAAAAGUUUUUUCUUGUUUUAGAUGAUGUAUGGGAUGGGAAUUACAAUAAAUGGGAACCAUUCUUCCUUUGUCUAAAGAAUGGUCACCAUAGAAGUAAAAUUUUAGUUACCACACGUAAUGAGUCAGUUGCACGUAUGAUGAGAUCAACAAAUAUUAUCUCCAUUAAGCAAUUGGCUGAAGAGGAAUGCUGGUCAUUGUUCGAGCAGUUAGCAUUUUUCAGUCGUUCUCUUGAGGAUCGUGAAAAAUUAGAACCAAUGGGGCGAAAAAUUGCACACAAGUGCAAAGGCUUGCCUCUUGCUGCAAAGGUAAUAGGGAAUCUUUUGUGCUCUAAAAGUACAGAAAAAGAGUGGCAAAGUAUUUUAGAGAGUGAAAUGUGGAAAGUAGAAGAGAUUGGGCAAGGUCUUUUGGCUCCUUUGUUGUUGAGUUAUAACGAUUUACCCUCCAAUUCUGUGGUAAAACGGUGUUUCUCAUAUUGUGCUGUCUUUCCAAAAGACUACAAUAUGGAUAAAGAGGAAUUGAUUAAUCUGUGGAUGGCUCAAGGUUACCUUAAUGCAGAAGAAGACGAAGAGAUGGAGAUGAUUGGGGAAAAGUGUUUCAACAUUUUAGCAGCACGCUCUUUCUUUCAAGAAUUUCAGAAAAAUGACGAUGAUGAUAUUCUGAGGUGUAAGAUGCAUGACAUAGUACAUGAUUUUGCCCAAUUUAUAAGUAGAAAAGAAUGUUUGUGGCUAGAAAUAAAUGGUACCAAAGAAACAGUCAUAAACUCUUUUGGUGACAAAGUCCGUCACUUAAGGUUAAAGUUUCAAGGAGGAGCUUCAUUUCCUAUGUCCUUUUUUGAAUUUGAUAGAUUGCGUACCCUCUUAAUUUAUGAUGAAAGUCUUUCCAAUACAUCUUUAUUUGAUGAUGAAAGUCCUUCCAAUCCAUCUCUUAAUAGUAGCAUCCUUCGGAAGUUAUUUAGUAAAUUGGCGUGUUUAAGGGCAUUAGUUAUAAGACAACUGUCCCCACCUUUUUGUCCUAAUCACCCAAAUUUGAUUAGAGAAAUUCCAGAAAAUGUUGGAAAAUUGAUACAUUUAAAAUAUCUUAAUUUGUCUAGACUGUGUAUAAAGAGACUGCCUGAGACUUUGUGUGAAUUAUAUAAUUUACAAAAGCUAGAUAUUAGGCGGUGCCGAAAUCUUAGAGAAUUGCCAGCGGGGAUUGGGAAGUUAAUGAACAUGAGGAGUUUACUGAAUGAUAAAACUCGUUCUUUGAAGUACAUGCCAGUAGGGAUUUCCAAAUUAACCAGUCUUCGAACAUUAGGCAAGUUUGUGGUGGGUGGAGGUGUUGAUGGUAGCAAUACGUGUAGGCUUGAAUCUCUGAAAAAUCUUCAACUCCUUCGAGAAUGUGGAAUAGAAGGGCUGGGUAAUGUAUCCCAUUUAGAUGAGGCCGAGAGAUUAGGACUUCACAAUAUGGAAAACCUCCUUCGUUUGCGUCUUGUGUUUGAUGGAGUCGUAGAUCUUGUGUUUGAUGGAGUCGUAGAUGGGGAAGAUGAAGAAAGGAGGAGGAGGAAUGAGAAAGACAAACAACUUCUUGAAGCUUUACAACCGCCUUUGAGUGUAGAGAAAUUAUGGAUUGUAUCCUACGGAGGCAACAUUCUUCCCAAAUGGUUGACUUUGCUAACCAAUCUAAGGGAUUUAAGCCUUUCCUCGUGCGUUAACUGUGAGCAUUUGCCUCCUUUGGGAAAAUUGCCUCUGGAAAAACUCACAAUUAACAACUUGAAAAGUGUAAAAAGAGUGGGUAAUGAGUUUUUGGGAAUAGAAGAAAGCAGUGAGGACGACCCAUCUUCAUCUUCAUCGUCAUCAUCAGUUAUUGCCUUCCCCAAAUUGAAAUCUCUCAAUAUUGAGGAAUUUGAUGAAGUGGAAGAGUGGAAUUACAGGAUUACGAGGACGGAAAACAUCUCCAUCAUGCCACGUCUUUCUUCCUUGACGAUUUCUUCUUGCAACAAAUUAAAGGCGCUGCCGGAUUACAUUCUUCAAACGACGGCACUGCAGGAACUGAGUAUAUAUUUUUGUGAUCUUCUAGAAGAACUGCCCAUUCUAGAAGAUCACAGGACAACAGCCAUACCACGUCUUUCUUCCUUGGAAAUUAGUUGUUGCCCCAAAUUAAAGGUGCUGCCGGAUUACCUUCUUCGGACGACGACGCUGCAGAAAUUGACAAUUUGGGGAUGUCCCCUUUUGGAAAACCGUUAUAGAGAGGGGAAAGGAGAAGACUGGCAUAAGAUAUCUCACAUUCCCCACAUCAAGUGGUCGCUGUUGCCGCCGGUAAUUUCUCCUCCUCCUCUGAUUUACUUCGUUGUUGCUUGCAAUGAAAUUAAUAAAAAUAAUUAUAUUUUGACUUAAAAUUUUAUAUAAAAUCAAUCAUGGUAUAAAUAUGAAAAACUUCCUAGUUAUCAAAUCUGUUAAACUUGUUUUCUAAAGAUUAAAUAAUAAAAAAAUACAAGUGUAGUCUGUUGAAAUUUCUAUAUUUAUUUACUUUUAAAAAAUAUGUGCUCUUUUGUAAAAGUUCAUACAAUAUCAUAGAAAUGUUAUGUGUAACUUCCUGAGAGACAAAAUCUCUGUGAUACAUUUGCAGUAAUGUUGAAAACUAAAUGUCAUUAGCCCACCUUGUUUUAUUUCAUACGAGUUUAAUUAUGUUCACCAGGGAUUCGAGGAAAUGUCAGAACUACACUAGCAAUUCGCAGGUCCACGCUAAUUUGGUUCUAAUGAUGCACGCAGGAGAGCAAGACUAUGAAAAUGAAAAGUUUAGCCAAAGGAUUGCUAAAAUGUUCUGCUGGUAAUUCACUUGCUUUAUUUUAUAGAAUUCAUUUCCAUCUUCUUCUAUUGAUAUCUUGUUGUGAAUAACAAGAACAGAGAAGUAAAGAUAUAUCAAAAUUUACUAUUGCGAUGAUGCUAAAGCAAGCUCAAGCUCAAGCAUUGCAUUUUUAUUUUAUUUAAUUUAUAGAAUUUUCAUUUCCACCUGCAUUGCAUUUUUAUUUAUUUUUAGGUUGACUUUGAAUACUUCAUGGUGAACAUUGGGGUGACCAAGGAUUAGGCUGGCAGUGGAACGACUACCACUGUGGUUAUUGUGCGACUUUGAAGAAGAAAGUGAUGGCUGGGUCUGCUCUGUUUCUAUCUUUUUUCAUUCUUUGAUCGGUUUAUCCUACAUAAACAUAUGGAAUUAUGCUAAUAUUAUCAAUUUUUUCACCCAAUUUUCAUUGUUGGUUGUGAUAAAAAUUUCAGGCUCUCAAAAGCUACAAAGCAAAGCAUUUGUGGGCUGAUCAUAUGUUUCAAUUGAGGAAGGAGUUUGGUGUUGGCAAUAUUGUCCAGGUAACCACAGCUGAUAAUUUCCACAAAUUUGCAUUGUCAGAACACACUUUAAUGUUCAUUGUGUUCCUAUGUGUUAUCAGGUUAUUGUGGUAUGUAAAGUAUCAUCUUUAAGGAUUUGUAAGAGACUUCGCAGUAAACUUAGUUGGCACCAGCUCGUGCAAUUCCUCAUUCAUUCAAGAGUACUUCAAAAUUAGAUUUUCAAGGUUUGUAUGUUUAGUUGCGAGCAAAAUGUUUAGUCACACAUUCGUAAUCUUUUCUGAUUUUCAAGUUCUUUAGGGCCAUAAACAGUUUUCCAACUCAUUCUUAAUUUUUAGGUUGAUUUCGAGUACCCUGUUGAGGACAUUCUUGAGACCAAGGAUUAGGCUGGCGAACAAACUACUACCUCUGUUGUUAUAGUGCAGGGUUUGAUCAUUGGACCUUGAAUAAGAAUGCCUUACACACACUCUGUAAUUCAAGCAUUCUCUAAGGAAAAGAGCAGUCGAAGGGAUAGUGAUGGCCGGAUCUGCUCUAUUUUAGUUGAAGAUCUCUGUGAUGUCGAUGAACUUAAAGCAGUUGAUACUUCUUGAAAAUUGUUAUUACGGAUGAAAUUGAUUACAGGAGACGGGUAUCCAAAGGCGGAUUUUCAUAAACUUCCUUCUUUAACAAAUGUUCCAACGCUUGCUGUAGUAACAAUUUCAUAGCUUGUAUCUCUCGGGUGCAUCAUGUUCACGGGUUGGAAAAAGCAUUUGUGGUAAAGCUUCAAAGCUUGUAAAAUGGCUGUGAAAAGGCACAUUCAAUUCGGUAUGCUUUGGUGCGGUCUCCUAAUGCUAAUAUUAUAUUUUGUAUAGCAAUCUUAAUAUGCAAAAAAUCAUUGUGUCCAAAGUUUUCUAUUUAUUAUAUGGUGACUGAAAUUUUAAUUAUCAUAUCAAUCUUAAAAAUUUUUGUAACCCUAUUUUACUUUGCUUGUACAGAAUACCUGUUUUCGCUGAUAUGUCGAAUUCCCAGAAAUUCAUUUCCAUCGGUUUCCAUUGGUUUUAGCACAAACAGAAACAUAGAGCACUGGGAAAAAGUUUUACUUUUGGUGGUAUUAUGCCUUAUUUUCUUCAUUCAUCAUAUUUGUUUCGAAUUCAUGCUCUCAUUAAGAGAGUAAAGCCUUUUCCAGGCUGCUUUGUAGCCAAAUUUUGAUGCCAUCGAUGCGUGAUUGUCAUUUAGAUUUUCGAAAUAAUUGUCAGAUUGGAGACGAAUCAGAAGAUAUUGUUCAAAGGGUAUUUAAUUAGCACCCUCUGAAUUUAGUUGCCAAUAAUGCAUUGAAAUGGUUGGGGAAAGUUAUUGUCUUAAUUAAAUUACAGGUGAUAAGAUGCUGCUUCAAUUUUGCAAGCAUCUUGUACUGCAAAGAUUCUGCCCACAUGAGAUGCUGUGAUUCUUGACAUCAGGAUAACACAGGUCAAAUUUUAGUAUCAAUAUAUAUCAUCUUCUUUACUGUUCUGCCUCUAAAUAUUAAACUUUAAGCAAGUUGUUUUUGUUUGUGUAAGUUAUCAGGUUAAGGAUACUAAGCCGCUUAUUAAGGCAAAUGUCAGAAUGAAGAUUGUUCACCACACCUGGUAUGCAUGAUGGCCAGUAAGAUUAAUUGUUCACAAGCCAAUUUGAUCAGUGUUAGAUUUUUUGCCUCCUUUCGAGGGUCAUCAUCAUCAAAUUUGAGUAGAGAAUCUUUGAAGGGAAUUUUGUUGUAAGAGUUUCACAGUAGUGAAUUCUGGGAGCUCGAACUCACUUGAGUGAGAUAUUAGGGAGUGUUGGGGAUUUGGGUUAUGAGUAAUCAUUAUCCUUCCAAUAUGUGUAAGCACUCACUUGUUAGUAAAAUCAUCUUCGUAUAUUGACUAUGUUUCUUUGAGUAAUUCAGUUUCAGAUUUUCAGGGCAUGUAUGUUUAAUUAGUUUUGAUUAAAAUAUUUAGUCACUCAUUCUGAAUCUUUUCUAAUUUUCAAGUUCCUUAGGGCCACAACCAGUUUUCAGGGUCUGCAGAAACUAUCUUGAGGGUUGAGGAAUUGCGUUUGAGCACACACAGAAACAAGGCUAAUGGAAAAGAACUUGACAGAAGAAUUAUGCUCUAAAUCUAACAAAAGUAUAUUUCUACUUCUUGUGGUUAUUUUACUUUUGUAUUUUCUGUCAUCAUAUUUGAUUAAUUCAUUCGAAUUCAGACUCUCAUUAUUUAAAACCAUUUUCAGGUGGCUUGCACGCUAAUUAAGUUAACGCAGAAGCAAUACUCUAGACAAAGAUGAGCAAAUUGAAGAUGAUAAAUGCAUAUAUAGUGGCCAAGUCGCUCAUUACAUUUCAUCUCUCAUACGAACAUGAUUCUGAAUUUGAAUUUCCAUCAAUAAUUGUCAGGCUGGUGCAGAUGUUCUUAAAAGGGCAUUAAGCUACCUUAUGAGAUUGGAAAGUUAUCAUUGCUUGAAUGAAAGCACCAUCUUCUGUUGUCAAGGCUUUCCCCCACACGAUGAGAUUCUGUGCUUGUUAUCGGCCGCUUAGUUAUUUAUUAAAUCAGGUUUUUGUUAUCAUGUUCAACAUCUUAUUCACCAUUUUGGCUAUAUAUAAAGAUUAAAAUUUCUAACAGUUGUUUCGGAUUCUUGUGUACUCAGGUUAAUAUGGCAAAUGUCAGAAUGAAGAUUGUUCAGUGCAACCGGUAUAGCAAGGAUGAUAGUGGUGAGGAAGAUUGUUGGCAAGCCAAAUAGAGCCCUCCAUUUUGAGAAAUAUCAUCCUCAAAUUUGAAUUGUUGAGCAUGUGAAGUGAAGCUAAAGCCUUAAUAAUGAGACCUUCCUGUGAAAGUUUCAUUUGAGUGAAUUGAACGUCCUUAGUGGGUGAGAAAUUAAGCAUAUAUCAGCGAUUACUGAAUGUUUUUCUUUAACAUUAGUACACUCUUAUUUCUUAGUAAAAUUCUCUUCACGUCUCUGACUGUGACGUAGACCAAAAGCUGAACAAUGUAAAAUUAUAUUGUUAUUUCCUUAUGCUUGUUUUGCUAUAUAUCAUUUUUGUGCAAUAAAGAAUGUAAUUUUGUAAUUAUUUAACUCUGCUUCUGCGAACAUGCGGUAUUACAAGUGGCAUCUUGCAGAUUUUUUUCCCCUUUUUUUCUUUCUGCAUUAAAACUGCAACAAAUGGAAGUGACUGGCUUGAUUUUAGCUAAUGUAAAAAAGUGCUUGGGGCAAUGUCUUUUGUAUCAGCAAGUCAUCAAACAUCAUAGUUUAAAUAUAGAAUCCUGAGUUGCCGUAUAUUGACAAAGCUAACCGUCUGUGGGCUGAAAUGCUUCCACGGAUCAGGAAGGAAUUUGGGGUUGACACUAAAUGUUAUGCAGAUAACUACAGUUGAUAAUUUUUACCCAAAAUAUGUCACAGUUGACAAUUCACUUACAGUGUUUCCUUGUGUUAUCAGGCUCUCAUAUGUGAAUUGAAAGAUUAAGAAAAAGCAUUUGCACUAAAUUUCAAUUUUAAAGUUCCCAGAUUAAGAAAGAUUGUUUGUUAUGCAAUUGAAGAUUAUGAAAAAGCAUACGCACAGGUAAGUUCUUCUUUAGCUCUGUUUUUCAUUGUUUGUUAUAUCUAUUUUUAAUUCACAUGUCCACAGUAAUUUCAUUUUAGUUUGAGCUGAGUGAUAACUGUUCAAGGCUCACUUACUCAUUGGGAGAAGCUGCAUGACGCAGGCUGCAAGGAUUUAGAUUUUCAUUCGAAGGCUCACUUACUCAUAGUGUGCAUGUUUCGUUACGAUUAAAAUGAUUAGUCUCUUGUUCUUAAGUAUACAAUUUCCAAUGGAUUUGAUAGAGCGGUCAUCAACCAUAUUGAUGUUAUUGGAGUAGCACUGUUCUUAAGCACUGCUUUGAGGUCUCUCCCUCUCUAUAUACAUUGAUAGACUAUUCUGGUCGUACCAAAUUAUCCUUGUUUUAUUGUUUUGUUUGUUAAACUUUGACUGGGGGAAUCUGUUUAUUUGUCUGAUAUGAUGUUAGUGUGGUUUCGAUUGAAGUGUGUUGAUCUAUCACCAAGUAUUAUUUCAAUUUUUCUUUACCUAAUCAACUUGCAUACUUUCCAAGUCUAGAUCCUUAACAAUAGUGAGACUCCGCUACAGAAGUACGAUUUCUCUAGUUUUGUAGUUAAAUACGUAAGAAUAGUUUUAAAUUAACAGAACUCUGAGAUAGUUCUCUGAGGAAAUACAAGUGGUGAAUAUGGUUCCAACUUUUAAGUGCCUUAAGAUUCCCAUUUGUUCAGCCCUGUGCGUAAACAAUCAGUAAUUUCUGUCCAAAUUCUUCUUUAAUGCCUAUAUGUGUUGGACUUUGUCUACUGUUCAACUUCUCAAAUGGAUUCCAUGCAGGGUUUUGAAUGUCCAAUUAGGAGAAAGAUCAAGGCUUGCUUGGCUAGGAGUGGAAGCGGAUCCACUACUUCAGUCAGAUGACCUUUUGAAGAAGGCUUACAACAGGCCGUCUCAGGAUGUCAAUGGCUCAACUCAAAAGUCCCCAAAGUGGUUGAUAUCGAAGAAUGCCGUUGUCUCUGGGCUUGGGCUCCUUGGCAUCAAACAAGGGAAUGUCGACUCUGUUGAAGGGGAAGCAAGGGCUCCUAAAGUGCGAAGAAAGAGGAUAGUCCGGAAGAAGGUGACCGCAUAAAUUUCUUGGGAGUUAAUCCUAGUCAAUAGCCCAAUUUUGCUGCCUGUCGAAGAGGUACAACACGGAAGUCGUCAUCAAACUCUUUUGAGACAUCUAAGAACUAGUAGGGAGGUGGUGGUAUUUCACCGUGUUUCCUGGCAAGUAUAGUUCACUGAUAGAGGGAUUCUUUUCUUGAUGUCUAAAUACUAUAUGUGAUACAACUUCGUAUAUUCCAAUUUUUCUCCAGUUAAAUUCUAGUAAGUUAGAAAAGUUAAUUUUGUUCUAGCGAUGAAUUGUUUUCUUAAUAACAAUAAUUGCCUGUUGCUUUGGAAUCUUAUUCACUCUCUGCAACCCAGUUAAAUUGUGCAAAUUCUACUGCAGAUUUGUCAAACAGAGUGUCUCUGUGAUUGUUUUGAUACACUUUUGAUGGCAAGUUCAAGUUUGAAUCAUCUUGUAAUGCCAAAAAACCAUAGCGCUUUUAAUUACUAGAUCGCACUCGACUUCCUAUUUAGUACUACCGUGUUGCAGUUAUAGUUAUUGUGAAAAAGGAACUGAAACUAUAAUAUAAAUGUUGAUCUAGUGUUGUAUAUAUGAUUUUUAAUUAAUAAUUUUGAUAAAAUUAAUAAAUGUAUCAUUGAUUUUUUUAUACUCCCAACUUAAUUUUUAAGUCACAAUAAUAAAUAUUUAUUAAAUACUUUGAUACUGUAACUUUAAAAUUAUGCUCCGCGGCACUCUUAUCUAAUUUUAAUUGUACUUUCUAGCUCGAUUAUAGAAAUCCUUACUCGAUGUACUUUACCAUACAAGGUGUUACUUUACUUGAUCUUACUCGACUUUAAUUGCAUAUUUUAUAACGAAUUUUUUAUCAAAAAAUUGGUCCCGAUUCCAGCAAAACAGUAACUUCCAUGAUGAUUUUUAAUAUUAUAUUAGUGAUUAUUAAAUUUAAUACAAUCAAUAAUGAAAGAAAUUAUUAAAUGGUUAAUUUUAUUGACAUAUUAUCAAAUACGCAAGUAAUGAAAAAUUAAUCUCAAGAGUUAGUUGAAGUAAAGUUCCAAUUUAAUAGAUAAAUAUAAAUUUUAAGUAAAUCAUAAAUUAAAAAAUUAAUUAAUAUUAAGUAUAAAUAAAUAAUAAUGACAUAAAUUAAAGUCUCAUAAAUGGAUAACUUUUUUUCUUUAAUCUUAUCUCAACUAAAGUAAUGUGUAAAUUAGGAUUCUUAAUCCCAUAAUUUUAGGAAUAAAUUUAAAUUUAGUUCCUAAAUCCAAUUCAAUUAAGCUUACCAAACAUGAGAUAAAUUUUUAAUCACAAAAUUAGUCCAAUUCCAUACUUACUCCCAGUAUCCGAACAUGGCCUGAUAACAUAAUUUAGGUAAUAUACUACUAUGACUCACAAUUUAAAUAAAUUUAAGAAUUUAUAUAGGGGAUGGAAAAUUCACAAUAAUCAUAACAUAUGCUAUCUUUUCUCCCUUUUCUUAAUUAAAUAAAAAAAAAUUAAUGACAGAAUAACUACUGUUUAAAAGGGUCGGCUGCAUGAUUUUUCCAACUAUUGUUUUAUUUUUCUCUUUUCCACUACAAAUUAAUUUGAGAAUGUUACAUUUUCCAAUUCUCUUUUUGUCGUGACAUAAUAGACUAAAACGGAAUCACAUACUUUUUCAAAUGUCCAAAUGGCUUUGGCCUACCUGAUAAUAAAAGGAAUGGAUCCAUACGUUAGUAUGGAUAAAUUGAAAAAUAUAAUAAAUAAAUUGUCAGGAGAUGAUUUUAUCAAAAAUUUCACUCGCACGGUCCCGACCAAAAUCGACUGUAUUAUAUGUGAACUCGCAAGAUUCAUAGAUAGAUUGCACUGAGCUUUUUGUUGCAGUUUACAAAUAUUUUGUUACUAAUUAUCUCAAGAGCAGCAUGUAACUAAAUACAAAUGUAAGGAAUUUUACAAGUGCUGAUGCUGUGUACUCUGAAGAAUUAACAAUGAAUUAUUAUGAAUAAGAGAAACAGAGGGCAGAUGCUGUGCAAUUAUUGAGGUGGUGGAUCAGAAAGCUAGCCCCAGAUGGUGACUCCUUUAAUUUGCAGCACGAAAGAACGUUCACAUUGACAUUGACUCAAGGGUAAAAAUUAAAUAUUUCAUAUGGUAUAAGAAGAAUGCAAACAUGCUUGAAUGAACAUUCUCACAGAAUACAUAAAACCUACUUUCCUCUGAGCAUUUUAGCAGCAAGAAAAGCAAUUGCUGCAUUUACCAUUUGAUCUAAUAUCAGAAUGGCUCAUGCGAUCGUUUCCUCUCUCUUGGACCAGCUGAAAUCCAUUGCUCAAGAUCAGGUGAAAGAAAAGUGGAGGCUUGUGACGGGUGUCGAACAAGAAGUGGGAAAGCUUACUACCAAUCUUCAAGCCAUUCAAGCUGUACUGGAAGAUGCAGAGCAGAGGCAAAUGAAGCAGGACAAAGCUGUUACUCUUUGGCUGGAUCAGCUCAGAGACGCAUCCUACGACAUUGAAGAUGUGUUGGAAGAGUGGAUCACUGAAACAAGGAAAUUGCAGCUUGAUGAGGGCGGCGAUGAUGACGAUGCUCUUGCUCUUGCUCCUCCUAAGAAGAAGGUAUGUUCCUUCUUUCGUGCUGCCUCAAACUACUUAGGUGGUUUCAAACAACUCAUUCUUCGUGAUGAUGUUGCUGUCAAGAUUAGCGAAAUCAGUGAAAAGCUAGAUGGUGUUGCCACUCGAAAAGAUAUGUUUAAAUUUGUUGAGAAUGUGAGUAACAAUGUUAAGAAACCAGAGCGAGUGCGAACCACCUCCUUGAUUGAUGAGGGAGAGGUUUUUGGUAGAGAUGACGAGAAAAAUGAGCUGUUAGGUAAGUUGUUGGGUGAGAGUGGCGAACAACAUCCUCAUAUCAUCUCACUGGUUGGGUUAGGGGGUAUAGGUAAAACCACUCUUGCACAACUAGCCUAUAAUAAUGAUGAGGUUAAAAGAAAUUUUGAAAAAGUUAUAUGGGUGUGUGUAUCAGACACUUUUGAUGAGAUGAGGGUUGCUAAAGCAAUCAUUGAAGGUCUAGGCGAGUCAACUUCUGGUUUAAGCGAAUUCCAAUCUCUUAUGAGCCAUAUCCAUAGAUCAAUUGAAGGAAAAAAUUUUUUUAUUGUCUUAGAUGAUGUAUGGGAUGGGAAUUAUAAUAUAUGGGAUCAAUUCUUCUUUUGUCUAAAGAAUGGUCUUCCCGGAAGUAAAAUUGUGGUUACCACACGUAAUGAGUCAGUUGCACGUAUGAUGCGAACAAUAGAGUUAGAUAUUAUCUCCAUUGAACAACUAGCUGAAGAGGAAUGCUGGUUGUUGUUCAAGCGGUUGGCAUUUUUCGGUCGCUCUUUCAAGGAUUGUGAAAAAUUAGAACUAAUCGGGCGAAAAAUUGCACGCAAGUGCAAAGGCCUGCCUCUUGCCGCAAAAGUAAUAGGGAAUCUCUUGCGCUCUAAACGUACAGUAAAAGAGUGGCAAAGAAUUUUAGAGAGUGAAAUGUGGAAGGUAGAAGAUAUUACGAAAGGUCUUUUGGCUCCUUUGUUGUUGAGUAUAAUGAUUUGUCCGCUAGUUCUAUGGUAAAACAGUGUUUCUCAUAUUGUGCUGUCUUUCCAAAAGACUACAAGAUGGAUAAAGAGGAAUUGAUUGAUCUCUGGAUGGCUCAAGGUUACCUUAAUGCAGAAGAAGACGAAGAAAUAGAGAUGAUUGGAGAAGAGUAUUUCAACAUCUUAGCAACACGCUCUUUCUUUCAAGAGUUUGAAAUAUAUGGUGCCGAUGGUGAAUAUGUGAAGUGUAAGAUGCAUGACAUAGUACAUGAUUUUGCUCAAUUUGUGAGUAGCAAAGAAUGUUUGUGGCUAGAAAUUAGCGGUACCAAAGAAUCAGUCAUAAACUCUUUUGGUGACAAAGUCCGUCACUUAGGGUUAAAGCUUAAAAGAGGCGCUUCAUUUCCUAUGUCCAUUCAUGGACUUAAUAGAUUGCGUACCCUCCUAAUUAGUGAUGAAUUUUAUAAUCUGUCCCUUAGUAGUAGCAACCUUGCAGAGUUAUUUAGUAAAUUGGCAUGUUUAAGGGCAUUAGUUAUAAAGCAAUUUUACCCAAAUAGGAUUAGAGAAAUUCCAGAAAAUGUCGGAAAAUUGAUACAUUUAAAAUUCCUUAAUUUGUCUAGACUAGCUAUAGAGAGACUACCUGAGACUUUGUGUGAAUUAUAUAAUUUACAAAAGCUAGAUAUUAGGCGGUACGAAUAUCUUAGAGAAUUGCCUGCGGGGAUUGGGAAGUUAAAGAACAUUAGGAGUUUACUAAAUGCUAGAACUCCGUUAAAGCAUAUGCCAAUAGGGAUUGCCAGGUUAACCAGUCUUCGAACAUUGGACAGGUUUGUUGUGGGAGGAGAUGUUGAUGGUAGCAGUACAUCUAGGCUUGAAUCUCUGAAAAAUCUUCAACUCCUUCGAGAUUAUGUAAUAGAUGAGCUGAGUAGUGUGUCACAUUUAGAUGAGGCUGAGAGAUUAGAACUCCACAAUAUGGAAAACCUCCUUCGUUUGUGUCUUGUGUUUGAUGGGGGAGAUGAAGAUUGGGAAGAUGAAGAAGAAGAAGACGCAGAAGUUGUAGAGGGGUUAGAUGAAGAAGGGAGGAGGAAGAAUGAGAAACUUCUUGAAGCCUUACAACCGCCUUUGAAUGUAGAGGAAUUACGGAUUGUAUCCUACGGAGGCAACAUUUUUCCCAAAUGGUUGACUUCGCUAACCAAUCUAAGGGAACUAAAACUUCUCUUGUGUUUUAACUGUGAGCGUUUGCCUCCUUUGGGAAAAUUACCUCUGGAAAAACUCCAACUAAAGAACUUGAAAAGUGUAAAAAGAGUGGGUAAUGAGUUUUUGGGAAUAGAAGAAAGCAGUGAGGAUGGCCCAUCUUCAUCUUCAUCGUCACCAUCAGUUUUUGCCUUCCCCAAAUUGAAAUCACUCGAAAUUCACGGAAUGGAAGAAUUGGAAGAGUGGAAUUACAGGAUUACGAUGAAGGAAAACAUCUCCAUCAUGCCCCGUCUUUCUUUCUUGGAAGUUAGUUCUUGCAACAAAUUAAAGGCGCUGCCGGAUUACCUUCUUCAAACGACGGCACUGCAGGAACUGAGUAUUUGUUCUUGUGAUCUUCUAGAAGAACUGCCCAUUCUAGAAGAUCGCAGGACAACAGACAUACCACGUCUUACUUCUUUGUGGAUUUCUGAUUGCCCCAAUUUAAAGGUGCUGCCGGAUUACCUUCUUCAAACACUGCAGCUAUUGAUAAUUUUGGGCUGUGACCUUCUAGAAGAACAUUAUAGAGAGGGGAAAGGAGAAGACUUGCAGAAGAUAUCUCACAUUCCCCACAUCAAGUGGUCACCGUAAGAUAUCACUCGCCGGUAAUUUCUCCUCCUCCUCUGAUUUACUUCGUUGUUGCUUGCAAUGAAAUUAAUAAAAAUAAUUAUAUUUUAAAUUAAAAUUCUAUAUAUUGCCAAUGUCUGACAAGAAUAUAUAAUAUUUUUCUAAUAUUUUGAUUUGCAUAUUGAAUUUUGUUUACUUUAACCAUUAAUUUAAUGGGUCACUUUAUGAUGCUGUUAUAAAAAUUAUAGAAUCAAUCAUGGUAUAUAUAUUUUAAUUUAAGUUAUUUAAAAUUUAAACUUCCUAGUUAUCAAAUUUAAACUUCCUUAACAUCAUGCAAAAAUAAUCAUCAUGUCUUUUAGCCGAAGGAUUGCUAAAAUGUUCUGCUGGUAAUUCACUUGCUUUAUUUUAUAGAAUUUCAUUUCCAUCUUCUUCUAUUGAUAUCUUGUUGUGAAUAAACAAGAACAGAGAAGUAAAUAAUUGAACCACAGAGAAGUAAAGAUAUAUGAAAGUUCGCUAUUGUGAUGGUGUUAAAGCAAGCUCAAGCUCAAGCAUUGCAUUUUUAUUUUAUUUUAUUUUUAGAAUUUUCAUUUCCACCUGCACUGCAUUUUCAUUUCAUUUUUAGGUUGACUUUGAAGACUCUAUGGAGAACAUUAGGGUAACCAAGGAUUAUCACUAUGGUUAUUGUGCAACGUUUGGUUGCUGGACUUUGAAGAAGGAAGCGAUGGCCGGGUCCGCUCUGUUUCAAUUGAGGAUGGACAGCUGCCUGAAAGACAUGAUGAUUAUUUUUGCAUGAUGUUAAGGUGCUAAGAUCAUCAUUUAUAUCUUGUUUCAUUCUUGGAAUCAUUUAUCCUAUAUAAACAUAUUGAAUUGUGCUAAUAUUAUCAUAUGCUUCAAUGGAGGCAGGAAUUUGGUGUUGACACUACUAUGCAGGUAGCCACACUUCAUAGUUGGCACAAAUUUGCGUUGUCAGAAUAUCCUUUAAUAUUCAUUGUGUUUCUUUGCGUUAUCAGGUUAUCAUCUCCAAGGGUUUGAAAGAGUCUUUGCAGUAAAGGCAGUUGUCACCAGCUCGUGCAAUUGCACAGUCAUUCAGAGUACUUCAAUAUUGGGUUUUCAAGUUUUGUAUGUUUAGUCGAUUAAAAUGUUUAGUCACUCAUUCUUAAUCCUUUUUUCUGAUUUUCAAGUUCUUUAGGGCCAUAAACAGUUUUUCAAACUCAUUAUUAUUUUUUAGGUUGAUUUCCUACUCGUGGAGAACAUUGGCAAGUCCAAGGAUUAGGCUGGCGAUGGAACUACUACCUCUGUUGUUAUUGUGCAAGGUUUGAUCGCUGGACCUUGAACAAGAAUGCCUUACACACAUUCUGUAAUUGAAGCGUUCUCUAAAGCAAAAGAGCAGUAGAAGGAAUAGUGAUGGCCGGAUCUGCUCUUUCUUAAUUGAAGAUGUCUGUGAUGUUGAGGAGCUUAAAGCAGUUAAUGCUCUUUGAAAAUUGUUAUUACAGAUGAAUUGAUUCCUGAAGACGAGUAUCUAAUGAUUGUUAAGGCGUAUUUUCAUGAACUUCCUUUCUUAACAAAUGUUUCAAUGCUGGCUGUAGUAACAAUUUCAUAUCUUGCAUCUCCCGGGUGCAUCAUGUUCACGGGUUUGAAAAAGCAUUUGUGGUAAUGCUUCAAAGCUUGUACAAUGUCUCCCAAUGCUAAUAUCAUAUUUUGUAUGGCAAUUAAAAUUUAGCUAUACAAUCUUAAUAUGCAAUAAAUCAUUGUAUACAAAGUUUUCUAUUGAUUAUAUGGUGACUGAAAUUAGAUUGGAGAAGAAUAAAAAGAUACUGUUAAAAGGUUAUUUAAUUAGCGCCCUCUGAAUUUCUUGGAGUUAAUGUAGUCAAUUGCCCAAUUUUGCUGCCUGUGGAAGAUACACAGUAUGGAGUCCUCAUCAAACUCUGAGACACCUAAUAAAUAGUAGGAGGGGUUGGUAUUCGCCUGGUGUUAAUUUCCUGGCAAGUAUAGUUCACAGAUAAAGGGGUUCUUUUCUUGAUGUCUAAAUACCGUAUGUGAUACAACAUCGUGUAUUCCAAUUUUUCUCCAGUUAAAUUUUAAUAAGUUAGGAAAGUUAAUUUUGUUUUAGCAAUGAAUUGUUUUCUUAAUAAUAAUUGCCAUGUUCCUCUGAAGUCUUAUUAAUGCCAAACCAACAACUACUAGGUUCAUCUCUCGUUCACUUCCUCAGGGAUUCUCGAGGGCAUUCUUUGGCAGGUAGUCUUUCUUGUUGAGCUCCUGGAAUUACUUUUAAUUUAUCAUCUGUUGGGUUUUGCUUUUUGAUUGCUUUGUGAUUUGUGUUUUUAUCGCUUUGUCGCUCAUUAAUCUUGGCUGUUUUGAAUCUGUGUUGGAUUUAGACGUUUGGAGUUGAAAACAGUUAAAGCUUAGACUAGUAGAAGAGAUUUAUACAUUCAUUUAUCUUGGACAAAGUUUUUGGGGGAAAAGAAAAAUUAUAAGUAUACACUUUCCAAUGGUUCGGUGAUGUUUGAUUGGUUUAAAGAUGUUGGAUCUCUCAUCAGAUUUCUUAUGUAUCGACUGCUGUUGCCACAGGAUGCUCGCAGAUCCUGCUUUUUUGUAUAAACUUCUACCAGAGCAGGCUGCCACAAUUGGUUGCACUGUUUUGUGGGAGUUGGAGAAUCACAAGGAGAGGUGUUUUUUCUCUCAUAACAAAGGAACUCUCCCCUUCCUUUUUAUUCUCAUUUUAUAUAUUAAGCUAAUAAAUGUUUGUUUCUGUUGUGAUGGGAUAAAGCAAGAAUGGGAUCUUUGCCCUAAUAAAUGUGCUCACAGUAACAGCAUGUAAUGCUUUUGUUGUUUGGUCGCUUGCUCCUUGUCAUUCUUAUGGAAACACCUUCCGGUUUGACUUGCAAAUUACAUUACAAAAGCUCCCAAACAAUAUAUUUGAACGGCGGUACCCAUUUCGAGAAUUUGACUUGCAAAAGAGAAUCCACUCCCUUUUUUACAAGGCUGCAGAGUUGUGUAUGGUGGGAUUAAGUGCAGGAGAAGUGCAAGGUUCUUUGUCAAACUAUCUUGCUGGUAAAAAGGACAGGUAAACAUGGUUGCAAAACUUCCUUUUCAUUCCUCGUUCACUUAUUCGUUAUAAAUAAAGAAAACUUAGAAGAUUGUUCUGUUUACUGUCUAAGCCAGUUUAACAUUUAUUAAAUUACCCUUGUAAAAGAGAAUCCACUCCCUUUAAUGUCUGACAGGUUAUCUGUGACAAACAUGAGAUAUCAGCUAUUGUGUGGAUUUGAUAGAGCGGUCAUCAACCAUUUUGAUGUUAUUGGAGUAGUACUGUUCUUAAGCACUGCUUUGAGGUCUCUCCCUCUAUCUCUUUUACGCAUUUGUUUAUUGAUCUACAUCUCUAUAUACAUUGAUAGACUAAUCUGGUCGUACCAAAUUACCCUUGUUUUAAUGUUUUGUUUGUUAAACUUUGACUGGGGAAUCUGUUUAUUUGUCUGAUAUGAUGUUAGUGUGGUUUCUAUUGAAGUGUGUAGAUCUAUCACCGAGUAUUAUUUCAAUUUUUCUUUGCUUAAUCAACUUGCAUCCUUUCCAAGUCCAGAUCCUUAACAAUAGCGAGACUUCGCUACGGAAGUACAAUUUCUCUAGUUUUACAGUUAAAUACGUAAGGAUGGUUUUAAAUUAACUGAACUCUGAGGUAGUUUUCUAAGGAAAUACAAGCGGUGAAUAUGGUUCCAAGUUUUAAGUGCCUUAAUUAACCCAUUUGUUCAGCCCUGUGCGUAAACAAUCAGUAAUCGCUGUCCAAAUUCUUCUUUACUGCCUAUAUGUGUUGGACUUUGUCUAUUGUUCAACUUCUCAAAUGGAUUCCAUGCAGGGUUCUUAAUGUCCAAUUAGGAGAAAGAUCAAGGCUUGCUUGGCAAGGAGUGGAAGUGGAUCCGCUACUUCAGUCAGAUGACCUUUUCAAGAAGGCUUACAACAGGCCAUCUCAGGAUGUCAAUGGCUCAACUCAAAAGUCCCCAAGGUGGUUGAUAUCAAAGAAUGCCAUUGUCUCUGGGCUUCGGCUCCUUGGCAUCAAACAAGGGAAUGUCGACUCUGUUGAAAUGGAAGCAAGGGCUCCUAAAGUGCGAAGAAAGAGGAUAGCCCGGAAGAAGGUGACCGCAUAAAUUUCUUGGGAGUUAAUCCUAGUCAAUAGCCCAAUUUUGCUGCCUGUCGAAGAGAUACAACACGGAAAUCCUCAUCAAACUCUUUGAGACAUCUAAGAACUUGUAGGGAGGUGGUGGUAUUCACCUUGUUUCCUGGCAAGAAAUUUAUGGAACUUAUCUUCUAAAAACCAGCCAUGGCUUCAAAUUCAAUCACCUCAACACUCCAAUAUUGGCUUGUAAACCACCCACAAAUCCUCAACUUCACAUGGACACAAAACCAAACCCCAGCUUCCUCCCCACACUUCCUCAUUCUCUCCAUCCUCACUUACCUCUCCCUCACAUUCAUCCUCUACCACACAUCAACAUCAACAUCACCACCAUCAUCACCUUUCAUUGGACCCCACAUCCUCAAGCCCAUCACAGCCGUCCAUAACCUCACCCUCCUCCUCCUCUCCCUCAUCAUGGCCGUUAGUUGCACUCUCUCCAUCAUCGUCCAUUUGCCCCACCUCCAUUACACCCUCUGUUUCCCCCCCACCAUUUCUCCGUCUGGCCCCCUCUUCUUCUACGCUUACCUCUUCUACCUCUCCAAAAUACUCGAAUUCGUAGACACCCUUUUGAUCAUUUUGUCAAACUCCGUCCAACGGCUCACGUUCCUCCACGUCUAACACCAUGCAACCGUCGUCGUAAUGUGCUACCUUUGGUUACAGACGAAGCAGUCUUUGUUUCCUAUUUCACUUGUGACCAAUGCAAGUGUGCAUGUGAUCAUGUACGGGUACUAUCUAUUGUGUGUGAUGGGGUUGAGGCCAAAGUGGAAGAGAUUGGUCACUGAUUGUCAGAUUGUUCAGUUUGUGUUUAGUUUUGUUGUUUCGGUUUUGAUGCUGUAUUAUCAUUUUACGGGAUUUGGUUGCUCUGGGAUUUUGGGUUGGUGCUUCAAUGCUGUGUUUAAUGCUUCUCUUUUGACACUUUUUGUUAAUUUUCAUUCCAAGAGCUACGCUAAAAAAAAGCAGGGAUGAUCAGAACAAAUAGUUUUUGUGAUUGUUUUGUGCGUGCGUGUGUGUGUGUGAUUUUUUUUUUCAAGUUUGAUUUUGUUUAAUUAUGAAGGGUUGUGAUCUGUUCAUUGCAAUUGACAGAGAUGUUUUCAGUUGCCUAGACUUCGUAUUUUCAGUUUUAGUAAUAAAUGUCGUUUUUCACCACAUUUGUUUAGUCUCUCGCUUUUAAAUCCCCUCUCACACACAAAAAAAAUUGGAUUUGUAUCUUGUAAACAAAUAUUUUUCAUUUUGUUAAUGUAUUAAUUAUUGUUAUCUACAUUUAUGUGAUAGGGCACAUGCCACAUCGACUAAAAUUAAGUUAUGAAAUUUUGCAGCCCCUGAGCACUCAAUGUUUGUAGGCACAAGUUCAAGUCCCACCAUUUGUUAGGAUUUAAAUAAAGAACAUUAUAACCAUGCGUCCAAGAACUUAAAGAUAGCUUAAGUGCAUGGAUUCGAGUCCUAGUUAUUGUUGGAAUUCGAUUUCCUUUCUAAUUAAAUUGGGUAAGGGUAAAAUUAUCUCUCAAUUAAUAAGGACAGAGUAGAUAUUUCUCUCGAUUUUCCUCCCAAUUAAAUUAGUUAGAAGUAAAAUUAUCUCUCAAUUAAUAACAGUAGAAUAAAUAUCUCUCUAGUAUUAUGCAAGGGUAGAAAUUUGGGCUGUACCAUGUUAGAAUUAUCAAGGAUAGUUUUGGUAGAAUUCUAAUUGUAAUAUAUGAGUGUAUAAAAAAAAUGAACAUCAAUGAAAGAUUUUAGGCAAGAACUAUCUUGGAAUAGAAUUUUGAUUGUAAUAUAUCAGUAUAUAAAAAAAUUUUAUGAAAAAUGUUUAACAAGGACUAUUUUGAUAUUUUAAUGAAUAGUAAAAAUUAAUGUUAAAAUUUGAUAGACGAGUGUAUAGUAAGAUGUGCAAAGUAUUAGAACAUAUAUAAAUAAUCCUAGCUCUAAUAAAAUUUUGCUACAAAAUUAGUUUAUCCCUUAAAGAAACAUAUCAAAAAAAUAUACAAAAACACAAUGCAUGAGUACAUGUCAAUCACAAAUGAAAGCAAUUAAGAUAAAGGAUAUGAUUUAUUUUAUUUUAUUUUAGUUAUUUUUUUAAUUAUUUUUUGUUUCUUUUGAAACAAGACCAAUUAGAUCAUGCAAGAAGUAAUUUUUUUUUUAAAUAAAAAAGGAGAAAUGAUGAAACCCACGUCCAAAGAUGCCGUUGUCGCGGAGGCCUAGAUCUCACUACACCCCAUCCCCUUCUACCAUAUUUUAUAAUUGAAGAGGCCAUUAUUGAAUUGAAAAAUUAUGAUUCAAAAACCCAAAAAUAGAAAAAGAAAAGCAAUUGUUGGAAACACACUCGGAGUUUUAAAUUGACAUGAGAAAAGAAUAUAUUCAUCAACCUCAUACGUUAAAGAUGCGACGAGUUUGAGAUUAUGAGCCAAAUUCCUAACGUGUGGGAAUUUAAAGAUGUUACUACAAAACAUGUGUUCGUCGGUGGAGUAGAAUCAGGGAAAUUAAAGAUGCUACUACAACCACUAACGUGUGGGUGGGGAUAAGCAUAACUUUUUUCAUCAAAUGCCAAAUCCCCCCAGGUGGAGAGUGGGGACUCCUUCGCAUAAAUGUUGAUAAAAUUUUGAUUAUGAUGUUAUUAGAAAUUAGGAAAAACCUGUGGUGCAACUGUGGUACCGUGUUAUAGUUGCAUCCAGCCGUUGGAUACUAGUGGACCCUAUUGUUAACAUAUAUGUUUCCAUAAUAUUGAUUUUGAUGAUAACAAACAAAAUUAAGAAUGAUUAAUCUUUUAAGCUCAAAUUAUUUAAUAUUCUUUUUAAAUAAAUCAUUAUUUUCACAUUAUAAAUGUUUUAUAUUUAAUGGAAAAAUGAUUUUAUGAAAUUGAUUGUUUUUAUUCUCUUUAAAUAAAUCAUUAUUUUUACAUUAUAAAUGUUUUAUAUUUAAUGGAAAAAUGAUUUUAUGAAAUUGAUUGUUUUUAUUCUUUUUAAAUAAAUCAUUAUUUUCACAUUAUAAAUGUUUCAUAUUUAAUGGAAAAAUAAUUUUAUGAAAUUGGUUGUUUUUCAAAGUUUAUGGUUUAAUUAAAAGAAUUUUGAAAACUUUGAAAUAAAUGCUUGAAAUUUUGGAGGACUUAUUUGAAAAGUGUCAUAGCAUUUUUAGCUAUAUCAUAAUUUCAGAAAGUUUUGGGAUUAGCAAAGCAUUACUUAUAAAUUCUAAAAUUGGACCUAUUUAAAAAGUUUUAUAACUUUUUGGGCCGUAAUAUAGUUUUGUAAAGUUUUGGGGUCAAACUGUAAUUUCAGAAAAUAAUGCACUAUGCAGGUUACUGUAGCAUCCGGCUUACCGGAUAUAAAAAACUAGAAAACCGGAUACGGGGCAGUAAGCAUCCGGAACGCAAACGGCUUAUCGGAUUUCGUAACCGGCAAGCCGGUUAGGCAAAAUUCAAAUUUUUGCCUUAGUGGUAACAUAAAUCCAGCUUACCGGAUUCCUUAAACGGCAAACCAGAUACGCUCAGAAUGUGUAUAAUGGGUAGUUUUUGAGUUCAAACUAUAUAAACUCAAAAUCAAUUCAUUUUUGGUAAUACAAGAAAGCAAGAACAAGUGCACACAACAUAUAUUGAGCUUCAAUUUCGUGAAUCAUCAUUCAUUAAAUCAUCUUUGUUCUUAAAUUUGUAUAUCCACUCUUAAAGAGAGUUUGAUUGUUGUAUUUUUCAUUUCUCAUUAAAUUGUGAGAGUACAAGUGUGAGAAACACUUGGAGUGAAGAGAUUGGAGAGAUAAUCUCUUGUUGUAGAGGUUCAUUGACACCUUAAAGUCAAUUGUAAACAUUUGAAGCCUUGGAAAGGCUUGGAUAGUGAAAUCCUCAAGCCCGGUGUGGUUGGAGGCGUGGACGUAGGCGGGGAUUGCCGAACCACGUAAAAAUCCUUGAGUUUGCUUUCUCUUCCCUUACUCAUUUAUUAUUGUGCUUUCAUUGAAUUUAUUGUUUUCGAAUUUAUUAAGGCAUUAGAUUGGAUUUGUGUGGUUUGCUUUACUUAAUUUUUAAAAUUCUAAUUCACCCCCCUUCUUGGAUUGCCUAGUUAGUAUUUCACAUAUCCAUGCAAGUGUAUCCAACAACUGGAUGCAACUAUGGUAAGGUACCACAGUUGCACCGUAGCCGGACCCUAGAAAUUAAGAUAUUAUCUCUCUACAUAUUUUUGCACGAAAUAAUAUGCAAAUAUAAUAUUUUAGUUUAUUAUUAAUAGUUUUACAAUAAUAAAAAUCAUUUUGAUAGACUGGAAAAUGUCGUAUUCGCACUUUAUUUUGUACGAACGUCUGCGAGAAAGAAUAUAUCUAUAUAUAUAUAUUGGAACAUGUAUUUAAGAUUUAGCUAGUGUGAAGUUGGGAAAGUUUUUUUUUUUUUUAACCCAGGCUAAAAAUAUUUCAAUAAAUUUUGAUCAUGGAGACUAAUAAGAUUUUUUUGGUUAUAUUUAUUAAUUUUUUAGGGACUGACAUGAAUAUUAAUAUUUUUAUUGAGAUUAUUAAAAAAAUGUGCUAUUUUACAUCUAUGACUUUUCCAAUCUUUUUUUCUUUCGUUAUUUAUUCCUUUGUGAAUUUUAGUUAAUGCUUGAUAUUAUUUGUUUGCUCAUUUUUUAAAGCAGUAAUUAAAUCUGAACCCUUACAGUAGAAGAUUAUGAAAAAGUAAAGACACAAAAAUCAUAAAAAUCAUUGUAGGUCCAAAUUUGUGCUAUUUUCAUACAUAAUUUGAGAAUAUUUAUAAUUACGCAUCACAACUAGUGGAGUAGAAUCAGGGAAAUUAAACAUUCUACAAUCAUUGACGUGUGGGUUGGGGAUAAGCAUAAACCUUUUCUAUGCAGUAUAAAAGAAUGCAAUAACUCCUUUUCUUUCAGCAUUUUCGCAACAAAAGCACAUCUAAUAACUCUUCAGAAUUCUCGUCUUCUUUGUCAGAAUGGUUGAUGCGAUCGUUUCCUCUCUCCUGGUGCAGCUGAGCUCUGUUGCGGCUGAUGAAGUGAAACAACAGGUGAGGCUUGUGACUGGUGUCGAGGAAGAAGUGAAAAAGCUCACCCGCAAUCUUCGAGCCAUUCGAGCUGUGCUGGAAGAUGCAGAGAAAAGGCAAAUGCAGCGCGACAAUGCUGUUACUUUUUGGCUGGAUCAGCUCAAAGACGCAUCUUAUGACAUGGAAGACGUGUUGGAGGAGUGGACCACUGCAAGGCUCAAAUUGCAGAUUGAGGGCGUUGAUGAUGACAAUGCUCUUGCUCUUGCUCCUUAUAAGAAGAAGGUACGUUCCUUCUUUUGUGCUCUAUCAAACUGCUUUGGUAGUUUCAAAAAACUCAGUCUUCGUCAUGACAUUGCCGUCAAGAUUAGGGAAAUCAAUGGAAAGCUAGAUGAUAUUGCCUCCCAAAAAGAUAGGUUUAAAUUUGUUGAGAAUGUGAGCAACAAUGUUAAGAAACCAGAGCGAGUGCGAGCCAUCCCCUUGAUUGAUGAGAGAGAGGUUUGUGGUAGAGUUGAUGAGAAAAAUGAUCUCUUAAGCAAGCUGCUGUGUGAAAGUAGUGAACAACAAGAAGGCCUUCAUGUCAUCUCACUAGUUGGGUUAGGGGGUAUAGGUAAAACCACUCUAGCACAACUGGCCUAUAAUAAUGAUGAGGUGAAAAGAAAUUUUGAAAAAGUUAUAUGGGUGUGUGUAUCAGACACUUUUGAGGAGAUUAGGGUCGCCAAAGCAAUCAUUGAAGGUCUAGGCGUGUCAGCUUCUGGUUUAAGUGAAUUCGAAUCUCUUAUGAAACAGAUUCAGGAAUAUAUUACGGGGAAGAAAUUUUUUCUUGUUUUAGAUGAUGUGUGGGAUGGAGAUUACAAAAAAUGGGACCCAUUCUUUUCUUGUCUAAAGAAUGGCCACCAUGAAAGUAAAAUUCUAAUUACCACACGUGAUAGGUCAGUUGCACUACAGUUGGGAUCAAUAGAUAUUAUCCCUGUCAAGGAGUUGGGAGAAGGGGAAUGUUGGUUACUGUUUAAGCAGAUGGCAUUUCUACGUAGGUCCUUUGAGGAUCGUGAAAAAUUAGAACCAAUCGGGCGAAAAAUUGCACACAAGUGCAAAGGCUUGCCUCUUGCUGCAAAGGUAAUAGGGAAUCUUUUGCGCUCUAAAAGUACAGUAAAAGAGUGGCAAAGAAUUUUAGAGAGUGAAAUGUGGAAAGUAGAAGCAAUUGGGCAAGGUCUUUUAGCUCCUUUGUUGUUGAGUUAUAAUGAUUUGCCCUCCAAUUCUAUGGUAAAACAAUGUUUCUCAUAUUGUGCUGUCUUUCCAAAAAACUACAAUAUGAAUAAAGAGGAACUAAUUUCACUAUGGAUGGCUCAAGGUUAUCUUAAUACAGAAGAAGACGAAGAGAUGGAGAUGAUUGGGGAAGAGUAUUUCAACAUUUUAGCAGCACGCUCUUUCUUUCAAGAGUUUAAAAAAGAUGAUGAUGAUGAUAUUAUGAGCUGCAAGAUGCAUGACAUAGUACAUGAUUUUGCCCAAUUUGUAAGUAGAAAAGAAUGUUUGUGGGUAGAAAUUAAUGGUACCAAAGACUCAGUCAUAAACUCUUUUGGUGACAAAGUCCGUCACUUAGGGUUAAAUUUUCAAAGAGGCAUUUCAUUUCCUAUGUCCAUUCGUGGACUUAAUAGAUUGCGUACCCUUUUAAUUUAUGAUAGAAGUGAUUUCAAUCUGUCUCUUAGUAGCAUCCUUUUGUCUUUUAGUAGUAGCAAAGAAUGUUUAAGGGCAUUAGUUAUAAGGCUGUUGCGCCUAUGUUUUUGUCCAAACACAUAUAAGAUUAGAGAAACUCGAAAGUUAUUUAGUAAAUUGGCCUGUUUGAGGGCAUUAGUUAUAAGGGAAUCAUUAGUUAUAAGGCUUUCAUCCACGCCUGUUCGUCUUCACUCAAGUUUGAUUAGAGAAAUUCCAAAAAAUGUCGGAAAAUUGAUACAUUUAAGAUAUCUUAAUUUGUCUGAAUUAGGCAUAGAGAGACUACCUAAGACUUUGUGUGAAUUAUAUAAUUUACAAAAGCUAGAUAUUAGGCGGUGCCGAAAUCUUAAAGAAUUGCCAGCGGGGAUUGGGAAGUUAAAGAACAUGAGGAGUUUACUGAAUGGUGAAACUGAUUCGUUGAAAUACAUGCCAGUAGGGAUUUCCAAAUUAACCAGUCUUCGAACAUUAGACAAGUUUGUGGUGGGUGGAGGUGUUGAUGGUAGCAAUACGUGUAGGCUUGAAUCUCUGAAAAAUCUUCAACUCCUUCGAGAAUGUGGAAUAGAAGGGCUGGGUAAUGUGUUAUAUUUAGAUGAGGUCGAGAGAUUACAACUUUACAAUCAGCAAAACCUCCUUCGUUUGCGUCUUGAGUUUGGUAGAGUCGUAGAUGGGGAAGAUGAAGAAAGGAGGAGGAAGAAAGAGAAAGAUGAACAACUUCUUAAAGCCUUACAACUGCCUUUGAGUGUAGAGAAAUUAGGGAUUAUAUUAUAUGGAGGCAACAUUUUUCCCAAAUGGUUGACUUCACUGACCAAUCUAAGGAAUUUAUAUCUUCGCUCGUGCGUUAAGUGUGAGCAUUUGCCUCCUUUGGGAAAAUUGCCUCUGGAAAAACUCGUAAUCAUCCACUUGAAAAGUGUAAAAAGAGUGGGUAACGAGGUUUUGGGAAUAGAAGAAAGCAGUGAGGAUGGCCCGUCUUCAUCUUCAUCACCACCAUCAGUUAUUGCCUUCCCCAAAUUGAAAUCACUCAUAAUUGGGGCAAUGGAAGAAUUGGAAGAGUGGAAUUACAGGAUUACGAGGAGGGAAAACAUCUCUAUCAUGCCACGUCUUUCUUCCUUGGAAGUUCGUUCUUGCAACAAAUUGAAGGCGCUGCCGGAUUACCUUCUUCGAACGUCGACGCUGCAGGAAUUGACUAUUGACAAAUGUCCUCUUCUGGAAAACCGUUAUAGAGAGGGGAAAGGAGAAGACUGGCAUAAGAUAUCUCGCAUUCCCCACAUCAAGUGGUCGCGGUAAUUUAUCACUCGCCGGUAAUUUCUCCUGCUCCUCUGAUUUACUUCGUUGUUGCUUGCAAUGAAAUUAAUAAAAAUAAUUAUAUUUUGAAUUAAAAUUCUAUAUAGAAUCAAUCAUGGUAUAAAUACGUAAAACUUCCUAGUUAUCAAAUCUGUUAAACUUGUUUUCUAAAGAUUAAAUAAAAAAAAAAUACAAGUGUAGUCUGUUUAAAUUUCUAUAUUUAUUUGUUUUUAAAAAAUAUGUGCUCUUUUGUAAAAUUUCAUGCAAUGUAAUUUAUUUUUUAAUGUACGAAAAUUUGUUAUGUGUAACAAAAUCUCUGUGAUACGUUUGCAGUAAUGUUGAAAACUAAAUUAUCAAUUUUAUCUUAUAUAAUGAUAAUCGUAUUUUUUUAUAUAUAAUAUACGUGACAUUAAUUCUUUAAAGUAAUUGUGUAAUUGUUUUUAGUAGUACAUUAGCCCACUUUGUUUUAUUUCAUACUUGUUUAAUUAUGUUCACCAGGGAUUCGAGGAAAUGUCAGAACUACACUAGCAAUUCACAGGUCCAAUCUAAUUUGGUUUUAAUGAUGCGGGCAGGAGAGCAAGACUAUGAAAAUGAGAAGUUUAGCCAAAGGAUUGCUAAAAUGUUCUGCUGGUAAUUCACUUGCUUUAUUUUAUAGAAUUUCAUUUCCAUCUUCUUCUAUUGAUAUCUUGUUGUAAUAAACAAGAACAGAGAAGUAAAUAUAUAUAUCAAAAUUUACUAUUACGAUGAUGCUAAAGCAAGCUCAAGCUCAAGCACUGCAUUUUUAUUUUAUUUAAUUUAUAGAAUUUUCAUUUCCACCUGCAUUGCAUUUUUAGGUUGACUUUGAAGACUCUAUGGAGAAAAUUGGGGUAACCAAGGAUUAUCACUGUGGUUAUUGUGCAACGUUUGGUUGCUGGACUUUGAAGAAGGAAGUGAUGGCCGGGUCUGCUCUGUUUCAAUUGAGGAUGGAUAGCUGCCUGAAAGACAUGAUGAUUAUUAUCAUUGCAUGAUGUUAAGGUGCUAAGAUCAUCAUUUCGAUCUUGUUUCAUUCUUGGAAUCAUUUAUCCUGUAUAAACAUUUGUUUUAACAAAUGUUUCAAUGCCUGCUGUAGUAACAAUUUCAUCUCUUGCAUCUCUCGGGUGCAUCAUGAUCACGGGUUUGAGAAAGCAUUUGUGGUAAAGCUUCAAAGCUUGUACAAUGGCUGUGAAAAGGCACAUUCAAUUCGGUACGUUUGGUGCGGUCUCCUAAUGCUACUACCAUAUUUUGUAUAGCAAUUAAAAUUCAGGUAUACAAUCUUAAUAUGCAAUAAAUCAUUGAGUACAAAGUUAUCUAUUAAUUAUAUGGUAACUGAAAUUUUCAUUAUAAUUUUAAUUAUCAUAUUAAUAUUAAAGUUUUUUGUAACCCUCUUUUACUUUGCUUGUACAGAGUAUCUGUUUUGGCUGAUAUGUCUAAUUCGUAGCAAUUCAUUUCCAUCGGUUUCCAUUGGUUUUAGCACAAACAGAAACAAAAAUCUGGGGAAAAAGUUUUACUUCUUCUGGUAUUAUGCCUUUAUUUAUUCAUUCAUCAUAUUUGUUCGAAUUCAUGCUCUCAUUCAGAGAGCAGCCUUUUCCAGGCUACUUUGUAGCCAAAUUUUCAUGCCAUCGAUGCAUGAUUGUCAUUUAGAUUUUCCAAAUAAUUGUUAGAUUGAAGAAGAAUAAGAAGAUAUUGUUAAAAGGGUAUUUAAUUAGCACCCUCUGAAUUUAGUUGCCAAUAAUGCAUUGAAAUGGUUGGGGAAAGUUAUUGUCUCAAUUAAAUUACAGGUGACAAGAUGCUGCUCCAAUUUUGCAAGCAUCUCGUGUUUCGAGAUUUUGCCCACAUGAGAUGCUAUGAUUUUUGACAUCAGGGUAACAAAGGUCAAAUUUUAGCAUCAAUAGAUAUCAUCUUCUUUACUGUUCUGCUCGAAAUAUUAAACUUUAGGCAAGUUGUUUUUGUUUGUGUGAGUUAUCAGGUUAAGGAUACUAAGCAGCUUAUUAAGGCAAAUGUCAGAAUGAAGAUUUUUCACCGCACCUGGUAUGAAUGAUGGCGAGGAAGAUUAAUUGUUCACAAGCCAAUUUGAUCAGUGUUAGAUUCUUUUGCCUCCCUUCAAGAGAUAUCAUCAUCAAAUUUGAGAAGAGACUUUUGUUUUGACAUUUCACUGUAGUGAAUUUUGGGAGCUUGAACCCACUUGAGUGAAAUAUUAGGGAAUACUGGGGAUAUGGGUUAUGAGUGAUCGUUAUCCUUCAAAUAUUUGUAAGCUCUCACUUGUUAGUAAAAUCAUCUUCGUAUAUUGACUUUGUUUCUUUGUUGUCAGGCCGAGUGUGAUCUUCAAGGUUUGAGAAAGUCUUCGCAGUAAAAUUUCCACCACGUGCAAUUGCUGUGAAGGGGCAUAUACAUUUGAGUAAUUCAGUUUCAGAUUUUCAAGGCGCGUUUGUUUAAUUAGUUUCGAUUAUAAUAUUUAGUCACUCAUUCUGAAUCUUUUCUAAUUUUCAAGUUCUUUAGGGCCGCCAACAGUUUUUCAAGUCUACAUGUGGCUGCAAAAAGAUUGAUGGUCAUCAAAUUAUCUUGAGCCUUGAGGCAUUGCGUUCGAGCACAAAAGGAAACAGAACUAAGGGAAAUGAAGACAGUAGGAGAUGCUCUGAAUAUAACAAAAGUAUAUUUCUACUUCUUGUGGUUAUUUUAAUUUUGUUUAUCCUGUCAUCAUAUUUAAUUAAUUCGUUUGAAUUCACACUCUCACACAUUAUUUAAAACCAUCUGCAGGUGGUUUGCAAGCUAGCUAAGUUAAUGCAAAAACAAUACUCUAGACAAAGAUGAGCAAAUUGAAGGCGACAAAUGCAAAUUGGAUUUCAAUGAAUAAUUGUUAGGCUGGUGGAGAUAUUCUUAAAAGGGCAUUAAGCUAUCUUAUGGAAUUGGAAAGUUAUUAUUGCUUGAAAGCAAGCAGCAUCUUCGUUGCGAAGGCUUUCCCCACCUGAUAAAAUGCUGAGAUUGUUACCGGCCCCUUAAUUAUUUAUUAACUCAGGUAUUUAUUAUCAAUACAUCAUCUUAUUCACCAUUUUGGCUAUAUAUAAAGAUUAAAAUUUCUAACAGUUGUUUCGGAUUCUUGUGUACUCAGGUUAAUAGGGCAAAUAUCAGAAUGAAGAUUGCUCAGUGCAACCGAUAGAGCAAGGAUGAUAGUUGUGAGAAAGAUUGUUGGCAAGACAAAUAGAGCCCUCCAUUUGGAGAAAUAUCAUCCUCAAAUUUGAAUUGUCGAGCAUGUGAGGUGAAUCUAAAGCCUUAAUAAUGAGACCUUCCUGUGGAAGUUUCAUUUGAAUGAAUUGAACGUUCUUACUGAGUGAGAAAUUAAGUAUAUAUCAUCGAUUUUGGUCGUCUGUGAAUGUUUUCCUUCAAUAUUAAUACACUAGCAUUUCUUAGUAAAUUCACUUCACGUCACUUCCUCCUUGUUGGUGGGACUAGUAAACAAAUGUCAUUUCUUAGUACAUUUUGAGAAUUUUGAUUCCCAAAUAAGCCUGCAGAACGGUGUAUGGUGGGAUUAGCUGCAGGAUUCUUUGCCAAAAUUCCUUUUUAUUCCUUUGUUCACUUAUUCGUUAUAAAUAAAGUAAAAUUAGAAUAUUGUUCCGUUUACUGUCUAAGCUGGUCUAACAUUUGUUUAAUUUGGGCAAUUUUUAAUGCCUAACAGGUUAUCUGUGACAAACCCAUCGGUGAGUGUAUGCAACUAUUGGAUGGAUUUGAUAGAGCGGUCACCAACAAUUUUGAAGUUAUUGGAGUAGCAUGGCUUGGAGGUCUCUCCCUCCCUCUUUUACGUAUUUGUCUAUUGAUUGACAUGUCUAUAUAUACAUUGAUAGACCAACCUACUCUGGUUUUAAUGUUUUGUUUGUUAAACUUUGACUGGGGAAUGUUUAUUUGUCUCAUAUGAUGUCAAUGUGGUUCCUAUUGAAGUGUAUAGAUCUGUCACCUCAAAGUCUGAUUUCAAUUUUCCUUUACUUCAUCAACUAGCAUCGUUUCCAAGUCCAGAUACUUACCAAUAGUGAGACUUUUCUACGGAAGUACAAUUUCUCUUGUUUUACAGUUAAUUAUGUAAGAAAAGUUUUACAUUUACAGAAUUCUGGUAUAGCUCUCUUAAGGAAAUGCGAGUGGUGAAUAUGGUUCCAACUUUUAAUAGGCUUAAUAGGCCCAUUUGUUAAGCCACAGUGAUUGCGGUCUAAAUUCUUCUUUACUGUCUAUAUGUGUUGGAGUUUGUCUAUUGUCCAACUUCUCAAAUCGAUUCCAUGCAGGGUUUUGAAUGUCUAAUUAGGAGAAAGAUUAACGGAUGACCUUUUGAAGAAGGCUUACACAACAGGCCAUCUCAGGAUGUCAUGGCUCAGCUCAAAAGUCCCCAGGUGGUUGAUAUCAAAGAAUGCCAUUGUUUCUGGGCUUGGUCUCCUUGGCAUCAAACAAGAUAAUGUUGACUCUAUUAAAGGGGAAAUAAGGGCGACUAAAGCGCGAAGAAAGAGGAUAGUCCGGAGGAAGGUGACUGCAUAAAUUUGUUGGAGUUAAUGUAGUCAAUUGCCCAAUUUUGCUGCCUGUCGAAGAGACACAUCAUGGAAGUCCUCAUCAAACUCUGAGACACCUAAGAAAUAGUAUGAGGUGGUGGUAUUCCCCUGGUGUUAAUUUCCUGGCAAGUGUGGUUCACAGAUAGAGGGAUUCUUUUCUUGAUGUCUAAAUACCGUAUGUGAUACAACGUCGUAUAUUCUAAUUUUCCUUGAGUUAAAUUCUAGUCAGUUAGGAAAGUUAAUUUUGUUUUCGCUAUGGAUUGUUUCCUAGAUAAUAAUAGUUUCCAUGUUUCUUUGGGGUCUUAUUAACUCUCUGUAACCCAGUUCAAGUUUGCAAAUUCUAUUUCAGAUUUCUCAUAUAGUGUGCCUUUGUCACUUCUGUGAUACACUUUUGAUCACAAGUUUCCAUUUGAAGUAACCAAUAUUCUUUAUAGACUAAUUAUCUAAGGAUUAUUUUAUACAAAAAAAUCAAAACUUUAAUUAAUUGAUCAUACUUAACUUGGCUUUUGUUUGAUAUUACUAGCUGUUGUGAGAACCAAAAAAAUAGCAGAAAGUUGACAAUGUGCAGUAAAUGUAUGACUUUUAAAUAAUAAUUUAAUAAAAUUAAUAAAGAUAUUAUAAAUUUUUUAAUAAUAAAGUAUGAGAUCAAAUCAAAUUAAUUUUUAAGUCAAAAUUGUUUAAUUAUGUAGUUUAAAAGUAUAGUUAUCCAACCUCAACACAAUAGAGAGAUUUCUAUUUACCAAACUCUACCCAACUUUGGUUGUACUGACUCGAUCAUGCAAGUCCAUACUCGACGCGUUGACCAUACAAGAUGUUACUCAACUUUAACAAAUCUUACUCAAACUUUGCACGUUUAGCAUGCCGAAUGGAAUAUGAUAGUAGAUGAUGUGAUAGAUAUUAUAGGAAUAGUCGUAACAAAAUUAUAUUUAGUACUUUUUUAUAUUUUAUGUGAUGAACAGAUGUAGUAUAUGAAUGGAUUAUAUUACAAAUUUUAGUGUUAUCAUAAUUAAAAAAUUGAAUUAUUUUUUAUUAUUGAAAAACUGUAAUAUGUUAAAUAACAGUUAUUUUUAUUAAUUUUUUUUAAUGAAUUAUACUUUUAAAUUGUAAUCGAAAAUUCUUAUUACUGAACUAAUAAAAAAUUAAUUAGCUCAAGAGAUAAAUUCACUUAGUGUAGAACGAAAUGGUGUGUUAUUUUUAUGUGGGAUCCACAUCCUUUCCACAUCAACCUCAACAUCCAAACAUGAAAUUGGACUAAAAAUAGUUCUUUCCCAUGUAUUUACGUAACCUCCUCCCACUAAACGCAAAUAUUUAUUCUUGAUUUUACUAACAUAAUUUUCUCCCAUUUCCAUAUUGUCCGCGUUGAGUGCAUGUAAUCCACAAGUUUAAUUUUUUUUUUUUUUUUAGAGAGGUAUGUUAAAAUGAAUAUAUCACUUUUUUUUCUUUUUUCCUUUUUUUUGUGUGAGUGAUGGCUUCGUUGAAUGACAGUUGGCUGAUAAUAAGUUAUCUUUUAAUUUUGUUUUUGAUUUAAUAGAAAAUAUUAAUUUUUGUAGUUUCGGUAGAUGAAAUUUCGAAUCAAAUAUUAAUAUUGUUAAAGUACGCAACCCAAUAUUUGCUUAAAUUACAAAAAAGAUUAAUUGCUUUGCAUAAAAAAGAAGUGAUCACUUGAUUUAACUUCCUUUACUAAAUUUACGAUUUAAAAUCCAAAAUAAAAAAGAGAGUUUAUUAUUGAUUAUCAUUUUCCCAAAUUUAAGCUAAGACAGUAAUAUGUCCAAAAUACCCUCCACGUUAUCCUAAAACUUUAUGAAUUCCCCCGUUCCUCUCAACAUCAUCUCUUCCAAAUCUUUCUUCCCCAAAAAACCAGCCAUGGCUUCAUAUUUAGUUACCUCAACACUCCAAUAUUGGCUUGUAAACAGCAGCGGUUCAACCUCUAGGCAACUUAGGUGGUUGCAUAGGACUCCGCUUUAUAUGAAAGCCCUACAAGAUGAUUAUUUUGUAUAUAAAAGAGGAAAAUGAAUUUAAAAGUCAUUAUUAUUCAUUUAAUUUAUUAUUAUUUUGUAAUUAUCUUUUUCUAAAUAAACUAUCAAAUUCUUAUCAAGUUUAUUUAAUGUAGUACUUAAUUGUUUUAAUUUCUACAAAACCAAUAAAUUAAUAGUUUCAAUCCUAAAAAUUCUCUAUUUCAUUGUUAGAAUUAAUAAGUUAUAUUUCAAAAGUUUUAUAUUUAUUUUAAACCUCUAUAAAAACCCCACAUUUUAUUACUUAUCCAUUAAAUUUUUCGUUCAACAAUCAAGACAUCUUGGUGUUUGAGAGAAAGAAAGAGAGAGGGAAAAAAAUCUUGCUUCCUCUACUUUCUACUCUAGAAGAAAAAGAAAAAAUCAAAUAGUUUUCUCUAUUUUCUAUGACUAUUGGUUGCUACUCAAAUUUUCAAACAACAGCCUUAAUAUAAACAUAAGUUAAUUUAUGAUUUCAUCUCAAAUUUCUGAUUUUAUCUUUUUAUUAUUCUCUUAAUUAAUUGUGUUGUUAUUUGUUCUUAUUUCUUUUUAUAUAUUCUUUUCUUCAUCUACUUUUUUUGUGCUUGUUUUAUCUAUUUUGAAAUAAAACUAUAUCAAAAAAUUUUAGACAAUAGGAGAAUAAAAAAAUUAGAUUAAUUUAAAAAAAUAGUAAAAAAGAUAUAAUUUAACUUAAAAAAAAGUGAAAAUGUUAUAAUUGAAUUAAAAUUUUAUGACUUAACAACAAUAGAAUAAAUUUGUAUUUAAUAAUUUUAUAUUUUAAAGUAUUUAAAGAAUUAAUUUUUAAUAAAUAAUAUUAAUAUAUAUAUAUAUAUAUAAGUUACUUAUCUCUCCAUCCGCACUUAUCUCUCCCUCACAUUCAUCCUCAACCACACAUCAACAUCAACAUCAACAUCACCUCUCAUUGGACCCCACAUCCUCAAGCCCAUCACAGCCGUCCAUAACCUCACCCUCCUCCUCCUCUCCCUCAUCAUGGCCGUUGUUUGCCCUCUCUCCAUCAUCCUCCAUUUACCGCACCUCCGUUACACCCUCUGUUUCCUCCUUACCAUUUCUCCGUCUGGCACGGCCUAAUUCCGACGGAAUCAACGACGGUCGUGAUGGGUUUUGGCUGCGACUAUUCGCGCUUCAAACGGCGGCGUUUCGGUUGGUUUUUGGCGACAGUGACGGUGGGAAAGUGAUGGCUGGCUCAGGAGCUUUCUUUGCUACCAUCCAUGGCCGGUGAGGUGGCCGAAAAUCGGAUAUAUGUCUGCGUCGGGUUCGCAGUUUUGGGUCGGGUUUUCCGGGUCAGUUUGACAGCUUCCUCUAUCCCUCUCCCCCAUAAAACAUUACCCAGCUUCCUCUUAUUAUUAUUUUUUUUUUCACAUACGUUACAGAACAUUAAUGAGAGAUGUUUAGUAGUAAGGACUAUUUUGAUAUUUCGAUGAGUAGUAAAAACUAAUGUUAAAAUUUUAUAGACGAAUGUAUAGUAAGAUGCUCAAAGUACUAGAACAUAUAUAAAUAAUCCCAGCUCUUAUAAAAUUUUGCCACAUAAUGAGUUUUAUCCCUUAAGCAAAACAUAUCGAUAAAGUAUACAAAAGCACAAUGCAUGAAUGAUGGUCUUACAAAGUUCGAAUAUAAAGUUUAAGAUACAGAAUAUGAUUUAUUUCCUUUUAGUUUAGUUUUUUUUUUUUUUUUUGGUUUCUUUUGAAAGGAGACCAACUAGAUCAUGCAAGAAGUUAAUUUUUUUCUAAAAUAAAAAGGGAGAAAUGAUGGUCUUACAAAGUUCGAAUAUAAAGUUUAUAAUCUAAAAUUAAUGAUGUGACAAUUAACCUAAUGGAGUAAGAAGUCCCAAAUAGAUUAUAUUUUGCUAAAGAAGUCAAUUCUACCAAGAAUACCUCUUUCUAUUGAAUUUAAAUGAUGAUUAUUUGUUUAUAUCAUAAAAGCUAAAAUAAUUGUGUGAGUAAUUUGAUUCUUUUACAGUAUAAAAAUAAAUUCAGAAAAUGUUAGGGAAAGGUCUUACACUAUAAAUGACCAAUAGAAGAAUAGAAAAGAAUUUUAGAUAGUGGAAUGUGGAAGGUAGAAGAGUUUGGGAAAGGUCUUUUGGCUACUUUGUUGUUAAGUUAUAAUGAUUUGUCAUCCAUAAUAAAACAAUAUUUCUCACAUUGUUCUAUCUUUUCAAAAGGUUACAAUAUGUGUAAAGAGAAACUAAUUACACUAUGGAUGGCUCAAAGUUACCUUUAAAUGUAGAAAAAGGCAAAGAGAUGGAGAUCCGAUCCAAUAUGAUAAUAGUAGUUUAUUUUAAUUUUUAUUAAUUUGAUUUCAUAGGAGUAGUUUUCAUUUUUUGUUGAAAAUUGGUAAAAAAAAACUAAAAUGAGAUAAUUACUUUAAAACAAUCUUCAAGAACUAAAAUAAUUAAAAAAACUCAAAAUAAACAAAAAGGCUUAAAAAUAACCCUAAUCCGAAAAUUGUUUGAAUCCAUCCUAACUGGCCCGAAUAUGAUUUUAACCCAAACCCAAUCUAACUCGCUUAUAAUUAUAACCUAAUGCGAUCCAAAUUCAACUUGAAUUUUUGAUCCGAUCUAAUCCAAUUUGAAUAUUCUAACCCUAUCAACCAGAAACCCAAUUAGGUUGAUCUGAACCUACAUUUGUCCACUCCUAGAGGGGAUCAUGACCCUACAAACUUUGAAAGUUUUUUGAGAUUUCUAAGUGAAUAUUAAAAAUUAUGUAUAAAAAGACUGAUUUGACCCCUAAACACUUGAUAUAGAAACUUUAUACAUAUAAUAGAAAUUAAUUUUAUAUUUUGUGAAAUAAAAUCAAAGUAACUGAAUUUUUUAAUUUUUAUUUUGUUAAUUAUUUUUCUACUAUGACAAAAUGACUAAUAGCCUGGUGCCUAGCUCUUUGACUUUUAUUUUGCUAAUUAUUUUUUUUCAUUUCUCUUGCAACAGUAAAUUCAAUUAUCAAUCAAAGUCGCCAAAUCAAAAUCUCUGCAGCCUGCAGCUACAAGCAAACUUCUCAAAUUUCGAAAUUCCUUAUGACUACAUAAUAGCUAUAAAUAGAAAAAGCGUCUAAAAUAACUAUGUUUUCCUAAGUUUGAGCUUGAGCCCCCUGAAGAUUUACUCCAUAUGUAACAAAAUAUUAGUUUUGCUAGUAAAAUUGCUAACUAUGUUUUUCUUUGUAUUUCCGCUCAAGGAUGAAGAAAUUUCCCUAGACUUUUGUGGUGAAUAUCUUACGAACAUAUGACAAUUUAAUCUUUGGCUGAGACUUGUUUAACAUAAGAGAUGACACUUUGAAGCAAUAGGAGAGAGAGCUGAUAAGCUUUGUUCCUAAAAAAAAAACUAUUACUUCUUUCUUUGAACAUAUGCGCAUUCUCUCUAAUUGUUGCAAUGGAGGAAUUUCCCAUCUAAAGAACACUUCAAUCAUCCAUUGCUUUGUAAGAUGUGAAAAGGCUACGAUUCUUGUACACAUACUUGAUUGCACCGGAAUCUAUUCACUAUGCAUUAUCAUGUUUGAGAAUAUUAAUCUCAGAUAUCAUGACCAUAAAUUUUGUCCACAAAAUUUGUGUUCAAACACUUCUUUUCUUUCUUAAGAAGUUGACAGUCUUUUUUAAAGUGGCUUGGCUUUUCACAUUGGCCACAUGUACACUUCUUUUUUUUAUUCUGUUGGUUUGAUUCUAUUUGGAAUCAAACUUUUGCUUUUGGUUAUUAAUGCGGUCAUUAGACUGCUUAAGCUCCUUCUCCUCCUCCACAACAUUAAUUUUAGAGGACAUAGCAGGCUGUUCCUCAAGACUAUUAAGUCUAAGUUUCUAUUCAAUAUGAAGACUUUGCCAUGCCUUCCAAGCUAAUUUCCUCUUUGCUAUAUUUAAGACUUUUUUCAUAGUCUUUUCAAGAGGGGGGAAGUUUAUCAAUAAUUGAAGAAGUGGUGCAGUCAAUUAAAUGAGCGAACUCGAGAAUCAUAAGAGUACAUACAAUAGUGGCUACAAUAAUUAGGCCUGCUUCCUCUCUCACCAGAACAGAACUGACGGCCCGAUCCGAUACCGCCAAAUACAUGACACAACUUAAAAGUAAAUUUUAACUCCCAAGUAUAAGAGUGUCUUGUUGUAUUAUAACUCGGUGAGUCCGAGGUCGAUCCACAGAGAAAAGAUUUAAUUAGUUUAUUUUAUUUUAUCUAAAAAUUGAAAUUAAAACUUGAAUAUAAACAACUUAAUUUAAAUGAAACUAUGGAAUUGAACUAGUUAGGGUUAUGGAUCCACUCUUAGAAAUAAAUAAAACUUAAUAAAUUCUUUUUGCCAAUUUGUUUUAGAUUUAUUACUCAAAAGAUUAAUUAUACAAAUUAUUAUUAUUUUCCCUUUAAUUUUAUGAUGGAUUAAGUAUUUAUUGUGCCAAAAUUUAAUUUGUCUACAAUAAGUCAAAAUACCAUUUCACCAUGCCUUAUAUUAAGAUCUUAAGAAUUUAUUGUGCCAAAUUCAUUUGUUUGUCUACAAUAAAUCAAAUUUUCAAAAUAUAAAACAUGUAUAAAAUUAAAUAGAAAAUAAUUUAAUUUAUAAAAUUAAACAUAGAAUUUGAUUAAAUCAUAUUUAUUUCUUAAGAGUUUCACCUUCCCCUAACUAAUAUUAUUUAGUUAAGCAUAAUUAAAAUAAAAAGAAGUAGUAAAAUUGAAUUACUUAUAAUUAAAAGAAAUAAAAACAACUAAAAUUGGAAAUAAAACUAAUUUUAUUAAUGAAAAUAAUUAUACAAAAUAUUAAAAACACACCUGGAAAUCAAGAUUAUAAGGAGAUGGAGAGAAUUUGAGAAGAAGAGAGUUGUAGAGAGAUGAUUAAAACAUAAAAAUGAGGCUCUAUUUAUAGAAAAAUAAAUUCAUAAUCCAGUGCUUUGCGGUCCAUCAUAGGCUUCAUGCAUGUGCUCCUCACAACCCUUAGAUCAAGAUCCAAUGGCUGGUCAAACUUCAAAAGUCAACAUCACACAUGGCAUCAUUUGACUCGUCCGAUUUACCCAAAGAACGGUUGAGAUUUGGCGGGUUAAUGGAUGGAUCGGGUCGACCCGAAUACAAAGAUUCGGAUCCUCCAACUUGCUUCACCAACCAUUGCCACGUGGCACAAUCAUGGCCAUUGAAUCAUGAACGGUUGAGAUUUAGUCAAGAUUGCCAAUUAUCCCAUGCACUCAUAUCUAUUGUAAGCUCAUUUCAUCAUCCAAUCAGUGCUCGGUCAACAGGAAAAGUCAACUUUUUUUACACAAGCCCAAUUUUAAGCCGAUCUUGACUGAUCUUAAGGUUUUCGGACCUCCGGAAUCCAAAUUUGACCUCUGUUUAUCUGUUUGGAGCCUCGAAAUACGUGAAAUUAAUAUUUUUCCUAAUAAACACAUAAAAAUACACAAAAUUAAAUAUAUUUAAAACAUAAUUAAUAAUUCAUAAUAUAUUACAUAAACGCAAAUAUAAAUUAUAACAUAAGCAUAAAAUAACAUAUUAUCGCUUGAUAAUUAAACAAUUUUUAAUACUAAUCACACCCCCCAACCAGCUUAUUGCUAGCCCUCUAGCAAUUAAAGCGUUAUAUUAAGAUUUAUAAAAUUCACAUGCAAGUUAAUAGUUGUUCAUCUAUCCUCUAAAUUACCAAAUAAAUGAACUCUCCCAAAUUCCUUUACCACAUUGAUGUUCACUCAUUAUCCAGAAUAUCAUCAAACCUUCUUUUGUGCUCAAGUAAUUAACACAAUACUUAUGGGGCUUCAUUAAAAGAAAAACAACAUUUUCGUUCUAAAAUUCAUUAGAAAUUAUAUCUUUAGGCAAUAGAUUAUUCACACAUUUUUUUUUUAUAUUACAUUUCUAACCCGUGUAGCGAGCUUUAGGUCAAUGACUCCCAGACCAGUUGGCCUUAGGGCACUAGGUGUUGAAGCACCCCUACGGACUUAAUUACUCGGGUUUCUAAUAAACAAACAAUAUAUCUAUUACCCAUGUAGCGAGCUUUAUGCCAGUGACUCCCAGACCAGUUGACCUUAGGGCACUAGGUGUUGAAACACCCCUACGGACUUAAUUACUCGGGUUUCUAGAUAUAACAAAAUUAAAAACAUUUUUUCUUCUUCUUUUUUUUUGAUUUUUUUUUUUUUUUGGUUUUUUUGUUUUUGGAAAUAUACACUUUCUACUACCUUAGAUACUAUUCCUAAUAAAUCAAAAGAACUAAAUGCUGUAAAACUUUAACUUACAACCCACUAGUAUGUGUCAUAGUGUGUGUGUGAAGAAUGAUUCAAUAAUACCUGUUAAAUGAGUAAACAAUUAAAUAACUUAAUAACCAAGUGGAGAGUUCACAAAUUUGAGUAAUUCAAAGAAAAGGGAACAAAAACAACUUACUAUGAAUCUCAAAAUCAAAAUAUAAUACAACAAGACUAUUAGGAUGCGUCUCAAAAGUCGUGACUCUUUACACGGCCAUCCUAGACAAAAAACAAAUUUUUUUUUUUUGGUUUUUUUUUUUUUUUUAACAAAGAAAAGAAAAGAGAAAAGAGAAAAACAACACACAUAUUUAAAACAUACGUCAAUUAUCCCCACCCCACAACCUAAUCUAAACAUUAUCUUAACAUUUUAUAAUUUUACAGAUAUGCAAAAAAAUAAAAAUAAAAGAGAAUAAUAAAAGAAGAAGAAGAAGAGAUCUCACCUGAACUUGAUGCAGAAGCUUAAAAGCAAAUAACAAAGAUGAAGAAAGAGUCAAUUUUUUUUUUAACAACACCCUUAAGAUUAAGAAGAUGCGUUUCUAGAGAGACUACAUUCUCUAUAUCCUGCCAUCUUCGACUCAAAUUUGUCCUAAGUUAGUCUUUACAGAAAAAAAAAAUUUUUUUUUUUUGUUUUUUGUUUUUUUUUUUUUUUUGUAAACACAUAACCAGGACUAAGACAUUCCACAAUUAUCAACUAUUCCCUCCCCCCAACCUGAAAAAGACAUUGUCCUCAAUGUUUUAAAAGGAAAGAGAAAGAGUGUAGAAGACAUCACAUGAACACUACAACAGAAAAUAUUUACAAACGGAGAGUUAAAUCUAAAUCGCACUUCUUAUUACUGCUACUGUUACCGUUACCGUCAUUAGUCGACCAAUUCAGUGCAACAGUCUGUGGAUCUGGCUCUGGUGUAUAAGCUUGCAAAAGAUCAAGUAACUCAUUAGCAGUAGAAGCAGAGAUAAAGAGUUUUUUUACAGAAUGUGGAACAAAAUGAUUCUUUAUUGCAUGGUUAAUAAAAGUUAGCAAGCCGUCAUAAAAAUUAUUAACAUUUAACAAACCGAUGGGUUUUUGAUGAAUGUUCAAGUGGGCCCAAGAUGCAAAUGUAAUUAGUGCCUCAAAAGUUGCAAGAUCUCCUGGCAAGAAAAUAAAAGCAUCAGCAUGAUUCAUCAUUUCAGAUAUUCUCUCUUGCAUACUUGAUACCACUAAUUCUUCUCCAAUUGGUGGGCCAGACAUGCACACUAGCGGUUUCAUGGGUUUUGGGAUAAUGCCGAGUACUUGGCUUCCUCUGGUAAAAACAGCUUCUGAGACAAGUCUUGAUAACCCUCGUUCACCUCCUCCAUAUACAAGAUGCAGUUUCCUCUCUGCUAUGACACGACCAAGAUCUACAGCUGCCUGAACGAACUCUUUGUACUUUCCAUAGUGAAACCCAGAAAGCACACAAAUAUUUUUGAAUUGUUUACUCGAAGAUGAUGCCAUUGGACUAAUUUUUCAAAAACAAGUUGUGAGUGUUUGAAAAAUGAGCUCAUAUUUAAAGAUCUUGGUAACAUAAAUAAUGAGAAACAGCUGUAAAUGGGUUGGCAAUAUUUGUCAAAUGACGAGUAAAGCUCGUGGCUCAAUAAUUCAAAAACAAACAGUAAAAAGAAAGUAAUGAUUAGAAAAAGCAAACAGUAAAAGAAAACCAAAUAUUUAUUAAAUACAAAAUCACAUCGCUAAAUGCAAUAAUGCAAAUGAUAAAAUAACAGUAAAAUAAAAUAACAGUGAAGUGAAAGGAUAUUUACUGGUAGUUGUGAUUGUGGCUCACAUCUUCCUCUGGUUUUACGUCCAGUAACGGCUUGAACGCCCUCUAUGGGUCGAGGAUCGGCUUCCCAUCCAGUUUUCUUAUAAACUGGCAAACAGGGUCUUUUUGAGUCAGAUUCCCAAGACUUAACUGUGCACUUUGUUUUUGGAAUAGUAUCCACAAAUUGUAAAUCUCACGUUGCACAAUUCCGCUUCGAUGCGUCUCAAGAGAUCGUAAGAUAUCAUCCAACGAUUCUUUACUCAUGCCAUCUUUAACGAAUUUAAUUUUAUCUUCACGAGUAUCAGAAACCAUUCCUAAAGAUUUACAAUCUGGUCGUUUGCAACCAAGUCUCACACAGUUAUGACAUUUUGAGCCAAGUCGUUUAGCUCUCCUUUUCUUAGCAAACGUACUUUUACCAAAACCAGGCAUGUAAGAAACAAAUUGACCAGAAAAUUCACCUGCUAAUCGGACCUUUGCUUCAAUUAACCAACGAAUGUCAGAAGGAAUGCCAUUGAUCAUUAACAAACGCAGUCGUUCACAACGAGCUUUGUAAAUUUUCCUGAGGGCAUUCUGAGGGAGAGAGGGAAAAUGCUUAUGGAGUUUAUGUUGUAUUUCUUCCAUGUAUGAUUUUGGGGUUUCAGUUAUUGUGGGAAACUGAAGAUACCGACUUAAAAAGUCACGGAGUACCGUUAUCCGCCAUUUAUACGGGAAAAUAAAUCAAAACACACCAAAAUCAAAUCUGCAAAAUCAAAUCAAGCGUGAAAGCGAGCAAAAAGAAGCACACAAUAUAAAAGGAAAAUGAACUUACAUUCGUCCUCUCAUUGAGUUAACCUCAAGCUCCAUUUGAAAUUCAUAUAUGCCACUCUCUACUGUUCUGAGUUGUCCCUCUAGAUCCUCAACAUAGGACACGAAUUCUGGUGGUUGCAGAUCCCAAAGUGGAUGUGAUUUACAGCUUUGUAUCAGGCCUCUUAAGUGAAAUUUUAUACGCCGAAAUCUUUUAAGAUGUGCGAACAGGUAUUUUCUCAUUGAGGUGCUCAUGAUGUAAAAUGAAAAUUGAUGAGAGAAUGUACAACUGUCAAACAAACACGCUUACACAAGAAAAACAAUGUUAAAAAAAAACUAUGUACAGUGCAUCAAUCUAAGGAAAAAAAAAAGUCAAACAAUGAAACGGUAAAAUAAUAGUAAAACAAAAAAAAAUCAUUAAAAACUUAAUCAAGAACUGGUGGGUCAUCCAAAUUAAUUUCGGUGUCCUCGUCACGUGGGUGAUGUUCCAGAUAUGGUUUUAAUCUUUGACCAUUAACUUUAAAUGUGACACCAUUAUUUGGAUUCUCAAUUUCUAUGGCCCCAUAUGAAUAUACAUUUUUUACAACAAAUGGGCCACUCCAUUUUGACUUUAACUUUCCUGGAAAUAAAUGAAGACGAGAAUUAUAAAGCAACACUUUUUGACCAAUCUCAAAUGUUUUUCGAAAAAUUCUUUUAUCAUGAAAUGCUUUUGUUCUUGCCUUAAUAAUUCUUGAAUUUUCAUAUGCAUCAUUCCUUAAUUCCUCAAGUUCAUUCAAUUGCAAUUUUCGCACAUUACUAGCAUCAACCAAAUUUGAAUUAAAAGCUUUAAUAGCCCAAAGUGAUUUAUGUUCAAGUUCAACAGGUAAAUGACAAGGUUUACCAUAAAUUAACCGAUAGGGUGACAUUCCUAAUGAUGUUUUAAAUGCAGUGCGGUAAGCCCAAAGUGCAUCAUUAAGUCUAAGAGACCAAUCUUUUCGGUUUGGGUUAACCGUUUUUUCCAAAAUUUGUUUUAUCUCCCUAUUUGCUAAUUCAACUUGACCAUUUGUUUGAGGAUGAUAAGGGGUAGCAAUUUUAUGUGUAAUUCCAUAUUUCUUCAUUAAAGACUCAAAUGACUUAUUACAAAAAUGCUUACCUCCAUCACUGAUAAUGGCUCGAGGGAUUCCAAAUCGACUUAAAAUGUUUUCUCUUAAAAAUUUAAUCACAGUUUUACUGUCAUUAUUUCGACAAGAAAUUGCUUCAAUCCAUUUUGAGACAUAAUCAACUGCAACUAAUAUAUACACAAAUCCAAAAGAUGAUGGAAAUGGACCCAUGAAAUCAAUUCCCCAACAGUCAAAUAUUUCAAUUUCAAGUAUGGGAUUUAAGGGCAUCAUGUUUCUUUUUGUAAUUGAUCCCAAUUUUUGACAUUUUUCACAACUUUUGCAAAAUUCAUAUGUGUCUUUAAACAUGGUAGGCCAAUAAAAUCCACACUGCAAAAUUUUAGCAGUAGUUUUUCUUGAAGAAAAGUGACCACCACAUGCUUCAGAAUGACAAAAAUUAAUGACACUACUUACCUCAUUAUCAGGAAUACAUCGCCGAAAAAUUUGAUCUGGGCAAUAUUUGAACAAAUAAGGAUCAUCCCAAUAAAAUUUCUUUACUUCAACAAAAAAUUUCUUCUUCUCUUGAGCAUUCCAUUGCAAAGGCAUUUUACCUGUAACAAGAAAAUUAACAAUAUUAGCAUACCAUGGCAUUGAAGUAACAGAAAAUAAAAAUUCAUCAGGGAAAGAAUCAUUUAUGGGUGUUAUAUCAUUGCAGAAUUCGGAUGUGAGUCUUGAUAGAUGAUCAGCAACAACAUUUUCAGCACCCUUUUUAUCUUUGAUGGUAAGGUCAAAUUCUUGUAGUAACAAAAUCCAACGAAUUAGUCUCGGUUUGGCAUCCUGUUUACUCAUCAAAUAUCUCACAGCAGCAUGGUCAGUAAACACAACAGAUUUAGAGCCAAGCAAAUAUGAACGGAAUUUGUUUAAUGCAAAUACCACAGCAAGUAAUUCUUUUUCAGUUGUAGAAUAAUUCAUUUGAGCACUAUCCAAAGUCUUGCUCGCAUAAUAAAUCACAAAAGGCUUACCAUCCCUUCUUUGUCCUAAAACAGCACCAACAGCAAAAUCACUUGCAUCACACAUUAAUUCAAAUGGCAAAGACCAAUCAGGAGAUUGCAUAAUAGGUGCAGAUGUUAAAAGACAAAUUAUUUUUUCAAAAGAUUUUUGGCAAUCAUCAUUCCAUUCAAACGGUGCAUCUUUUAAUAAGAGGUUACAAAGUGGUUUAGAUAUGGCACUAAAGUUUUUUAUAAACCUCCUAUAAAAUCCUGCAUGUCCUAAAAAGGAUCGCACAUCUCUAACUGUUUUUGGUUGUGGCAAUUUAGAUAUGACUUCGAUUUUUGCUUUGUCAACUUCAAUUCCUUUAAUAGAAACAACAUGACCCAAAACAAUUCCAGAAGUAACCAUGUAGUGACAUUUUUCCCAAUUCAACACGAGUUCUUUUUCAACACAUCUUUUUAAAACUUUCUCCAAAUUAUCAAGGCAAUCAUCAAAAGAAUUCCCAAACACAGUCAAAUCAUCCAUAAAGACCUCUAAACAAUGUUCAACCAUAUCACAAAAAAUGCUUAACAUACAUCUUUGAAAUGUUGCAGGAGCAUUACAAAGCCCGAAUGGCAUUCUUUUAAAUGCAAAUGUUCCAAAAGGACAUGUGAAUGUGGUCUUUUCUUGGUCCUCAAGUGCUAUAGGAAUUUGAUAAUAACCUGAAUAUCCAUCUAAAAAACAAUAGUAUGGAUGUCCUGCUACUCUUUCUAAGAUUUGGUCAAGGAAUGGUAAUGGAAAAUGAUCUUUUCUAGUGGCUUCAUUUAAUUUUCUAUAAUCAAUGCACAUGCGCCAACUAGAUGUAAUUCGUGUUGGAAUUAAUUCACCUUUUUCAUUUUUAACAACAGUGAUUCCAGAUUUUUUAGGCACUACUUGUGUAGGACUUACCCACUUACUAUCAGAAAUAGGGUAGAUAAUUCCCACAUCAAGUAAUUUAAGGACUUCUAUUUUGACUACCUCUUUCAUGUGUGGGUUUAUCUUCUUUGAGGUUGUUGACAUAUUUUAGCAUUUUCUUCCAAAUUAAUUCUAUGUGUGCAGAUUAAGGGAUUAAUGCCUUUAAUGUCAUUUAAAGUCCAUCCUAUUGCAUUUUUAUGCUUUUUAAGAACAGUAAGUAACUUACCUUCUUGGUCGCUUGUUAAAGUAGAAGAAAUCACAACAGGAUAAGUUUGUUCUUCUCCAAGAAAAGCAUAUUUCAAUCCUUCAGGCAAAGGUUUCAAUUCCAUUUUAGGCGCUUCUUGUUGUUCUAUCUUUUCAAUACUUCCAAGCUCCUCAAAUUUUGGCUCGUCAUCAUAAUUUUGCGAAGUCUGCAUAGAAUCAAGCAACGAAUUUAUAUUAGAAAUAUCAAGUUUAAGUUGCUUAUUUGACUCAAUUGAAUUAACUAAACAAACAUUAGAAAGUUCAGAAAAAUCCCCUUUUUGAAUAUUUUCCUCGAUACAAGAUUCAAACAAUUCCUUUUGUUCAUCAGUAUCAUCUUCAUUCUCAUUUUCUUCAUUAGGUUGCCUGCACAUGUUGAAAACAUUCAAUUCCAAAGUCAUAUUCCCAAAGGAUAAAUUCAUUAAACCAUUCCUACAAUUAAUCAAAGCAUUAGCAGUUGCUAAAAAUGGUCGACCUAAAAUUACAGGAAUUGGUUUGUAAUUAUUCACAACAGGUUCAGUUUCCAAGACAAUAAAAUCCACAGGAUAAAUAAAUUUAUCAACUUGUACUAAAACAUCUUCCACUAUUCCUUUUGGUACUUUAACUGAUCUAUCGGCAAGCAAAAGUGUAGUUGAAGUUGAUUUUAACUCACCAAGAUUAAGUUGAAGAUAAACUGAAUAUGGAAGCAAAUUAACACUAGCACCAAGAUCUAGUAAAGCAUGCUCAAUUCUGUGGUUACCAAUAAUACAAGAAAUGGUAGGACAACCAGGAUCUUUAUAUUUCAACUUAUUAUUAGUAGACAGAAUUGUACUUACCUGUUCGGCCAUGAAAGCACUCUUUCUUACCUUCAAUUUCCUCUUAACAGUGCACAAGUCCUUUAAAAAUUUGGCAUAUGAAGGAACCUGCUUGAUUGCAUCUAAUAGAGGAAUGUUAACUUUCACUUGCUUAAAGAUUUCAUAAAUUUCAGAAGAGUGGUUUGAUUUCUUUGGUUUAUUCAAUGCAUGCGGAAAUGGUGGUUCAGGUGGAACACUAGUUAUUUCUUCACUAGGUGUAAGUUCAUUUAGUCCUUCCUUACCCUUUGAAUUUUCAUCAUUUUCAUAAGGUUCAGGCAUAGGUCUAUCAACAACCUUACCACUACGAAGAGUUAUAACUGACUUGACUUGGUCUGUGGGUGGAUUUUGUUGAAUUUUAGGAUUUGGUUGUGGUUGGGCUGGAAAUUUUCCUUUUUCUUGAAUGGUGAGUGCAGAAGCAAUUUUAGCAAGAGUAUCUUUCAAAUCAGAAAAAGUUUGUGCAUUUUGAUUGUUAAUAACAUCUUGCUUUCUGAUGAAUGAAUGCAUUGUGUCCUCCAGAUUUUUCCAAGGUGGUGGAACAUAUGGUGCAUAAGGCUGAGGAUUUUGAAAAUUUUGUGGAGGUGGUGCUUGUGAAGAUUGUGCAUUAUUAUUAUUCCUCCAACUGAAAUUCGGAUGAUUUUUCCAACCAGGAUUAUAAGUCUGUGAAUAUGGGUUUGGUUUAUUGAAAGUGUUAAUAACAUUAGCUUGAUCAUUUAGACAUUCUUUAAGUGCAGGCAAAGUGGGACACUCUUGAGUGAAAUGAUCAUUCGAAUUACAUAUGUUACAUGCAAUUUCUUGAACAGAUUUUACUUGAUCACUCUUUUUAUGCUCCAAAGCUUCAACUUUCCUAACUAGGGAUGCAAAUUUUGCUUGUAAAUCAUGAUCUUCCCUAAGGUUAUGGAUUCCUCCACUAGAUGGAGAUGAUUGUUGCUUAUUUGUCAAUUCAAAAGUUCCAACAGUAUCCCAAUGUUGUGCAUUUUCAGCUAAUUGGUCAAGGUAAUCUAGUGCAUCUUCAGGAUUUUUAUCCCUAAAUUCACCAUUACACAUCAUUUCAACAACCUGUCUACUUUGGGGUAUUAAGCCUUCGUAGAAAUAAGUGACCAAUCGCCAAGUUUCAAAACCAUGAUGUGGGCAUAUGUUAAGCAACUCUUUAAACCUAUCCCAACAUUGGUAUAAUGUUUCUCCAUUUUUUUGAGUGAAAGAAGUGAUUUGCCUUUUAAAAGAAUUUGUUCUAUGAGGUGGAAAGAAUUUUUUCAAAAACUGUUCUUGCAUGUUAUUCCAAGUUCUUACUGAUCCAGAUCUAAGGUUUUGUAGCCAAGUUUUAGCUUUAUCUUUUAAUGAAAAAGGAAAAAGCUUUAAUCUAAUUAUGUUCAUGCUACAAUUUUGGUCCGUGUAUGUAUUACAAACUUCCUCAAAAUCUCUUAGAUGCAAGUACGGAUUCUCAGAUUCUAAACCAUGAAAUGUUGGUAAAAGUUGGAUAAUACCUGGUUUAAAAUUGAAUCGAGAUGCUUCUGGAGGAAAUACUAUACACGACGGUGCUCCGGUUCUGGUUGGAUUCAUGUAGUCUCUCAGAGUCCUUGGUUGAUUCUGAUCAUGCCCAUGUUGAGAUUGGUUGUCUCCCUGAUCAAUUUGAGGAUUAGGUUCGCCCAAAACGUUUUCGCCUUGAUUCUCAUCCAUGAUUGGUGGUGGAGAUUGAGAUCUACGAAUUAACCUGCCACUUGAAGAUCGAGACCAAUGUCUCAUGCAAGGGUUAUGUUAUAAAGAUAAUAUUUACACAAAUUGAUAACAAAAUAAAAUAAAAAAAUAAAUAAGUAAAUAAUAUAAGUAUACAAAAGAAAAUUAAAUAACAAAAAUGGUGGUUGAACCCACCAAUUAAAAAAAUAAAAAAUGCAAAAUUAAAUAAAUACUGAAAAUUAAAUAACUGAAAAUAAAAGUUAAGGGUUAGUAGUUAGUUUGGUGGUUAAACCCACCAAUAAAGCAAAAAAAAAUAAAUAAAUAAAUAAAUAAAUACGAAAUAAAAUAAAUGCAGAAAAUUAAAUAACUGAAAUUAAAUAAAAGUUAGGAGUUAGCAGUUAGUAAGUUAAGAGUUAGUAAUUAGAGUUAGUAGUUAAAGUUAGUUUGGUCCAAAAUAAGUCCAAAUAUGUCCAAAGUAUGUCCAAAUAUGUCCAAAGUAUGUCCAAAUAUGUCCAAGUCUUGAUUAUGUUGAGGAAUUUCGUCUAGGGAUUCUAUUGCAAAUUAUUUUUAAUUUUAUGGUCAAACUAUAAUUUUUAGAAGUUUAGAAUUAGCAAUUUGGGAUGAAAGUGAAACAAUUGAAAGAUAUCGCGGUCCGAACAUAAUUACCAGAAGAUUGGGCUAGAAACGGAAAUUGUUGGGGUGAAAUUAGAAUUAUGAAAGAUAUGGGGACAAAAGAGAAUUUAAGAAAAGGAAAAGGGGGCAAACGAAAUUUUACAUAUAAGAGAAAAAUAAAAACGGAAAAACAAACCAAAUAAAAAACUUUUCCCCGGCAACGGCGCCAAAAACUUGACACAACUUAAAAGUAAAUUUUAACUCCCAAGUAUAAGAGUGUCUUGUUGUAUUAUAACUCGGUGAGUCCGAGGUCGAUCCACAGAGAAAAGAUUUAAUUAGUUUAUUUUAUUUUAUCUAAAAAUUGAAAUUAAAACUUGAAUAUAAACAACUUAAUUUAAAUGAAACUAUGGAAUUGAACUAGUUAGGGUUAUGGAUCCACUCUUAGAAAUAAAUAAAACUUAAUAAAUUCUUUUUGCCAAUUUGUUUUAGAUUUAUUACUCAAAAGAUUAAUUAUACAAAUUAUUAUUAUUUUCCCUUUAAUUUUAUGGUGGAUUAAGUAUUUAUUGUGCCAAAAUUUAAUUUGUCUACAAUAAGUCAAAAUACCAUUUCAUCAUGCCUUAUAUUAAGAUCUUAAGAAUUUAUUGUGCCAAAUUCAUUUGUUUGUCUACAAUAAAUCAAAUUUUCAAAAUAUAAAACAUGUAUAAAAUUAAAUAGAAAAUAAUUUAAUUUAUAAAAUUAAACAUAGAAUUUGAUUAAAUCCUAUUUAUUUCUUAAGAGUUUCACCUUCCCCUAACUAAUAUUAUUUAGUUAAGCAUAAUUAAAAUAAAAAGAAGUAGUAAAAUUGAAUUACUUAUAAUUAAAAGAAAUAAAAACAACUAAAAUUGGAAAUAAAACUAAUUUUAUUAAUGAAAAUAAUUAUACAAAAUAUUAAAAACACACCUGGAAAUCAAGAUUACAAGGAGAUGGAGAGAAUUUGAGAAGAAGAGAGUUGUAGAGAGAUGAUUAAAACAUAAAAAUGAGGCUCUAUUUAUAGAAAAAUAAAUUCAUAAUCCAGUGCUUUGCGGUCCAUCAUAGGCUUCAUGCAUGUGCUCCUCACAACCCUUAGAUCAAGAUCCAAUGGCUGGUCAAACUUCAAAAGUCAACAUCACACAUGGCAUCAUUUGACUCGUCCGAUUUACCCAAAGAACGGUUGAGAUUUGGCGGGUUAAUGGAUGGAUCGGGUCGACCCGAAUACAAAGAUUCGGAUCCUCCAACUUGCUUCACCAACCAUUGCCACGUGGCACAAUCAUGGCCAUUGAAUCAUGAACGGUUGAGAUUUAGUCAAGAUUGCCAAUUAUCCCAUGCACUCAUAUCUAUUGUAAGCUCAUUUCAUCAUCCAAUCAGUGCUCGGUCAACAGGAAAAGUCAACUUUUUUUACACAAGCCCAAUUUUAAGCCGAUCUUGACUGAUCUUAAGGUUUUCGGACCUCCGGAAUCCAAAUUUGACCUCCGUUUAUCUGUUUGGAGCCUCGAAGUACGUGAAAUUAAUAAUUUUCCUAAUAAACACAUAAAAAUACACAAAAUUAAAUAUAUUUAAAACAUAAUUAAUAAUUCAUAAUAUAUUACAUAAACACAAAUAUAAAUUAUAACAUAAGCAUAAAAUAACAUAUUAUCGCUUGAUAAUUAAACAAUUUUUAAUACUAAUCAUUUCUUACUUGUGGUGUCUUCCUUAAUGUACUUAGACUCCAAUAAGUCCUCUAUUUCUUUUGCUGUGGAUUUUGUUGUGGUACUUAUCAAAACAAAGUACUAGCAAUGGCAUUGUAAAUGUGUCCUAUGCACAGGUAGACAUCUUGCUUCCACUUUUGCCACACUCAAGUUUCUCAUCCUCACGUUCUUCAGGCUUUCAUAUUGUAAGAACAUAAACAACAUUGAGGCUUGUCAACAAGAAAUGUAAUGUUUUUUGCCAACGUAUAAAAGUUGUGACUAGGGGUGGGCAUGGGUUGGUUUGGGUUGGUUUUUAAGUCAAUCCAAACCAAACCAUAAAAAUUUGGAUCCAACCCAAACCAACCCAAAUAUUUUUAACCCAAACCAAACCAAACCAUUUGGGUUUGGUUUGAAUUUUAUUAUCAAAAUAAUUUUUAUUUUAAUAAAAUUUAAUUAUAUCAAAAUUAUAAUAAUUAUUAAUUGUUAUUAAUUAUUAAAUUGAUAUUAAAAUAUAAAAAAAUAUAGUGGAUAAAAAUUAUAAAUUUUACAAUAACUUAAUCCUUAAAUUAAAGAAUACUAGAAAAUCAAAAUAAAGUUUAAUCACAAAAAUUAUUAUUUCUCAAUAAAUAAGAACAUACACUUUAAUAAUAAACUUUCACAAACAUGACAUUAACAAUCUAAUAAUAAAUUAUUUUUAACAUAUAUUAUUUUUCCCCCUUCUCCUUUUAUAAUGGCCAAAAACCCCUCUAAUAGUAUAAGUUUACAAUAUUACCCUUAUUUUCAACUACUCUUUUAUUUCUAUUUAUUCUAAAUUAAAUAAAUCAUAUGAAUAGAAACUAAAUAAAAAAUAAAGCAUUAAAAAUAAGAAAUAUAUGUUUUGAUAUGAACAAAAAAAUUAAUAAUAAAAUUUUUUUAUACUUAUUUAUUUUGUGAAAAUUUUCUUAUAAUAAAUAUAUAAGAAAAUUAUUAGUCAAAUGAUAAAAAAAUUUUAUAAGAAAACUUGAAUGACAAAUAAAAAUUUAUUAUAAGAUAAAUAAUAAAAUAUUUUACCUAUACUUUUUACAUUUAAUUUUAAAAUAUUACAAAAUAUUUAUUAUAAGAAAAUGUUCACAAAAUAAAUAAUUACAAGAAAAAAUUUUAUUAUUAAUUUUUCUGCUCAUAUCAAAACAUAUAUUUCGUGUUUUAAUACUUAAUAUAGGCAUUACAUUCAAUUAUUGACCAAAAAUUAGCCGCCAUCUAGCAUAUCGGACCCAGUCCAAGCCGAGUUAUUAUUGAUCAUUAGUAGAGUCUCCUGCUCUUUCUAUGAUGAUCCUUCCAUGUGGGAGGAAUUAUUUUUGUAAAUAAGAAAAAAAAUUAUUUAUGUUAUUUACAAUAAUAUUUAUUUAAUUUAAAUUUAUUUUUACUAUUAUUUUCAUUUUCUAACUGUUGACAAUUGAUCACGCUGUAAAAAAUUUAAUGGUGGUCUUUCACUUAUUUGUGUUCAUUUAUUUUGUUUUCAUUUAUUUCAUUUGAAAAAUUUGAGUGUUGGGGUUUUGUCAAUAACCCAUGGGUAAACCAUACCCAAACCAUAAUGAAAUGGUUUUCUACAUAAAACCCAUAUCUAACCAAUUUUCAUGAUUUACCCAACCCAAACCAUUUAAUUUGGUUUGAGUUUGGAUAAACCCAUGGGUUGUGGGUUUAUGCCCACCCCUAGUUGUGACCAUCAACUGCUCUAAUUUAACAAAAUCUACUGUGAAUUGCGGAUGAGAUGAGCUCAGUGUCAUUGUUACAGAAAGAACGUCUUAUGAAUGUCGGGAAAAUAUAUUUUUAGGGAAUGAAAAAUGUAAUAAUGGCAAACGUAGAGAGUUACAGUAAUAAUGAUUAUGCCACAAAGAUAAUGAGUCAAUUAUGUAAUAAUGACAAACAUAGAGAGUUGCAGUAAUAAUGGUGGAAUUUUUUUCUAAUAAAAUAAUGAGUUUACUACUCUGUAGGUACAACGAAAAUAAUAGUAAUAAGUAAAUUGUAGAAAUUAACGUGUAUUUCAAGGCACUUUACAAAUAUUACUUUCUUUAGACGUUAUUCGCCCCCAUCAAUUGAGUGAUGAAUAUGGGUUAAACAAAUACGCAUCUACGAUACAAUGAAACACUUAUUUAUUUGUUUGCAUUGGGUAUCGACAAAAGCAAACCUAAAUACUCUUGAAUGUUGCAAGCUUGUCAAGAAUCAAUAUAAUUGUUCCUGUAGUAAACAAUAUGUUGGAUAUUUAAUGCAUAAAAUAUAGAUGUUAUAUGAUAAAAUUCGUUUUAGAAAGGAGAGUUUAGAAAAGAGUGUUAUAAGAAUGUUAUUUUCAUGUCUAAAUGGCCUAAACAUGGCCUCUAUUUAUAAAUAUAAUUGUGCCCUCCAUUUGGAUUGUCAUUUUUCAUGAUACCCAUUCGUUUAUGGUCAUUGGAUCAAGAUUUGAUUUUAAUCAAUUGUCUAAAUAAGUACAUCACCAUUUCAAAUGAAAUGACAAUGUGAAAUGAUACAUUUUUAAGUGGAAAGAUACCUUUUAUAUGGGACAAUUACUAGGACAAGUUUUUAUAAUAAAACAUCAUUUAUUUUGAAAUUGUUACAGCCCUAAGAUUAUUCUAGGUUAAGUUAAUCUAUUAUGUAUAACUUCAGAAGGUUCAUCGGUAGAUUGCUUUAAGUUUUUGUCAUAGUUUACAAAUAUUUUGUUACUUAUAAUGUAAGAAAUUUUACAAAUGUUGGUGCUGAGUAAUCUGCAUAAUUAUUAUGAAUCAGAGAAACAGGGCAGAUGUUGUACAAUUAUUGUUGUGGUGGAGCGGAAAGUUAGCCCGGACGGUGACUGCUAUUGGGAUUUCUUUAAUUUGCAGCAUAAAAGCAUUUACAUUGACAUCGACUCAAGGGUAAAAAUUAAAUAUCUCAUGUAGCAUAAGAAGAAUGCAAAAAUGCUUGAAUGAGCAUUCUCACUGAAUACACAAAAGCUACUUUCCCUUGAGCACUUUCGCAACAAAAGCAAAUGUAAAAUGUAGCAUUUAAUUCUAACAUCAAAUGGUUGAUGCCAUCGUUUCCAUCCCUUGGGGAAAUUGAAUUCCUCUAUCUGAUAUUACAGUCUGGAGCGGCUCUUAAGUACCUCAGGCAACUUAGGGCAAUUUAGGCGGUUGCUCAGGGCCCCACAUUUAACCUAGGAUCCCAUUAUAAAUGAAGGUUUCUAAGUUAAUUCUUAAAUUAUAGUUAUUAAUUAUUGAUUUAUAUUUAUUAUUUAUAACUAUAUUUUCCAUAAACAAACUACUAGAUUCUUUCAAAUCCCCUUUUAAUAUUAUAAUUAACAAUUUUAAUCCAUUUAUUUCCUCCGUAUAUUUCAUUUAAAACUCUAUAAAGGCCACACCUUUUUUAAAUUAUUAUCCAUUAAUAUCUUUUUCCAAUUAAAGAAAAAAACAAAACCUUCAUUACUUUGGUGAAAAAACUACUUUCUCUACCUUACUUUUUGCAUAAGGAAGAAAAGAAAAUCAAUCGUUUUACUUUCUUUUGAUCAUUGUUGCUCAAAGUCUCAAUCCAUCAAAGUUAAAUUUCUCAAAUUUUCAGGUUUUAUCUUCCGAUUCUCUUAUUAAUUAAUUGUGUUAUUUAGGUGUUUUUGUUUCUUUGUAAAAAUAUUAUUCUGUUCAUAGGUUGUUUUCUUUUAAUUAUCUAGCAUAAUAGUUUGCAUGAUUACUCUUGUUUCAUUAGAAAAAAAAAAUGUCUACUAAAAACUAUGCAUCAUGAUACAAAAAACUUCAUAAAAGGAGAAGAACAGAAAAGUUAGUUUAAUCUAAAAAACAAUGCUAUUGAUAAAAAAAUAUUUAAGAUCACCCAUUUCAUAAGAAAGAUUAAAUAGGUUAACUAUAUUGUCUAUUGAGAAAGAUAUAUUAGCAAAAUUAGAAUAUAAAAAGUUGACUAAUAAUUUUGCAUCUAAGAAAGUUAGAGAAAUUGAUUUUAAAUAAAUAAAACUUUAAUAAAUUAAUACAUAUAUUUCACCUCAAUUUUUUUAGAAGGCCUAAUUAAAUCAAUUUAUUUAAGACCUAAAAUAUGAUUGAGCCGCCUUGAAAUUGCAGUAAGAUAGAAAAGUGAAAUAGACAGAACACUUGCUCAUACGUAAAGAUGCGACGAAUUUGAGAAUACUUAUUAUUAUGUGCCAAAUUCCUAAUGUGUGGGAAUUUAAAAAUGUUAGUGCAUAACAUGUGUUUAUCGGUGGAGUAGAAUCAGGGAAAUUAAAGAUAAGCAUAAUUUUUGCAUCCAAUGCCAAAUUCCCCCAGGGAGAGAGUGGGGACUCCUUUGCAUAAAAGUUGUUAAAAGUUUAUUGUUAAUAAUAAAAAUAACAUGCAGAUACAGUAUUUUAGGUUAUUGUUAAUAGUUUUACAAUAAUAAAAAUCAUUUUGUUAGAUCGUAAAAUGUAGUACUCAUACUCUAUUUUGUGCAAAAGUCUGCGAGAAAGGAUUUCAGAUUUACCUAACGGGGAAGUUGGGAACUUGCUUUUUUACCUAGGCUAAAAAUAUUUCAAUAAAUUCUGAUCGUGGAGACUACCUGAAACGACCCGCCCCGAAACCCCCCAGGCGAGUCUAUCUAGUUACAUCAAAACAGACUUAAAAAUAAUAUUAUACGUAAAGAAUCUGCUGAAAAUUCGACAGAGUCUCCUUUAUAUAUAUAACACUCCCAAAGUACAAAUAUGAAUAUACAACAAACUCCAGUGCUCAACAUACUCAACCAAAAAUACUGAGUUAUAUAAUAUACAACCCCAAAAGAACAAGAUGACCAAGAUGUCCCAACAGAAACAUUUAUAUACUCUAGCACCAUCACGUGGCCAAGACUCAAAAUAUAUACAGUCGCUGGGUCGGUCUGGUGUACCUGCAACCUCCUGGUGAGGGGGGGAAAAUAUAAUAAAAACGGGGUGAGUUUAAAACUCAGUGAGAUUAGUGAGUGGAUAGUAGGUUUGAAAAUUGAUCUUUACUUUAAAAGAAAUAAGCAUAUCCAAACACGGUUUCAUUAAACCAUAAGUGAGAAAUCAGAAAUAAAUCAUUAAAUAUUUAAAUCAGAUUACCAACCAUAGAAAUCAUAUCACCAAAUCAUAUCGAUUUCACAAAUCUGAAAAUCAUAUCUCAUCAUAUCUCUGCAUGCAUAAUCUAGUCCCCAAAGGACAAAAGCGCCCAAGCACACGGCCCAAAGCCUCUGUGUGUACUCAGACGGGCCCCAAAGGCCUCCUUACAAUCAGAGCGCGCACCUCCCUUAUUACCCCUCAGUUUGGCGGGCCUCCCUUAUUACCCCUCAUCUAUAUCACUGUACUCAUAUUCACAUACCUCUUUACCACAUUUUAAAUCAUACCACAUUUGAAUCCACUUUUCUUAACUUUCAAAUAAUAUCACACUUUAUUCAAAAUCGAUACGCAAAAUUAUUAACCAAACAUUUUCAUAUAAUAUCAACAAGUGAAUAAAAUCCAUUUCGAGAAAUCAUUAAAUCAGCACAUUUAAAAAUACUUAUUCCGCAACCAUGCUUUACUAUCAUAAUUAACUCUAAAAAUAAGUUUCGUAUAUUCCACUCACAGUGACGGUGUUCAUAGUCGGUUAUCGUCUACGUCCGCGGACCGGUUCUCGCUCGCGGAUCCUCCUAAAUCAAGGAAACGACAUAAUUAUUCUCCGUAAAUCGGAAUUCCGACUAAAUAUAUGCAAUAACUCGAAACGAACAUUUAUCCAUAAUUAACAACUCCCGUGACGAUAAAAUUACUAAAAUGCCCUUGAGUCCGUAAAUCAUUAACAUGCUCCGAAAUCGUAAAUCACCGAAUUAUCCUCGAAAUCGUAAUUACACCCAAUUCACAAUUCUAUGAAUUACUGAAAUAUCCACAGGCUCAGAAAUGACAAAAUUGCCCUCAUAGUGUGAAAUUACCAAAAUGCCCUUGCCGGUCAACGGUCACCGGAAUUUGGUCAACGCUGGCCAGGAAGCUCAAAUCUUAAAGUGCCAAUCACGCUGAGUUCAAUGGUACCGGCGGUGAGCUCCAACGCGCGGCAACGACGCCGGAAUCUAGCUCGACAGCCGUGAGUUCCAACAAUCGACCGGCAGCAAAACGACGACUCUCGGUGCCUAUGAAUGGUCGGAAAUGGAAGAGGGAGUCAUGAGGAACAAAAUCCAACCGGUGGUGUCACUCAAAACCGGCGAAAAUCUCGGCGGAGUAAAGUGAAGCAGUCGCGGGUUUCAAGCUUCGAUCGCCGGCGUUCCGGUUCGUUUUCGGCAGUGAGGAUGGCAGGGGAACGACGGUCGGCUUCUAAGCUUCAGAUCGGUACCAAGCUCGGCCAAAACGGUGGUCGGAAACGUGAAAUCCGUCCGGGUUAAAGUCGCGGGUCGGGUCGGAUCCGGCGGGUCAAGAUCGGGUAAGUUGGCAGCUUCUCUCUCUCUGUUUUGCACGUGCAUGUGUUUUUCCUCUGUUUCCAACAUAUUCCUUUGCUUAUAAACUCUUUCACCGCCUCAUGCCAUUUUACAUUCACAGGUAUUACACUACCAAGAGUUUUUUUUAGUCAUAUAUAUUUAUUUUUUAGGGACCAAUAUGAAUAUUACUAAUUUUAUCGAGAUUAUUAAAAAAACAAUGUGCUAAUUUACCAAUAUGAUUUCUCCAAUCUUUUUUCUUUUCGUCAUUUAUUCCUUUGUGAAUUUGAGUUAAUGCUUGAUAUUAUUUUUGUGCUCAUUUUUUAAAGUAGAAGAUUAUGAAAAAGUGAACACACAAAAAGCAUAAAAAUUAUUAUUAGAUCCAAAUUUGUGCUAUUUCAUACAUAACUUGAGAAUAUUUAUAAUUACGCAUCACAACUAGUGGAGUAGAAUCAGGGAAAUUAAACAUUCUACAGUCAUUGACGUGUGGGGUGGGGAUAAGCAUAAACCUUUUCUAUGCAGUAUAAAAGAGUGCAAUAACUCCUUUUCUUUCAGUAUCAUCGCAACAAAAGCACAUCUAAUAACUCUUCAGAAUUCUCGUCUUCUUUGUCAGAAUGGUUGAUGCAAUCGUUUCCUCUCUCCUGGAGCAGCUGAUCUCUGUUGCGGCCGAUAAAGUGAAACAACAGGUGAGGCUUGUGACUGGUGUCCGAGAAGAAGUGAAAAAGCUUACCAGCAAUCUUCAAGCCAUUCGAGCUGUGCUGGAGGAUGCAGAGCAAAGGCAAAUGCAGCAAGACAAAGCUGUUACUUUUUGGCUGGAUCAGCUCAAAGACGCAUCCUACGACAUGGAAGAUGUGUUGGACGAGUGGGUCUUUGCAAGGCUCAAAUUGCAAAUUGAGGGCGUUGAUGAUGACAAUGCUUUUUCCCUUGCUCCUCACAAGAAGAAGGUACGUUCCUUCUUUCCUGCUGUAUCAAACUGCUUUGGUAGUUUCAAACAACUUAGUCUUCGUCUUGACAUUGCUGUCAAGAUUAGGGAAAUCAAUGAAAAGCUAGAUGAUAUUGCCUCCCAAAAAGCUAGGUUUAAAUUUGUUGAAAAUGUGAGUAACCAUGUUAAAAAACUGAAACAAGCGCGAACCACCUCCUUGAUUGAUGAGGGAGAGGUCUGUGGUAGAGUUGACGAGAAAAACGAGCUCUUAAGCAAGUUGUUGUUUGAAAGUAGCGAACAACAAAAAGGCCUUCAUGUCAUCUCACUAGUUGGGUUAGGGGGCAUAGGUAAAACCACUCUUGCACAACUGGCCUAUAAUAAUGAUGAGGUGAAAAGAAAUUUUGAAAAAGUUAUAUGGGUGUGUAUCAGACACUUUGGAGGAGAUUAGGGUUGCCAAUGCAAUCAUUGAAGGUCUAGCCGAGUCAGCUUCUAGUUUAAGCGAAUUUCAAUCUCUUCUAAGCCAUAUCCAUAGAUCAAUUGAAGGAAAAAAAAAUUUUCUUGUCUUAGAUGAUGUAUGGGAUGGGGAUUACAAAAAAUGGGAACCAUUCUUCCUAUGUUUAAAGCAUGGUCUCCACGGAAGUAAAAUUUUGGUUACUACACGUAAUGAGUCAGUUGCACGUAUGAUGGGAUCAACAAAUAUUAUUUUCAUUGAGCAAUUGACUGAAGAGGAAUGCUGGUCGUUGUUCAAGCGGUUAGCAUUUUUCGGUCACUCUUUCGAGGAUUGUGAAAGAUUAGAACCAAUCGGGCGAAAAAUUGCACGCAGGUGCAAAGGCCUGCCUCUUGCUGCAAAGGUAAUAGGGAAUCUCUUGCGCUCUAAAAGUACAAUAAAAGACUGGCAAAGAAUUUUAGAUAGUGAAAUGUGGAAGGUAGAAGAGCUAUGGAAAGGUCUUUUGACUCCUUUAUUGUUGAGUUAUAAUGAUUUGUCGUCCAAUUCUAUGGUAAAACGAUGUUUUUCAUAUUGUGCUGUCUUUUUGAAAGACUACAAUAUGUAUAAAGAGGAACUAAUUUCACUAUGGAUGGCUCAAGGUUACCUUAAUGCAGAAGAAUAUGAAGAGAUGGAGAUUACUGGGGAAGAGUGUUUCAACAUUUUAGCAGCACGCUCUUUCUUUCAAGAGUUUGAGAAAAAUGAUGAUGAUGAUAUUAUGAGUUGCAAGAUGCAUGACCUAGAACAUGAUUUUGCUCAAUUUGUAAGUAGCAAUGAAUGUUUGUGGCUAGAAUUUAGUGGUACCAGAGAAUCAGUCAUAAACCCUUUUGGUGAGAAAGUCCGUCACUUAGGGUUAAAUUUUAAAGAAGGCGCUUCAUUUCCUAUGUCCAUUCAUGGACUUAAUAGAUUGCGUACCCUCCUAAUUGAUGAUGAAAGUCCUUUCAAUUCAUCUCUUAAUAAUAGCAUCCUUCCAGAGUUAUUUAGUAAUUUGGCGUGUUUGAGGCCAUUAGUUAUAAGGCAAUCAUCCUUGCUUUUUCGUUAUCCCCCAAAUGGGAUUAGAGAAAUUCCAGAAAAUGUCAGAAAAUUGAUACAUUUGAAAUGUCUUAAUUUGUCUGAAUUACACAUAAAGAGACUACCUGAGACUUUGUGUGAAUUAUAUAAUUUACAAAAGCUAGAUAUUAGGGGGUGCCGAAAUCUAAGAGAAUUGCCUGUGGGGAUCGGGAAGUUAAAGAACAUGAGGAGUUUACUAAAUGGUGUUACUCGUUCGUUGAAGUACAUGCCAAUAGGGAUUUCCAAAUUAACCAGUCUUCGAACAUUAGACAAGUUUGCUGUGGGUGGAGGUGUUGAUGGUGGCAGUACGUGUAGGCUUGAAUGUCUGAAAAAUUUUCGACUCAUUCAAAAAUGUGGAAUAGAAGGGCUGAGUAAUGUGUCACAUUUAGAUGAGCCUGAGAGAUUAGAACACAAAAAUAUGGAAAACCUCCUUCAUUUGUAUCUUUUGUUUGAAGUUGUAGAUUAGGAAGAUAAAGAAGAGGAUGAAGAUGAAGGUGGGGAAGAUGAAGGUGAAGAUGGAGGAUAUGAAGAAGAAGGAGGUGAAGUUGUAAAUGUGGAAGAUGAAGAAAGGAGGAGGAAGAAUGAGAAAGAUGAACAACUUCUUGAAGCCUUAAGCCGCCUUUGAAUGUAGAGGAAUUAUGGAUUUUAUUAUAUGGAGGCAGCAUUUUUCCCAAAUGGUUGACUUCGCUAACCAAUCUAAGGAAUUUAUUUCUUCACGGGUGUCUUAACUGUGAGCAUUUGCCUCCUCUGGGAAAAUUGCUUCUGGAAAAACUCGCCCUGCAAAAUUUGAAUAGUAUAAAAAGAGUGGGCAAUGAGGUUUUGGGAAUAGAGGAAAGUAGUGAUGAUGACCCGUCUUAAUCUUCAUCAUCAUCAUCAGUUAUUGCCUUCCCCAAAUUGAAAUCACUCAAAAUUUGGGACAUGGAAGAAUUGGAAGAGUGGGAUUACAGGGUUACGAGGAAGGAAAACAUCUCCAUCAUGCCACGUCUUUCUUCCUUGGAAAGGUGUUGCCAGAUGACCUUCUUCAAACGUCGACACUGCAGGAAUUGAGUAUUGGGGGAUGUCCUAUUUACUUCAGUGUACGAUAAUUUGUUACGUGAAACUUCUUGAGAGACUGAAUUUCUGGGGUACUUUGUAGUAAUGUUGAAAACUAAGUGAUGGCUGGGUCUGCUCUGUUUCAGUUGAGGAUGGUUUGCUUCCUGGAAGACAUGCUGAUUAUUAUUGCAUGAUAUUAAGGUGCUGAGAUCAUCAUUUCUAUCUUGUUUCUUUCUUUGAUCGGUUUAUCCUCUAUAAGCAUAUGGAAUUAUGCUAGUAUUAUCACUUCUUCACUCAAUUUUCACUGUUGGUUGUAAUAACCAUUUCAGGUUCUCAAAAGCCUCAAAGCAAAGCAUCUUUGGGCUGAUCAUAUAUUUCAAUUGACGAAGCAAUUCGAUGUUGGCACUAUUAUGCAGGUAACCAGAGUUGAUAAUUUGCACAAAUUUGCAUUGUCAGAAUACCCUUCAUAUUCACUGUGUUUCUUUGUGUAGGUAUGUAGAGUAUCAUCUUCAAGGGUUGUAAGAGCCUUUGCAGUAAAUUUAGCUGCUCGUGCAAUUGCUCAUUCAUCGGAGUACAAUUUUGGAUUUUCAAGGUUUGUAUGCUCAGUUGUAAUUAAAAUGCUUAGUCACUUAUUCCUAAUCUUUCUGAUUUUCAAGUUGUUUUAGGUCCAUAAACAGUUUUCAAACAUGUUUCAAUGCUUCUUGUAAUGACAAUUUCAUAUCUUGCAUCUCUAACGUGCAUCACGUUUGAAACAGCUUUCGCGGUAAAGUCUUCGAUGCUUCUACAAUGGCUGUGAAGAGGCACAUUAAAUUCGGUACAUUUUGGUACGGCCUCCCAAUGCUGGUAUAAUGUUGUGUAUAUUUAGUUUGCAAUUAAAACUUAGGUAUACAAAUCUUAAUCUGCAAUAGAUCGUAGUGUACAAAGUUUUCUAUUAAUGAUAUGGUGACUGAAAGUUUAAUUAUCUUAAAAUUUUUCUAUGACUCUCUUUUACUUUCUUUGUACAGAGUACCUGUUUUGGCUGAUGUGUCUAAUUCAUAGAAAUUCAUUUCCAUCGGUUUCCAUUGGUUUGAGCACAAACAGAAACAGAGGUCUGAGGAAAAGUUUUAUUUCUUGCGGUAUUAUGCCUUUGUUUCUUUAUUCACCAUAUUUGUUCGAAUUCAUGCCCUCAUUAAGAAUUUAAAGCCUUUUCCAGGCAGCUUUGUAGGCUACCUUAUGAAAUUGGAAAGUUAUUAUUGCUUGAAUGCAAGCACCGUCUUCUGUUGCGAAGGCUUUCCCCACAUGAUGAGAUGCUGUGAUUGUUACCGGACCCUUAAUUAUUUAACUCAGGAUUUUAUCAUCAACCACAUCAUCUUAUUCACCAUUUUGGAUAUAUAUAAAGAUUAAAAUUUCUAACAGUUGUUUCGGAUUCUUGUGUAAUCAGAUAAAUGGGGCAAAUGUCAGAACAAAGAUUGUUCAGUGUUGCUGGUAGGGCAAGGAUGAUGAUGGUGAGGAAGAUUGUUCACAAGCCAAGUAGAGCUAGGGAUGGCAAAACAUCGGGUCGGGCUCGGGCUUGGCCAAACCCGACCCGACCCGAUCAACAAAGAAUUAAAGCCCGACCCUAAAAAAGCCCUACCUAUUUAUAAUUAGGGUUGGGUCGGGCUCGACCCGAAUCGGACCAACCCUACCGAAAUCUAUAAUAGCAACAGCCACCACAGAGCUAUUUUCCAAAUUCACCAAAUCGAACUCUGAAAAUCCAAUCAAACUUUGGCUUAUAAAGCCAAAAUCAUUGCUUAAUUAAACCUAUACAGAAAAUAAUACUUCCACUCGCUGAAGAUUUUCCUCGAGUCCUCAUAUGUUUCUCUGUUUACUUGUCUACGAACAGCAAACAAGAAGUUUGCUAUUUCAUAUCAGUGUCGCACAAUAAAAUAAUUAAUUAAACAAAUUAUUAAAUUUACAAAGAAAUCAAUCCCUAAGCUGGUAUAGCAUCCACUAGACUACUCUUUUUAAUCGUUAAUUAAUAAAUAGUUACUGAUCUAUAACAAAUUCUUUCCAUCACCACAAAAAUAAAAUAAAAAUUCAUUGCCAUCUAAUUGGAUUAUAAGAUACAAUAACAAUUGGCAAUUGUAUUGCCAUCUAAUUUCAUUACCUAAACUUAAUUAUAAGAAACAAAUUGGCUGCUGGAAUAGAGGACAUAAAGAAGUCAAAAAUUGAACUUACAAUUUUGGUCAUAAACUUAAUUUGAACUUACAAUUUUGGUCGGAAAUAAUUACAGAACCGAUCGAGAGUAUUGCUGGUUUUAUGGGUAAAUAAAAAAUUGUAUGCAGUGCGGCGACGGGCGGCUGGCUGGUUCACUCACGUCGCGGCGUCGCGGACGGUCACGAUGGCGGAUUGGCGGUGAGANNNNNNNNNNNNNNNNNNNNNNNNNNNNNNNNNNNNNNNNNNNNNNNNNNNNNNNNNNNNNNNNNNNNNNNNNNNNNNNNNNNNNNNNNNNNNNNNNNNNNNNNNNNNNNNNNNNNNNNNNNNNNNNNNNNNNNNNNNNNNNNNNNNNNNNNNNNNNNNNNNNNNNNNNNNNNNNNNNNNNNNNNNNNNNNNNNNNNNNNNNNNNNNNNNNNNNNNNNNNNNNNNNNNNNNNNNNNNNNNNNNNNNNNNNNNNNNNNNNNNNNNNNNNNNNNNNNNNNNNNNNNNNNNNNNNNNNNNNNNNNNNNNNNNNNNNNNNNNNNNNNNNNNNNNNNNNNNNNNNNNNNNNNNNNNNNNNNNNNNNNNNNNNNNNNNNNNNNNNNNNNNNNNNNNNNNNNNNNNNNNNNNNNNNNNNNNNNNNNNNNNNNNNNNNNNNNNNNNNNNNNNNNNNNNNNNNNNNNNNNNNNNNNNNNNNNNNNNNNNNNNNNNNNNNNNNNNNNNNNNNNNNNNNNNNNNNNNNNNNNNNNNNNNNNNUGUUAUUAGAGUGAGUAGAAAUUAAGCACAUAUCUGCGAUUUGGGUUGUCGGUGAAUGUUUUCCUUUAAUAUUUGUACACACCCAUUUCUUAGUAAAAUUUUCUUCAUGUCUAUUACUAUGACAUAGGCUAAUAGCCGUACCAUAUAACAUUAUCUUCUUAUUUCUUUAUGCUUGGUUUUGCUACAUAUCAUUUCUGUACAUUCAAGAAUGCAAUUUUGUAACUACUUAACUCUGCUUCGGCAAAGUUAAGUAGUUACAAAAUUCUUUUUUUUUUCCUUUUUCUUUCUCCGAUAAAAUUGCCACAAAUGGAAGCGAUUGGCUUGAUUUUUGCUUCUGUAAAAAGUGGUGGGAGCAAUGUCUUGUGUACCCGCAAGUUAUAAAUCGUCAUAGUUUAAAUGAAGAAUCCAGAGUUGCCAUCCAAAACUAAAGAAAUUGCAAAUUAAGUAGUUCAUUACAAAUGAUAUAUUUUGAGUUGCUAAUUAUUAAGUAUUUUAUUCAAAAAUGUUCUCGUUCCCACAAUUCCUAAUGUUUAAAGUGCAUCAUUGCUCUACUUCCGUCAUAACAGCAUAAGAGAAUUUAACAUAAUACUAAGAAAAUGAUUAUUUUACCCUAAAUGUAAAUGAUUAUUCUACCCUUGACAUAAAAUAACUAAUUUGCCCUAAUUUAAUAACGAAAAAAAUAGAUGACUGCAAUAUAGAUAUUAAAUAAUAAAUAAAAUAAAAAAUCAGAAUUAAGCUAAUUUGUUCAAGACAAUAUCUUUAGUUGGCAUGUAAUUUUCAUUAGCCGGCGUCUACUCUUAAUUUAUGUCAAAUUAAGUAAUCGCUUCGCCCCAAUAAUGUUGCCUUUGAUCUCUCAGCCCCAGUAAAAGAAUUGGCUGAAAGAGAAUGUUGGUCACUGUUUAAGCAAGUAUGCUUUUGGCGGUCCUUUGAGGAUCUUCAAAAUUUAGAACCAAUCAAAAAUAAAAAAUUUCAUACAAGUGUAAAGGCUUGCCUCUUAAUGCAAAGGUAAUACGAAGUCUCUUGCUGACAUAUACAUCCUUUACUUUAUAAUCUUUUACUUUUGCUCUUAAGCUAAAGCAUUAAAAGGCCCCAUAUCCACUCUUUAUAUAUAUAUAGGGAGAAUGACAAUUUUCUCCCAUACUAUAAUCAAUAUAUAUCAUUUACGUCCUACUUUUUUAUAAUAACCAAUAAUCCUUGGAUAGCAUAAUUUAACAAUAUUAUUUUUGGUUUAUUUUAAUUUUUGUUCAUUUGAUUUCAUAGUAGUAGUUUUCAUUUUUUUAGUUUAAAAUUUGUAAAAUGAACUAAAAUGAGAUAAUUUUGAAAAAGAAUCAAAACAAAAAAAGGCCCAAAAUUACCCCUGUUCCGAACAUUAUCUGAAUCCAUCAUAAUUGACCCAAAUUCAAAUUUAACUCAAACCCAACCUUGGCCUCAUAUAAUUAUAACCUGAUCCGAUCUAGACUCAACCCCAAAGUUUUGAUUUGAUCUAAUCCAAUUCGAAUAUUCCAAGCCAAUCAACCUAAAACCCAAUCAAGUUGAUCCAAACCCAAAUUUGCGCACUCCUAGAGGGGACCAUCACCCUAUAAGCUUUGAAUUUUUUUUGAGGUUUUUAAAUGAAAUAUUCAAAAUUAGGUAUAAAAUGACUGAUUUGCCCUGGAAUACUUGAUACAUAUAAUGAAACUUUAAUUGUAUAUUUUGUGAAAUAAAAUCAAUUAAACCUGAUUUUUUUAUUUGUUAAUUAUUUUUCAUAGCCUUUUUUAAAAGUUUGUAAGUUUGGGCCUACCUCUUUGAUUUUUAUUUUGUUCAUUUUGCUUUCUCUUGCAACAAUAGUUUCAAAUACCAGUCACAAAAUUCUCAAAUUUUGGAAUACCCUACAUACUAGCUAUAAAUAGAAAAAACUGAAUAAAAUUAAUCCCCAACUAACACUUGAAAUUUGAACUUGGGCCUCAUGAAGAUUUACUCAGAGCUCCGCCCCUGAUAUGCAAUAAAAUAUUAGUUUUGCUAGUGAAAUUGCCAAUUAUGUUUUUUUUUUUUGUAUUUUCCGCUUAGGGAAGAAGAAAUUUCCUACAACUAUUGUGGUGAAUAUCUUGUGAAUUUAUGACAGUUUAAUCUUUAGUUUGCCACUUGCUUAAAAUGAAAAAGGGAAAAGGGUAUUUAUAUCUCUAAGGUUUGGAGAAAUAGUCACCAACACUACAAGUUUUUUAAAAAGGACAUCAAGACUCCUUUUUGACCACAAUACCCUUUACCUUUAGUAUCUCGAAAAAUUUAACUUGCAAAUGAAUAAAUACAAAUAUUAUAUAAAUAAUGUAAUCUACGUUGUAGAUUAAUAAUAUUAAAAUAUUAAAAUAAAUUUAAAUAUGUAAAUUAAUAUAUUUAUUUAAUAAUAUAUUUGUAUUUAUUGUAGAGAUUUUAAAUAAAUAUUUGCAUUAAAUACAUUUUACAAUUAAAAAAGUCUCACAUACUAAUAAUGUUAAAAUUAUUAUUUUACAUAAUAAUUUAAAUUUUAAUACAUUUAUUUUAAUAUUAUGUUUACAUUUAUCAUAAAAUUUACUUUAACAUAAUAAAAUAUAUUAAUAGAUUGUAAAAUAUUAAAAUAUUUUUAAAUAUUGAAAUUAUUUUAAAAUGUAUAAAUUAUUACAUUUAUUUUAAUAUUAUAUUUCUCUUUACUAUAAAAAAUUAAAGUUAACUUUUGGGAUAAUAAAGGUAAAGGGUAUUGUAGUAAGAAAGAAGUUUUAGUAUCUUUUCUUGAAAACUUAAGAGCGUUGGUAACCAUUUCUCCAAACUUUGGGGAUAUAAAUGUCUUUUUCCUAACAAAAAAUGACAUUUUUAAUAGGAAAUAUAAUAAGCUUUGUUCUAUAGAAAAAUCCAUCAGAUAUAUUAUGCCCCCGGUUGCUAUGUUAAAAAUAAGUAAUUCUUCUUUUUGUAUAUUAAAAUAGUAAAAGGGUGGAUAAUAUUUAAAUUUUUUUUUUACCUUUUAUCUUUUUUGACAUUCGAAUUUUAAACUCGAGAAAUAGACUUCCUGAGAGGUUAACUAAAUUCUUAGUAAUUUGAUAUAAUUUCAUAACCGUUCUCCAAAAGCAAUUUUAUAAAUCAUUGUGGAAAAGCUUUAUUCCUUAGUUAUCUUUCGCAUAUUUUCUUUGUAGUAUGAUAUUUAUUAAAAUCAUUAUGGGACUGAUUUUAUUCUCUUUUUUUUCUCAACAAAAUAUCCGACUGCAGAUGUAAUAAAUUACUAAUUACAAUUAUUUGAGUCCCACUCUAAAUUAGAUUUUGAAAUAAAGUUACAUUCUCAAAUGACCAAAUGAAUUAACGAGUCUGACAAAAAGAUGUUGUCGGCCAAGUUGAAAAAUAUAAUAAAUAAAUUGUCAGGAGAUGAUUUUUUCUGAAAUUUCACUUUCAAGGUCCAGAACACAUUCAAAUUUCCGUUGAAAUUCAUAAUGGAUUCAUAUGAUCGGGCGAAAUUACACUAUACAAUUUCAUCAAUACCUAUUAAACGAUAAAAAAUUUAUUGAUUAUUUAUAAUUAAAAAAAAUCUAUCUACUAAGACUAUUCUAGAUCAACAAUUAAUAUAUUAAAUAUAACUUCAGAAGGUUCAUCGGUGUAUUGAUCUAAGCCUUUUGCAGUAGUUUAUAAAUAUUUUGUUGCUUAUAAUGUAAGAAAUUUUACAGGAGUUGAUGCUGAGUAGUCUGAAUAAGAAAAUUAAUUAUAUUGUAAGUUAUUGGGUAUUCAUAAUAAAAUAAACAAAUAAAAAAUGAAUAAAAAUUUAAAUACUUAAUUAAUUUUUAUCAAAUUCUUAUCAAAUAUUUAAAAUAUAUAUAAAAUCAAUUAAUUGAUGAUGUUGUUAAUUUUCAUGAUAUUUUUAAUAUUAUAUUAGUGAUUAUUAAAUUUAAUACAAUCAAUAAUGCUAUAAAUUAUUAAAUGGUUAAUUUUAUUGACAAAUUAUCAAAUAUGCAAAUAAUGAAAAAUUAAUCUCAAGAGUUGGUAGAAGUAAAGUUCCAAUUUAAUCAGAUGAUAGAUAAUAAAUAAAAAUAAUUUUUAAGUAAAUUAUAAAUUAAAAAAUAAUUAAUAUUAAGUAUAAAUAAACAAUAAUGAUAGAAAUUAAAGUCUCAUAAGAGUAUCUCCAAAAGACUCUUCAAAUAAGAUUCUACUUCUUAUUUGAAGAGCCAUAUCAAUAUUUAACACUCCAAAAGACACGUUAAUUUAGAUUCUUCAAAUAAGAUUUGUUUCUCACUCUUCAAUAUUGCCGAGUGAGUUUCUCCCUCUUCUAUUAAUAUUUUAUUAUUAUUUAUUGAAAAGAUAAGACUGCAAUAAUUAUUAUUUAUGUUUCUUUUAAAAAAUAUAAUAACAAUACAAUUUGAUAGUGGGAAAAUUUGAUUAAAAUAAUAUUAAUUUAUUCUUAUUUGGUGAGUCUUUUGGACGGGAUUAUAUUUUUUUAUACACUUAUUUGCCACAUCAGUAAGCAAAUUGAAAUUUAAAGAGUAAAAUUUAAAGAUCCUUUUGGAGAUGCUCUAAAUAGAUAACUUUUUUUCUUUAAUUUUAUCCCAACUAAAAUCAUGUGUAAAUUAGAAUGAUUAAUCCCAUAAUUGUAGGAUGAAACUUAAAUUUAGUCCCCGAGUCCAAUUCAAUUAAGUUUAACAAACAUGAGAUAAAUAUUUAAUCACAAAAUUAGUCCAAUUUCGUACUUAAUCCUAGUAUAUGAACAUGGAUUGAUAAAAUAAUUUAGGUAAUAUGCUUCUAUGACUUACAAUUUAAAUAAAUUUGAGAAUUUAUAUAAGGGAUGGAAAAUUCAUAAUAAUCAUAACAUGUGCUAUCUUUUCUUCCUUUUCUUAAUUAAAUAAAAGAAAAAUAUUCAUCACAGAACCACCGCUGUUUAAAAUGACCCGAUGAUCGAUGAAGUCGCAUUCGCCUAUCUAAUAUUGCGCAAUCAGAUAAAUUCUCAAAUUUAAAAUGAAUUUAAUCUGCAAUUAUAUCAAUAACUACACAAUAAAGAUUAAAAAAUUUCAAAUUAUACUUGAGUUAAAAUUUAAUUCUUUUUUAUUGUUUAAAGUAAUUUAUUUAUAAUUAUUUUAACCCAAUUAGAUUUAUUUUUUUUAAUGCUUGUUCUAUGACAGAAUUGGUCCUCAAAGUUUAAUUAAGCUUGAGAUGGAUACUCUCAGCAAUUUAUUACCUAUUUUAUUAGAAUCUAAGAGGAAAAGAGAGUUGCGAUUUGUAUGUGUAGAAAGAAAAUGUCAAAACGAAAUGUUAAUGUCACUUGUAGAGAGAGAGUUGGGACUGAUGACCAUAUACAUUUUUCCGCCCCUAAUAAGAGCUUGCUUGACGAUAGUGAAGAACUAAUGAGACUGAGGAUCUGCAAUUUAGUCAUGAAAAAUUAGUGACUAAAUACAACUAAAUUUCAGUUUUCUCUUUCUAAUUUCUUUGGGAUCCAGAAAAAAACAUUUCCCCCUCAAUUUUCUGUUUGCAAGGGGGUAACUGUAAGCACAGUCUGAUUUUAUUUUCAGGGAAUAAUAUCGGUGAACCACCGUCGGGAAAAAUUUGAAGUCUAAACAGGUCAUUCACAGAUAAGGCCAAAGAGUAAAACAGGUCGUUCAUCGUGCGUUUGGAUUCCUUUCAUCUUGUUAAUUAUUGAAGACAAGAUGAAAACGCAACUAAUGGGGGCCGUGUAUGGUGUAUAAAAUAGCAUUAAUUGUUGUCUGUGUUUGUUGUUUAAUGCUAUUUUAUACACCAUACAUGGCCCCAAUUCCAAUUAGGGGAAUUCAAUAUUUUAAUUUUUUGCAAGAUGACUUUCAUCUAUCUCAUUGGCAGGCCGGCCAAGACAGUAAUCAUCCAUUUCAUCUUAUGAAUUAUUGAAGACACGUAGCUGUUCGACGCCUGCACUUUUCAAAUCUGAAGAGCAAUUAGACAAUAUUUCUAUUUCAAAUUGGGGCCACACUCCAAAAACAUUGCAAUAAUUCUCUGUUUUAUACCUAAUAUUGCGCAAUCAGAUAGAAAAAAGGGUCGGCUGCAUGAUUUUUCCAACUUUUGUUUUAUUUUUUCUCUUUUCCACGGGCAUGGGCCCCGACCACCACAAAAUAAUUUGAGAAUGUUAUAUUUAACAAUUCUCUUUUUGUCGUGACAUAAUGGACUAAAACGGAAUCACAACUUUUUCAAAUGACCAAAUGGCUUCGCCCAACGUGAUAAUAAAAGGCCAUAUAGAUGAGAAAUGGAUCCAUACGUUAAAGCUAUAUUGAAACAUAUAAUAAAUAAAUAGUCAGGAGAUGAUUUUUAUCAAAAAUUUCACUCGCACGGUCCCGACCAAAUACAAAUUUGUGAUGAUAUUCAUAAUGAAUUUAUACAAUUAGGCGAAAUUACUCUAUAUAGUUCCAUCGAUAUAUAUUAUAUCAUUAAAAAUAUACUAAUAUUUAUAAUAAAAAAAAUUUAUGACUAUUCUAAAUCGACUGUAUUAUAUGUGAACUCACAAGAUUCAUCGAUAGAUUGCACUGAGCUUUUUGUUGCAGUUUACAAAUAUUUUGUUACUAAUUAUCUUAAGAGCGGCAAGUAACUAAAUACAAAUGUAAGAAAUUUUACAAGUGCUGAUGCUGUGUACUCCGCAGAAAGCUAGCCCACGACGGUGACUCCUGUGGGGACUCCUUCAAUUUGCAGCACAAAUUGACAUUGACUUGAGGGUAAAAAUUAAAAUAUCUCCAAUUAGUAUAAGAAGAAUCCAAACAUGCUUGAAUGAACAUUCUCUCAGAAUACAUAAAACCUACUUUUCUCAGAGCAUUUUAGCAGCAAGAAAAGCAAUUGCAUCAUUUACCAUUUGAUCUAAUAUCAGAAUGGCUCAUGCGCUCGUUUCCUCUCUCUUGGACCAGCUGAAUUCCAUUGCUCAAGAUCAGGUGAAAGAAAAGUGGAGGCUUGUGACGGGUGUCGAACAAGAAGUGGGAAAGCUUACCACCAAUCUUCAAGCCAUUCAAGCUGUGCUGGAAGAUGCAGAGCAGAGGCAAAUGAAGCAGGACAAAGCUGUUACUUUUUGGCUAGAUCAGCUCAGAGACGCAUCCUACGACAUGGAAGAUGUGUUGGAAGAGUGGAUCACUGAAACACGGAAAUUGCAGCUUGAUGAGCGAGGCGAUGAUGAUGAUGAUGAUAACGACAGUGCUUUUGUUACUUUUUUGACGAAGGUAUGUUCCUUCUUUCCUGUUGCCUCAAACUGCUUUGGUGGUUUCAAACAACUCAGCCUUCGUCAUGAUAUUGCUGUCAAGAUUAGAGAAAUCAGUGAAAAGCUAGAUGUUAUUGCCAGACAAAAAGAUAGUUUCAAAUUUGUUGAGAAUGUGAGUAACAAUGUUAGGAAACCAGAGCGAGUGCGAACCACCUCCUUGAUUGAUGAGGGAGAGGUUUUUGGUAGAGUUGAUGAGAAAAGUGAGCUAUUAAGCAAGUUGUUGGGUGAAAGUAGUGAACAACACCCUCAUAUCAUCUCACUGGUUGGGUUCGGGGGUAUAGGUAAAACCACUCUUGCACAACUAGCCUAUAAUAAUGAUGAGGUGAAAAGAAAUUUUGAAAAAGUUAUAUGGGUGUGUGUAUCAGACACUUUUGAGGAGGUUAGGGUGGCCAAAGCAAUCAUUGAAGGUCUAGGCGAGUCAAAAGAAGCUUCUGAUUUAAGCGAAUUCCAAUCUCUUAUGAGCCAUAUCUAUAGAUCAAUUGGAGGAAAAAAAAUUUUUCUUGUCUUAGAUGAUGUAUGGGAUGGGGAUUCCAAUAAAUGGGAUCCAUUCUUCUUUUGUCUAAAGAAUGGUCUCCACGGAAGUAAAAUUUUGGUUACCACACGUAAUGAGUCAAUUGCACGUAUGAUGGGAACAACAGAGUCAGAUACUAUCUCCAUUGAACAACUGGCUGAAGAGGAAUGCUGGUUGUUUUUCAAGCAGUUAGCAUUUUUUGGUCGCUGUUUCGAGGAUUGUGAAAAAUUAGAACCAAUCGGGCGAAAAAUUGCAUGCAAGUGCAAAGGCCUGCCUCUUGCUGCAAAGGUAAUAGGGAAUCUCUUGCGCUCUAAAAUUACAGUAAAAGAGUGGCAAAGAAUUUUAGAUAGUGAAAUGUGGAAAGUAGAAGAGAUUGGGCAAGGUCUUUUGGCUCCUUUGUUGUUGAGUUAUAACGAUUUGCCCUCCAAUUCGAUGGUAAAACGGUGUUUCUCAUAUUGUGCUGUCUUUUCAAAAGACUACAGUAUGAACAAAGAAGAAUUGAUUAGUUUGUGGAUGGCUCAAGGUUACUUUAACGUAGAAGAAGACGAAGAAAUGGAGAUGAUUGGAGAAGAGUAUUUCAACAUCUUGGCAACACGCUCUUUCUUUCAAGAGAUUGAAAAAGAUGAGGAUGAUGAUGAUUUUAUGAGCUGUAAGAUGCAUGACAUAGUACAUGAUUUUGCCCAAUUUGUAUGUAGAAAAGAAUGUUUGUGGCUAGAAAUUGAUGGUAACAAAGAAUCAGUCAUAAAUUCUUUUGAUGACAAAGUCCGUCACCUAGGAUUAAAUUUUGAAGGAGGCGCUCCACUUCCUAUGUCCAUUCAUGGACUUAAUAGAUUGCGGACCCUCCUAAUUGAUGAUGGAAGUUUUCUCUAUCCAUCUCUUCAUAGUAGCAUCCUUCCGGGGUUAUUUAGUAAAUUGGCGUGUUUAAGGGCAUUAGUUAUAAGGCAAUCGUCCUCAUUUUCUGAUCCUAGCCCAUAUUUGAUUACAGAAAUUCCAGAAAAUGUUGGAAAAUUGAUACAUUUAAAAUAUCUUAAUUUGUCUAAAUUAUGUAUAGAGAGACUGCCUGAGACUUUGUGUGAAUUAUAUAAUUUACAAAAGCUAGAUAUUAGGGGUUGCGUAUAUCUUAGAGAAUUGCCUGCGGGGAUUGGGAAGUUAAUGAACAUGAGGAGUUUACUGAAUGGUGAAACUGAUUCGUUGAAGUACCUACCAAUAGGGAUUUCUAGAUUGACCAGCCUUCGAACAUUAGAAAAGUUUGUUGUGGGUGGAGGUGUUGAUGGUGGCGGCACGUGUAGGCUUGAAUCUCUGAAAAAUCUUCAACUCCGUGGUAAAUGUUGUAUAGAAGGGCUGAGUAAUGUGUCGCAUGUAGAUGAGGCUGAGAGGUUACAACUUUACAAUAAGAAAAACCUCCUUCGUUUGUAUCUUGAGUUUGGUGGAGCCGUAGAUGGGGAAGGCGAAGCAGGGAGGAGGAAGAACAAUGAGAAAGAUAAACAACUUCUUGAAGCCUUACAACCGCCUUUGAAUGUAGAGGAGUUAAGGAUUAUAUUCUACGGAGGCAACAUUUUUCCCAAAUGGUUGACUUCACUAACCAACCUAAGGGAUUUAAUACUUUUCUUCUGCGUUAACUGUGAGCAUUUGCCUCCUUUAGGAAAAUUGCCUCUGGAAGAACUCGGACUAUUGAACUUGAAAAGUGUAAAAAGAGUGGGAAAUGAGUUUUUGGGAAUAGAAGAAAGCACUGAGGAUGAUCCAUCUUCAUCUUCAUCGUCAUCAUCAGUUAUUGCCUUCCCCAAAUUGAAAUAUCUCGAAAUUUGGGGAAUGGAAGAAUUGGAAAAGUGGAAUUACAGGAUUACAAGAAAGGGAAACAUCUCCAUCAUGCCACGUCUUUCUGCCUUGUCGAUUUGUGAUUGCCCCAAAUUAAAGGUGCUGCCGGAUUACAUUCUUCAAACAACGACACUGCAGGAAUUGAGGAUUGAGGACUGCCCUAUUCUAGAAGAACGUUACAGAGAGGGGAAAGGAGAAGACUGGCAUAAGAUUUCUCACAUUCCCCACAUCAAGUGGUCGCCGUAAGAUAUCACUCGCCGGUAAUUCCUCCUCCUCUGAUUUACUUCGUUAUUGCUUGUAAUGAAAUUAAUGAAAAUAAUUAUAUUUUGAAUUAAAAUUCUAUAUUAUUAUUAUUUCUCUCCUCGAAUGGUUGAAAUUUCACUCGCCCCGUAAAUUCUCGAAUGGUUGCAAUUACUAUCACCCGCCGGUAAUUUCUCUCCUCUGUUUUACUUCAACCAUUAAUUUAAUGGGUCACUCUAUGAUGUUGUUAUAAAAAUUAUAGAAUCAAUCAUGGUAUAAAUAUGUACUGUUAGAUUUAAUCAAUGGUUCAUGAAGUUAAAAGUUAAUUAGGAUAAUAUUUUAAAUUCAAUUAUUUAAAAUUUAAACUUCCUAGUUAUUAAAUCUAUUAAACUUGUUUUAUCAAAGCUAAAUAAUUAAAAAAAAAGUAUAGUCUGUUGAAAUUUCUAUAUUUUCUUUUAAAAAACAUGUAGUCUUUUGUAAAAUUUCAUACAACAUCAUAGAAAACCUAACGUAUUUUAUUUUUUAAUGCACGAAAAUUUGUUAUGUGUAACUUCCUGAGAGACAAAAUCUCUGUGAUGCAUUUGCAGUAAUGUUGAAAACUAAAUUAUCAAUUUUAUCUUGUAUAAUGAUAAUCGUGUUUUUUUAUAUAUAAUUUAUGUGACAUUAAUUCUUUAAAGUAAUUGUGUAAUUGUUUUUAGUAGUACAUUAGCCCACUUUGUUUUAUUUCAUACGAGUUUAAUAAUGUUCGCCAGGGAUUCGAGGAAAUGUCAGAACUACACUAAGAAUUCACAGGUCCAAGCUAAUUUAGUUUUAAUGAUGCAGGUAGGAGAGCAAGACUAAGAAAAUGAAAAGUUUAGCCAAAAGAUUACUAAAAUGUUCUGCUGGUAAUUCACUUGCCUUGUUUAAUAGAAUUUCAUUUCCAUCUUCUUCUAUUGAUAUCUUGUUGUGAAUAAACAAGAACAUAGAAGUAAAUAAUUGAAACGCAGAGAAGUAAAGAUAUAUCAAAAUUCGCUAUUAUGAUGAUGUUAAAGCAAGCUCAAGCAUUGCAUUUUUAUUUUAUUUAAUUUAUAGAAUUUUCAUUUCCACCUGCAUUGCAUUUUUACUUCAUUUUUAGGUUGACGUUGAAGACUCUUAUGGAGAACAUUGGAGUAACCAAGGAUUAUUACUGUGGUUAUUGUGCAACGUUUGGUUGCUGGACUUUGAAGAAGGAAGUGAUGGCCGGGUCUGCUCUGUUUCAAUUGAGGAUGGAUAGCUGCCUGAAAGACAUGAUGAUUAUUAUUGCAUGAUGUUUAGGUGCUAAGAUCAUCAUUUCUAUCUUGCUUCAUUCUUGGAAUCAUUUAUCCUAUAUAAACAUAUUGAAUUGUGCUAAUAUUAUCACUUGUGUCAAUGGAGGCAGGAAUUUGGUGCUGAAACUAUUAUGCAGGUAACCACACUUGAUAAUUUACACAAAUUUGCGUUGUCAGAAUAUCCUUUAAUAUUCAUUGUGUUUCUUUGUGUUAUCAGGUUAUCAUGGUAUAUAGAGUAUCAUUUUCAAGGAUUUGUAAGAGCUUUCGCAGUAAAGUUAGUCAUCACCACCUUGUGCAAUUGCACAUACAUUCAUAGUACUUCAAUAUUAGAUUUUCAAGGUUUGUAUGUUUAGUUGAGAUUAAAAUGUUUAGUCACUCAUUCUUAAUCUUUUCUGAUUUUCAAGUUCUUUAGGGCCAUAAACAGUUUUUCCAACUCAUUCUUAUUUUUUAGGUUGAUUUCGAGUACUCUGUGGAGAACAUUGGUGAGACAAAGGAUUAGACUGGCGAUGGAACUGCUGCCUCUGCUGUUAUUGUGCAAGGUUUGAUCACUGGACCUUGAACAAGAAAGCCUUACACGCAUUCUGUAAUUCAAGCGUUCUCUAAAACGAACGAGCAGUAGAAGGAAUAGUAUGACCGGAUCUGCUCUAUUUUAAUUGAAAAUCUCUGUGAUGUUGACGAGCUUAAAGUAGUUGAUGCUUUUUGAAAAUUGUUAUUACGAAUGAAUUCAUUCCUGAAGACGAGUAGCUAAUGAUUGUUAAGGCUUAUUUUCUUAAAGUUCCUUUCUUAACAAAUGUUUCAAUGCUGGCUGUAGUAACAUUUUCAUAUCUUGCAUCUCUCGGGUGCAUCAUGUUCGCGGGUUUGAAAAAGCAUUUUUGGUAAAGUUUCAAAGGUUGUACAACGGCUGUGAAAAGGCAUAUUCAAUUCGGUACGUUUUGGUGUGGUCUCCUAAUGCUAAUAUCAUAUUUUGUAUAGCAAUUAAAAUUUAGGUAUACAAUCUUAAUAUGCAAUAAAUCAUUGUGUACAAAGUUUUCUAUUAAUUAUAUGGUGACUGAAAUUUUAAUUAUAAUUUUAAUUAUCAUAUCAAUCUUAAAUUUUUUUGUAACUCUUUUUUACUUUGCUUGUACAGAGUACCUGUUUUGGCUGAUAUGUCUAGUUCGUAGAAAUUCAUUUCCACUGGUUUCCAUUUGCUUUAGCACAAACAGAAACAGAGCUCUGGGGAAAAGUUUGACUUCUUGUGGUAUUAUGCCGUUGUUUCUUCAUUCAUCAUAUUAUUCGAAUUCAUGCUCUCAUUCAGAGGGUGAAGCCUUUUCUAGGCUGCUUUGUAGCCAAAUUUUUACGCCAUUGAUGCAUGACUGUCAUUUAGAUUUUCCAAAUAACUGCUAGAUUAGAGAAGAAUAAGAAGAUAUUGUUAAAAGGGUAUUUAAUUAGCGCCCUCUGAAUUUAGUUGCCAAUAAUGCAUUGAAAUAGUCGGGGAAAGUUAUUUUCUUAAUUAAAUUACAGGUGAUAAGAUGCUGCUUCAAUUUUGCAAGCAUCUCGUAUUGCGAAGAUUUUGCCCACAUGAGAUCCCACUAUUCUUGACAUCAGGGUAACGCAGGUCAAAUUUUAGUAUCAAUAUAUAUCUUCUUCUUUACUGUUCUGCCUCUAAAUAUUAAACUUUAGGCAAGUUGUUUUUGUUUGUGUAAGUUAUCAGGUUCAGGAUACUAAGCAGCUUAAUUGUUCGCCACACCUAGUAUGAAUGAUGGCCAGGAACAUUAAUUGUUCACAAGCCAAUUUGAUUAGUGUUAGAUUUUUUGCCUUCCUUCGAAAGAUAUCAUCAUCAAAUUUGAGUUGAGAAUAUUUGAAGAGAAUUUUGUUUUGAGAGUUUCACUGUAGUGAAUUUUGGGUUUGCGUUUGAGCACACACAAAGGAUGCACUAAAUAUAACAAAAGUAUAUUUCUACUUCUUGUGGUUAUUUUAAUUUUGUUUCUCGUGUCAUCAUAUUUGAUUAAUUCGUUCGAAUUCACACUCACACAUUUCCAUGAAUAAUUGUUAGGCUGGUGGAGAUAUUUUUAAAAGGGCAUUAACCUACCUUAUGGAAUUGGAAAGUUAUUAUUUCUUGAAAGCAGGCAGCAUCUUCGUUGCGUAGGCUUUCCCCACUUGAUAAGAUGCUGACAUUGUUACCGGCCCCUUAAUUAUUUAUUAACUCAGGUAUUUAUUAUCAAGUACAUCAUCUUAUUCAACAUUUUGGCUAUAUAUAAAGAUUAUAAUUUCUAACAGUUGUUUCGGAUUCUUGUGUACUCAGGUUAAUAGGGCAAAUGUCAGAAUGAAGACUGUUCAGUUUAACCCGUAUAGCAAGGAUGAUAGCGGUGAGGAAGAUUGUUGGCAAGCCAAAUAGAGCCCUCCAUUUUGAGAAAUAUCAUCCGCAUAUUUGAAUUGUUGAGCAUGUGAAGUGAACCUUCUUAUGGAAAUACCUUCCUGUUUGACUUGCAAAAUACAUUACAAAAGCUCCCAAACAGUAUAUUUGAACAGAGUUACCCAUUUUGAGAAUUUUGACUCCCAAACAAGACUGCAGAGUUGUGUAUGGUGGGAUUAGCUGCAGGAGCAGUGCAAGAUUCUUUGUCAAACUAUCUGGCUGGUAAAAAGACUGUUGCCAAACUUCCUUUUCAUUCCUUUGUUCACUUACUCGUUAUAAAUAAAGUAAAAUUAGAAUAUUGUUCCGUUUACUGUCUAAGCCGGUCUAACAUUUGUUUAAUUUGGGCAAUUUUUAAUGCCUGACAGGUUAUCUGUGACAAACCCAUCUGUGAGUACUAAUGUGCUUGGUUAUGGUGCUUUCAUUGGACUACAUGCAAACAUGAGAUAUCAGCUAUUGUGUGGAUUUGAUAGAGACGUCGCCAACCAUUUUGAAGUUAUUGGAGUAGCAAUGUUGUUAAGCACGGCUUUGAGGUCUCUCCCACCCUCUUUUACGUAUUUGUCAAUGAUCGACAUCUCUAUAUAUACAUUGAUACACCAAAUUACUCUUGUUUUAAUGUUUUGUUUGUUGAACUUUGACUGGGUUAUUUGUUUAUUUGUCUCAUAUGAUGUUAAUGCGGUUCCUAUAAAAGUGGAUAUAGAUCUAUCACCUCAAAGUCUGAUUUCAACUUUCCUUCACUUAAUCAACUAGCAUCCUUUCCAAGUCCAGAUACUUACCAAUAGUGAGACUUUGCUACGGAAGUACAAUUUCUCUUGUUUUACAGUUAAAUAUGUAAGAAUAGUUUCAAAUUUACAGAAUUCUGAUAUAGUUCUCUAAGGAAAUGCAGGUGGUGAAUAUGGUUCCAACUUUUAAUAGGCUUUAAUAGGCCCAUUUGUUCAGCCACAGUGAUUGCGGUCUAAAUUCUUCUUUACUGUCUGUAUGUGUUGGAGUUUGUCUAUUGUCCAACUUCUCCAAUGGAUUCCAUGCAGGGUUUUGGAUGUCUAAUUAGGAGAAAGAUCGACAGAUGACCUUUUGAAGAAGGCUUACACAACAGGCCAUCUCAGGAUGUCAUGGCUCAGCACAAAAGUGCCCAGGUGGUUACUGAGCAAGAUAGAGAGAGAAGUUUUUUCUUCUUCAGGCUACCUUCCGCAGCUGUGGCAUACAUGAACUAAGUAGCUACGCGAUCAACAGAAAGUUAGUGACGUGACUUGGGGAUCGAGGGAUUGAUACCAAAGAAUGCCAUUUUUCUGAGCUUGGGCUCCUUGGCUUCAAACAAAACAGUGUUGACUCUAUUGAAGGGGAAAUAGGGGCAACUAAAGCUCGAAGAAAGAGGAUAGUCCGGAGGAAGGUGACUGCAUAAAUUUCUUGGAGUUAAUGUAGUCAAUUGCCCAAUUUUGCUGCCUGUCGAAGAGACACAGCAUGGAAGUCCUCAUCAAACUCUGAGACACCUAAGAACUAGUAGGAGGUGGUGGUAUUCUCCAUAUUUCCUGACAAGUAUAGUUAAUUUUGUUUUAGCUAUGAAUUGUUUCCUAGAUAAUAAUAAUUGCCUUGUUCCUUUGGAGUCUUAUUUACUCUCCGUAACUCAGUUCAAUUUUGCAAAUUCUAUUUCAGAUUUCUUAUAUAGUGUGUCUUUGUUACUUUUGUGAUGCCUUUUUUAUCGCAAGUUUCCAUUUGAAGUAUCCGAUAUUCUUUACAGACUAAUUAUCUAAUGAUUAUUUUAUACAAAAAAAAUCAUAACUUUAAUCAAUUGAUCAUACUCAACUUAGGUCUUGUUUGAUGUUACUAGCUGUUGUUAAAAUAAAAAAAGCUGAAAUUUGACAAUGUGUAAUAAAUGUAAGACUUUUAAAUAAUAAUUUUUAAUACAAUUAAUAAAGAUAUUAUAAGUUUUUUUAUUAUAAUAAAAUAUGAGAUCAAAUCAAAUUAAUUUUUAAGUUACAAUAGCAAAUAUUUACCAAAACUGUUUAAUUAUGUAGCUUAAAAAGUAUAGUUCUCCAACCUCAACAUUAUAUAGGGAUUUUCCAGACUCUACCAGACUUUAGUUGUACUCACUCGAUCAUGCAAAUCCAUACUCAAUGUGCUUGGCCAUACAAGAUGUUACUCAACUUUAACAAGUCUUACUCAAACUUUGCAUGUUUGGCAUGCCGGAUGGAAUAUGAUAGUAUAUGAUGUGGUAGAAUAUUAUAGGAAUAGUAAUAACAAGAUUACAUGUAGUACUAGGUUACAUUUUACGUGAUGUGGUAUAUGAAUGGAUUAUAUUACAAAUUUUUUUGUUAUAAUAAUUAAAAAUUUGAAUUAUUUUAUUAUUGAAAAAAUGUAAUAUGUUAAAUAACAGUUAUUUUUAUUAAGUAAUUUCUUUGUAAUGAAUUAUACUUUUAAAAUAUAAUCGAAAAUUCUUAUUACUAAACUAAUAAAAAGUUAAUUAUUUGAGUUAUCUCCUAAACUACUUAGCUCACGGGAUAAAUUCACUUAGUUUAGAACGAAACAGUGGAUUUUAGAGCAUCACCAAAAGACUCUUCAAAUAAGAUUUUAUUACUUAUUUGAAGAACCACAUCAACAUUUAAAACUCCAAAAAACACUUCAAUUAAAACUUUUCAAAUAAAAAAUGAUUCUCUUUCUUCAAAUUUGGAGAGUUGCUUUCUCCCUCUUCAAUUUAUAUUUUAUUACUUUUUAUUAGAGAGAGAAAGAGAAGUGCUUUAAUUGCUAUUAACUUUUCCUCUAAAAAAAAUAAUUAUUUGAUUAAAAUAAUAUUAACUUAUUUUUAUUUGAAGAGUUUUUUGGCGAGUAGUAUAUUUUUUACCUUUCUAUUUACCACAUAAGUAAGUAAAUAAAUAGUUGAAAAGUAAAAUGUAUUAAAACUUUGAGUGGGACUACUGGCACCCCUCUAAAUACCUUUUAACACCCCUUUAGUUAUUUUAUAAUUUUAACCUUUAUUAAAAUUACAUAAUAAGACAAUCAUGAAUUUUACAAUUCUAAAUACCUCUUAACACCCCUUUCUUUUGUUUUUAUUUUAUUUUUUUAACAUUUCCGAGUUUACUCCAACUGCAAAUUAAUUUAUGAAUUAUGAUCUACAUACUAUAAAUUUAAGUAAUGCUACAAGCGACUGUAAAUAUUAAAAUAUCAGCAGAAAAAUAAAAAUAUCUUGAUUAAGAGACAAAAUAAAUAGUACCUGAAAUUGAAAUUCAGCAUUUUAAAAAUUAAGAAAGUUACUUUUUCAUCUUAUUUUCUGGUGAGGAAUUAUCGACAUCAGCAACUCAUCAUCAACAAACUUCAGAGAAGAAACUGAGACCUAUGAGGGAAAUUAAGAAAAAAGAAGGUAAUUAUGAAGCAAAGGACGAGCUUAACAAUCAUCAGAAUUAUUUUCCCACCGACAUGUUUUCCAGUGCCCCAGUUGUCUUUCUCCACAAAGGCACGCAGUCUUUCGAAGAAUUCGUGAUUCUGCAUUUUCAGAAGCUUGUGCUCAACAUCUUCAUCAGUAAACCAAAUUAGCACUUGGCCUUAUAAUUACACGCAUGGUAGCCAAGUGUUUGCAAGGUGUCAUUAUCAAUUACAAUGAGUUUAAAGUGCUGGCCAUGUGGUGUUUCAAUGAUUUGCCACAUUGAAGUCGAAGUUUCGUGGAGCAAGUUCCCUUUUCCUUUUUUUUUUUCCUUCUCUCUCUCUUUUUUUUCAAUAGAUGAUUAAUUGUCUCAAAAUCAGUCAAAAAUUAAAUGGGGUUUAUAUUAAUAAAUUUGAAUUAAGGAUAUUUUUAUCAUUAAAAGGGUGUUAAAAGAAUUUUAUAAUAUUUUUAAAUAUUUUAAUAGGGUUAAUAAAAAAAAGAGGUGUUGAGAGAUAUUUAGAGGGGUGCCAAUAGUCUCACUCAAAAACUUUUGAAGAUGCUCUUACUAACAUAAUUUUCUCCCAUUUCCAUAAUGUCCGCGUUGAGUGCAUGUAAUCCACGAGUUUGAUUGAGCAGAAUAGCCGAAAGUCUAAUGAUACCCACAUCCAACUUUGUCACAAAGGCCUGGACGCCAUUCCUUAAGCCCAUGUUGUUUCGGUUUUGAUGUUGUAUUAUCAUUUCACGGGUUUUGGUGCUCUAGGAUUUGGGGAUGGUGCUUCAACGCUGUGUUUAAUGCGUCCCUUUUGGCACUUUUUGUUAAUUUUUAUUCCAAGAGCUAUGCUAAGAAAAAGAAGCAGGGAUGAUCAAAGUGUUGUGAUUGUUUUGUGUUUUCUUUUUUAAUUUAUUUGAUUUUGGUUAAUUAUGAAUGGUGGUAAUUGGUUGAAUGCAAUUGAAGAGAUGCUUUCAAUUGCCUAAACUUUGUUUUUUCAAUUUUUGUAAUAAAUGUCAUUUGUCACCACAUUUUUUUAGUCUCUCCCUUUUAAAUUCCCUCACACAAACUUCGGAUUUGUAUUUUGUAAACUAGUACUUUUCAUUUUCGUUAAUGUGUUAGCUAUUAUUAUCUACAGUUAUGUCAUACGACACACAUGUCACAUUAGCUAAAAUUAGAUUAUGAAUUUUGGGCACAGGACCAAGUCCCACCGUUUGGUAGGAAAUAAGUGUUGGAUCAUAAACUUGAUCCAAAAUAAAUAAAUUCAAGUCCAACUCAUGGAAGAUUCCAUGAGUAGGUAUACUUGGUGAGGUUUGAAUUAUUUGUGUUAGGUGUGGUAGGUUUUAAUGGAUGGUGAGAAUUUGUGUAUUAGUUGAAUAAAUAGAUUGUUGUGAUUAGUUUGUUUCAUGUUUAAAUACCCCCCUCCCCUUUGGUUUAAAUAUAAAGUGAAGUAACAAAAUCUCUAAGGUGUAGAGAGUGAAAAAUAAGAGUUGUAAUUAGUGAGGAGUGUUAUUGAAGAAAUAAAAUAGUGUGUUUUAUUUGUUAAUUCUCCAAAAAAUGGUAUCAGAGCUAGUGUUUGAUGCUAUAUAUAGUAAUAUAGCAUAUCAAAUCGAAGAUCUCGACGAGAGGAACGUGACGCCGCAAAAAUCAUCCCGAUCCGAGACUGGACGCGCCCACACAUGCCGCCGGAAGCUUUAUGUCCUGAAGCUAAGUCGACUCACCGAGUUGAACCAAGCUGAGCCGAACCGAACCAAGCCGAGUCGAGCUGAACCGAAUCAAGUCGAACCAAGCCAACUGGAGCUGAAUCAAUCCGGACCGAACCAAGACUAUUAAGCCAACGCUGACCGUUGACCGUUGAUUGAAAGUUGACUCGAGUCCUUCCCAAGGUUUUUUGAUGUGCCAGAUCCAUCUGUGCUUUUAGAAUCUCCAAAUUCUCACUCAAUUUAUGAGUUAUGGAAAAUGGUGGUAUGAUGUCAUUUCAAGUUCUACAAUUAAAGGGAAGUAAGUUUGACCAUUGGAGUAUUAAAAUGAAGACUCUAUUGGGUGCACAGACGUAUGGGAUGUCAUGGAAAAAGGAUUUAUUGUGCUAGAAAAUGAAGCUACUUUAACUGUGGCGCAGAAGGAGAAUUUAAAAGACUUGAAGAAGAAAGAGAAUAAAGCAAAGUAUCUCAUCUUUCAAUCAUUAGAAGAAGAUGCUUUUGAAAAGAUUGCUGGUACAACCUCCUCAAAAGAAGCAUGGGAGAAACUAGAGAUCUCUUACAAAGGAGCGGAGCAAGUUAAGAAGGUUCGUCUCCAAACAUUAUGAGGAGAAUUUAAGUCCUUACACAUGAAGGCGUCGGAGUCAAUUUCUGACUACUUUACUCGGGUUGUGACCGUUUCUAAUGAAUUAAAUAGAAAUGGCGAGGAGUUAAAAGAGGUAAGGAUCAUUGAAAAGAUACUUCGAUCAGUAGACUUGAAGUUUGACCAUAUUGUUGUGACAAUUGAGGAAACAAGAGAUCUAGAGGAUAUGACGAUCGAGCAACUUCAAGAAAGGCUGCAAGCCUAUGAAGAAAAACAAAAAAAGAAGCAAGGAAUCAAAGAACAACUUCUCAAGAUGGAGGUCAAUCCAAAGAAAAGAGAAGAAAGCUCCGACAACGGAAGAAGACAUAUUUAUCUCCCAUGAAAGCUAUACAAAGGAGAUUCUAAAAAGGUUCAAGAUGAAUGAUUGCAAGCCUAUAAGCACGACAAUGGAAUGCAGAGUCAAGUUAUCCAAACAUGAUGAAGGGGAAGAUAUAGAUCCAACAUUCUUUAAAAGUUUGGUCGGAAGCCUAUGUUAUUUGACAUGCACGAGACUAGAUAUCUUUUAUGUUGUUGGACUUGUGAGCCGAUACAUGAAGAAUCCAAAGACCACCCAUUUUAAAGUUGCAAAAAGAAUCCUUUGCUACAUCAAAGCUACAACUAAUUUCGACUUGUUAUACUCAUUUUCUAAUGACUACAAGCUUGUUGGAUAUAAUGAUAGUGAUUGGGGUGGAGAUGUAGAUGAUUGAAAGAGCACAACAUGAUUUGUGUUCUUCAUGGGAGAUACUGCUUUCACAUGGAUGUCAAAGCAGCAACCAAUUGUCACGCUAUCCACUUGUGAAGCUGAAUAUGUAGCUGCCACAUCAAGUGCUUGUCAUGCAAUUUGGCUUAGAAAUUUGUUGAAGGAGUUGGGUUUGCCACAAGAAGAGCCAACCAAAAUUUAUGUUGAUAACAAAUCAGUAAUUGCCCUCUCCAAGAAUCCAGUCUUUCAUGAUCGAAGCAAACACAUAGGCACUCGCUAUCAUUUCAUAAGAGAGUGUAUUGAAGAAAAGAAGUGCAAGUCAAGUAUGUAAAAUAACAAGAUCAAGCAGUUGAUAUCUUCACUAAGCCACUCAAGCAAGAAGACUUCGUAAAAUUCAGAAGUUUGCUUGGUGUCACAAGAUCAAGUUUAAGGGGGGGUGUUGGAUCAUAAACUUGAUCCAAGAUGAAUAAAUUCAAGCUCAACUCAUGGAAGGUUCUAUGAGUAGGUAUGGUUAGUGAGGUUUGAAUUAUUUGUGUUAGGUGUGGUAGGUGUGGUUGGUGAAGUAGGUGAGUGGUAGGUUUUAAUGGAUGGUGAGGAUUUGUGUAUUAGUUGAAUAAAUGAAUGGUUGUGAUUAUUUUUGUUUCAUGUAUAAAUACCCCCUCUCCCCUUUGGUUUAAAUAUCAAGUGAAGUAACAAAAUCUCUAAGGUGUAGAGAGUGAAAAACAAGAGUUGUAAUUAGUGAGGAGUGUGGUUGAUAGAAUAGAAUAGUGUGUUUUUUUGUGUGUUUUGUUUGUUAAUUCUCCAACAAUAAGGAGCAUUAAUGAAAUAUGUUUAAUUAAGUAAUAAUUUGUUAUUUUAGAGUGAAAAAUAAGGGUAAAUUGUAUUCUACCCCAUAUUAGAUUGACAAACUUCAAUUUACCCCCUAAAAGUACAAAAACUUCAACUUAUCUCCAAAUACCAUUUUCUUCCCGUUAAAUUCAACUAUCGAAAGCAUAAAAUUAUAGUCUUACAUUCUCUUAACAGUCAACUAACGGAUAAGGUAAUUUCCAUAAAACCCAAAUGUAGGGGCGGGCAACGGUUUGGUUUAGAAGUUAGGAACCGAAUGGUUUGAAAACAAACGAACCGAUUGGUUUAUAUUUGGUUUAGUUUGAACUGACAAACCGAUUGGUUCGCUUCAACUUAAUUAAAAAUACAUUUAUUUUAAAAUAUAAAUGCUUAAAAUAUUUUUUUUUUCAUUUUUCAGUUUCCUAAUCUAAAAAUGUUUCAUAACCCUAAAUCAACAGCCAUCUCUCUCAAGUUCGGCGGAGGCACAACAAGCUCUCUCGGUCUCUCCCUCGCAAUCUCAUGGUGAUUGAAUUCUUGUGAUGUCUCCACUUUUGUUUCUUGUUCUUGUGUGAUCGAAUUCUCUCUAUACACACAUACCCCAGCCUCUUGUUCUUUGGCUUAAUGGAGUUUCGUUUCUUUUCUCUCAGUUUCUUUCCUGUUGAAUUCUCGUGAUGUUUCUAUUUUUUUCUUGUUUUUUAGACGUGUUUUCGAAAUUGGCAUAAUGCGAACCAAACCCGAACUGAAUUUCAAAAUCGAAUCAAAUUGAACCAAACUGAAAUUUUUAUGUUCGGUUUGGUUCAAUUAAAAAAUUUGGUAUGCAUUCGGUUCUCUUUCUUAAGAACCAUUUGGUUUUAGUUCAGUUCGGUUUUGGUCUAGAAAAGAACCGAACCGAACCAAAACAAACCAUAUACUGGCCACCUUGCUCAAAUGUUUCAACAAAUUUCAAUGCACACUUAAACAUGUCAAUAAAAUUCGCUUUGUACCCAAAUUGAUAAUUUUUAUUUUUUAAUUAGUUAAUUUUUAACUGCAGAAGCAUAAAAAAUUAUUUCUUUUUAAAAUAAGAAAAAUAAUUUUUUUUCUAACUUUUUUCCUUUUUUUAUUUUCUAGUUAAUUUCUUUAUCUGGUUCGGUUCAUUUUUCCCUUUUUUAUUUCUUACUGUUUUCUGCAUGUUCUCCACGCUUCAACUUCGCCAAGCAUCAUAAGGCCACAAUAGCCAUGCCAGCAAUGGUGCAGCAACGUUAACGCCACUGUUCCAAGUCUUGGCCCAUCAUCUGCUUUUCAACAAACCUUAGCUUCUUCCCAAAUUCAUCAAUGAACCCCAGAACCAGACUAAUCAUUAAAAUUAUUAACAACCAUUUGCUUGGAUCAAUGUAUGCUUGGCAUGUCUAUGGGCUUACUUGUUAUGGUCGCUGAUGGCCUUGGGCUUGCCUGGAAUGGUCGCAACGCGCAGCCAUGGGCUUGCUUGGAAUGCCCGAACCCAGCUGCCAAGGUUUUGCUAGCGUAUCCAUGGAUUUUGCUGGACAUGGCAGUGCGAGGCCAUGGGUGUUGCCGGGCAAUGGACAUGGGUUUUGCUGGGCUGAUUUGGAAUUAACAGUGGCUAUGGAGUUGUUAAGUGUGUGAAAGAUAAAAAAAAAACGAACCAAGAAGAAGAUGAACAGGGAAUAGAACGAAGAAGAUGAAGAAAGUAGAAGAGAGGGAAAAAAUAUUUUGCUUUUUUAUAAAUUUUCGGAUUUUUAUUUCAAAAUUUAUAAUUUUUGUUUAAAUUUGAGAAUCUUAAGGGUAAAAUUUUCUUUGUAACUAUGUAGAAGGAGGUUUUCAGAUGGUUUUUGGUUGGGUUAACAUGAAAUAUGCUUGUUUUAUGAAAUAUUAUUAUUGAGGUUUUGUUUUAUUUUCUAAAAGUUAGAUUAGAGGAUGAUUUUCAUUAAUGACAUCCAUAAAGUUUGAAUUAGUUAUAUUAUAGAAAAAUAGGGAUUUAAAUGAUAUAUCUUUCCAACAUAAAUAUAUCAGUAACAUAAGUUAUUCUAUAAUUAACAGGGGUAUUAUCGUAUUUUAGUGAGUCAAUAUUGGUUGAUAGUUAAAUUUAACAGAUUUUAGAGAGUAAAUUGAAGUUUUUAUUUUUAUUUUUGAGUAAAUUAAAGUAUGUCAAUCUCAUAAGGGGUUAAAAUAUAAUUUACCCAAAAAUUAGUGUUAAAAUUUUAUAGAUGAGUGUAUAUUAAGAUGUUCAAAGUAUUAGGACAUAAUGAAUAUUAUCCUCAACCUCAAGAGAAACAUAUCAAUAAAAUAUACAAAAAUAGAAUGCAUUAGUACAUGUCAAUAAGAAGACCAAUUAGAUCAUGUCAUAUUUGUUAUGUGGUUAUUUUUAAAUUAAGAAAAGGAACAAUGAUGGUUUUACAAAGUUUGAAUAUAAAAUUUAUAAUCUAAAAUUAAUGAUAACGUGUUAUUAAGCUAAUAGAGUAAGAAGUCCCNNNNNNNNNNNNNNNNNNNNNNNNNNNNNNNNNNNNNNNNNNNNNNNNNNNNNNNNNNNNNNNNNNNNNNNNNNNNNNNNNNNNNNNNNNNNNNNNNNNNUUAGCUAUAGAGUAGAGUCCCAAAUGCAUGUACAUCAUAUCUUGGUAAGAAAUUGGUUCUACCCAAAAUACUUCUUUGUAUUGAAAUCAAUGAUGAUUGCUUGUUUAAAUCAUGAAAGUUAAAAUAAUUUUGUAAAUCAUUUCAUUCUUUAAUUUACGGUAUAAAAAUAAAUUAAAAAAAUGUUAAUUUCUCCCAUACUUUUAGGACUCAAAAAAUAACAAAAAGUCUUAACAUAUUUAAUGGUUAUAUAUAAAUCAUCCGUAUGUAUUUUUCUUGAGAGAAGCUCAAUUCGAUAGGCAAUGCUCCCCAUAGUUUUCUUUUCUAAUUAGAUAAAAGAACAAAAGAAAUUGAUUACAAUAAUUCACGGCGAAGUCACCUUGGUCUACCUGAUAUAUAUUACAGAGGUAAGCUUCUUUUUAAUGCCAAACUAGAAUAACAAACUUUAAUUUACUUCUUAAAGGGUAAAAACCUCAAUUUGUCCUUAUAUUUGUUCAAAAGAUACAUUUUGUCUUCUUAAUAUAAACAAGUUAAAUUGAUGUUUCACAUCUUUUAGAAAUAAAUUAAAAAUUGUUAUUCUAAGUAGGAGGUAAAUUUCAAAUAAAACAUGUGUUCAUAUGAUAGAUGUGCAUUUUACAAUAAUUAAUAAACAAAAAGGGUAGUGAUAUUUUCACCCUGCAAUUUUUGUAAAUCCACCCCCACUCCCAAGAAAUAAUUACAAUAAAUUCACAUAAUUUUUUAAAAACUCAAUAAAGAAAAUUUUUGGAGAUUUAAACUAUUAUAUACAAGAGGAUAGGAGUAAACAUUUUUCAUGCAGUAUAAAAAGAAUGGUGACACUCCUUUUCUUUCGGUAUUUUCGCACAAAAGCACGCUUAAUAACUGAUCAAAAUUAUUUCUCCUUUUCUUUGAUCGCUGAUUCGCUUCCCCUCUCCUGGAGCUGCUGAACUCCUUUGUUGCUGAUGAAGUGAACAGGUGAGGCUUUUCAAAUGACCACAAUAUGUAUAAAGACGAACUAAUUACACUAUCAGUGGCUCAAGGUUACCUUAAUGCAGAAGAGGGCAAAGAGAUGGAGAUUCGAUUCGAUUCGAUAAUAGUAGUUUAUUUUAAUUUUUAUUCAUUUAAUUUCAUAGCAGAAAUUUUUAUUUUCAUUUUUUUGUUGAAAAUUGGUAAAAACGAACUAAAAUGAGAUAAUUACAUUAAAACAAUCUUCAAUGACUAAAGUAAUUUGAAAAAAUAAAAAUAAAAAUAAACAAGCUCAAAAUUUACCCCUAAUCCGAACAUUAUCCGAAUUCAGCCUAAUUGACCCAAAUCUAAUUGUAAUCCAAACUUGACAUGACCCGCAAAUAAUUAUAACUCGAUCAGAUCCAAACUCAACCUGAAUUUUUAAUUCAAUACGAUCCAAUCCAAAUAUUCCAACCCCAUCAAAUUGAAACUUGAUCGGGUUGAUCCGAACCCGAAUUUGCCACUUCCGGAGGAGACCAUGACCCUAAAAGCUUUGAAAUAAUCUUUGCGGUUUCUUAAUGAAAUAUUAAAAGUUAUGUGCAAAAAGACUGAUUUGACCCUAGAAUACAUGAUAUAUAAAUUUCAGACAUUAUAUUCUGUGAAAUAAAGUCAAAGUAAACUGGUCGUUUGAUUUUUUAUUAAUUAUUUUCCAUUAAGACAAAAUGACAAAUAGACUUUUUUAAAAGUUUAAUAAAGUUUGGGCCUAACUCCUUGAUUUUUAUUUUUUAAUUAUUUUUCAUUUUGUUUUUUACUUGCAACAUUAGCUUUAAUUAUCAAUCAGUCUCCAAAUCAAAAUGACUGAAACCUGUAGCUACAAGCAAAAUUCUCAAAUUUUGAAAUUUCUAACGACUACUUAAUAGCUAUAAAUAGAAAAAUCAUCUAAAAUUAAUCCUCCUUCAGAGGCAGAUUAAAUUCUUAGUAAUUUCAUAUAAUUUCAUUUCAUCAGAACAAUUUUUCAAAAGCAAUUUUAUAAAUGGUUGUCGAAAGCUUUAUCCCUUAAUCAUAUUUCACGUAUUUUCUUUGUAAUAUGAGGCGCGUCCAUAGACCAUAGUAUGAUAUUUAUUGUAAUUAAAAUCAUUAUGGAACUGAUUUUAUUCUUGUUUCUCAAACAAAGUAUCUAACUGCAGAUGUAAUAAAUUACUAAUUGCCAUUAUUUGAGUCGCGCUCUUUGAAUUCGAUCUUGGAGUUUCAAAUGACCAAAUGAAUUAGUAAGAUAAUGGCUUUUCGUUCCGAGAGCUAUGCUAAGAAAAAGCAGGGAUGAUCAGAACAAAUAGUGUGUUGUGAUUGUUUUGUGUGUGUGUGUGUGUGUUUUUUUUUUAAGUUUUAUUUUGUUUAAUUAAGAAGGGUUAUGAUCUGUUCAUUGCAAUUGACAGAGAUGUUUUCAGUUGCCUAGACUUCGUAUUUUCAGUUUUAGUAAUACAUGUCGUUUUUCACCACAUUUGUUUAGUCUCUCCCUUUUAAAUCCCCUCACACACAAAAAAUUAGGAUUUGUAUUUUGUAAACUAAUAUUUUUCAUUUUGUUAAUGUAUUAAUUAUUAUUAUCUACAUUUAUGUGAUAGGGCACAUGCCACAUAAACUAAAAUUAAGUUAUAAAAUUUUGCAGCCCCUGAGCACUCAAUGUUUGUAGGCACAAGUUCAAGUCCCACCAUUUGUUAGGAUUUAAAUAAAGAACAUUAUAACCAUGCGUCCAAGAACUUAAAGUUAGCUUAAGUGCAUGGAUUCGAGUCCUAGUUAUUGUUGAAAUUCGAUUUCCUUUCUAAUUAAAUUAAGUAAGGGUAAAAUUAUCUCUCAAUUAAUAAAGACAGAGUAGAUAUCUCUCUUGAUUUUCCUCCCAAUUAAAUUAGUUAGAAGUAAAAUUAUCUCUCGAUUAGUAAGAGUAGAAUAAAUAUCUCUUUAGUAUUAUGCAAGGGUAGAAUUUUGGGUUGUACCAUGUUAGAAUUAUCAAGGAUAGUUUUGAUAGAAUUCUAAUUGUAAUAUAUAAGUGUAUAAAAAAAAUGAACAUUAAUGAAAGAUGUUUAGGUAAGGACUAUCUUGGAAUAGAAUUUUGAUUGUAAUAUAUCAAUAUAUAAAAAGAAAUUUAUGAAAAAUGUUUAACAAGGACUGUUUUGAUAUUUUAAUGAGUAGUAAAAAUUAAUGUUAAAAUUUGAUAGAACUUAUAUAAAUAAUCCUAGCUCUAAUAAAAUUUUGCUACAUAAUUAGUUUAUCCCUUAAAGAAACAUAUCAAAAAAAUAUACAAAAACACAAUGCAUGAGUACAUGUCAAUCACAAAUGAAAGCAAUUAAGAUAAAGAAUAUGAUUUAUUUUAUUUUAUUUUAGUUAUUUUUUUGUUUCUUUUGAAACAAGACCAAUUAGAUCAUGCAAGAAGUAAUUUUUUUUAAAAAAAUAAAAAAAGGACAAAUGAUGAAACCCACGUCUAAAGAUGCCGUUGUCGCGGAGGCCUAGAUCUCACUACACCCCAUCCCCUUCUACCAUAUUUUAUAAUUGAAGAGGUCAUUAUUGAAUUGAAAAAUUAUGAUUCAAAAAUCCAAAAGUAGAAAAAGAAAAGCAAUUGUUGGAAACACACUCGGAGUUUUAAAUUGACAUGAGAAAAGAAUAUAUUCAUCAACCUCAUACGUUAAAGAUGCGACGAGUUUAAGAAUAUAUUCCUAACGUGUGGGAAUUUAAAGAUGUUACUACAAAACAUGUGUUCGUCGGUGGAGUAGAAUCAGGGAAAUUAAAGAUGCUACUACAACCACUAACGUGUGGGUGGAGAUAAGCAUAACUUUUUUCAUCAAAUGCCAAAUCCCCCCAGGUGGAGAGUGGGGACUCCUUCGCAUAAAUGUUGAUAAAAUUUUGACUAUGAUGUUAUUAGAAAUUAGGGAAAACUUAUGGUGCAACUGUGAUAUCGUGUCAUAGUUGUAUCCAGCCGUUGGAUGUCAAUGGACUCUACCCAUACAAGUGUAUCCAACGGCUGGAUGUAAUUAUGGCACGGUACCACAGUUGCAUCGUAGCCGGACCCUAAAAAUUAAGAUAUUCUCUCUCUACGUAUGUCUGCACGAAAUAAUAUGCAAAUAUAGUAUUUUAGUUUAUUAUUAAUAGUUUUACAAUAAUAAAAAUCAUUUUGAUAGACAGGAAAAUGUCAUAUUCGCAUUUUAUUUUGUACGGACGUCUGCGAGAAAGAACAUAUAUAUAUAUAUAUAGAGGAACGUGUAUUUAAGAUUUAGCUAGUGUGAAGUUGGGAAAUUUUUUUUUUUGAACCCAAGCUAAAAUUAUUUCAAUAAAUUUUGAUCAUGGAGACUAACAAGAUUUUUUUAGUUAUAUUUAUUAAUUUUUUAGGGACUAAUAAAUUUUGAUCAUGGAGACUAAUAAGAUUUUUUAGUUAUAUUUAUUAAUUUUUUAGGGACUAACAUGAAUAUUAAUAAUUUUAUUGAGAUUAUUAAAAAAACAAUGUGCUAUUUUACAUCUAUGACUUUUCCAAUCUUUUUUUCUUUCGUUAUUUAUUCCUUUGUGAAUUUUAGUUAAUGCUUGAUAUUAUUUUUUUGCUCAUUUUUUAAAGUAGUAAUUAAAUCUGAACCCUUACAGUAGAAGAUUAUGAAAAAGUAAAGACACAAAAAUCAUAAAAAUCAUUAGUAGGUCCAAAUUUGUGCUAUUUUCAUACAUAACUUGAGAAUAUUUAUAAUUACGCAUCAGAACUAGUGGAGUAGAAUCAGGGAAAUUAAACAUUCUACAAUCAUUGACGUGUGGGGUGGGGAUAAGCAUAAACAUUUUCUAUGCAGUAUAAAAGAAUGCAAUAACUCCUUUCUUUCAUAUCUUCGCAACAAAAGCACAUCUAAUAACUCUUCAGAAUUCUCGUCUUCUUUGUCAGAAUGGUUGAUGCGAUCGUUUCCUCUCUCCUGGAGCAGCUGAUCUCUGUUGCGGCUGAUGAAGUGAAACAACAGGUGAGGCUUGUGACUGGUGUCCGAGAAGAAGUGAAAAAGCUUACCAGCAAUCUUCAAGCCAUUCAACUUGUGCUGGAAGAUGCAGAGAAAAGGCAAAUGCAGGACGACAAAGCUGUUACUUUUUGGCUGGAUCAGCUCAAAGGCGCAUCUUACGACAUGGAAGAUGUGUUGGAGGAGUGGACCACUGCAAGGCUCAAAUUGCAGAUUGAGGGCCUUGACGAUGACAAUACUCUUGCUCUUCCUGCUCAUAAGAAGAAGGUAUGUUCCUUCUUUCCUUCUGCCUCAAACUGCUUCGGUAGUUUCAAAAAACUCAGUCUUCGUCAUGACAUUGCAGUCAAGAUUAGAGAGAUCAAUAAAACGCUGGAUGAUAUUACCUCUCAAAAAGAUAGGUUUAAAUUUGCUGAGAAUGUGAGUAACAAUGUCAAGAAGCCAGAGCGAGUGGGAACCACCUCCUUGGUUGAUGAGGGAGAGGUUUGCGGUAGAGUUGAUGAGAAAAAUGAGCUCUGCAAGUUGUUGUGCGAAAGUAGUGAACAACAACAAGGCUUUCAUGUCAUUUCACUAGUUGNNNNNNNNNNNNNNNNNNNNNNNNNNNNNNNNNNNNNNNNNNNNNNNNNNNNNNNNNNNNNNNNNNNNNNNNNNNNNNNNNNNNNNNNNNNNNNNNNNNNNNNNNNNNNNNNNNNNNNNNNNNNNNNNNNNNNNNNNNNNNNNNNNNNNNNNNNNNNNNNNNNNNNNNNNNNNNNNNNNNNNNNNNNNNNNNNNNNNNNNNNNNNNNNNNNNNNNNNNNNNNNNNNNNNNNNNNNNNNNNNNNNNNNNNNNNNNNNNNNNNNNNNNNNNNNNNNNNNNNNNNNNNNNNNNNNNNNNNNNNNNNNNNNNNNNNNNNNNNNNNNNNNNNNNNNNNNNNNNNNNNNNNNNNNNNNNNNNNNNNNNNNNNNNNNNNNNNNNNNNNNNNNNNNNNNNNNNNNNNNNNNNNNNNNNNNNNNNNNNNNNNNNNNNNNNNNNNNNNNNNNNNNNNNNNNNNNNNNNNNNNNNNNNNNNNNNNNNNNNNNNNNNNNNNNNNNNNNNNNNNNNNNNNNNNNNNNNNNNNNNNNNNNNNNNNNNNNNNNNNNNNNNNNNNNNNNNNNNNNNNNNNNNNNNNNNNNNNNNNNNNNNNNNNNNNNNNNNNNNNNNNNNNNNNNNNNNNNNNNNNNNNNNNNNNNNNNNNNNNNNNNNNNNNNNNNNNNNNNNNNNNNNNNNNNNNNNNNNNNNNNNNNNNNNNNNNNNNNNNNNNNNNNNNNNNNNNNNNNNNNNNNNNNNNNNNNNNNNNNNNNNNNNNNNNNNNNNNNNNNNNNNNNNNNNNNNNNNNNNNNNNNNNNNNNNNNNNNNNNNNNNNNNNNNNNNNNNNNNNNNNNNNNNNNNNNNNNNNNNNNNNNNNNNNNNNNNNNNNNNNNNNNNNNNNNNNNNNNNNNNNNNNNNNNNNNNNNNNNNNNNNNNNNNNNNNNNNNNNNNNNUAGAAAAGAAUGUUUGUGGGUAGAAAUUAAUGGUACCAAAGAAUCAGUCAUAAACUCUUUUGGUGACAAAGUCCAUCACUUAGGGUUAAAGUUUGAAGAAGGCGCUUCAUUUCCUAUGUCCAUUCAUGGACUUAAUAGAUUGCGUACCCUCUUAAUUUAUGACCAAAGUCCUUACAAUCCGUCUCUUAGUAGUAGCAUCCUUCCGGAGUUAUUUAAUAAAUUGGCGUGUUUAAGGGCAUUAGUUAUAAGGCAAUCGUACUUAUUAUUUUUGUAUCCUGAGGCAAAUAGGAUUAGAGAAAUUCCAGAAAAUGUCAGAAAAUUGAUACAUUUAAAAUAUCUUAAUUUGUCUGAAUUACACAUAGAGAGACUGCCUGAGACUUUGUGUGAAUUAUAUAAUUUACAAAAGCUAGAUAUUAGGCGGUGCCCAAAUCUUAGGGAAUUACCUGCGGGGAUUGGGAAGUUAAUGAACAUGAGGAGUUUACUGAAUGCUGAAACUCGUUCGUUGAAGUACAUGCCAAUAGGGAUUUCCAAAUUAACCAGUCUUCGAACAUUAGAAAAGUUUGUUGUGGGUGGAGGUGUUGAUGGUGGCAGCACGUGUAGGCUUGAAUCUCUGAAAAAUCUUCAACUCCUUCGUGAAUGUAGAGUAAAAGGGCUGAGUAAUGUAUCGCAUGUAGAUGAGGCUGAGAGGUUACAACUUUACAAUAAGAAAAACCUCCUUCGUUUGGGUCUUCAGUUUGGUAGAGUCGUAGAUGGGGAAGGCGAAGAAGGGAGGAGGAAGAAUGAGAAAGAUGAACAACUUCUUGAAGCCUUACAACCGCCUUUGAAUGUAGAGGAAUUAGAGAUUGAAUCCUACCGAGGCAACAUUUUUCCCAAAUGGUUGAAUUCACUAACCAAUCUAAGGAAUUUAUAUCUUUCCUCGUGUUUUAACUGUGAGCAUUUGCCUCCUUUGGGAAAAUUACCUCUGGAAAAACUCGAAAUCAUCCACUUGAAAAGUGUAAAAAGAGUGGGUAAUGAGUUUUUGGGAAUAAAAGAAAGCAGUGAGGAUGAGCCGUCUUCAUCUUCAUCAUCAUCAUCAGUUACUGCCUUCACCAAAUUGAAAUCUCUCAAUAUUUGGGACAUGGAAGAAUUGGAAGAGUGGAAUUACAGGAUUACGAGGAAGGAAAACAUCUCCAUCAUGCCCCGUCUUUCUUCCUUAACAGUUGGUUCUUGCAACAAAUUAAAGGCGCUGCCGGAUUACCUUCUUCAAACGACGGCACUACAGAAACUGAAUAUUAAUUGUUGUGAAAAUUUGGAAGAACUGCCCAUUCUAGAAGAUCACAGGACAACAAGUGUAGUCUGUUCCUUGAUGAUUUUGGAUUGCCCCAAAAUAAAGGUGCUGCCGGAUUACCUCCUUCGAACGACGACACUGCAGGAAUUGACAAUUGUGGGAUGUCCUCUUCUACAAGAACAUUAUAGAGAAGACUGGCAUAAGAUAUCUCACAUUCCCCACAUCAUGGUGCCGGUAAUUUCUCCUCCUCCGAUUUACUUCGUUGUUGCUUGCAAUAAAAUGAAUAAAAAUAAUUAUAUCUUUAAUUCUAUAUAGAAUCAAUCAUGGUAUAAAUAUGUAAAACUUCCUAGUUAUCAAAUCUGUUAAACUUGUUUCCUAAAGAUUAAAUAAAAAAAAAAACAAGUGUAGUCUGUUUAAAUUCGAUAAUUACUUUUAAAAAAAUAUGUGCUCUUUUGUAAAAUUUCAUGCAAUCUCAUAGAAAAUCCCAAUGCAAUUUAGUUUUUAAUGUACAAAAAUUUGUUAUGUGUAACUUCCUGAGAAACAAAAUCUCUGUGAUACAUUUGCAGUAAUGUUGAAAACUAAAUUAUCAAUUUUGCCUUGCAUACUGAUAAUCGUAUUUUUUUAUAUAUAAUUUAUGUGACAAUAAUUCGUUAAAGUAAUUGUGUAAUUGUUUUUAGUAGUACAUUAGCCCACUUUGUUUUAUUUCAUACGAGUUUAAUUAUGUUCAUCAGGGACUCGAGGAAAUGUCAGAACUACACUAGCAAUUCACAUCGUCAUCAUCGUCAUCAUCGGUUACUGCCUUCCCCAAGUUGAAAGCACUCAAAAUUAAUUAUUUGGAUGAACUGGAAGAGUGGAAUUACAGGAUUAGGAGGAAGGAAAACAUCUCCAUCAUGCCACGUCUUUCUUCCUUGUGGAUUCGGUAUUGCCCCAAACUAAAGGUGCUGCCGGAUUACCUUCUUCAAUUGACGACACUGCAGAAAUUAAGGAUUGAGCUAUGUCCUCUUCUGGAAAACCGUUAUAGGGAGGCGAAAGGAGAAGAUUGGCAUAAGAUAUCUCACAUUCCCCACAUCGAGAUAUCACCCGACGGUAAUUUCUUCUCCUCCUCUGAUUUACUCUGUUGUUGCUUGCAAUGAAAUUAAUAAAAAUAAUUAUAUUAUGAAUUAAAAUUCUGUAUAUUGCCAAUGUGUGACAGGAAUAUAUUAUAUAUUUCUAAUAUUUUGAUUUGCAUAUUGAAUUUAACUAUUUACUUCAGCCAUUAAUUUGCCAAUAAUUUAAUGGGUCACUCUAUGAUGCUGUUAUAAAAAUUAUAAAACCAAUCAUGGUAUAAAUAUGUACGGUUUGAUUUAAUCAAUAGUUCAUAAAUUUAAAAGUUAGUUAGGAUAAUAUUUUAAUUUUAUUUAUUUAAAAUUUAAACUUCUUAGUUAUCAAAUCUGUUAAACUAAUUUUCUAAAGAUUAAAUUAUUAAAAAAACUGUAAUCUGUUGAAAUUCCUAUAUUUUCUUUUAAAAAAUAAGUAGACUUUUAUAAAAUUUCAUACAACAUCAUGGAAAAUCCUAAUGUAAUUUAUUUUUUAAUGUACCAAAAUUUAUCAUGUGUAACUUCCUGAGAGACAAAAUCUCUGUGAUACAUUUGCGGUAACGUUGAAAACUAAAUUAUCAAUUUUAUCUUGUAUAAUGAUAAUCGUAUUUUUUUGUAUAUAAUUUAUGUGACAUUAAUUCUUUAAAGUAAUUGUGUAAUUUUUUUAGUAGUACAUGAGCCCACUUUGUUUUAUUUCAUACGAGUUUAAUUAUGUUCACCAGGGAUUCGAGGAAAUGUCCGGUCCAAUCUAAUUUCGUUUUAAUGAUGCAGGCAGGAGAGUAUGCUAAGAAAAUGAAAAGUUUAGCCAAAGGAUUGCUAAAAUGUUCUACAGGUAAUUCACUUGAUUUAUUUUAUAGAAUUUCAUUUCCAUCUUCUUCUAUUGAUAUCUUGUUGUGAAUAUACAAGAACAAAGAAGUAAAGAUAUAUCAAAAUUUACUAUUACGAUGAUGCUAAGGCAAGCUCAAGCUCAAGCAUUGCAUUUUAUAUUUUAUUUAGUUAAUAUAAUUUUCAUUUCCACCUGCAUUUCAUUUUUUGGUUGACUUUGAAGACUCUAUGGAGAACAUUGGGGUAACCAAGGAUUAUCACUGUGGUUAUUGUGCAACGUUUGGUUGCUGGACUUUGAAGAAGGAAGUGAUGGCCGGGUCUGCUCUGUUUCAAUUGAGGAUGGGUAGCUGCCUGAAAGACAUGAUGAUUAUUAUUGCGUGAUGUUAAGGUGCUGAGAUCAUCAUUGCUAUCUUGUUUCAUUCUUGGAAUCAUUUAUCCUGUAUAAACAUUUGUUUUAACAAAUGUUUCAAUGCCUGCUGUAGUAACAAUUUCAUAUCUUGCAUCUCUCGGGUGCAUCGUGAUCACGGGUUUGAGAAAGCAUUUGUGGUAAAGCUUCAAAGCUUGUACAAUGGCUGUGAAAAGGCACAUUCAAUUCGGUACGUUUGGUGCGGUCUCCUAAUGCUACUACCAUAUUUUGUAUAGCAAUUAAAAUUCAGGUAUACAAUCUUAAUAUGCAAUAAAUCAUUGAGUACAAAGUUAUCUAUUAAUUAUAUGGUAACUGAAAUUUUCAUUAUAAUUUUAAUUACAUAUUAAUAUUAAAAUUUUUUGUAACCCUCUUUUACUUUGCUUGUACAGAGUACCUGUUUUGGCUGAUAUGUCUAAUUCGUAGAAAUUCAUUUCCAUCGGUUUCCAUUGGUUUUAGCACAAACAGAAACAGAAAUCUGGGAAAAAGUUUUACUUCUUCUGGUAUUAUGCCUUUAUUUAUUCAUUCAUCAUAUUUGUUCGAAUUCAUGCUCUCAUUCAGAGAGCAGCCUUUUCCAGGCUACUUUGUAGCCAAAUUUUCAUGCCAUCGAUGCAUGAUUGUCAUUUAGAUUUUCCAAAUAAUUGUUAGAUUGAAGAAGAAUAAGAAGAUAUUGUUAAAAGGGUAUUUAAUUAGCACCCUCUGAAUUUAGUUGCCAAUAAUGCAUUGAAAUGGUUGGGGAAAGUUAUUGUCUCAAUUAAAUUACAGGUGACAAGAUGCUGCUCCAAUUUUGCAAGCAUCUCGUGUUUCGAGAUUUUGCCCACAUGAGAUGCUAUGAUUUUUGACAUCAGGGUAACAAAGGUCAAAUUUUAGCAUCAAUAGAUAUCAUCUUCUUUACUGUUCUGCUCGAAAUAUUAAACUUUAGGCAAGUUGUUUUUGUUUGUGUGAGUUAUCAGGUUAAGGAUACUAAGCAGCUUAUUAAGGCAAAUGUCAGAAUGAAGAUUUUUCACCGCACCUGGUAUGAAUGAUGGCGAGGAAGAUUAAUUGUUCACAAGCCAAUUUGAUCAGUGUUAGAUUCUUUUGCCUCCCUUCGAGAGAUAUCAUCAUCAAAUUUGAGAAGAGAGUUUUGUUUUGACAUUUCACUGUAGUGAAUUUUGGGAGCUUGAACCCACUUCAGUGAAAUAUUAGGGAAUACUGGGGAUAUGGGUUAUGAGUGAUCGUUAUCCUUCAAAUAUUUGUAAGCUCUCACUUGUUAGUAAAAUCAUCUUCGUAUAUUGACUUUGUUUCUUUGUUGUCAGGCCGAGUGUGAUCUUCAAGGUUUGAGAAAGUCUUCGCAGUAAAAUUUCCACCACGUGCAAUUGCUGUGAAGGGGCAUAUACAUUUGAGUAAUUCAGUUUCAGAUUUUCAAGGCGCGUUUGUUUAAUUAGUUUCGAUUAUAAUAUUUAGUCACUCAUUCUGAAUCUUUUCUAAUUUUCAAGUUCUUUAGGGCCGCCGACAGUUUUUUAAGUCUACAUGUGGUUGCAAAAAGAUUGAUGGUCAUCAAAUUAUCUUGAGCCUUGAGGCAUUGCGUUCGAGCACAAAAGGAAACAGAACUAAGGGAAAUGAAGACAGUAGGAGAUGCUCUGAAUAUAACAAAAGUAUAUUUCUACUUCUUGUGGUUAUUUUAAUUUUGUUUCUCCUGUCAUCAUAUUUAAUUAAUUCGUUUGAAUUCACACUCUCACACAUUAUUUAAAACCAUCUGCAGGUGGUUUGCAAGCUAGCUAAGUUAAUCCAAAAACAAUACUCUAGACAAAGAUGAGCAAAUUGAAGGCGACAAAUGCAAAUUGGAUUUCCAUGAAUAAUUGUUAGGCUGGUGGAGAUAUUCUUAAAAGGGCAUUAAGCUAUCUUAUGGAAUUGGAAAGUUAUUAUUGCUUGAAAGCAAGCAGCAUCUUCGUUGCGAAGGCUUUCCCCACCUGAUAAAAUGCUGAGAUUGUUACCGGCCCCUUAAUUAUUUAUUAACUCAGGUAUUUAUUAUCAAUACAUCAUCUUAUUCACCAUUUUGGCUAUAUAUAAAGAUUAAAAUUUCUAACAGUUGUUUCGGAUUCUUGUGUACUCAGGUUAAUAGGGCAAAUAUCAGAAUGAAGAUUGCUCAGUGCAACCGAUAGAGCAAGGAUGAUAGUUGUGAGAAAGAUUGUUGGCAAGACAAAUAGAGUCCUCCAUUUGGAGAAAUAUCAUCCUCAAAUUUGAAUUGUCGAGCAUGUGAGGUGAAGCUAAAGCCUUAAUAAUGAGACCUUCCUGUGGAAGUUUCAUUUGAAUGAAUUGAACGUUCUUAGUGAGUGAGAAAUUAAGUAUAUAUCAGCGAUUUUGGUCGUCUGUGAAUGUUUCCCUUCAAUAUUAAUACACUGGCAUUUCUUAGUAAAUUCGCUUCACGUCACUUCCUCCUUGUUGGUGGGACUAGUAAACAAAUGUCAUUUCUUAGUACAUUUUGAGAAUUUUGAUUCCCAAAUAAGCCUGCAGAACGGUGUAUGGUGGGAUUAGCUGCAGGAUUCUUUGCCAAAAUUCCUUUUUAUUCCUUUGUUCACUUAUUCGUUAUAAAUAAAGUAAAAUUAGAAUAUUGUUCCGUUUACUGUCUAAGCUGGUCUAACAUUUGUUUAAUUUGGGCAAUUUUUAAUGCCUAACAGGUUAUCUGUGACAAACCCAUCGGUCACUAACAAUUUUGAAGUUAUUGGAGUAGCACGGCUUUGAGGUCUCUCCCUCCCUCUUUUACGUAUUUGUCUAUCGAUCGACAUGUCUAUAUAUACAUUGAUAGACCAACUUACUCUUGUUUUAAUGUUUUGUUUGUUAAACUUGACUGGGGAAUGUUUAUUUGUCUCAUAUGAUGUCAAUGUGGUUCCAAUUGAAGUGUAUAGAUCUGUCACCUCAAAGUCUGAUUUCAAUUUUCCUUUACUUCAUCAACUAGCAUCCUUUCCAAGUCCAGAUACUUACCAAUAGUGAGACUUUGCUACGGAAGUACAAUUUCUCUUGUUUUACAGUUAAUUAUGUAAGAAUAGUUUUAAAUUUACAGAAUUUUGAAAUAGCUCUCUUAAGGAAAUGCGAGUGGUGAAUAUGGUUCCAACUUUUAAUAGGCUUAAUAGGCCCAUUUGUUAAGCCACAGUGAUUGCGGUCUAAAUUCUUCUUUACUGUCUAUAUGUGUUGGAGUUUGUCUAUUGUCCAACUUCUCAAAUCGAUUCCAUGCAGGGUUUUGAAUGUCUAAUUAGGAGAAAGAUUAACGGAUGACCUUUUGAAGAAGGCUUACACAACAGGCCAUCUCAGGAUGUCAUGGCUCAGCUCAAAAGUCCCCAGGUGGUUAAUGACAAUGUGCCAUUGUUUCUGGGCUUGGUCUCCUUGGCAUCAAACAAGAUAAUGUUGACUCUAUUAAAGGGGAAAUAAGGGCGACUAAAGCGCGAAGAAAGAGGAUAGUCCGGAGGAAGGUGACUGCAUAAAUUUGUUGGAGUUAAUGUAGUCAAUUGCCUAAUUUUGCUGCCUGUCGAAGAGACACAUCAUGGAAGUCCUCAUCAAACUCUGAGACACCUAAGAAAUAGUAUGAGGUGGUGGUAUUCCCCUGGUGUUAAUUUCCUGGCAAGUGUGGUUCACAGAUAGAGGGAUUCUUUUCUUGAUGUCUAAAUACCGUAUGUGAUACAACGUCGUAUAUUCUAAUUUUCCUUGAGUUAAAUUCUAGUCAGUUAGGAAAGUUAAUUUUGUUUUCGCUAUGGAUUGUUUCCUAGAUAAAAAUAGUUUCCAUGUUUCUUUGGGGUCUUAUUAACUCUCUGUAACCCAGUUCAAGUUUGCAAAUUCUAUUUCAGAUUUCUCAUAUAGUGUGCCUUUGUCACUUCUGUGAUACACUUUUGAUCACAAGUUUCCAUUUGAAGUAACCAAUAUUCUUUAUAGACUAAUUAUCUAAGGAUUAUUUUAUACAAAAAAUCAAAACUUUAAUUAAUUGAUCAUACUUAACUUGGCUUUUGUUUGAUAUUACUAGCUGUUGUGAGAACCAAAAAAAUAGCAGAAAGUUGACAAUGUGCAGUAAAUGUAUGACUUUUAAAUAAUAAUUUAAUAAAAUUAAUAAAGAUAUUAUAAAUUUUUUAAUAAUAAAGUAUGAGAUCAAAUCAAAUUAAUUUUUAAGUCAAAAUUGUUUAAUUAUGUAGUUUAAAAGUAUAGUAUCCAACCUCAACACAAUAGAGAGAUUUCUAUUUACCAAACUCUACCCAACUUUGGUUGUACUGACUCGAUCAUGCAAGUCCAUACUCGACGCGUUGACCAUACAAGAUGUUACUCAACUUUAACAAAUCUUACUCAAACUUUGCACGUUUAGCAUGCCGAAUGGAAUAUGAUAGUAGAUGAUGUGAUAGAUAUUAUAGGAAUAGUCGUAACAAAAUUAUAUUUAGUACUUUUUUAUAUUUUAUGUGAUGAACAGAUGUAGUAUAUGAAUGGAUUAUAUUACAAAUUUUAGUGUUAUCAUAAUUAAAAAAUUGAAUUAUUUUUUAUUAUUGAAAAACUGUAAUAUGUUAAAUAACAGUUAUUUUUAUUAAUUUUUUUUAAUGAAUUAUACUUUUAAAUUAUAAUCGAAAAUUCUUAUUACUGAACUAAUAAAAAAUUAAUUAGCUCAAGAGAUAAAUUCACUUAGUGUAGAACGAAAUGGUGUGUUAUUUUUAUGUGGGAUCCACAUCCUUUCCACAUCAACCUCAACAUCCAAACAUGAAAUUGGACUAAAAAUAGUUCUUUCCCAUGUAUUUACGUAACCUCCUCCCACUAAACGCAAAUAUUUAUUCUUGAUUUUACUAACAUAAUUUUCUCCCAUUUCCAUAUUGUCCGCGUUGAGUGCAUGUAAUCCACAAGUUUAAUUAAUUUUUUUUUUUUUGAGAGAGGUAUGUUAAAAUGAAUAUAUCACAUUUUUUUCUUUUUUCCUUUUUUUUGCGUGAGUGAUGGCUUCGUUGAAUGACAGUUGGCUGAUAAUAAGUUAUCUUUUAAUUUUGUUUUUGAUUUAAUAGAAACUAUUAAUUUUUGUAGUUUCGGUAGAUGAAAUUUCGAAUCAAAUAUUAAUAUUGUUAAAGUACGCAACCCAAUAUUUACUUAAAUUACAAAAAAGAUUAAUUGCUUUGCAUAAAAAAGAAGUGAUCACUUGAUUUAACUUCCUUUACUAAAUUUACGAUUUAAAAUCCAAAAUAAAAAAAAGAGUUUAUUAUUGAUUAUCUUUUUCCCAAAUUUAAGCUAAGACAGUAAUAUGUCCAAAAUACCCUCCACGUUAUCCUAAAACUUUAUGAAUUCCCCCGUUCCUCUCAACAUCAUCUCUUCCAAAUCUUUCUUCCCCAAAAAACCAGCCAUGGCUUCAUAUUUAGUUACCUCAACACUCCAAUAUUGGCUUGUAAACAGCAGCGGUUCAACCUCUAGGCAACUUAGGUGGUUGCAUAGGACUCCGCUUUAUAUGAAAGCCCUACAAGAUGAUUAUUUUGUAUAUAAAAGAGGAAAAUGAAUUUAAAAGUCAUUAUUAUUCAUUUAAUUUAUUAUUAUUUUGUAAUUAUCUUUUUCUAAAUAAACUAUCAAAUUCUUAUCAAGUUUAUUUAAUGUAGUACUUAAUUGUUUUAAUUUCUACAAAACCAAUAAAUUAAUAGUUUCAAUCCUAAAAAUUCUCUAUUUCAUUGUUAGAAUUAAUAAGUUAUAUUUCAAAAGUUUUAUAUUUAUUUUAAACCUCUAUAAAAACCCCACAUUUUAUUACUUAUCCAUUAAAUUUUUCGUUCAACAAUCAAGACAUCUUGGUGUUUGAGAGAAAGAAAGAGAGAGGGAAAAAAAUCUUGCUUCCUCUACUUUCUACUCUAGAAGAAAAAGAAAAAAUCAAAUAUUUUUCUCUAUUUUCUAUGACUAUUGGUUGCUACUCAAAUUUUCAAACAACAGCCUUAAUAUAAACAUAAGUUAAUUUAUGAUUUCAUCUCAAAUUUCUGAUUUUAUCUUUUUAUUAUUCUCUUAAUUAAUUGUGUUGUUAUUUGUUCUUAUUUCUUUUUAUAUAUUCUUUUCUUCAUCUACUUUUUUUGUGCUUGUUUUAUCUAUUUUGAAAUAAAACUAUAUCAAAAAAUUUUAGACAAUAGGAGAAUAAAAAAAUUAGAUUAAUUUAAAAAAAUAGUAAAAAAGAUAUAAUUUAACUUAAAAAAAAGUGAAAAUGUUAUAAUUGAAUUAAAAUUUUAUGACUUAACAACAAUAGAAUAAAUUUGUAUUUAAUAAUUUUAUAUUUUAAAGUAUUUAAAGAAUUAAUUUUUAAUAAAUAAUAUUAAUAUAUAUAUAUAUAUAUAUAUAUAUAUAUAUAAGUUACUUAUCUCUCCAUCCGCACUUACCUCUCCCUCACAUUCAUCCUCAACCACACAUCAACAUCAACAUCAACAUCACCUCUCAUUGGACCCCACAUCCUCAAGCCCAUCACAGCCGUCCAUAACCUCACCCUCCUCCUCCUCUCCCUCAUCAUGGCCGUUGUUUGCCCUCUCUCCAUCAUCCUCCAUUUACCGCACCUCCGUUACACCCUCUGUUUCCUCCUUACCAUUUCUCCGUCUGGCACGGCCUAAUUCCGACGGAAUCAACGACGGUCGUGAUGGGUUUUGGCUGCGACUAUUCGCGCUUCAAACGGCGGCGUUUCGGUUGGUUUUUGGCGACAGUGACGGUGGGAAAGUGAUGGCUGGCUCAGGAGCUUUCGUUGCUACCAUCCAUGGCCGGUGAGGUGGCCGAAAAUCGGAUAUAUGUCUGCGUCGGGUUCGCAGUUUUGGGUCGGGUUUUCCGGGUCAGUUUGACAGCUUCCUCUAUCCCUCUCCCCCAUAAAACAUUACCCAGCUUCCUCUUAUUAUUAUUUUUUUUUUCACAUACGUUACAGAACAUUAAUGAGAGAUGUUUAGUAGUAAGGACUAUUUUGAUAUUUCGAUGAGUAGUAAAAACUAAUGUUAAAAUUUUAUAGACGAAUGUAGAGUAAGAUGCUCAAAGUACUAGAACAUAUAUAAAUAAUCCCAGCUCUUAUAAAAUUUUGCCACAUAAUGAGUUUUAUCCCUUAAGCAAAACAUAUCGAUAAAGUAUACAAAAGCACAAUGCAUGAAUGAUGGUCUUACAAAGUUCGAAUAUAAAGUUUAUAAUCUAAAAUUAAUGAUGUGACAAUUAACCUAAUGGAGUAAGAAGGCCCAAAUAGAUUAUAUUUUGCUAAAGAAGUAAAUUCUACCAAGAAUACCUCUUUCUAUUGAAUUUAAAUGAUGAUUAUUUGUUUAUAUCAUAAAAACUAAAAUAACUGUGUGAGUAAUUUGAUUCUUUUACAGUAUAAAAAUAAAUUCAGAAAAUGUUAGGGCAUGUUCUGUGUUUUAUUUUUAAAUUUAUAUUAUGAGAAUGAAAAUGGUGUUUUCAAGUUGAUAAAUUUUCAAUUGAAAUAUGUGUUUGUUAUUAUUUCAUUUAUCCUAUAUUUUCAAAAUGAAAAUAACCGAUAGAUAAAGUUAAAAAUGAUAAAAUAAUGGAUAUAUUAAGCAAUUUUACUACAUGCAAAUUAUUUUCUGUGUUUAAAGUUCAUAUAAAGCUUGUUUAUUUUUCAACAUACCAACUUACAACAAUAAUAAUAAAAUUUUUGUGAUAUCCAAUAUUAACUUUUUAAAGUAAUUAUUUUUUGUUAAUGUGUCCGCUGUUCAAUCGAUCUUCCUACUUUCUAUGCUUGAGAUUAGAUCAUUUGCUUCAAAGAUUCGAACUGGACUUAUAGUAGGAAAAAGAAUUUUCUUCAAUAUGAACUCUAAUUCUCUUUUAUAUAUAUAUAUAAAAAAAUCUAAUUCUCCUUUCAACAUUUUAACAUUUUGAUGAAAUAAAAAAUUAUUGGCGAAAGAUUACAUGCUUCCUUACUUUAGAGAACCAAAUACUCAGAUAGGUAGUGUAAAUCUCUACUGAUCGUUGGUGAUUUUAUCAAAAUAAAAUUCAAUAAAAUGUAUAAGAACACUUAAAUCCGUCCAAAAAAAAAAAUGACCCAGCAAAUAAAGAAAAGUACUGUGAAGUAAAAAUUGAACAAACCUAGAAAGAAGAGAAGAAGAAGAAUGGAAGAAGGAGAUUCGGUUCAUAAAUCAUGGAGGGAGAUGAGACUUAAGAGAUAGGGUUAGUGAGACAGACGAGGUCCUAGAGUCUUAAAGAUGAAGACUAUCUAUUAUUAGUUACUUAUUAUAAUGAUGUUUAUUAUUAUAAUUUAUUUUACAAUUUUUUUUUAUGAAACAAGUAAAACAUGUUUAAGUUGUUUUGUAAUUUAUAACUGUUAGAGGCAAGUCAGAUUCUGUGUUUUACAAUUAAAUUUUAUGAGGACUACUGAACGCUUAUUUUACUUAGAUUUAUAAAACGAAAAUGAGAAUGGCCAGUAAAAAACAAUACCGAAUGCCCACUUACUUCAUCUCAUACUCUUAGGUCACAAAAAUAGCAAUAACUCUAACAAAUUUAUUAUUGAAUGUGAAUGGUUAUAUAUCGAUCAUUUGAUACGUAUUUUUCAAGACAGAACCUCAAUUCAAUGGACAAAAGCUCCUCUUAAUUUUUCUUUUCUAUUUAAAUAAAAGAACAAAAGAAAUUGAUUACAGAGCCAUUACUUUUCCAAGAAUUAAUAAACGAAAAGGCCCAUAAUUUUUGUAAACCCACCCCACUCUCAAGAAAUAAUUACAAUAAGUUCAAAUUAUUUUUUAAAAAUUGAAAUAAAGAAGAUGUAAUUACAAUAAUUUGGAGAUUGAAUCAAAUAAAAUAAAAGGGUUAUUUUUACAUACCUCCCCUGAGGUUUCACCUAAUAUCAGUUUAAUAGAAAGUAUCUCCGUAUUUUUACAUCCCUCCCCUACAGUUAGUAUAAAGUUAUGUAUAUCAUCAGUACACAAGGCUAAAAUCGUAAAAGCUCAUUUAAAAUUCGUUUUAAUCGUAUCAAGUGGCAUCGUAAUCAAAGCCAAUAAACCACCAGCCAUGGCUGCACUCACUCCCUGAAACGCCAUCACAGUUUUUGAAUCCGGCCUAAUCAUCAUCAUAUCACCCUCACGGUCACCAUAUUUCCUGCGCAAGAAACACCCAACUCCACCCCAAACAAGCCUUUGAGCAACGGAAUAAGACGCCCACCAAACUGCAUUUGAUGGUGCAUUUGUCAAGAUUGAAAUCCCGGAGCCCAUAUACAAUCCUCUAACCCCAUCAUUUCUAACAAUCUUCCUAAACAUAUCAACCCCAUUUACGUAUCUAGCAUCGGCCCCAUUAGCCACCAUAAGCCUCUGAGUCAAAACAUCAACUGGGGUCCAGACAAGCUGAGCAGCCAUGGCAGCACUCAAUCCACCAACAGCACUAGCGACCGCCGCCGCCGCAGUAAACCCUAAGUCACUAACAGCAAAGCUGCCAACUUUAGUUAAAUAAAAUUAAUUUAUUUGCUUUGAUUACGAUUAACAGAUGCAUAUCUUUGUGAAAACUUUGACCGGCAAGACCAUCACUCUCGAGGUGGAGAGCUCCGACACGAUCGACAAUGUCAAGGCUAAGAUCCAGGACAAGGAAGGGAUUCCACCGGACCAGCAGCGGCUGAUCUUCGCCGGAAAGCUCAUCUUUUAAUAAACUUUAGGAAAAGACCCCAUCACCAUCAUCGUGACCAUCUGCUUCCCUCCUUGUUUGUUGUUCCUUCAUUUUCUUUUUAUUUCUUCUUCGUGGAAUCGGUCUUAUUUUCUUCUUCUCUCACUAUUGUAGGUUGUUGUUGGCAGAGGGACGAAUUGUGUUUAUUUGCUUUUAGAAUUGGCUAAUUUAAUUGAUAUAAAUUGUUUUGGUUGUGCCGCGGACAUAAAUUGAAGUUUAGUCGACGGUGCUUUCAUAGCAACAUUUGGUGCUGUUAUUAUGGAUACCAAGCUAAAGUAAGAUGACGUUGGACAUGUUAUGAGGUUUAGUUUUUUUGAAUUGAUUUUUUAUUUGAAUUUUUGGGGAAAAAUAUCAAAAAUGGAAAGCUUGAUUUUAAGAAAACAAGGAUGUGGUUUUGUUGGCGAGGUGGUACAGGGGAUUUUAGUUUUUGUUGGAUGAAAGAAGACUGUCAACCUUGAAAGGGUAUUUUCAUCCUCUUGUUAGUCCACUAACGGUCAACUGACGGAAAUACUAACUGCAGGGGAGGGAUGUAAAAAUACGGAGAUACUUUCUAUUAAACUGAUAUUAGGUGAAACCUCAGGGGAGGUAUGUAAAAAUAACCCUAAAAUAAAAUACCCAAACUAUUAUAUACAAGAACUCUUGAUUUUUGGGGUAUUUUAGUCAUUUUAUAUUAUCAUGGUAAAUUAGUCAAAUAAAACUUAUCUUAAAGCAACCUAAACGGUCAAAGACACCUAAGUUAAAAAAAAAAUUAUACGAAUGAUUUAAUUUAUUGAUUGUCUAUACGUUUUAUUGAUUUAUAUAUUUUAAAAAUAGUAUGAACGUAUUACAAUUAUUUUCUGACAGCAAGGUAGAUUUGUAAAAUAAGUGGGUAGAAAAUAUCCCCGUCCUCAAACAAAUAAAUGAAUUAUCGGUGAUGCAUGCUUUUUUCCAACUUUUUUUUUUUUUCUUUUGGUUUUUUGUUUUUGUUUUAAAUGGCACUGGCCCGACCACUACAAAUUAAUUAGAGAAUAUUUACAAUUAUGUAUCACAGCUGUGGAGUAGAAUUGGGGAAAUUAAAAAUGCUAAAAUUAUUGACACGUAGGGUGGGCGACAAUAACCACAAACAUUUUUCGUGUAGUGUAAGAAGAAUGCAACAACUCGUUUCUUUCAGUAUUUUCGCAACAAAAGCACGUUGAACAACUUAUGAAAUUAUUUCUCUUUUUCUUUGCCAGAAUGGAUGUGAUCGCUUCCCCUCUCCCGGAGCAGCUGAACUCCUUUGCUGCUUGUGACUUACCAUAAAUCUUCAAGCCAUUCAAGCUGUGCUUGAAGAUGCAGAGAAGGCAAGUUGAUAUAAGAUUGUUGCAUGGAAUAAGCAGGGCAUCUUCCGAGGCUAGAAGUUGGGCUACGAGUAUUCGUUUUGGACAUAUAAUAUAGUUUCCAAGCUUGCGAUGAGUCGAACCAAAUGCAGAACAACCUAGGCUGUUAUGCUCUGCGAUUGAACUAAAAAUUUCACUUCUUUUAUAGUCGUUUUUUAGUUUUAAGAUAUUUUUCUAUUUUUCUUGAUUCUUCUAGGAUUUUUAUCAUUUUUUCUAGAUGUUGGAUUUAAGUGCCAUCUGUUUUCUUUCUCUUAUUUAGAUUCGAAGAAUUUUAUUAUCAUAUAAUAUUUUGAAUUUGCUUAGUUUGUUAAAUUUGCUAUAUUUAGGCUCCUAUAAAUGGGAUUAAAAACCCUAAUUUUGUUCAUUCAAAUUAUUCUCAAUAAAACUUAUUAUUCAAAUACUAGUUUAUAUUAUCUAAUAGCUUUUUAGUGUUUCUGCAUCAUCAGCUGGUAUCAGAGCAAGUUCACUUGUCAUCAUGGUGCGACCACACAAUCAAAGGAGCAACCAUCCCGGAGACGAUGUUCAAAUAUUAGGUUAUCUCUUGUAAGCCAUAUUCAUAAAUGUAUUGAAGGAAAGAUACUUUUUUCUUGUCUUAAAUGAUGUGUGGGAUGGACGUUACAAUUAAUGGGAACCAUUCUUUUGUUGUUUAAAGAAUAGUCUCUACGAUAGUCAAAUUUUGAUUACUACACGUAAUCAGUUAGUAGCAAGCAUGAUGAGAUCAACAAAUCUUACCUUUCUUAAGGAAUUAAUUGAAGAAGAAUGUUGGUCAUUGUUUAAGCAGGUAGCAUUUUUGGGUCAAUUCUUCAAGGAUCGUGAUCAAUCGAUCAAAAAAUUGCAUUUAAGUGCAAAGGCUUGCCUUUUGUUGCAAAGAUAAUAGGGAAAUUCUUACACUAUAAAUGACCAAUAGAAGAAUAGAAAAUAAUUUUAGAUAGUGGAAUGUGGAAGGUAGAAGAGUUUGGGAAAGGUCUUCUGGCUCCUUUGUCGUUAAGUUAUAAUGAUUUGUCGUCCAUAGUAAAACAAUAUUUCUCACAUUGUGCUAUCUUUUCAAAAGGUUACAAUAUGUGUAAAGAGGAACUAAUUACACUAUGGAUGGCUCAAAAUUACCUUAAAUGUAGAAAAAGGAAGAGAUGGAGAUCCAAUCCAAUCUGAUAGUAGUAGAUUAUUUUAAUUUUUAUUAAUUUGAUUUCAUAGGAGUAGUUUUCAUUGUUUUGUUGAAAGUUGGUAAAAAAAAAACUGAAAUGAGAUGAUUACUUUAAAACAAUCUUCAAGAACUAAAAUAAUUAAAAAAACUCAAAAUAAACAAAAAGGCUUAAAAAUAACCGUAAUCCGAACAUUGUUUGAAUCCAUCCUAACUAGCCCGAAUAUGAUUUUAACCCAAACCCAACCUAACUCGCUUAUAAUUAUAACCCAAUGCGAUCCAAAUUCAACUUGAAUAUUUGAUCCGAUCUAAUCCAAUUUGAAUAUUUUAACCCUAUCAACCAGAAACCCAAUUAGGUUGAUCUGAACCCACGUUUGUCCACUCCCAGAGGGGAUCAUGACCCCACAAGCUUUGAAAGUUUUUUGGAAUUUCUAAGUGAAUAUUAAAAAUUAUGUAUAAAAAGACUGAUUUGACCCCUAAACACUUGAUAUAGAAACUUUAUACAUACAAUAGAAAUUUAAUUUUAUAUUUUGUGAAAUAAAGUCAAAGUAACUGAAUUUUUUUUUAUUUUGUUAAUUAUUUUUCUACUAUGACAAAAUGACAAAUAGCCUUGUGCCUAGCUCUUUGACUUUUAUUUUGCUAAUUAUUUUUUUCAUUUCUCUUGCAACAGUAACUUCAAUUAUCAAUCAAAGUCGCCAAAUCAAAAUCUCUGCAGCCUGCAGCUACAAGCAAACUUCUCAAAUUUCGAAAUUCCUUAUGACUACAUAAUAGCUAUAAAUAGAAAAAGCGUCUAAAAUAACUAUGUUUUUCUAAGUUUGAGCUUGAACCCCCUGAAGAUUUACUCCAUACGUAACAAAAUAUUAGUUUUGCUAGUAAAAUUGCUAACUAUGUUUUUCUUUGUAUUUCCGCUCAAGGAUAAAGAAAUUUCCCUAGACUUUUGUGGUGAAUAUCUUACGAACAUAUGACAAUUUAAUCUUUGGCUGAGACUUGUUUAACAUAAGAGAUGACACUUUAAAGCAAUAGGAGAGAGAGAUAAUAAGCUUUGUUCCCCAAAAAAAUCUAUCAGAUAUAUUAUGCCCCCGGUUGCUAUUUCUAAAAAUAGUCAUAAUUACUAAAAAAUAAGUAAUUCUUUUUUCAUAUAUUAAAAUGGUAAACUGGUGGAUAAAAUUUAAAAUAACUUUUUAUCUGUUUUGACAUUCGAAUUUUAAGCUCGAGAAGUCAAGCAAUAAAUAAACCUUUUUGAGAGGCUAACUAAAUUCUUAGUAAUUUCAUAUAAUUUCAUUUCAUCAGAACAGUUUUAUCAAAAGCAAUUUUCUAAAUCUUUGUGGAAAGCUUUAAUCCUUAAUUAUCUUUCACAUAUUUUCUUUGUAAUAUGAGGUAAGCCAUGGACCAUAGUAUGGUAUUUAUUGUAAAUAAAAUCACUAUGAAACUGAUUUUAUUAUUAUUUUUUUCACAAACAAAGUAUCUAGCUAACUGCAGAUGUAAUGAAUUACUAAUUACCAUUAUUUGAUUCGCUCUCUAAAAUAGUGUUGUGUGUUGAUUCUGUUAUGCAUCUAGGAAUUUCAAAUGUUAUGACAUAAGUUGCAUUGGAUAUAUGUAUAUCAUAGAUUACAUUAUGAAGAAGACAAGAAAUGGAUCCAUACGUUAAAGCAAAAUUGAAAAAAAAAAAUUGCUAGGAGAUGAUUUUAUCUGAAAUUUCACCUGCACGGUAUUGGCCACAUAUAAAUUUGUGAUGAAAUUCAUAACGGAUUAAUAUAAUUGAACGAAAUUACUCUAUACAAUUUCAUAAGUAUGUAUUAUACAAUUAAAAAUCUAUUGAUAUUUUCAAUAAAAUAAUAUCUCUACUAUAAGUGAUGGGAUAUAUAUUUGUGGGGAAUGACAAAUGUAGAAAAUUGCAGUAAUAAAGGUGGAAGUGGAACUUUGUAAUAAUUAAUUAAUGUGUUUACAAUUCUGUAAGUAUAAUAAAAUAAUAGUAAUAGGUAAAUUGUAGAAAAUUAAUGUGUACUUUAAGGCACAUUACAAAUGUCUCUUUCCUAAAGAUAUUAUUUUUCCCACCAAUUCAGUGAUGCAUAUAGGCUAAACAAAUAUACCUCCGGGAUACAACGAAUCACUUAUUUGUUUGCUUGUGUUUUUCAUCGAUGAAAGCAAACUUGAAUACUUUUGAAUGUUGCAAGCUUGCCGAGAAUCAAUAUAUUAUUCCCGUAGUAAACAAUAUAUUAGAUAUUUGAUGCAUAUAGUAUAGAUGUUAUACAAUAAAAUUUGUUUCAGCAAAGAGGGUUGAGAAGAGAGUGAUGUAGUAUCAUUAUUUCCAUGUUUAAAAAUUAAUUCUAAAUUAACUACAACAUGCAAUCUUUUAAUAUUCACAUGUCCUAAAUGAAUAUGCUACAAAAAUAAUGAGUCAAUCAUGUAAGCAGAAGAAACAUUAAUUUUAUUAAUAUUGGGCUUGAACAUUCCCAAAUACAUGUAUCCUUUCCCAAUAAAGGUACCACCCUUAGACAAUGCAAAUUUGCUUUGACUCAAAUAAGGUACCACCCUAAUAUAGAUACAAGAUUUUUCCUACCUUUAGAUACAUGAUAAACAUCAAUAUGAGUUAAAGUUUUUCCACAAGUGAACUCUAGUUGCACAUUCCCUCUAAUUGUUGCAAUGGAGGAAUUUCCCAUCUAAAGAACACUUCAAUCAUCCAUUGCUUUGUAAGAUGUGAAAAGGCUACGAUUCUUGUACACAUACUUGAUUGCACCGGAAUCUAUUCACCAUGCAUUAUCAUGUUCAAGAAUAUUAAUUUAAGAUAUUAUGGCCAUAAAUUUUGUCCACAAAAUUUGUGUUCGAACACUUCUUUUCUUUCUUAAGAAGUUGAUAGUCUUUUUUAAAGUGGCUAGGCUUUUCACAUUGGUCACAUGUACACUUUUUUUUUUUUUGUUGGUUUGAUUUUAUUUGGAAUCAAAGUUUUGCUUUGACAGUCUUUUUAAAGUGGCUAGGCUUUUCACAUUGGUCACAUGUACACUUCUUUUUUUUAUUUUGUUGGUUUGAUUUUAUUUGGAAUCAAACUUUGGCUUUUGGUUAUUAAUGUGGUCAUUAGACUGCUUAAGCUUCUUCUCCUCCUCCACAACAUUAAUUUCACAGGACAUAGCAGUCUGUUCCUCAAGACUAUUAAGUCUAAGUUUCUAUUCAAUAUGAAGACUUUGCCAAGCCUUCCAGGCUAAUUUCCUCUUUGUUAUAUUUAAGACUUUUUUCAUAGUCUUUUCAAGAGGGGGGAAGUUUAUCAAUAAUUGAAGAAAUAAUAGUAAACUUAUUACUUUUCAUGUUGUGUUGGUUGAAUUGAUCAAGAAUGCAAAAAUUCUCAUUAUAUUGUUCAAUCACAAGUCUAUUAUCAAUCUUUUUAUAACUAAAAAAAAUUAGAAGUCAAGAAUUUCUUACUUGUGGUGUCUUCCAUUAGGGGUGGGCAAAAUCGGGUUCGGGUCGGGUUCGGGUCAAUCCGAUCGGGUUUCGGGUUGUUCGGGUUAGACAAAAAUUAAUCCGAACGUAACCCGAAUUAUGAACCCGACCCGAACUGACCCGAACUAAGUUCGGGUCAGGUCAAUUGUUAAAUGGAAUUGGAAUUCGUAUAUUUAAUCAAAAACUCCAAAUUAGAACCGUUAGAGAACCGAACUGAAAAAACUUGAAAAGAAUGAAUCUGGCUAUAUUUGUGAACCAGAAACAAGCCAGCGUUAUGCUUACGCCAUUUCAUUCUAUCCUGUCACCCAUAGACAAAAUGAAUCUAGAUGCAUUAUGGCUUUUCUCCUUAAACCUCAAGAGCAUUUUCGUCCUCUCAGUCAAGCGUGAAACUGCAUGUACGAACUGCUUCGCUUUCACGCACCGGUAGCUACAGCGGCAAGAGCAUUUUCGUCCUCUCAGUCAAGGGUGAAACUGCAUGUACGAACUGCUUCGCUUUCACGCACCGGUAGCUACAGCGGAAGACCCAGGCCGAGAUAAUUUAUUUCUUCCAACCACAAACUAUGUUUUGUUCACGAAUUACAAACUGUGCAGCUUGUGAUUUCUGCCGUUCUGCGUAUGUGAGUGCAGCAGCGAUAUGUGUAGUGUUAGGCUGUUAGCUUAGGUUUUUUUUUUUUUGGGAACCCGAUCAGGUAUUCGGAUCGGGUCGGGUUUGAUCCGAACCGAUCACAACCCGAUCGGGUUUGUAAAUUUCAAUCCGAUCGGGUUUCAAUCCCAACCCGAUCCGACCCGAACCCGAAAUUUAUCGGGUCGGGUCGGGUCGGAUCGGGUAAAAUGCCCACCCCUAUCUUCCAUCAUGUACUUAGACUCCAAUAAGUCCUAUAUUUCUUUUGCUGUGGAUUUUGUUGUGGUACUUAUCAAAACAAAGUACUAGACAUGGCAUUGUAAAUGUGUCCUAUGCACACGUAGACAUCUUGCUUCCACUUUUGCCACACUCGAGUUUCUCAUCCUCACGUUCUUCAGGCUUUGAUAUUGUAAGAACAUAAACAACAUUGAGGCUUGUCAACAAGAAAUGUAAUAUUUUUUGCCAACGUAUAAAAGUUGUGACCAUCAACUGCUCUAAUUUGAUAAAAUCUACCAUUGAAUUGCGGAUGAGAUGAGCACAGUGUCAUUGUUACAGAAAGAAUGUCUUAAGAAUGUUGGGAAUAUAUAUUUUUAGGGAAUGACAAACGUAAUAAUGGCAAAUGUAGAGAGUUGCAGUAAUAAUGAUUAUGCCACAAAGAUAAUGAGUCAAUCAUGUAAUAAUGGCAAACAUAGAGGGUUGCAGUAAUAAUGGUGGAAUUUUAUUCUAAUAAAAUAAUGAGUUUACUACUCUAUAGGUACAACGAAAAAAAUAGUAAUAAGUAAAUUGUAGAAAUUAAUGUGUAUUUCAAGGCACUUUACAAAUAUUACUUUCCUUAGACGUUAUUCGCCCCCACUAAUUGAGUGAUGAAUAUGGGUUAAACAAAUACGCAUCGACGAUACAAUGAAGUACUUAUUUGUUUGUUUGCAUUGUGUAUCGACGAAAGCAAACCUAAACACUCUUAAAUGUUGCAAGCUUGUCAAGAAUCAAUAUAUUAUUUGCUGAUAUAUUGUUCCCGCAGUAAACAAUAUGUUGGAUAUUUAAUGCAUAAAAUAUAGAUGUUAUAUGAUAAAAUUCGUUUUAGAAAGGAGAGUUUAGAAACGAUUGUUAUAGGAAUGUUAUGUUCAUGUCUAAAUGGCCUAAACAUGGCCUCUAUUUAUAAAUAUACUUGUGCCCUCCAUUUGGAUUGUCAUUUUUCAUGAUACCCAUUCAUUUAUGGUCAUUGGAUCAAGAUAUGAUUUUAAUCAAUUGUCUAAAUUGGUCCAUCACCAUUUCAAGUGAAAUUACAAUAUGAAAUGAUACAUUCUUAAGUGGAAAGAUACCUUUUAUAUGGGACAAUUACUUGGACAUGUUUUUAUAAUAAAACAUCAUUUAUUUUGAAAUUGUUACAGCACUAAGAUUAUUCUAGGUUAAGUUAAUCUAUUAUAUAUAACUUCAGAAGGUUCAUCGGUAGAUUGUUUUAAGUUUUUGUCGUAGUUUACAAAGAUUUUGUUACUUGUAAUGUAAGAAAUUUUAGAAAUGUUGGUGCUGAGUAAUCUGCAAAAUUAUUAUGAAUCAGAGAAACAGGGCAGAUGUUGUACAAUUAUUGUUGUGGUGGAGCGGAAAGGUAGCCCGAGAUGGUGACUGCUAUUGGGAUUUCUUUAAUUUGCAGCAUAAAAGCAUUUACAUUGACAUCGACUCAAGGGUAAAAAUUAAAUAUCUCAUGUAGCAUAAGAAGAAUGCAAAAAUGCUUGAAUGAGCAUUCUGACUCAAUACACAAAAGCUACUUUCCCUUGAGCACUUUCGCAACAAAAGCAAAUGUAAAAUUUAGCAUUUAAAUCUAACAUCAAAUGGCUGAUGCCAUCGUUUCCAUCCCUUGGGGAAACUGAAUUCCUCUACAUGAUAUUACAGUCUGGAGCGGCUCUUACCUUAGGCAACUUAGGAUAAUUUAGGCGGUUGCUCAGGACCCCACAUUUAACCUAGGACCCCAUUAUAAAUGAAGGUUUCUAAUUUAAUUCCUAAAUUAUAGUUAUUAAUUAUUGAUUUAUAUUUAUUAUUUAUAACUAUAUUUUCCAUAAACAAACUACUAGAUUCUUACAAAAUCCCCUUUUAACAUUAUAAUUAACAAUUUUAAUCCACUUAUUUCCUCCAUAUAUUUCAUUUAAAACUCUAUAAAGGCCACACCUUUUUUAAAUUAUUAUCCAUUAAUAUCUUUUUCCAAUAAAAAAAAACACAAAACCUUCAUUACUUUGGUGAAAAAACUACUUUCUCUACCUUACUUUUUGCAUAAGGAAGAAAAGAAAAUCAAUUGUUUUACUUUCUUUUGAUCAUUGUUGCUCAAAGUCUCAAUCCAUCAAAGUUAAAUUUCUCAAAUUUUCAAGUUUUAUCUUCCGAUUCUCUUAUUAAUUAAUUGUGUUAUUUAGGUGUUUUUGUUUCUUUGUAAAAAUAUUAUUCUGCUCAUAGGUUGUUUUCUUUUAAUUAUCUAGCAUAAUUGUUUGCAUGAUUACUCUUGUUUCCUUAGAAAAAAAAUGUCUACUAAAAACUAUGCAUCAUGAUACAAAAAACUUCAUAAAAGGAGAAGAAUACAAAAGUUAGCUUAAUCUAAAAACGUGCUAUUGAUAAAAAAUUAUUUAAGAUCAACCAUGUCAUAGGAAAGAUUAAAUAGGUUAACUAUAUUAUCUAUUGAGAAAGAUAUAUUAGCAAAAUUAGAAUAUAAAAAGUUGAUUAAUAAUUUUGCAUCUCAGAAAGUUAGAGAAAUUUAUUUUAAAUAAAUAAAACUUUAAUAAAAUUAAUACACAUAUUUCACCUCAAAUUUUUUGAAAGGUCUAAUUAAAUCAAUUUAUUUAAGACCUAAAAUAUGAUUGAGCCGCCUUGAAAUUGCAGUAAGAUAGAAAUGUGAAAUAGACAGAACACUUGCUCAUACGUUAAAGAUGCGACGAAUUUGAGAAUAUUUAUGUUUAUGUGCCAAAUUCCUAAUGUAUGGGAAUUUAAAAAUGUUAGUGCAGAACAUGUGUUCAUCGGUGGAGUAGAAUCAGGGAAAUUAAAGAUAAGCAUAAUUUUUGCAUCCAAUGCCAAAUUCCCCCAGGUAGAAAGUGGGGACUCCUUUGCAUAAAAGUUGAUAAAAGUUUGACUAAGAUCUUAUUAGAAAUUAAUAUAUUCUCUCUCCACAUAUUUCUGCACGAAAUAACAUGCAGAUAUAGUAUUUUAGGUUAUUGUUAAUAGUUUUACAAUAAUAAAAAUCAUUUUGUUAGAUCUUAAAAUGUACUCACACUCUAUUUUGUGCAAAAGUCUGCGAGAAAGGAUUUCAGAUUUACCUAACGGUGAAGUUGGGAACUUGCUUUUUUACCUAGGCUAAAAAUAUUUCAAUAAAUUCUGAUCGUGGAGACUAACAAGAGUUUUUUUAGUCAUAUAUAUAUUUAUUUUUUAGGGACUAAUAUGAAUAUUACUAAUUUCAUCGAGAUUAUUAAAAAAACAAUGUGCUAAUUUGCCAAUAUGAUUUCUCCAAUCUUUUUUCUUUUCGUCAUUUAUUCCUUUGUGAAUUUGAGUUAAUGCUUGAUAUUAUUUUUCUGCUCAUUUUUUAAAGUAGAAGAUUAAGAAGUCUACUGCUGUUUAGCUUGGUAGGCUAUAAAUAAAGAGGCGCAUAUAUAGAAGGCUUAGAAAUAACUCUCAUUCUCAUCAUUGCAAAAUGGCUUCUCUUCGUUUUCUCCUUGCAGCUGCUCUUGUAGUUGCAUUUGUGCUUGAGGGAUCAUAACCAGAUCAAGCUCAACUUUCUCCCUCUUUUUAUUCUUCCACAUGCCCUAAUGUAACCAACAUAAUUCGGGAGGUGCUUCAGAAUGCUUUCUUGUCCGAUAUUCGCAUCGGUGCCAGCCUCGUCAGGCUUCAUUUCCAUGACUGUUUUGUUAAUGGCUGUGAUGCAUCGAUUUUUCUGGACAAUACUACUACCAUAGAAAGCGAGAAAUUUGCUGGGCCAAAUAAUAAUUCAGCGAGGGGUUUUGAAGUUGUUGAUGACAUGAAAGCUGCCGUUGAAAGGGCCUGUCCAGGCGUUGUUUCCUGUGCUGAUAUUCUUACUAUUGCAGCUGAACAAUCUGUUGCUCUGUCAGGGGGUCCUUCAUGGACAAAUCUAUUGGGAAGAAGAGACAGCAGAACAGCAAACAGGACUCUUGCAAAUGAAAAUCUUCCAGUACCGAACAAUAGUCUUGAGAGGCUCAAAGAUAGAUUCAGAAAUGUUGGCCUCAACGAUAAUUUUGAUCUUGUUGCACUCUCCGGAGCUCACACAUUUGGAAGGGCUCAGUGCCGAACUUUUAGCGAUAGAUUAUUCAAUUUCAACAACACUGGCAAUCCAGACCCAACACUUAACACAACCCUCUUACAGCAACUUAGGCAACUAUGCCCACAAGGUGGAAACGGCAGCGUUCUAACUAAUCUUGAUGUCACAACACCUGAUGUGUUUGACAACAAAUACUUCUUCAAUCUUCAAAUACACAAGGGCCUUCUGCAGAGUGAUCAAGAGUUGUUUUCGACUCCCGGUGCCGAUACCGCUGCCAUUGUCAAUAACUUUGGCAGGAACCAGACUGCUUUCUUUGUAAACUUUGUGACUUCAAUGAUUAGAAUGGGCAAUUUGAAACCACUGACGGGAAAUCAAGGGGAGAUUAGAUUGAACUGCAGGAGGGUCAACGGAAACAGCAAUAUCGCAACAAGAUCAUCAUCAUCGGAGGGUGAUUUGAUCAGCUCUUUCUGAAUAAGCUAGUUUGCAGCUAACGCGAGAGAAAGAGUUUGUGGGUAACAAACUCAUGAAUUUACUCCUAUGUUUUGCCUGAAACAUGCUUUGUAUUUUCAAUAAACUAAAGUUGUGGUUGUGUAUUCACGUCCUGCUUUCUAUGUAUCAGAAAUCCUUGUCAUAUUGUAUGUGUUUCUUUUUCUUUUCUUUUUUUUCUCCCAAAGUCAUCGAUAUGUAUUUUCAUUUGAGUCACAAGUUUUUAAUACCCCACUUUAUCCUCUAGCUUUUAAAAAAAAAAAAGUAGAAGAUUAUGAAAAAGUGAACACACAAAAAGCAUAAAAAUCAUUAUUAGAUCCAAAUUUGUGCUAUUUUCAUACAUAACUUGAGAAUAUUUAUAAUUACGCAUCAGAACUAGUGGAGUAGAAUCAGGGAAAUUAAACAUUCUACAAUCAUUGACGUGUGGGGUUGGGAUAAGCAUAAGCUUUUUCUAUGCAGUAUAAAAGAAUGCAAUAACUCCUUUUCUUUCAGUAUCAUCGCAACAAAAGCACAUCUAAUAACUCUUCAGAAUUCUCGUCUUCUUUGUCAGAAUGGUUGAUGCGAUCGUUUCCUCUCUCCUGGAGCAGCUGAUCUCUGUUGCGGCUGAUGAAGCGAAACAACAGGUGAGGCUUGUGACUAGUGUCCGAGAAGAAGUGAAAAAGCUUACCAGCAAUCUUCAAGCCAUUCGAGCUGUGCUGGAGGAUGCCGAGCAAAGGCAAAUGCAGCAAGACAAAGUUGUUACUUUUUGGCUGGAUCAGCUCAAAGACGCGUCCUACGACAUGGAAGAUGUGUUGGACGAGUGGGUCUUUACAAGGCUCAAAUUGCAAAUUGAGGGCGUUGAUGAUGACAAUGCUUUUUCCCUUGCUCCUCACAAGAAGAAGGUACGUUCCUUCUUUCGUGCUGUAUCAAACUGCUUUGGUAGUUUCAAACAACUCGGUCUUCGUCAGGACAUUGCUGUCAAGAUUAGGGAAAUCAAUGAAAAGCCAGAUGAUAUUGCCUCCCAAAAAGAUAGGUUUAAAUUUGUUGAGAAUGUGAGUAACCAUGUUAAAAAACCGAAACAAGCGCGAACCACCUCCUUGAUUGAUGAGGGAGAGGUCUGCGGUAGAGUUGACGAGAAAAACGAGCUCUUAAGCAAGUUGUUGUUUGAAAGUAGUGAACAACAAAAAGGCCUUCAUGUCAUCUCACUAGUUGGGUUAGGGGGCAUGGGUAAAACACUCUUGCACAACUGGCCUAUAAUAAUGAUGAGGUGAAAAGAAAUUUUGAAAAAGUUAUAUGGGUGUGUGUAUCAGACACUUUUGAGGAGAUUAGGGUUGCCAAUGCAAUUAUUGAAGGUCUAGGUGAGUCAGCUUCUAGUUUAAGCGAAUUCCAAUCUCUUCUAAGCCAUAUCCAUAGAUCAAUUGAAGGAAAAAAAAAAUUUCUUGUCUUAGAUGAUGUAUGGGAUGGGGAUUAUAAUAAAUGGGAACCAUUCUUCCAUUGUCUAAAGCAUGGUCUCCACGGAAGUAAAAUUUUGCUUACCACACGUAAUGAGUCAGUUGCAUGUAUGAUGGGAUCAACAAAUAUUAUCUUCAUUGAGCAAUUGACUGAAGAGGAAUGUUGGUUGUUGUUCUAGCAGUUAGCAUUUUCCGGUCGCUCUUUCGAGGAUUGUGAAAAAUUAGAACCAAUCGGGCGAAAAAUUGCACGCAAGUGCAAAGGCCUGCCUCUUGCUGCAAAGGCAACAUGGAAUCUCUUACGCUCUAAAAGUACAAUAAAAGAGUGGCAAAAAACUUUAGAUAGUGAAAUGUGGAAAGUAGAAGAGAUUGGGCAAGGCCUUUUUGCUCCAUUGUUGUUGAGUUAUAAUGAUUUGCCCUCCAAUUCUAUGGUAAAACGAUGUUUUUCAUAUUGUGCUGUCUUUCCGAAAGAGUACAAUAUAAAAAAAAAGGAACUAAUUUCACUAUGGAUGGUUCAAGGUUACCUUAAUGCAGAAGAAGAUGAAGAGAUAGAGAUGACUGGGGAAGAGUAUUUCAACAUUAGCAGCACGCUCUUUCUUUCAAGAGUUUAAAAAAGAUGAUGAUGAUGAUGAUAUUAUGAGCUGUAAGAUGCAUGACAUAGUACAUGAUUUUGCCCAAUUUGUAAGUAGAAAAGAAUGUUGGUGGGUAGAAAUUAAUGGUACCAAAGAAUCAGUCAUAAACUCUUUUGGUGAUAAAGUCCGUCACUUAGGGUUAAAUUUUGAAGGAGGAGCUUCAUUUCCUAUGUCCAUUCAUGGACUUAAUAGAUUGCGGACCCUCCUAAUUUAUUUCCAAAGUCCUUCCAAUCCGUCUCUUAAUAGUAGCAUCCUUUCGGAGUUAUUUAGUAAAUUGGCGUGUUUCAGGGCAUUAGUUAUAGGGCAACAGAACUUUAUAUUUGAUCCUUACCCAAAUUUGAUUAGAGAAAUUCCAGAAAAUGUCAGAAAAUUAAUACAUUUAAAAUAUCUUAAUUUGUCUGAAUUAUGUAUAGAGAGACUGCCUAAGACUUUGUGUGAAUUAUAUAAUUUACAAAAGCUAGAUAUUAGGUGGUGCGAAGAUCUUAGAGAAUUGCCGGCGGGGAUUGGGAAGUUAAAGAACAUGAGGAGUUUACUGAAUGGUGGCACUCCUUCGCUGAAGUACAUGCCAAUAGGGAUUUCCAAAUUAACCAGUCUUCGAACAUUAGAAAAGUUUGCUAUGGGCGGAGGUGUUAAUGAUAUCAGUACGUGUAGGCUUGAAUCUCUAAAAAAUCUUCAGCUCCUUCGAGAAUGUGGAAUAGAAGGGCUGAGUAAUGUGUCACAUUUAGAUGAGGAUGAGAGAUUAGGACUUCACAAUAUGAAAAACCUCCUUCGUUUAUCUCUUGAGUUUGAUGAGGAAGGUGAAGAAGGGAGGAGGAAGAAUCAACAACUUCUGGAAGCCUUACAACCGCCUUUGAAUGUAAAAGAAUUAGGGAUUGUAUCCCACGGAGGCAACAUAUUUCCCAAAUGGUUGACUUCACUAACCAAUCUAAGGGAUUUAAGACUUAAAUCGUGCGUUAUCUGUGAGCAUUUUCCUCCCUUGGGAAAAUUACCGUUGGAAAAACUCACCCUUUAUGGCCUGUACGGUGUGAAAAGAGUGGGUAAUGAGUUUUUGGGAAUCGAAGGAAGCAGUGAGGAUGACCCAUCUUCAUCUUCAUCAUCAUCAUCAGUCAUUGCCUUCCCCAAAUUGAAAUCACUCCACAUUGGGGCAAUGGAAGAAUUGGAAGAGUGGAAUUAUAGGAUUACAAGAAAGGAAAACAUCUCCAUCAUGCCGCGUCUUUCUUCCUUGACGAUUUGGUAUUGCCCCAGAUUAAGGGUGUUGCUGGAUUACCUUUUUCAAUCGACGACAUUGCAGAAAUUGAGUAUUUCUUAUUGUCCAAUUAUGGAAGAACUGCGCAUUCUAGAAGAUCACAGGACAACAGACAUACCACGUCUUUCUUCCUUGGAAAUUGAGUAUUGCCCCAAAUUAAAGGUGCUGCCGGAUUACCUUCUUCGGCGACGACGCUGCAGCAAUUGAGUAUUCAGGGAUGUCCUCUUCUGGAAAACCGUUAUAGAGUGGAGAAAGGAGAAGACUAGCAUAAGAUAUCUCACAUUCCCUACAUCGAGUCCGAGUGGUAAAUUCUCGAAUGGUUGCAAUUACUAUCACCCACCGGUAAUUUCUCUCCCCUAUUUUACUUUGUUGUUACUUCAAACAACGACACUGCAAACAUUGACAAUUUGGGGUUACAGAGAAGGGGAAGGAGAAGACUGGCAUAAGAUAUCUCACCCUCCCCACAUCAUGCGGUCGGCGUAAGAUAUCACUCGCCGGUAAUUUCUCCUCCUCCUCUGAUUUACUCUGUUGUUGCUUGCAAUAAAAUUAAUAAAAAUAAUUAUAUUUUGAAUUAAAAUUCUAUAUAUUGCCCAAUGUCUGACAGGAAUAUACAAUAUUUUCUAAUAUUUUGAUUUGCAUAUCGAAUUUAACUAUUUACUUCAACCAUUAAUUUAUUGGGUCACUUUAUGAUGCUAUUAUAAAAAUUACAGAAUCAAUCAUAGUAUAAAUAUGUAGUGUUAAAUUUAAUCAAUAGUUCAUAAAGGUUAGUAAGAAUAAUACUUUAAUUUUAAUUAUUUAAAAUUUAAACUUCCUAGUCAUCAAAUUUGUUAAACUUGUUUUCUAAAGCUAAAAUAAUAAUAAAAUAAAGUAAAAAAAACAAGUGCAGUCUGUUGAAAUUUCUAUAAUUUCUUUUAAAAAAUAUGUAGUCUUUUGUAAAAUUUCAUACAACAUCAUAGAAAUAAUUUAUGUGUAAGUUCCUGAGAGACAAAAUCUCUGUGAUACAUUUGCAGUAAUGUUGAAAACUAACUUAUCAAUGUUAUCUUGUAUAAUGAUAAUCGUAUUUUUUUAUAUAUAAUUUAUGUGACAUUAAUUCUUUAAAGUAAUUGUGUGAUUGUUUUUAGUAGUACAUGAGCCCACUUUGUUUUAUUUCAUACGAGUUUAAUUAUGUUCACCAGGGAUUCGAGGAAAUGUCAGAACUACACUAGCAAUUCGCAGGUCCACGCUAAUUUGGUUCUAAUGAUGCACGCAGGAGAGCAAGAUUAUGAAAAUGAAUAGUUUAGCCAAAGGAUUGCUAAAAUGUUUUGCUGGUAAUUCACUUGCUUUUUUUUAUAGAAUUUCAUUUCCAUCUUCUUCUAUUGAUAUCUUGUUGUGAAUAAACAAGAACAGAGAAGUAACUAUAUAUAUAAAAAGUCCCUAUUAUGAUGAUGUUAAAGCAAGCUCAAGCUCAAACAUUGCAUUUUUAUUUUAUUUUAUUUAUAGAAUUUUCAUUUCUACCUGGAUUGCAUUUCUAUUUCAUUUUCAGGUUGACUUUGAAAACUCUAUGGAGCACAUUGGGGGGGUAACCAAGGAUUAUCAUUGUGGUUAUUGUGCAACGUUUGGUUGCUGGACUUUGAAGAAGGAAGUGAUGGCCGGGUCUGCUCUGUUUCAAUUGAGGAUGGAUAGCUGCCUGAAAGACAUGAUGAUUAUUAUUGCAUGAUGUUUAGGUGCUAAGAUCAUCAUUUCUGUCUUGUUUCAUUCUUUGAUCGGUUUAUCCUAUAUAAACAUAUGGAAUUAUGCUAAUAUUAUCAAUUUUUUCACCUAAUUUUCACUGUUGUUGUGAAAACAAUUUCAGGCUCUCAAAAGCUACAAAGCAAAGCAUUUGUAGGCUGAUCAUAUGUUUCAAUUGAGGAAGGAGCUUGGUGUUGGCAAUAUUGUCCAGGUAACCACAGCUGAUAAUUUCCACAAAUUUGCAUUAAACUUAGUUGUCACCAUCUCCUGCAAUUUCUCAUUCAUUCAAGAGUACUUCAAAAUUAGAUUUUCAGGGUUUGAAUGUUUAGUUGCGAUCAAAAUAUUUAGUCACUCAUUCGUAAUCUUUUCCGAUUUUCAAGUUCUUUAGGGCCAUAAACAGUUUUCCAACUCAUUCUUAAUUUUUAGGUUGAUUUCGAGUACCCUGUUGAGGACAUUCCUGAGACUAAGGAUUAGGCUGGCGAAGGAACUACUACCUCUGUUGUUAUUGUGCAAGGUUUGAUCAUUGGACCUUGAAUAAGAAUCCCUUACACGCAUUCUGUACUUCAAGCAUUCUCUAAAGGAAAAGAGCAGUAGAAGGGAUAGUGAUGGCCGGAUCCGCUCUAUUUUAGUUGAAGAUCUCUGUGAUGUCGAUGAACUUAAAGCAGUUGAUACUUCUUGAAAAUUGUUGUUACGGAUGAAUUGAUUCCUGAAGAUGGGUAUCCAAAGGCAUAUUUUCAUAAACUUCCUUUUUUUAACAAAUGCUCCAAUGCUUGCUGUAGUAACAAUUUCAUAGCUUGCAUCUCUCGGGUGCAUCAUGUUCACGGGUUGGAAAAAGCAUUUGUGGUAAACCUUCAAAGCUUGUAAAAUGGCUGUGAAAAGGCACAUUCAAUUCGGUAUGCUUUGGUGCGGUCUCCUAAUGCUAAUAUUAUGUUUCAAUGCUGGCUGUAGUAACAAUUUCAUAUCUUGCAUCUCUUGGGUGCAUCAUGUUCAAGGGUUUGAAAAAGCAUUUGUGGUAAUGCUUCAAAGCUUGUACAACGGCUGUGAAAAGGCACAUUCAAUUAGGUACGUUUUGGUGCGGUCUCCCAAUGCUAAUAUCAUAUUUUGUAUAGCAAUUAAAAUUUAGCUAUACAAUCUUAAUAUGCAAUAAAUCAUUGUAUACAAAGUUUUCUAUUGAUUAUAUGGUGACUGAAAUUUUAAUUAUCAUAUCAAUUUAAAGUUUUGGCUGAUAUGUCUAAUUCGUAGAAAUUCACUUCCAUCGGUUUCCAUUGGCUUUAGCACAAACAGAAACAGAGCUCUGGGGAAAAGUUUUACUUCUUGUGGUAUUAUGCCUUUGUUUCUUCAUUCAUCAUAUUUUUCGAAUUCAUGCUCUCAUUCAGAGGGUAAAGCCUUUUCCAGGCUGCUUUGUAGCCAAACUUUGACGCCUUUGAUGCAUGACUGUCAUUUAGAUUUCCCAAAUAACUGUUAGAUUGGAGAAGAAUAAAAAGAUACUGUUAAAAGGGUAUUUAAUUAGCGCCCUCUGAAUUUCUUGGAGUUAAUGUAGUCAAUUGCCCAAUUUUGCUGCCUGUCGAAGAUACACAGCAUGGAAGUCCUCAUCAAACUCUGAGACACCUAAUAAAUAGUAGGAUAGUAGGAGGGGGUGGUAUUCGCCUGGUGUUAAUUUCCUGGCAAGUAUAGUUCACAGAUAGAGGGGUUCUUUUCUUGAUGUCUAAAUACCGUAUGAGAUACAACAUCGUGUAUUCCAAUUUUUCUCUAGUUAAAUUUUAAUAAGUUAGAAAAGUUAAUUUUGUUUUAGCAAUGAAUUGUUUUCUUAAUAAUAAUAAUUGCCAUGUUCCUCUGAAGUCUUAUUAAUGCCAGACCAACAACUACUAGGUUCAUCUCUCGUUCACUUCCUCAGGGAAUCUCGAGGGCAUUCAUUGGCAGGUAGCCUUUCUUGUUGAGCUCCUGGAAUUACUUUUAAUUUAUCAUUUGUUGGGUUUUGCUUUUUGAUUGCUUUGGGAUUUGUGUUAUUAUCGCUUUGUCACUCAUUAAUCUUGGCUGUUUUGAAUCUGUGUUGGAUUUAGAAGUUUGGAGUUGAAAACAGUUAAAGCUUAGACUAGUAGAAGAGAUUUAUACAUUCAUUUAUCUUGGACAAAGUUUUUGGGGGAAAAAAAAAUUAUAAGUAUACACUUUCCAAUGGUUCGGUGAUGUUUGAUUGGUUUAAAGAUGUUGGAUCUCUCAUCAGAUUUCUUAUGUAUCGACUGUUGUUGCCACAGGAUGCUCGCAGAUCCUGCUUUUUUGUAUAAACUUCUACUAGAGCAGGCUGCAACAAUUGGUUGCACUGUUUUGUGGGAGUUGGAGAAUCAUAAGGAGAGGUGUGUUUUUUCUCUCAUAACAAAGGAACUCUCCCCUUCCUUUUUAUUUUCAUCUUAUAUAUUAAGCUAAUAAAUGUUUGUUUCUGUCGUGAUGGGAUAAAGCAAGAAUGGGAUCAGCUUGGUUUUGGUGCUUUCCUCGGACUAUAUGCAAACAUGAGAUAUCAACUAUUGUGUGGAUUUGAUAGAGCGGUCAUCAACCAUUUUGAUGUUACCAGGUUAUCUCUCCCUCUCCCUCUUCUACGUAUUUGUUUAUUGAUCUACAUCUCUAUAUAUAUUGAUAGACUAUUCUGGACGUACCAAAUUACCCUUGUUUUAAUGUUUUGUUUGUUAAACUUUGACUGGGGAAUCUGUUUAUUUGGCUGAUAAGAGGUUAGUGUGGUUUCUAUUGAAGUGUGUAGAUCUAUCACCAAGUAUUAUUUCAAUUUUUCUUUACUGAAUCAACUUGCAUCCUUUCCAAGUCCAGAUCCUUAACAAUAGUGCGACAUUGCUACCGAAGUACAAUUUCUCUAGUUUGACAGUUAAAUACGUAAGAAUGGUUUUAAAUUAACUGAACUCUGAGAUAGUUCUCUAAGGAAGUACAAGUGGUGAAUACGGUUCCAACUUUUAAGUGCCUUAAUAUAUCCAUUUGUUCAGCCCUGUGCAUAAAAAAUCAGUAAUUGCCGUCCAAAUUCUUCUUUACUGCCUAUAUGUGUUGGACUUUGUCUAUUCUUCAACUUCUCAAAUGGAUUUUUUGAAUGUCCAAUUAGGAGAAAGAUCAAGGCUUGCUUGGCUAGGAGUGGAAGCGGAUCCGCUACUUCAAUCAUAUGACCUUUUGAAGAAGGCUUACAACGGGGCGGCUCAGGAUGUCAAUGGCUCAACUCAAAAGUCCCCAAAGUGGUUGAUAUCAAAGAAUGCCAUUGUCUCUGGGCUUGGGCUCCUUGGGAUCAAACAAGGGAAUGCGACUCUGUUGAAGGGGAAGCACGGGCCCCUAAAGUGCGAAGAAAGAGGAUAGUCCGGAAGAAGGUGACCGCAUAAAUUUCUUGGGAGUUAAUCCUAGUCAAUAGCCCAAUUUUGCUGCCUGUCGAAGAGAUACAACACGGAAGUCCUCAUCAAACUCUUUGGGACAUCUAAGAACUAGUAGGGAGGUGGUGGUAUUCACUGUGUUUCCUGGCAAGUAUAGUUCACUGAUGGAUGGAUUCUUUUCUUGAUGUCUAAAUAUCAUAUGUGAUACAACGUCGUAUAUUCCAAUUUUUCUCCAGUAAAAUUCUAGUAAGUUAGAAAAGUUAAUUUUGUUCUAGCGAUGAAUUGUUUUCUUAGUAAUAAUAAUGGCCUGUUGCUUUGGAAUCUUAUUCACUCUCUGUAACCCAAUUAAAUUGUGCAAAUUCUACUGCGGAUUUGUCAAACAGAGCGUCUUUGUGAUUUCUUUGAUAGACUUUUGAUCGCUAGUUUAAGUUUGAAUCAUCUUGUAAUGCCAAAACAGAGCGCUUUUAAUUACUAGAUCGUACUCGAGUUUUUAUUCAGCUUUUAAUUACGAGAUCAGCUUUUAGUAUUAGCGAUAAUUAUAAUAUAAACGUUAAUUAUGAAACUCUUACCAAACAAGAUGUUACUCAAUUUUACUUAAUCUCACUCGUCUUUGAUUUGUAAAUUUUAUGCCUAAAUUUUUGUCAACAAAUUGGUCCCAGUUCCACGUUGAGUGCACGAGAUCCACAAGUUUGAUUGGGCAGAACGCAGAAGCAGCUAAAAAAAACUGAUGAAACCCACGUCCAAAGAUGCUGUUGUCGCGGAGGCCUAGACACGACUCCCCAUCCCCUUUUACCAUAUUUUAUAAUUGAAGAGGCCAUUAUUGAAUUGAAAAAUUAUGAUUCAACCGUUGGAAACCAACUCGGAAUUUUAAGUUGAUAUGAGAAAAGAUUUUUUCAUCAUCAUCAUCAUCAUUAUUAUUUCUUUUUAACAAAAAUUUAAGCUAAGACAACAAUAUAUGCCCAAAAUACCCCUCACAUUAUCCCAAACUUUCUAAACUCCCCCAUUCCUCUCAACAUCAUCUCUUCCAAAUCUUUCUUCCUCCAAAAAGCAGCCAUGGCUUCAAAUUCAAUCACCUCAACACUCCAAUAUUGGCUUGUAAACCACCCCCAAAUCCUCAACUUCACAUGGACUCAAAACCAAACCCCAGCUUCCUCCCCACACUUCCUCAUUCUCUCCAUCCUCACUUACCUCUCCCUCACAUUCAUCCUCUACCACAAAUUAACGCCAACGUCACCAUCAUCAUCACCUCUCAUUGGACCCCACAUCCUCAAGCCCAUCACAACCGUCCAUAACCUCACCCUCCUCCUCCUCUCCCUCGUCAUGGCCUUUGGUUGCACUCUCUCCAUCGUCCUCCAUUCACCCGACCUCCGUCACACCCUCUGUUUCCCCCCCACCAUUUCUGCCUCCGGUCCCCUCUUCUUCUACGCUUACAUCUUCUACCUCUCCAAAAUACUCGAAUUCCUAGACACCCUUUCGAUCAUUUUGUCAAACUCCAUCCAACGGCUUACAUUCCUCCACGUCUACCACCAUGCAACCGUCGUCGUAAUGUGCUACCUUUGGUUACAGACGAAGCAGUCUUUGUUUCCUAUCGCACUUGUCACCAAUGCAAGUGUGCACGUGAUCAUGUACGGGUACUAUCUAUUGUGUGUGAUGGGGUUGCGGCCAAAGUGGAAGAGAUUGGUCACUGACUGUCAGAUUGUUCAGUUCGUGUUUAGUUUUGUUGUUUCAGUUUUGAUGCUGUAUUAUCAUUUUGCGGGAUUUGGAUGCUCUGGGAUCUUGGGUUGGUGCUUCAAUGCUGUGUUUAAUGCUUCCCUCUUGACACUUUUUAUUAAUUUUCAUUCCAAGAGCUAUGCUAAGAAAAAGCAGGGAUGAUCAAAACAAAUCGUCGUUGUGAUUGUUCUCUGUGUGUGUGUGUUUUUUUUUUUUUGGUUAAUUAUGAAGGGUUGUGAUCGGUUCAUUGCAUUUGACAGAGAUGUUGAAGGGUUAUGUACUGGAAAAUAGAAAUUAAACCAACAUUAUCACUAUAACUGGUACAUUAUUACCAUCACAGAUCAAGAUCUGAAUGGACGCAUAGCAGCCAUCCUCAAAACCAAAGGAGGAGAAAAUUGAAAUAGAACAACCACCUUAAGGUGAAUAAGGCCAGAACAAGACACACAUCCUCAAAUCAUAAGGAAGAGGUGGGUGCAACCGAAAAAAAAAAGAAAAAAAGAAAUCAAGAAUCCACUGGAGAAGGCAAGAAAGAUAUUUGCCUCCGAAGAUUUGGUGAGGAAGAGAUGAGGAGUUAGAAAAGUUUUCGGAGAGAUCUACAGAUUAGCUUUAAAAGUGUGUUUUAAAGAAAAAGUUGUUGAGAACUUGAGAGGAUACAUGCGCAAUCAAUCCUUUACUCUUCAUGUUUGUGGAAUGUUUAUCCACUGAGUGUAAUCGUAAUCACACGGUUGAUAUUAGUUGGUUCUAUGUUGGAGUUGAUCCAUCAUAGCCGGAGCCUUUAAAUAAAAAACAUUACAACUAGAGAUGGCAAUGGGGCGGGGUGGGAGUGGGGAUGCCUACCUCAUUCCCCACCCCAUUAAAAAUUUUUGUCUCCAUUCCCCACCCUAUUCCCCAAUAAAUUUAGUGGGUUGAGGAUGAGGAAUCCCUACGUGGGGAAUGAUUCUCCCAUUCCCACCUCAUUCCCCAUUUACUUAUUUUAUAGUAGAUAUAAAAAUAUAAUUUUAGUAAAUUUAAAAUUAAAGACUUAAAAUAAAAACAUCAACAUAUUAUAAAGUAUUUAAAUUUUUUUGAAAAUCUCUAAAAGUUUGAAAUAAUAUCUUAAACUGAUAUUAAAAGUGAAAAAUAUUUAAAGAUAUUUAAAGAGAGCAGCACCUUAAAAGAGAAAAGAAAAUAUAAUAAUAUUUUUAAGUUAAAAAAUAUUGUAGGGUUUUCUUUUACUUAUAUCAUAUUUAUAUUACAUAAAAAUUAAAAAAUUAUUAAUUGACAUUAUAGUCGAUAAAAUAAAAAUUAAAAACAUAUUUAUAUAUAAUGGGGAUUGGGGUGGGGAUGGGGCGGGGAGUGCAAUACCAAACCCAACCCCAUUAACAAUUUGGGGAUUACUUUUCCCCCAAAAUUAUUAAAAAUUUUUUUCAUUUAGGGUGGGGCUCCAUGGGGCCCCAAACCCGUGGAGAAUUUUGUCAUCCCUAAUUACUUUGUCAUCCCUAAUUACAACUCAUGCAUCUAAGUACUUAAAGUUGGCUUGAGUGCAUGGGUUAUUGUCAGUUUUCUUCCUAAUUAAAUUAGGUUGGGAUAAAAUUAUCUCUUUAUUAAUAAGAAUAAAGUAGAUAUCUCUCUCGAUUUUCCUCUUAAUUAAACUGGAUAGGAGUAAAAUUAUCUUUUGAUUAAUAAGGAUGUAAUAUAUAUCUCUCUAAUAUUAUGUGAUGGUAGAAAUUUGGGUUGUACCGUAAUAGAAUUAUCAAGGAUAGUCUUGAUAGAAUUAAUGUAAAGAAUUAAGAUAAAGCCUCAAAGAUGGAACAGAGGUUAAAAAAAAAAAAGAGUACAAGACAAAGAAAUAAGGAAACAAAAGAAGACCAAGAAUAAAAGAAAAAAUAAUUUGGAAAACAAAAAAAUGGAUUGCAAUUUUAAAUUUUGAUUAAGGAUAAAUUGUAGUGGAUGCCAUUGUUGGUAAUUUAUUAUAUUUCAAAGCUCAAAUAAGGAAUAAAAUUAUUAUUAUUAUUAUUAUUAUUUUGCAAUAACUCGUUUCAAAUUUUAAAAGAUUAUAACUUUUUGUUUUUUAACAUUUUAAUCAUAAAUUAAAAAGGAGUUACUAUUCAAGAUUCCUAAGAAUACUGAAAAAAAUGAUAAAUAUUAUUCUAAGAAAAUGAUAUAUAUUGGAUAUACUAAAUAUUAUAAAUUAUUAAAUAUUUUACUAUUUUACCCCUUAGUUUGAUGUUUGGGGAAAAAAAAUACUAAAAUGGCUUUCAAUAAAAAGAAUUAUUAUUAAAAAAAUAAGAUUAAAAUUAUAACAAAUGAUAUUAAUAAGAAAGAAACUGAUAAAAAUUUGGGAUUAGAAAUAGGGGUUAAGGCUUCAGUCCUUGAAUUUCUCUAAAUUUUAUAUAUUUUUAAUUUUUAACCCGUCAAAUUACAUUAUUAAUGGAAUGUCAAUAAAUUUUGUGCGUUAAUUUUUGUUUUAGAUACUUUGAAAGGUAAAAUGGUAUUUUGGAUGGUAAAAGUCAACUAAUUAAUUAAAUAUUUAUAUUCUUCGCUCACCGGAUUUCUUAAAAAGUUUUCUGAACCUCCUAGCCAGCAUAUCCAUCUCUUCCUCAUCCAGCUCGCUUUCCUCAUCACUUUCAUGUUUCGAGGCUUUGAGAGCAAUGUUUUUCUUCUUCUCCUCAUUGCCUCUUUCGGCUUCUAAGUCUUCCUCAUAAGAAAUAAGAGAGCCAAUUAAAUCAUCAAUAGGUAAGAUAUUUAAAUCCUUGGCUUCUUCAAUGACAGUCCUUUUUGGUCUCCAUUCCUUAGGUAGCGACCUAAUAGUUUUCUUAACUUUCUCGCUAUUUGAAAAAGUAUUUCCUAGGGCUCCUAGAGUGUUCACUAUGUCCGUAAAUCUAGUAUACAUAGCAUACACACUCUCAUUUUGUUCCAUUUGGAACAAUUCAUAUUGCCGAGUGUACCUACUAAUUUUAGACUCUUUCACUUGAUUUGUGGCUUCAUAAACAACUUCAAGUUUGUGCCAAAUUUCAUUAGCACUCUCACAACUAGAUACUCUAUGGAAUUCUUUCUUAUCUAGUGCACAAAAUAAGGCAUUCAUAGCUUUGGAAUUUAGAGUAGCUUUUCUCUUUUCCAAUUCAUUCCAUUCCCGUGAAGGUUUUGGAAUAUCUUCCCCGACUUCGUUUCUAGUCAAAGGCAUAAAUGGACCAUCACAAACAAUUUCCCAAAUUUCAUAAUCUAAAGCUUGUAAAUAAAUUCUCAUCCUAGUUUUCCAAUAUGGGUAGUCAUUACCGUCAAAGAACGGUGGUCUAAUUGUGGAUUGUCCUUCCCUAAAGGUUGAAUCACUAUAGGUUGCCAUGGAUCUUUAACUCUACACGGUUAAGUCUACACAAGAGCACCUCGCUCUGAUACCAAAUGAAAUACUAACUAGGCAACCUAAGAGGGGGAGUGAAUUGGGUUUUUAAAAUUUAAGCUAAACAAACCACACAACAAUUUAAUCUAUUACCUUGAUCAAAUUGAAAACAAUAAAUUCAAUCAUGCACAAUAUUAAAAGAGUAAGGGAAGAGAAAACAAACACAAUGAUUUUUAUGUGGUUCGGCAAUCCCCGCUUACGUCCACGCUUCCAAGCUCACCGGGCUUGAGGAUUUCACUAAGCUAGCCUCCCAAGGCUUCAAAAGCUUACAAUUGACUUCCAAGGUGUCAAUGGACCUUUACAACAAGAGAUUAUCCCCAAUCUCUUAACCCAAGUGUAUCCCAACACUUACAAUCUUUUAACUUGAUUUUACAAAAAAAAGAUUACAAAUGAAUCUCUCUCACACAAUAUGUUUGAUCACAAGUGAAAGCUCAAUGUGUGAAUGAAUGAGAUGAAUACAAGAAUUUAAAGCUCAAUGAAAGUUGUAUUCUCAAUAUUUUGCUCAAUGAUGAUUGUUGGAAUCCUUCUUGUUUGAAUUGGAUUGAGCUUAUUUAUAGUUGGAGCUGAAAAACUAGCCGUUACAAACUGUCUGCCCGAAAACGGCUCGCCGUUAACCAUUAACGGUUAACCGUUUACGCUGGUCAAAAGUUACCGUUGGGCCAAAUUUCAAACAAACGGUUAACCGUUUAGGCUUACCCUUUUGCCGUUAAAUUCCAGAGACCAGCAAAACAAAUUUGAUUUAACCGUUCUUACUAAACGGUUCAAGGUUAGCAAUCUAGAAAUAAUCAGUUAACCGUUUUCAGUAAACGGUUCACCGUUAUUUUCCAGAAUCAUCAUUUUAACAAUACUUUGCAGAACAUGCUUUCUGGAAAUUAUCGGUUAGCCGUUUGCUACAGUGUAAUUACUACAGUGAAAUUAUUUUCCAAAAUUACAAUUUGACCCCAAAACUUUAUAAACUAUAGUAUGGCCCAACACGUUAUGAAACAUUGCACAUAGGUCCAAUUUCAUAAUUUCUAAGUAAUGCUUUGUUAAUCCCAAAACUUUUUGAAAUUAUGGUAUAGCCCAAAAUGCUAUGACACUUUUCAAAUAAGUCAUUCUCCAAAAUUUCAAGCAAUAUUUGUUUAUUUCAAAGUUUUCAAAAUUCUUUCAAUUAAACCAUAAACUUUGAAAAACAACCAAUUUCAUAAAAUCAUUUUUCCAUUAAAUAUGAAACAUUUAUAAUGUGAAAAUAAUGAUUUAUUUAAAAAGAAUAAAAACAAUCAAUUUCUUGAAAUCAUUUUUCCAUUAAAUAUAAAACCUUUAUAAUGUAAAAGUAAUGAUUUAUUUUAAAAUGUAUAAAAAAUAAUUUGAUCUUAAAAGAUUAAUCAUUCUUAAUCUUGUUUGUUAUCAUCAAAAUCAAUAUUAUGGAAACAUAUAUGUUAACAACAUAUACAUCCUUUACUUUAUAAUCUUUUACUUUUGCUCUUAAGCUAAAGCAUUAAAAGGCCCCAUAUCCACUCUUUAUAUAUAUAUAUAGGGAGAAUGACAAUUUUCUCCCAUACUGUAAUCAAUAUAUAUCAUUUACGUCCUACUUUUUUAUAAUAACCAAUAAUCCUUGGAUAGCAUAAUUUAACAAUAUUAUUUUUGGUUUAUUUUAAUUUUUGUUCAUUUGAUUUCAUAGUAGUAGUUUUCAUUUUUUUAGUUUAAAAUUUGUAAAAAUGAACUAAAAUGAGAUAAUUUUGAAUAAGAAUCAAAACAAAAAAAGGCCCAAAAUUACCCCUAUUCCGAACAUUAUCUGAAUCCAUCAUAAUUGACCCAAAUUCAAAUUUAACUCAAACCCAACCUCGGCCUCAUAUAAUUAUAACCUGAUCCGAUCUAGACUCAACCCCAAAGUUUUGAUUUGAUCUAAUCAAAUUCGAAUAUUCCAAGCCAAUCAACCUAAAACCCAAUCAAGUUCAUCCAAACCCAAAUUUGCGUACUCCUAGAGGGGACCAUCACCCUAUAAGCUUUGAAUUUUUUUUUGAGGUUUUUAAAUGAAAUAUUCAAAAUUAGGUAUAAAAUGACUGAUUUGCCCUUGAAUACUUGAUACAUAAACUUGAUACAUAUAAUGAAACUUUAAUUGUAUAUUUUGUGAAAUAAAAUCAAUUAAACCUGAUUUUUUUUAUUUGUUAAUUAUUUUUCAUAGCCUUUUUUAAAAGUUUGUAAGUUUGGGCCUACCUCUUUGAUUGUAUGUUGUUCAUUUUGCUUUCUCUUGCAACAAUAGUUUCAAAUAUCAGUCACAAAAUUCUCAAAUUUUGGAAUACCCUACAUACUAGCUAUAAAUAGAAAAAACUGAAUAAAAUUAAUCCCCAACUAACACUUGAAAUUUGAACUUGGGCCUCAUGAAGAUUUACUCUGAGCUCCGCCCCUGAUAUGCAAUAAAAUAUUAGUUUUGCUAGUGAAAUUUUCAAUUAUGUUUUUUUUUUUGUAUUUUCCGCUUAGGGAAGAAGAAAUUUCCUACAACUAUUGUGGUGAAUAUCUUGUGAAUUUAUGACAGUUUAAUCUUUAGUUUGCCACUUGCUUAAAAUGAAAAAGGGAAAAGGGUAUUUAUAUCUCUAAGGUUUGGAGAAAUAGUCACCAACACUACAAGUUUUCUAAAAAGGACAUCAAGACUCCUUUUUUACCAUAAUACCCUUUACUUUUAGUACCUCGAAAAAUUUAACUUGCAAAUGAAUAAAUACAAAUAUUAUAUAAAUAAUGUAAUCUACUUUGUAGAUUAAUAAUAUAAUCUACUUUGUAGAUUAAUAAUAUUUAAAUAUUUAAAUAAAUUUAAAUAUGUAAAUUAAUAAAUUUAUUUAAUAAUAUAUUUGUAUUUAUUGCAUUUUACAAUUAAAAAAGUCUCACAUACUAAUAAUGUUAAAAUUAUUAUUUUACAUAAUAAUUUAAAUUUUAAUACAUUUAUUUUAAUAUUAUGUUUACAUUUAUCAUAAAAUUUACUUUAACAUAAUAAAAUAUAUUAAUAGAUUGUAAAAUAUUAAAAUAUUUUUAAAUAUUGAAAUUAUUUUAAAAUGUAUAAAUUAUUACAUUUAUUUUAAUAUUAUAUUUCUCUUUACUAUAAAAAAUUAAAGUUAAUUUUUGGGAUAAUAAAGGUAAAGGGUAUUGCAGUAAGAAAGAAGUUUUAGUAUCUUUUAUUGAAAACUUAGGAGCAUUGGUAACCAUUUCUCCAAACUUUGGGGAUAUAAGUGUCUUUUUCCUAACAAAAAAUGACAUUUUUAAUAGGAGAUAUAAUAAGCUUUGUUCUAUAGAAAAAUCCAUCAGAUAUAUUAUGCCCCCGGUUGCUAUGUUAAAAAUAAGUAAUUCUUCUUUUUGUAUAUUAAAAUAGUAAAAGGGUGGAUAAUAUUUAAAUUUUCUUUUAACCUUUUAUCUUUUUUGACAUUCGAAUUUUAAACUCGAGAAAUAGACUUCCUGAGAGGUUAACUAAAUUCUUAGUAAUUUGAUAUAAUUUCAUAACCGUUCUCCAAAAGCAUUACGAUAUUUAUUAAAAUCAUUAUGGGACUGAUUUUAUUCUCUUUUUUUUUCUCAACAAAAUAUCCGACUGCAGAUGUAAUAAAUUACUCAUUACAAUUAUUUGAGUCCCCACUCUAAAUUAGAUUUUGAAGUUUGUCCUGACAUAAUAAAGUUACAUUUUCAAAUGACCAAAUCAAUUAAUGAGUCUGACAAAAAGAUGUUGUCGGCCAAGUUGAAAAAUAUAAUAAAUAAAUUGUCAGGAGAUGAUUUUUUCUGAAAUUUCAUUUUCAAGGUCCAGAACACAUUCAAAUUUCCGCUGAAAUUCAUAAUGGAUUCAUAUGAUCGGGCGAAAUUACACUAUACAAUUUCAUCAAUACCUAUUAAACGAUAAAAAGUUUAUUGAUUAUUUAUAAUUAAAAAAAAUCUAUCUACUAAGACUAUUCUAGAUCAAUAAUUAAUAUAUUAUAUAUAACUUCAGAAGGUUCAUCGGCGUAUUGAUCUAAGCCUUUUGUAGUAGUUUAUAAAUAUUUUGUUGCUUAUAAUGUAAGAAAUUUUACAGGAGUUGAUGCUGAGUAGUCUGAAUAAGAAAAUUAAUUAUAUUGUAAGUUAUUGGGUAUUUAUAAUAAAAUAAACAAUAAAAAAUGAAUAAAAAUUUAAAUACUUAAUUAAUUUUUAUCAAAUUCUUAUCAAAUAUUUAAAAUAUAUAUAAAAUCAAUUAAUUGAUGAUGUUGUUAAUUUUCAUGAUAUUUUUAAUAUUAUAUUAGUGAUUAUUAAAUUUAAUACAAUCAAUAAUGCUAUAAAUUAUUAAAUGGUUAAUUUUAUUGACAAAUUAUCAAAUAUGCAAAUAAUGAAAAAUUAAUCUCAAGAGUUGGUAGAAGUAAAGUUCCAAUUUAAUCAGAUAAUAAAUAAAAAUAAUUUUUAAGUAAAUUAUAAAUAAAAAAUAAUUAAUAUUAAGUAUAAAUAAACAAUAAUGAUAGAAAUUAAAGUCUCAUAAGAGCAUCUCCAAAAGACUCUUCAAAUAAGAUUCUACUUCUUAUUUGAAGAGCCAUGUCAAUAUUUUACACUCCAAAAGACACGUUAAUUUAAAUUCUUCAAAUAAAAUUUAUUUUUCACUCUUCAAUAUUGCCGAGUGAGUUUCUCCCUCUUCUAUUAAUAUUUUAUUAUUAUUUAUUGAAAAGAUAAGACUGCAAUAAUUAUUAUUUAUGUUUCUUUUAAAAAAUAUAAUAACAAUACAAUUUGAUAGUGGAAAAAUUUGAUUAAAAUAAUAUUAAUUUAUUCUUAUUUGGUGAGUCUUUUGGAGGGGAUUAUAUUUUUUUAUACACUUAUUUGCCACAUCAGUAAGCAAAUUGAAAUUUAAAGAGUAAAAUUUAAAGAUCCUUUUGGAGAUACUCUAAAUAGAUAACUUUUUUUCUUUAAUUUUAUCCCAACUAAAAUCAUGUGUAAAUUACAAUGAUUAAUCCCAUAAUUUUAGGAUGAAACUUAAAUUUAGUCCCCGAGUCCAAUUCAAUUAAUUUAACAAACAGGAGAUAAAUAUUUAAUAACAAAAUUAGUCCAAUUUCGUACUUAAUACUAGUAUAUGAACAUGGCCUGAUAAAAUAAUUUAGGUAAUAUGCUUCUAUGACUCACAAUUUAAAUAAAUUUGAGAAUUUAUAUAAGGGAUGGAAAAUUCAUAAUAAUCAUAACAUGUGCUAUCUUUUCUUCCUUUUCUUAAUUAAAUAAAAGAAAAAUAUUAAUCACAGAACCACUGCUGUUUAAAAUGACCCGAUGAUCGAUGAAGUCGCAUUCGCCUAUCUAAUAUUGCGCAAUCAGAUAAAUUCUCAAAUUUUAAAUGAAUUUAAUCUGCAAUUAGAUCAAUAACUACACAAUAAAGAUUAAAAAAUUUCAAAUUAUACUUGAGUUAAAAUUUGAUUCUUUUUUAUUAUUUAAAGUGAUUUAUUUAUAAUUAUUUUAACCCAAUUAGAUUUUUUUUUUUAAUGCUUGGUCUAUGACAGAAUUGAUCCUCAAAGUUUAAUUAAGCCUGAGAUGGAUACUCUCAGCAAUUUAUUAGAAUCUAACAGGAAAAGAGAGUUGCGAUUUGUAUGUGUAGAAAGAAAAUGUCAAAACGAAAUGUUAAUGUCACUUGUAGAGAGAGAGUUGGGACUGAUGAUCUGCAAUUUAGUCAUGAAAAAUUAGUGAUUAAAUACAACUAAAUUUCAGUUCUUUCUUUGGGAUCCAGAAAAAAAAUAAAAUUCCCCCUCAAUUUUCUGUUUGCAAGGGGGUAACUGUAAGCACAGUCUGAUUUUAUUUUCAGGGAAUAAUAUCGGUGAACCACCGUCGGGGAAAAUUUGAAGUCUAAACAGGUCAUUCACAGAUAAGGCCAAAGAGUAAAACAGGUCGUUCAUCGUGCAUUUGGAUUCCUUUCAUCUGGUUAAUUAUUGAAGACAAGAUGAAAACGCAACUAAUGUCAAUAUUUUAAUUUGGAAUGGGGGCCGUGUAUGGUGUAUAAAAUAGCAUUAAUUGUUGUCUGUGUUUGUUGUUUAAUAUAUAUAUAUAUAUAUAUAGGUCUAAACAGGUCAUUCACAGAUAAGUCUAAACAGGUCAUUCACAAACAGGUCAUCUUAUGAAUUAUUGAAGACAAGUAGCUGUUCGACGCCAGCACUUUUCAAAUCUGAAGAGCAAUUAGACAAUAUUUCUAUUUCAAAUUGGGGCCACACUCCAAAAAAAUUGCAAUAAUUCUCUGUUUUAUACCAAAUAUUGCGCAAUCAGAUAAAAAAAGGGUCGGCUGCAUGAUUUUUCCAACUUUUGUUUUAUUUUUUCUCUUUUCCACGGGCAUGUUAUAUUUAACAAUUCUCUUUUUGUCGUGACAUAAUGGACUAAAACGGAAUCACAACUUUUUCAAAUGACCAAAUGGCUUCGCCCUACCUGAUAAUAAAAGGCCAUAUAGAUGAGAAAUGGAUCCAUACGUUAAAGCUAUAUUAAAACAUAUAAUAAAUAAAUAGUCAGGAGAUGAUUUUUAUCAAAAAUUUCACUCGCACGGUCCCGACCAAAUACAAAUUUGUGAUGAUAUUCAUAAUGAAUUUAUACAAUUAGGCGAAAUUACUCUAUAUAGUUCCAUCGAUAUAUAUUAUACCAUUAAAAAUAUACUAAUAUUUAUAAUAAAAAAAAUUUAUGACUAUUCUAAAUCGACUGUAUUAUAUGUGAACUCACAAGAUUCAUCGAUAGAUUGCACUGAGCUUUUUGUUGCAGUUUACAAAUAUUUUGUUACUAAUUAUCUUAAGAGCGGCAAGUAACUAAAUACAAAUGUAAGAAAUUUUACAAGUGCUGAUGCUGUGUACUCCGCAGAAAGCUAGCCCACGACGGUGACUCCUGUUGGGACUCCUUCAAUUUGCAGCACAAAAGAACGUUCACAUUGACAUUGACUUGAGGGUAAAAAUUAAAAUAUCUCCAAUUAGUAUAAGAAGAAUCCAAACAUGCUUGAAUGAACAUUCUCUCAGAAUACAUAAAAGCUACUUUCCUCUGAGCAUUUUAGCAGCACGAAAAGCAAUUGCAGCAUUUACCAUUUGAUCUAAUAUCAGAAUGGCUCAUGCGAUCGUUUCCUCUCUCCUGGACCAGCUGAAUUCCAUUGCUCAAGAUCAGGUGAAAGAAAAGUGGAGGCUUGUGACGGGUGUCGAACAAGAAGUGGGAAAGCUUACCACCAAUCUUCAAGCCAUUCAAUCUGUGCUGGAAGAUGCAGAGCAGAGGCAAAUGAAGCAGGACAAAGCUGUUACUUUUUGGCUGGAUCAGCUCAGAGACACAUCCUACGACAUGGAAGAUGUGUUGGAAGAGUGGUUCACUGAAACACGGAAAUUGCAGCUUGAUGAGGGACGCGAUGAUGAUGAUGAUGAUAACGACGGUGCUUUUGUUACUUUUUUGACGAAGGUAUGUUCCUUCUUUCCUGCUGCCUCAAACUGCUUCGGUGGUUUCAAACAACUCAGUCUUCGUCAUCAUAUUGCUGUCAAGAUUAGAGAAAUCAGUGAAAAGCUAGAUGAUAUUGCCACUCGAAAAGAUAGGUUUAAUUUUGUUGAGAAUGUGAGUAACAAUGUUAGGAAUCCAGAGCGAGUGCGAACCAUCUCCUUGAUUGAUGAGGGAGAGGUUUGCGGUAGAGUUGAUGAGAAAAGUGAGCUCUUAAGCAAGUUGUUGGGUGAAAGUAGUGAACAACAAGAAGGCCUUCAUAUCAUCUCACUAGUUGGGUUAGGGGGUAUAGGUAAAACCACUCUUGCACAACUAGCCUAUAAUAAUGAUGAGGUGAAAAGAAAUUUUGACAAAGUUAUAUGGGUAUGUGUAUCAGACACUUUUGAGGAGAUUAGGGUCGCCAAAGCAAUCAUUGAAGGUUUAGGUGUGUCAGCUUCUGGUUUAAGCGAAUUCGAAUCUCUUAUGAAACAGAUUCAGGAAUAUAUUACAGGGAAGAAAUUUUUUCUUGUUUUAGAUGAUGUGUGGGAUGGAGAUUACAAAAAAUGGGACCUAUUCUUUUCUUGUCUAAAGAAUGGCCACCAUGAAAGUAAAAUUCUAAUUACCACACGUGAUAGGUCAGUUGCACUACAGUUGGGAUCAAUAGAUAUUAUCCCUGUCAAGGAGUUGGGUGAAGGGGAAUGUUGGUUACUGUUUAAGCAUAUAGCAUUUCUACGUAGGUCCUUUGAGGAUUGUGAAAAAUUAGAACCAAUCGGGAGAAAAAUAGCAUGUAAGUGCAAAGGCCUGCCUCUUGCUGCAAAGGUAAUAGGGAAUCUCUUGCGCUCUAAAAGUACAGAAAAAGAGUGGCAAAGAAUUUUAGAUAGUGAAAUGUGGAAAGUAGAAGAGAUUGGGCAAGGUCUUUUAGCUCCUUUGUUGUUGAGUUAUAACGAUUUGCCCUCCAAUUCUAUGGUAAAACGGUGUUUCUCAUAUUGUGCUGUCUUUCCAAAAGACUACGAGAUGGAUAAAGAGGAGUUGAUUGAUCUGUGGAUGGCUCAAGGUUACCUUAAUGCAGAAGAAGACGAAGAAAUGGAGAUGAUUGGAGAAGAGUAUUUCAACAUCUUAGCAACACGCUCUUUCUUUCAAGAGUUUAAAAUAUAUGAUGACGAUGAUGAUUUUACGAGUUGUAAGAUGCAUGACAUAGUACAUGAUUUUGCCCAAUUUGUAAGUAGCAAAGAAUGUUUGUGGCUAGAAAUUAAUGGUACCAAGGAAUCAGUCAUAAACUUUUUUGGUGACAAAGUCCGUCACUUAGGGUUAAAUUUUGGAGGAGGAGCUUCAUUUCCUAUGACCAUUUAUGGACUUAAUAGAUUGCGUACCCUCCUAAUUUAUGACCAAAGUUUUGUCAAUUUAUCUCUUAACAGUAGCAUCCUUCGGGAGUUAUUUAGUAAAUUGGCAUGUUUAAGGGCAUUAGUUAUAAGGCAAUCGACCAAGCUUUUGUAUGAAGACACAAAUUGGAUUACGGAAAUUCCAGAUAAUGUUGGAAAAUUGAUACAUUUAAAAUAUCUUAAGUUGUCUAAAUUGUAUAUAGCGAGACUACCUGAGACUUUGUGUGAAUUAUAUAAUUUACAAAAACUAGAUAUUAGGCGGUGCAAAUAUCUUAGAGAAUUGCCUGCGGGGAUUGGGAAGUUAAAGAACAUGAGGAGUUUACUGAAUGAUCAAACUGAAAAGCUGAAGUACCUGCCAAUAGGGAUUUCCAGAUUGACCAGCCUUCGAACAUUAGAAAAGUUUGUUGUGGGUGGAGGUGUUGAUGGUGGCAGCACGUGUAGGCUUGAAUCUCUGAAAAAUCUUCAACUCCUUCGAGAAUGUGGAAUAGAAGGGCUGAGUAAUGUAUCGCAUGUAGAUGAGGCUGAGAGGUUACAACUUUACAAUAAGAAAAACCUCCUUCGUUUGCGUCUUGAGUUUGGUGUAGUCGUAGAUGGGGAAGGCGAAGAAAGGAGGAGGAAGAACGAGAAAGAUAAACAACUUCUUGAAGCCUUACAACCGCCUUUGAAUGUAGAGGAAUUAUGGAUUGAAUCCUAUGGAGGCGUCAUUUUUCCCAAAUGGUUGACUUCACUAACCAAUCUAAGGAAUUUAUAUCUUUCCUUGUGUUUUAACUGUGAGCAUUUGCCUCCUUUGGGAAAAUUGCCUCUGGAAAAACUCAUCCUAUGCAAUUUGAUUGGUGUAAAAAGAGUGGGUAAUGAGUUUUUAGGAAUAGAAGAAAGCAGUUAUUGGGACGACCCAUCUUCAUCUUCAUCGUCAUCAUCAGUUAUUGCCUUCCCCAAAUUGAAAUCUCUCAAAAUUUGGUUCUUGGAUGAAUUGGAAGAGUGGAAUUACAGGAUUACGAGGAAGGAAAACAUCUCCAUCAUGCCACGUCUUUCUUCCUUGAAAAUUAAGCAUUGCCCCAAAUUAAAGGUGCUGCCGGAUUACCUUCUUCAAACGACGACGCUGCAGCACUUGAGUAUUCAGGGAUGUCCUCUUCUGGAAAACCGUUAUCGAGAGGGGAAAGGAGAAGACUGGCAUAAGAUAUCUCACAUUCCCCACAUCAAGUGGCGGUAAAUUCUCGAAUGGUUGCAAUUACUAUCACCCACCGGUAAUUGCUCUCCUCUAUUUUACUUUGUUGUUACUUCAAACAACGACACUGCAAACAUUGACAAUUUUAUAGAACGCAUUAGUACAUGUCAAUAACAAGACCAAUUAGAUUAUGGCAUUGCUUUAUUUUAUUUAUUUAUUUUUUUGAUUCUUUUGAAAUAAGAUCAAUUAAUUAGAUCAUGCUAGAAGUUAAUUUUUUUUUUUCAAAUGAAAAAGGAGCAGUCAUACAAAGUUUGAAUAUAAAAUUUAUAAUCUAAAACUAAUGAUGUGACAAUUAACAUGUUAUUAACCUAGCUAAUAGAGUUGGAAGUCCCAAAUACAUCAUAUUCUGCUCCAGAAAUCAAUUCCACCUAGAAUACUUCUUUCUAUUGAAAUUAAUGAUGAUUUGUUUGUUUGCAUCAUGAAAGUCAAAAAUAAUUUUAUGAGUAAUUUGAUUCUUUACGGUACAAAAAAUAAAUUUGGAAAGUACUAAUUUCUCUCAUACUUUUUGGGCUAAAAAAUAAAUGUAAGUCUAACAUAUUUAUUAUAUAAUGGUUCUAUAUAGAAUCAAUCAUGGUAUAAAUAUGUAAAACUUCCUAGUUAUCAAUUUUGUCUUGCAUAAUGAUAAUCGUUUUUUUUUAUAUAUAAUUUAUGUAACAUUAAUUCUUUAAAGUAAUUGUGGAAUUGUUUUUACUACAUUAGCCCUCUUUGUUUUAUUUCAUACGAGUUUAAUUAUGUUCACCAGGGAUUCGAGGAAAUGUCAGAACUACACUAGCAAUUCACAGGUCCAAUCUAAUUUGGUUUUAAUGAUGCAUGCAGGAGAGCAAGAUUAUGAAAAUGAAAAGUUUAGCCAAAGGAUUGCUAAACUGUUCUGCUGGUAAUUCACUUGCUUUAUUUUAUAGAAUUUCAUUUCCAUCUUCUUCUAUUGAUAUCUUGUUGUGAAUAAACAAGCACAGAGAAGUAAAUGAUUGAACCACGGAGAAGUAAAGAUAUAUCCAAAUUCGAUUAUUAUGAUGAUUAAAGCAAGCUCAAGCUCAAGCACUGCAUUUUUUUAUUUUAUUUAGUUUAUAGAAUUUUCAUUUCCACCUGCAUUGCAUUUUUACUUCAUUUUUAGGUUGACGUUGAAGACUCUUAUGGAGAACAUUGGGGUAACCAAGGAUUAUCACUGUGGUUAUUGUGCAACGUUUGGUUGCUGGACUUUGAAGAAGGAAGUGAUGGCCGGGUCUGCUCUGUUUCAAUUGAGGAUGGAUAGCUGCCUGAAAGAUAUGAUGAUUAUUAUUGCAUGAUAUUAAGGUGCUAAGAUCAUCAUUUCUAUCUUGUUUCAUUCUUGGAAUCAUUUAUCCUAUAUAAACAUAUUGAAUUGUGCUAAUAUUAUCAUAUGCGUCAAUGGAGGCAGGAAUUUGGUGUUGACACUAUUAUGCAGGUAACCACACUUCAUAGUUUGCACAAAUUUGCGUUGUCAGAAUAUCCUUUAAUAUUCAUUGUGUUUCUGUGUGUUAUCAGGUUAUCAUCUCCAAGGGUUUGAAAGAGCCUUUGCAGUAAAGUCAGUUUUCACCAGCUCGUGCAAUUGCAAAUUCAUUCAGAGUACUUCAAUAUUGGGUUUUCAAGUUUUGUAUGUUUAGUCGAUUAAAAUGUUUAGUCACUCAUUCUUAAUCAUUUCUGAUUUUCAAGUUCUUUAGGGCCAUAAACAGUUUUUCAAACUCAUUCUUAUUUUUUAGGUUGAUUUCCUACUCGUGGAGAACGUUGGGAAGUCCAAGGAUUAGGCUGGCGAUGGAACUACUACCUCUGUUGUUAUUGUACAAGGUUUGAUCGCUGGACCUUGAACAAGAAAGCCUUACACGCAUUCUGUAAUUGAAGCGUUCUCUAAAGCAAAAGAGCAGUAGAAGGAAUAGUGUUGGCCGGAUCUGUUCUAUCUUAAUUGAAGAUCUCUGUGAUGUUGAGGAGCUAAUGAUUGUUAAGGCAUAUUUUCAUGAACUUCCUUUCUUAACAAAUGUUUCAAUGCUGGCUGUAGUAACAAUUUCAUAUCUUGCAUCUCUCGGGUGCAUCAUGUUCUCGGGUUUGAAAAAGCAUUUGUGGUAAUGCUUCAAAGCUUGUACAAUGGCUGUGAAAAGGCACAUUCAAUUAGGUACGUUUUGGUGCGGUCUCUCAAUGCUAAUAUUAUAUUUUGUAUAGCAAUUAAAAUUUAGCUAUACAAUCUUAAUAUGCAAUAAAUCAUUGUAUACAAAGUUUUCCAUUAAUUAUGUGGUGACAGAAAUUUUAAUUAUCAUAUAUCAAUUUAAAUUUUUUUGUAACUCUCUCUUACUUUGCUUGUACAGAGUACCUGUUUUGGCUGAUAUGUCUAAUUCGUAGAAAUUCAUUUCCAUCGGUUUCCAUUGGCUUUAGCACAAACCGAAACAGAUCUCUGGGGAAAAGUUUUACUUCUUGUGAUAUUAUGCCUCUGUUUCUUCAUUCAUCAUAUUUUUCGAAUUCAUGCUCUCAUUCAGAGGGUAAAGCCUUUUCCAGGCUUCUUUGUAGCCAAACUUUGACGCCUUUGAUGCAUGACUGUCAUUUAGAUUUUCCAAAUAACUGUUAGAUUGGAGAAGAAUAAGAAGAUACUGUUAAAAGGGUAUUUAAUUAAUGUAGUCAAUUACCCUCUGAAUUUCUUGGAGUUAAUGUAGUCAAUUACCCAAUCUUGCUUCAAACUCUGACAUACCUAAUAAAUAGUAGGAGGGGGUGGUAUUCGCCUGGUGUUAAUUUCCUGGCAAGUAUAGUUCACAGAUAGAGGGGUUCUUUUCUUGAUGUCUAAAUACCGUAUGUGAUACAACAUCGUGUAUUCCAAUUUUUCUCCAGUUAAAUUUUAAUACGUUAGUAAAGUUAAUUUUGUUUUAGCGAUGAAUUGUUUUCUUAAUAAUAAUAAUUGCCAUGUUCCUCUGAAGUCUUAUUAAUGCCACGUCAUCGAUCCGUCUAUGCGAACAGUGUCGUGAACAGUACCAUACAUGUGAAUAGUACCGUACAUGUGAAUAGUGCCAUUUUUCCGUUUAUGCUCCUCCUAAGGUUUUCGACCGUCUUGAGUUCAAAAGUGAUGUCCGUUUUGCCGUCUGAUCUCUCGUUUAUUGUGAAAUGACCAUGAUACCCCUAAAAUACAUAAAAUACUUAAUUAAAAAUCAAACACACAUAAUUAAAUUGCAAGAAGCUUAAAUACAUAAAAGUAAGGGUUGUUAGUAAAACUUGAAAUGUAAAAUGAUGAUUUUCUCCUUUAUAAAUAUACAUUUUCUAACACUCAACACCGGCUUCUUAAUUAUUUGUUAAAUCAGGUUUUUCUUAUCAAGUACAUCAUCUUAUUCACCAUUUUGGCUAUAUCAGAAUUUGCUAUUACCAUGAUGUCAAAGCAAGCUCAAGCACUAGAUCCCUAAUAAUAAUGCAUUGCAUUUUCAUUUUAUUUUUAGGUUGGUUUGAAGACCCUAUGGAGAACAUUGGGGUAAUCAAGGAUUAGGCUGGUGAUCGAACUACUUCCACUGUGGUGUUGUGUGCAACGUUCAGUUGCUGGACUUUGAAGAAGAAAGUGAUGGCCAGGUCUGCUCUGUUUCAAUUGAGGAUGGAUAGCUGCCUGGAAGGCAUGAUGAUUUUUGUUGCAUGAUAUUAAGGUACUAAGAUCAUCAUUUCUAUCUUGUUUUUUUCUUUGAUUGGUUUAUCCUCUAUAAGCAAAUUCAAUUAUGGUAAUAUUACCAUUUUUUCACCCAAUUUUCACCGUUGGUUGUAAUAACAAUUUCACGUACUCAAAAGCUACAGAGCAAAGCACAUGUGGGCUGAUCAUAUGCUUCCAUGGAGGAAGGAAUUCGGUAUUAACACUAUUAUGCAGGUAACCACAGUUGUUAAUUUGCACAAAUUUUGCAUUGUCAGAAUGCCCUUUAAUAUUCACAGUGUUUCUUUUUGUUAUUCAGGUUACCAUGGCAUGUAGAGUAUCAUCUUUGAGGGUUUGUGAGAGCCUUUGCAGUAAAGUUACCGGCUCGAACAAUUGCACAUUCAUCGAGAACAAUUUUAGAUUUGCAAGGUUGCGAUUAGCAGGCUUAGUCACUCAUUCCUAAUCUUUUUUGAUUUUCAAGUUAUUUAGGUCCAUUAACCGUUUUCGCACAUGUUUCAAUGCUAGUUGUAAUAACAAUUUCUUAUCCUGCAUCUCUAAGGUGCAUCACGUUUGAAACAGCUUUUGCGGCAAAGUUUCAAUGCUUGUACAAUGGCCGUGAAGAGGUACAUUCAAUUCGGUACAUGUUGGUGCAGUCUUCUAAUGCUAAUAUCAUGUUGUGUAUAUUUAAUUUGCAAUUAAAACAUAGGUAUACAUUCUUAAUCUCCAAUAAAUCAUUGUGUACAAAGUUUUCUAUUAAUUAUAUGGUGACUAAAAGUUUAAUUAUCUUAAAAUUUUUUGUAACUCUCUUUUACUUUGCUUGUACAGAGUACCUGUUUUGGCUGACAUGUCUAAUUCGUAGAAAUUCAUUUCCAUCAGUUUCCAUUGGUGCUAGCACAUACAGAAACAGAGCUCUACUUCUUAUGGUAUUAUGCCUUUGUUUCUUCAUUCACCAUAUUUGUUCGUGUAAAAAACACAGAUUAGAAUGAAUAAUUUCUAUAUUUUAUUGAUGAUAAUUACUCCUCUUUAAAUAGAUUACAGGGGCAUAAAUCAAAUCCCACAAAAUCAGAGCUAUGACAUCUAGAAAUCUAAUUCUAAGGAAACAAAUCAAUAAACCUAUUUAAGGAAACAAAUCUUGCCAAAUAACAUAGAUCCUAAUAUAUACAAUUCUAAUUAUGUAUAAUUUUGAUUUCAUCCACACUCCCCCUCAAGCUUGGCUAUAGAUGUUGAUGAGACCAAGCCUGCCUUCAAGAAACUCAUGAGUAUGUUCUCAGAGUCCUUUGGUGAGGAUAUCAGCCAGUUGGUGAGAUGUAGGCACAUAUUCAAGCUUGAUAAUGUUUCCAUCAAGCUUUUCUUUAAUAAAAUGUCGAUCAACCUCCACAUGUUUAGUCUUAUCAUGAUGAACAGGAUUGUGAGAUAUACUAAUUGCUGACUUAUUAUCACAAUAGAGCAGCAUAGGUUCUUCAAAUCCAAUCUUUAAUUCCUUCAACACCCUUCUUAUCCAGAUAAACUCACACACUCCAUGUGCCAUUGCUCUAAACUCAGCUUCCGCACUACUUCUAGCAACCACUGACUGUUUUUUGCUACGCCAAGUCACCAGAUUUCCCCAUAGCAACGUGCAAUAACCAGAUGUUGAUUUAUGAUCAUUAAUUGAUCUAGCCCAAUCAGCAUCUGUGAAUGCUUUCACCUUUCGAUCAUUGGUCUUUGCAAAAAUAAGCCUUUUUCGGGUGUUCGCUUCAAGUAUCUCAGGAUUCUAUCUACUGCAUUCAAAUGACCUUGACAUGGUGCAUGCAUAUGUUGACUUACUAAACUCACUGCAAAGGCAAUAUCCGGUCUUGUAUGUGAGAGAUAGAUGAGCUUUCCAACUACAGGUGAUAAGAUGUUGCUUGAAUUCAGCAUCUUGUAUUGCGAUGAUUUUGCCCACAUGAGGUUCUGUGAUUCUUGACAUCAGGAUAACUCAGGUCAAUUUUUUGUAUCAGCAUAUAUCAUCUUGUUUACUGUUUUGCCUUCAAAGAAUAAACUUUAGUGAAGUUGUUUUUGUUUGUGUAAGUUAUCAGGUUAAGGAUACUAAGCAGCUUAUUAAGGCAAAUGUCAUAAUGAAGAUUGUUCACCACACCUGGCAUUUAUGAUGGCAAGGAAGAUUAAUUGUUCACAAGCCAAUUUGAUGAGUGUUAGAUUUUUGGCUUUAUAUAUUAUUAGAGCUCUCCCUUCUGAGAGAUAUCUCAUUAAAUUGAGUAGAGCUCUCCCAAUAAUCGCAAGCUUUCAUUUGUUUGUAAAAUCAUCUUCUUAUAUUGAUUGUGUUUCCUUGUGUUAUCAAGUAGAGUAUCAUCUUCAAGGGUUUAAAAAAGUCUUUGCAGUAAAGUUUCAACCAGUUGCUGUGAAGAGGCAUAUUCAUUUGAGUAAUUCAGUUUCAGAUUUUCAGGGCAUGUAUGUUUAAUUAGUUUUGAUUAUGCUCUAAAUCUAACAAAAGUAUAUUUCUACUUCUUGUGGUUAUUUUACUUUUGUAUUUUCUGUCAUCAUUUUGAUUAAUUCAUUCGAAUUCAGACUCUCAUUAUUUAAAACCAUUUUCAGGUGGCUUGCACGCUAAUUAAGAAAUUGGAAAGUUAUCAUUGCUUGAAUGAAAGCACCAUCUUCUUUUGUCAAGGCUUUCCCCACACGAUGAGAUUAUGUGCUUGUUAUCGGCCGCUUAAUUAUUUAUUAAAUCAGGUUUUUGUUAUCAAGUACAUCAUCUUAUUCACCAUUUUGGCUAUAUAUAAAGAUUAAAAUUUCUAACAGUUGUUUCAGAUUCUUGUGCACUCAGGUUAAUAGUGCAAAUGUCAGAAUGAAGAUUGUUCAGUGCAACCGGUAUAGCAAGGAUGAUAGUGGUGAGGAAGAUUGUAACACCCCAGUUCGAAAUCCAAGGGCAAAUAUGUCCACAACUCACAUAUGAUUUAAAUAACUCUUUACAAACAAUAAAAUUCGAGCCUCAAAUACAAAAGCCAGCAGAAUAACUUAAAAAUUUAGCCAAACCAUCUACUAUCUUCAACUUGUCACUCAUCACGAAAUAAUCCUGACUUCUGGAAACUGAAUCACAAUAAACUAUAAUGAGUACAAAACUCAGUAAGAAACUAGUUUUUCUUAUAGAAAAUACAUACAUACUUAUACAUAAUGCAAUGGAUGAUAUGCCAUGAUCUUUUGGAAAUAUUGUAAAAUAAAUUCAUAAAAAUCUCUUUCUGUCGCCUUCAAACUUUCUCAUUUUCUUUCGAUGAAAUACGUAUCCUGCAAUGUCGCACUUUGUGCUGUGCGUGGCACUUUGCGGCACUCUGGCCCUCAAGAGGUGGCCCCUGCAUAGUCUCAAGAGGUGGCCCCCCCACAACUUCAAGAGGUGGCCCCCAAUGUAAAAAUCUCAUAAAACAGAAAUUCCGUUUGCUAAAAUCCACUUUCUCAUUCAUAGAAAAUUCAAUGCAUUUUCGUGCUCAUGCCAAUGAACCAUCACACAUACAUAUGCCCAUGUACAUAAUCACGCCCAUUACAUAACAACACAUCACAUAAACACAUGAGCAGAGACAUAUAAAUCCAUAUUCGUACAUAUCAAAAUAGGCUUUUCAUACAAGUCAAACAUAUAUAUUAUUUAUUGUGAUUCGUUUUAAAGUCUAGUUCACUUACCUCUUGGCAUCCUCAUGUAACAAAUGUGUACUGAUACCAUCAACCUAAAAUCAUCAAUAAAUUCUCAUAAGAUAUAAUCAAAUCUCAAUCAUAAACUCUAAUGUCCUCAAAUAUCUCAAUUUAAACAACUCUUAAGCUCAACCUCAAAUGUCCUCAAUAAUCGGCCCUCAAAACAUAACAGUCCAUACUUCUCCGAUUUUUAAUAAAUUAUUCUCUUAUUGGAAGAAUCUCAAAUUUUACAGACCAUAUGCUGACACAUUGAAAGUUCAUUGAUAAAAAUUUCAUAACAUAAUUCCUUCCAAAACGAUUGAAAAUAAUUCACGUUUCAGACAUCAUCAAUACUGUCAAACAGUUUUCUGUUUUGAACACACUUGCUUUAAAAAUACAAAACAAUUUAUUUCUUUAUCAUAAAAUCAUGAAAAUUUCCAGAAUCAUACUAGACUUAUAUAAAACUCAUUGGUCCAAAUUUCAUAAGUUUGAAGAAGUCUAGAUAUGGUAGAAAUAAUUUCGUAAUUCACUGAAAUCAUAAAUUUCCAGGUUUUCAGACUUGACUUUGAAAAAUCAUAAUUAAUUGAAAUCUUAUCUGAUUAACUUGAAACAAGUUUCAAAACAUAUUAGACGAUGUCUAGUUUAACAUACCCAAAAAUCAGAAUCAAAAUCAAUUUUUACAAAUUACUAUGAUUUUCGUAAUAAUUCACUGUCAGCAUAUUUAUGUAAAAUCUUUGAUUUCUACUUCUAUUGCAAUCAUGCUUCUCCACAACAAUUUAAUAGAAACCAAUAAUUAAAACAUACCUCCAAAAAUUCUCCCAACAAUAACAACUUGAUCCAAUGUGUUGUCUAUGGCAAAACUAAGAAGAAGAAGAAGAGCUUCUUUUUUUUUUCUUUUCUCUCUUGUCUCUCCAUCUCUCUUUUUUAACCGAUCCCUCUUUUUCUCUCUCUUAUAAUGAAAAAGACAUCUUGUUCUAUUUAUACUAGGGUAAAAAGGAUCACUAAAAAUUAAAAAGACUUAAAUACCCUUAGGAGAUUUGGGGUAUUACAAAGAUUGUUGGCAAGCCAAAUAGAUCCCUCCAUUUUGAGAAAUAUCAUCCUCAAAUUUGAAUUGCUGAGCAUGUGAAGUGAAGCUAAAGCCUUAAUAAUGAGACCUUCCUGUGAAAGUUUCAUUUGAGUGAAUUGAACGUUCUUGGAGUGAGUGAGAAAUUAAGCAUAUAUCAGCGAUUAGUGAAUUUUUUUCUUUAACAUUAGUACACUCUUAUUUCUUAGUAAAAUUCUCUUCCCGUCUCUGACUGUGACGUAGACCAAAAGCUUAACAAUGUAAAAUUAUAUUGUUAUUUCCUUAUGCUUGUUUUGCUAUAUAUCAUUUCUGUGCAAUCAAGAAUGUAAUUUUGUAAUUAUUUAAUUCUGCUUCCGCAAACAUGCCGUAUUACAAGUGAUAUCUUGCAGAAUUUUCCCCCCCUUUUUUCUUUCUGCAUUAAAACUGCAACAAAUGGAAGUGACUGGCUUGAUUUUAGCUCCUGUAAAAAAGUGCUUGCGGCAAUGUCUUUUGUAUCAGCAAGUCAUCAAACAUCAUUUUACGCUUGAAGUUGGGCCUUCUGAAGAUUUACCCCAUAUGGAACAAAAUAUUGGUUUCGCUACUAAAAUUGCGAACUAUGUUUUUCUUUGUAUUUUCCGCUCAACUGUUGUGCUGAAUAUGUUGCGAACAUAUGACAAUUUAAUCUUUGGCUGAGACUUGUUUAAAAUAAAAAAUGACACUUUAAAGCAAUAGGAGACUUUUAUAUAUUAAAAUGGUAAACGGGUGGAUAAAACUCAAAAUAAAUUUUUGACAUUUUAUCUAUUUUGACAUUCGAAUUUUAAACUUUAGAAGUCAAGCAAUGAAUAAACCUUUUUGAGAGGCUAAUUAAAUUCUUAGUAAUUUCACAUAAUUUCAUUUCAUCAGAACAGUUUUAUCAAAAGCAAUUUUAUAAAUCGUUGUUGAAAGCUUUAUUCCUUAAUUAUCUUUCACAUAGUUUCUUUGUAAUGUGGGUAAGUCAUAGACCAUGGUAUGAUAUUUAUUAAAUAUCAAAAGAUACCUCUUCUAUGGCAAAGUUAAUUAGACAUGUCUUUAUAAUAAAACAUCAUUUAUUUUGAAAUUGAUCCAACACUAAGAUUAUUGUAGAUCAAAUUAGUCUAUUACAGAUAACUUCAGAAGGUUCAUCAGUAGAUUGUUCCAACCUUUUUGUCGUAGUUUACAAGUAUUUUGUUACUUAUAAUACAAGAAAUUUUACAAGUGCUGAUGCUGAGUAGUCUGAAUAAUUAUUAUGAAUCAUAAAAACAGGGCAGAUGCUGUACAAAUUUUACAAAUAUUUUGUUACUUAUAAUGUAAGAAAUUUUACAAGUGCUGAUGCUGAGUAGUCUGCAUAAUUAUUGAGGUGGUGGAGCAAAUGCUCAGUAGUCUGAAUAAUAAUUAUGAAUCGGAAAAAUAGGGCAGAUGCUGUACAAUUAUUGAGGUGGUGGAGCAGAUGCUCAGUAGUUUGAAUAAUUAUUAUGAAUCGGACAAACAGGGCAGAUGCUGUACAAUUAUUGACGUGGUUGAACAGAAAGCUAGCCCCAGACGGUGACUCCUGUGGGGACUCCUUUAAUUUGCAGCACAAAAGAACGCUCACAUUGACAUUGACUCACGGGUAAAAAUUAAAUAUCUCAUAUGGUAUAAGAAGAAUGCAAACAUGCUUGAAUCAACAUUCUCUCAGAAUACAUAAAAGCUACUUUCCUCUGAGCAUUUUAUCAAGAAAAGCAAUUGCUGCAUUUACCAUUUGAUCUGAUAUCAGAAUGGCUCAUGCGAUCGUUUCCUCUCUCUUAGACCAGCUGAUCUCUGUUGCGGCUGAUGAAGUGAAACAGCAGGUGAGGCUUGUGACGGGUGUCGAACAUGAAGUGGGAAAGCUUACCACCAACCUUCAAGCCUUUCAAGCUGUACUGGAAGAUGCAGAGCAGAGGCAACUGGAGAAGGAAAAGGCUGUUACUAUUUGGCUGGAUCAGCUCAGAGACGCAUCCUACGACAUGGAAGAUGUGUUGGAUGAGUGGAUCACUGCAAGGCUCAAAUUGCAGAUUGAGGGCAUUGAUGAUGACAAUGCUCUUGCUCUUGCUCCUCAUAAGAAGAAGGUACGCUCCUUCUUUUGUGCUGUAUCAAAUUGUUUUGGUAGUUUCAAACAACUUAGUCUUCGUCAUGACAUUGCCGUCAAGAUUAGGGAAAUCAAUGGAAAGCUAGAUGAUAUUGCCUCCCAAAAAGAUACGUUUAAAUUUGUUGAGAAUGUGAGUAACAAUGUUAAGAAACCAGAGCGAGUGCGAACCACCUCCUUGAUUGAUGAGGGAGGGGUUUGUGGUAGAGUUGAUGAGAAAAAUGAGCUCUUAAGCAAGUUGCUGUGUGGAAGUAGUGAACAACAAAAAGGCCUUCAUGUCAUUUCACUAGUUGGGUUAGGGGGUAUAGGUAAAACCACUCUUGCACAACUGGCGUAUAAUAAUGAUGAGGUGAAAAGAAAUUUUGAAAAAGUUAUAUGGGUGUGUGUAUCAGACACUUUUGAGGAGAUUAGGGUCGCCAAAGCAAUCAUUGAAGGUCUAGGCGUGUCAGCUUCUGGUUUAAGCGAAUUCGAAUCUCUUAUGAAACAGAUUCAGGAAUAUAUUACGGGGAAUAAAUUUUUUCUUGUUUUAGAUGAUGUGUGGGAUGGAGAUUACAAAAAAUGGGACCUAUUCUUUUCUUGUCUAAAGAAUGGCCACCAUGAAAGUAAAAUUCUAAUUACCACACGUGAUAGGUCAGUUGCACUACAGUUGGGAUCAAUAGAUAUUAUCCCUGUCAAGGAGUUGGGUGAAGGGGAAUGUUGGUUACUGUUUAAGCAUAUAGCAUUUCUACGUAGGUCCUUUGAGGAUUGUGAAAAAUUAGAACCAAUCGGGAGAAAAAUAGCAUGUAAGUGCAAAGGCCUGCCUCUUGCUGCAAAGGUAAUAGGGAAUCUCUUGCGCUCUAAAAGUACAGAAAAAGAGUGGCAAAGAAUUUUAGAUAGUGAAAUGUGGAAAGUAGAAGAGAUUGGGCAAGGUCUUUUAGCUCCUUUGUUGUUGAGUUAUAACGAUUUGCCCUCCAAUUCUAUGGUAAAACGGUGUUUCUCAUAUUGUGCUGUCUUUCCAAAAGACUACGAGAUGGAUAAAGAGGAGUUGAUUGAUCUGUGGAUGGCUCAAGGUUACCUUAAUGCAGAAGAAGACGAAGAAAUGGAGAUGAUUGGAGAAGAGUAUUUCAACAUCUUAGCAACACGCUCUUUCUUUCAAGAAUUUCAGAAAAAUGAUGAUGAUGAUUUUACGAGUUGUAAGAUGCAUGACAUAGUACAUGAUUUUGCCCAAUUUGUAAGUAGCAAAGAAUGUUUGUGGCUAGAAAUUAAUGGUACCAAGGAAUCAGUCAUAAACUUUUUUGGUGACAAAGUCCGUCACUUAGGGUUAAAUUUUGGAGGAGGAGCUUCAUUUCCUAUGACCAUUUAUGGACUUAAUAGAUUGCGUACCCUCCUAAUUUAUGACCAAAGUUUUGUCAAUUUAUCUCUUAACAGUAGCAUCCUUCGGGAGUUAUUUAGUAAAUUGGCAUGUUUAAGGGCAUUAGUUAUAAGCCAAUCGACCAAGCUUUUGUAUGAAGACACAAAUUGGAUUACGGAAAUUCCAGAUAAUGUUGGAAAAUUGAUACAUUUAAAAUAUCUUAAGUUGUCUGAAUUACACAUAGAGAGACUGCCUGAGACUUUGUGUGAAUUAUAUAAUUUACAAAAGCUAGAUAUUAGGCGGUGCCCAAAUCUUAGGGAAUUACCUGCGGGGAUUGGGAAGUUAAUGAACAUGAGGAGUUUACUGAAUGGUAAAACUUAUUCGUUGAAAUACAUGCCAGUAGGGAUUUCCAAAUUAACCAGUCUUCGAACAUUAGAAAAGUUUGUUGUGGGUGGAGGUGUUGAUGGUAGCAAUACGUGUAGGCUUGAAUCUCUGAAAAAUCUUCAACUCCUUCGAGAAUGUGGAAUAGAAGGGCUGGGUAAUGUGUCCCAUUUAGAUGAGGCCGAGAGAUUACAACUUUACAAUCAGCAAAACCUCCUUCGUUUGCGUCUUCGGUUUGGUGGAGUCGUAGAUGGGGAAGAUGAAGAAAGGAGGAGGAAGAAUGAUAAAGACAAACAACUUCUUGAAGCUUUACAACCGCCUUUGAGUGUAGAGGAAUUAGGGAUUGAAUCCUAUGGAGGCGACAUUUUUCCCAAAUGGUUGACUUCACUAACCAAUCUAAGGAAUUUAACACUUUCCUCGUGCGCUAACUGUGAGCAUUUGCCUCCUUUGGGAAAAUUGCCUCUGAAAAAACUCGAACUACUCGACUUGGAAAGUGUAAAAAGAGUGGGUAAUGAGUUUUUGGGAAUAGAAGAAAGCAGUGAGGAUGACCCAUCUUCAUCUUCAUCGUCACCAUCAGUUAUUGCCUUCCCCAAAUUGAAAUCACUCGAAAUUGACGGAAUGAAAGAACUGGAAGAGUGGAAUUACAGGAUUACGAGGAAGGAAAACAUCUCCAUCAUGCCCCGUCUUUCUUCCUUGCAAAUUAUGAAUUGCCGCAAAUUAAAGGCGCUGCCGGAUUACCUUCUUCAAACGAUAGCACUGCAGAAACUGGGUAUUUAUUAUUGUGAUCUUCUAGAAGAACUGCCCAUUCUAGAAGAUCGCAGGACAACAGACAUACCACGUCUUUCUUCCUUGGCGAUUUGGUAUUGCCCCAAAUUAAAGGUGCUGCCGGAUUACCUCCUUCGAACGACGACGCUGCAGGUAUUGAGUAUUAUGGAAUGUCCUCUUCUAGAAGGACAUUAUAGAGAGGGCAAAGGAGAAGACUGGCAUAAGGUAUCUCACAUUCCCUGCAUCAUGUGGUUGCCGUCGUUGUAAGAUAUCACUCGCUGGUAAUUUCUCCUCCUCCUCUGAUUUACUUCGUUGUUGCUUGCAAUGAAAUUAAUAAAAAUAAUUAUAUUUUGAAUUAAAAUUCUAUAUAGAAUCAAUCAUGGUAUAAAUAUGUAAAACUUCCUAGUUAUUAAAUCUGUUUAACUUGUUUUCUAAAGAUUAAAUUAAAAAAAAGUGUAGUCUGUUGAAAUUUCUAUAUUUACUUCUAAAAAAUAUGUGCUCUUUUGUAAAAUUUCAUACCACAUCAUAGAAAAUCCCAAUGUAAUUUAUUUUUUAAUGUACAAAAAUUUGUUAUGUGUAACUUCCUGAGAGGCAAAAUCUCUGGGAUACAUUUGCAAUAAUGUUGAAAAAUAAAUUAUCAAUUUUAUCUUGUAUAAUGAUAAUCAUAUUUUUUUAUAUAUAAUUUAUGUGACAUUAAUUCUUUAAAGUAAUUGUGUAAUUGUUUUUAGUAGUACAUUAGCCCACUUUAUUUUAUUUCAUAUGAGUUUAAUUAUGUUCACCAGGGAUUCGAGGAAAUGUCAGAACUACACUAGCAAUUCACAGGUCCAAUCUAAUUUGGUUUUAAUGAUGCAGGCAGGAGAGCAAGACUAUGAAAAUGAAAAGUUUAGCCAAAGGAUUGCUAAAAUGUUCUGCUGGUAAUUCACUUGCUUUAUUUUAUAGAAUUUCAUUUCCAUCUUCUUCUAUUGAUAUCUUGUUGUGAAUAAACAAGAACAGAGAAGUAAAUGAUUGAACCACAGAGAAGUAAAGAUAUAUCCAAAUUCGAUUAUUAUGAUGAUUAAAGCAAGCUCAAGCUCAAGCAUUGCAUUUUUUAUUUUAUUUAGUUUAUAGAAUUUUCAUUUCCACCUGCAUUUCAUUUUUAUUUCAUUUUUAGGUUGACGUUGAAGACUCUAUGGAGAACAUUGGGGUAACCAAGGAUUAUCACUGUGGUUAUUGUGCAACGUUUGGUUGCGGGACUUUGGAGAAGGAAGUGAUGGCCGGGUCUGCUCUGUUUCAAUUGAGGAUGGACAGCUGCCUGAAAGACAUGAUGAUUAUUAUUGCACGAUGUUAAGGUGCUAAGAUCAUCAUUUCUAUCUUGCUUCAUUCUUGGAAUCAUUUAUCCUAUAUAAACAUAUUGAAUUGUGCUAAUAUUAUCAUAUGCGUCAAUGGAGGCAGGAAUUUGGUGUUGACACUAUUAUACAGGUAACCACACUUCAUAGUUUGCACAAAUUUGCGUUGUCAGAAUAUCCUUUAAUAUUCAUUGUGUUUCUGUGUGUUAUCAGGUUAUCAUCUCCAAGGGUUUGAAAGAGCCUUUGCAGUAAAGUCAGUUGUCACCAGCUCGUGCAAUUGCGCAUUCAUUCAUAGUACUUCAAUAUUGGGUUUUCAAGUUUUGUAUGUUUAGUCGAUUAAAAUGUUUAGUCAAUCAUUCUUAAUCAUUUCUGAUUUUCAAGUUCUUUAGGGCCAUAAACAGUUUUUCAAACUCAUUCUUAUUUUUUAGGUUGAUUUCCUACUCGUGGAAGUCCAAGGAUUAGGCUGGCGAUGGAACUACUACCUCUGUUGUUAUUGUGCAAGGUUUGAUCGCUGGACCUUGAACAAGAAAGCCUUACAUGCAUUCUGUAAUUGAAGCGUUCUCUAAAGCAAAAGAGCAGUAGAAGGAAUAGUGAUGGCCGGAUAUGCUCUAUCUUAAUUGAAGAUCUCUGUGAUGUUGAGGAGCUAAUGAUUGUUAAGGCGUAUUUUCAUGAACUUCCUUUCUUAACAAAUGUUUCAAUGCUGGCUGUAGUAACAAUUUCAUAUCUUGCAUCUCUCGGGUGCAUCAUGUUCACAGGUUUGAAAAAGCAUUUGUGGUAAUGCUUUAAAGCUUGUACAAUGGCUGUGAAAAGGCACAUUCAAUUAGGUACGUUUUGGUGCGGUCUCCCAAUGCUAAUAUUAUAUUUUGUAUAGCAAUUAAAAUUUAGCUAUACAAUUUUAAUAUGCAAUAAAUCAUUGUAUACAAAGUUUUCUAUUAAUUAUAUGGUGACUGAAAUUUUAAUUAUCAUAUCAAUUUAAAUUUUUUUGUAACUCUCUUUUACUUUGCUUGUACAGAGUACCUGUUUUGGUUGAUAUGUCUAAUUUGUAGAAAUUCAUUUCCAUCGGUUUCCAUUGGCUUUAGCACAAACCGAAACAGAGCUCUGGGGAAAAGUUUUACUUCUUGUGAUAUUAUGCCUUUGUUUCUUCAUUCAUCAUAUUUUUCGAAUUCAUGCUCUCAUUCAGAGGGUAAAGCCUUUUCCAGGCUGCUUUGUAGCCAAACUUUGACGCCUUUGAUGCAUGACUGUCAUUCUUUUUCUUGGUUAUUCAAACUUUCAGUUAUAUAUUAUGUGAAAGAUUCUUUUUCUUAUUAAAGUACAUUGUUGGUUUUUUCUUUUUCCUUCAUUUUGUCUGAAUUAAAGCUAAAAUUGUAAGUUUUUUUUUAAUUGGAAAAUAUUAAUAUUUCAUUAAACAAAUAACAACAAUACAACUACUUGCAGUACAUCACUAGUUCACAUUACAAAGAUUAAAAUACAGAGAUCUGUUUUAGUUACAGAGAUCUAUUACAGUAAUCAAUUGAAUUAACCCCUAAAAGUUUAUUAAAGAAUAGGAAGAAACACAUGUACACUAAAAGAAAAACUUCCAUUCGUAAUGCACAUAUAAUUCAAGCUCCAUUUGGGGUUCCAUGGCUCUUUCGAAAUUAUCUCCACCACCAUAUUUAUGCUUUCCAGCUAGUACCAAAAUAGAUUUACCGUAAAAAUUGAUUCACACCCUCUAACUUUACAAACAUGAGAAACAUAGACUCUAGAUCUAAAAGUUGAAGGGUUAUGUACUGGCAAAUAGAAAUUAAACCAACAUUAUCACUAUAACAGAUACAUUAUUACCAUCAAAGAUCAAGAUCUGAAUGGAUGCACAGCAGCCAUCGUCAAGACCAAAAGAGGAAGAAAUUGAAAUAGAACAACCACCUUAAGGUGGAGAAGGCCAGAACAAGACACCCAUCCUCAAAUCAUAUGGAAGAGGUGGGUGCAACCAAAAAAAAAAAAAAAGAGAGAAUCCACUGGAGAAGGCAAGAAAGAUUUCUGCCUCCAAAGAUUUGGUGAGGAAGAGAUGAGGAAUUUGGAGAGGAAAAGUUUCGGAGAGAUCUAGAGUUUGGCUUUAAAAAUGUGUUUUAAAGAAAAAGUUGUUGAGAGGAAACGAGACCAAUUAGAUCAUGCAAGAAGUUAAUUUUUUUUAAAUAAAAAAGGAGAAAUGAUGAUCUUACAAAGUUUGAAUAUAAAGUUUAAAAUCUAAAAUUAAUGACUUGACAAUCGAUGCAUUAUUAGCCUAAUAGAGUAAGAAGUCCCUGCUAAAGAAUUCAAUAUUCUACCCAGAAUACUUCUUUCUAUUGCAAUUAAAUGAUGAUUAUUUGUUUUUAUCAUGAAAGCUAAAAUAACUUUGUGAGUAAUUUGAUCCUUUUGCAGUAUAAAAAUAAAUUCAGAAAUGGGCACCAUUCUUCCUUUGUUUAAAUCAUGGUCUCCACGGAAGUAAAAUUUUGGUUACUACACGUAAUGAGUUAGUUGCACGUAUGAUGGGAUCAACAAAUAUUAUCUUCAUUGAGCAAUUGAUUGAAGAGGAUUGCUAGUCGGUUUUCAAGCGAUUAGCAUUUUUCGGUCACUCUUUCGAGGAUUGUGAAAGAUUAGAACCAAUCGGCCGAAAAAUUGCACGCAAGUGCAAAGGCCUGCCUCUUGCUGCAAAGGUAAUAAGGAAUCUCUCGCGUUCAAAAAGUGCAAUAAACGACUGGCAAAGAAUUUUAGAUAGUGAAAUGUGGAAGGCAGAAGAGAUUGGGAAAGGUCUUUUGACUCCUUUAUUGUUGAGUUAUAAUGAUUUGUCGUCCAAUUCUAUGGUAAAACAAUAUUUUUCAUUUUGUGCUGUCUUUCCGAAAGACUACAAUAUGUAUAAAGAGGAGCUAAUUUCACUAUGGAUGGCUCAAGGUUACCUUAAUGCAGAAGAAUAUGAAGAGAUGGAGAUGACUGGGGAAGAGUGUUUCAACAUUUUAGCAACACACUCUUUCUUUCAAGAGUUUGAGAAAAAUGAUGAUGAUGAUAUUAUGAGUUGCAAGAUGCAUGACAUAGUACAUGAUUUUGCUCAAUUUGUAAGUAGCAAAGAAUGUUUGUGGCUAGAAAUUAAUGGUACCAAAGAAUCAGUCAUAAACUCUUUUGGUGGGAAAGUCCGUCCCUUAGGUUAAAGUUUAAAGGAGGCGCUUUAUUUCCUAUGUCCAUUCAUGGACUUAAUAGAUCGCGUACCCUCCUAAUUGAUUAUGAAAGUCCUUCCAAUUCGUCUCUUGAUAGUAGCAUCCUUCCUGAGUUAUUUAGUAAAUUGGCAUGUUUAAGAGCAUUAGUUAUAAGGCAAUCAUUCUUGCUUUGUCGUCCUGACCCAAAUUUGAUUAGAGAAAUUCCAGAAGAUGUCGGGAAAUUGAUGCUUUUAAAAUAUCUUAAUUUGUCUGAAUUACACAUAGAGAGACUGCCUGAGACUUUGUGUGAAUUAUAUAAUUUACAAAAGCUAGAUAUUAGGGGGUGCCGAAAUCUAAGAGAAUUGCCUGCAGGGAUUGGGAAGUUAAAGAACAUGAGGAGUUUGCUAAAUGGUCUUACUUGUUCGUUGAAGUACAUGCCAAUAGGAUUUUCCAAAUUAACCAAUCUUCGAACAUUAGACAAGUUUGCUGUGGGUGGAGGUGUUGAUGGUGGCAGUACGUGGAGGCUUGAAUGUCUGAAAAAUCUUCAACUCCUUCGAGAAUGUGGAAUAGAAGGGCUGAGUAAUUUGUCACAUGUAGAUGAGGCUGAGAGAUUAGAACUCAAAAAUAUGGAAAACCUCCUUCGUUUGUAUCUUUUGUUUGAAGUUGUAGAUUGGGAAGAUAAAGAAGAGGAUGAAGAUGAAGGUGGGGAAGAUGAAGGUGAGGAUGGGGGAUAUGAAGAAGAAGAAGGAGGUGAAGUUGUAAAUGGGGAAGAUGAAGAAAGGAGCAGGAAGAAUGAGAAAGAUGAACAACUUCUUGAAGCCUUACAGCCGCCUUUGAAUGUAGAGGAAUUAUGGAUUUUAUUAUAUGGAGGCAACAUUUUUCCCAAAUGGUUGACUUCGCUAACCAAUAUAAGGAAUUUAUUUCUUCACAGGUGUCUUAACUGUGAGCAUUUGCCUCCUCUGGGAAAAUUGCCUCUGGAAAAACUCGCCCUGCAAAAUUUGAAUAGUGUAAAAAGAGUGGGUAAUGAGGUUUUGGGAAUAGAGGAAAGUAGUGAUGAUGACCCGUCUUCAUCUUCAUCAUCAUCAUCAGUUAUUGCCUUCCCCAAAUUGAAAUCACUCAAAAUUUGGGACAUGGAAGAAUUGGAAGAGUGGGAUUACACGGUUACGAGGAAGGAAAACAUCUCCAUCAUGCCACGUCUUUCUUCCUUGGAAAUUGAUUGUUGCCCCAAAUUAAAGGUGUUGCCAGAUGACCUUCUUCAAACGUCGACACUGCAGGAAUUGAGUAUUGGGGGAUGUCCUAUUCUAGAAGACUGGCAUAAGAUAUCUCACAUUCCCCACAUCGAGUUUUAAAUUCUCGAACGGUUGCAAUUACUAUAACCCGCCGGUAAUUUCUCCUCCUCCUCUGUUUUGCUUCAUUGUUACUUGUAAUGAAAUUAAUAAUAAUAAUGAUAAUAAUUAAAUUUUGAAUUAAAUUUCUAUAUUUUGCCAAUGUCUCAUAGGAAUGUGCAAUAUUUUCUAAUAUUUUGAUUUUUGUAUUGAAUAUAACUAUUUACUUCAGUGUACGAUAAUUUGUUACGUGAAACUUCUUGAGAGACUGAAUUUCUGGGGUACUUUGUAGUAAUGUUGAAAACUAAGUGAUGGCUGGGUCUGCUCUGUUUCAGUUGAGGAUGGAUUGCUGCCUGGAAGACAUGCUGAUUAUUAUUGCAUGAUAUUAAGGUGCUGAGAUCAUCAUUUCUAUCUUGUUUCUUUCUUUGAACGGUUUAUCCUCUAUAAGCAUAUGGAAUUAUGUUAGUAUUAUCACUUCUUCACCCAAUUUUCACUGUUGGUUGUAAUAACCAUUUCAGGUUCUCAAAAGCUACAAAGCAAAGCAUCUUUGGGCUGAUCAUAUAUUUCAAUUGACGAAGGAAUUCGAUGUUGGCACUAUUAUGCAGGUAACCAGAGUUGAUAAUUUGUACAAAUUUGCAUUGUCAGAAUACCCUUCAUAUUCACCGUGUUUCUUUGUGUAGGUAUGUAGAGUAUCAUCUUCAAGGGUUGUAAGAGCCUUUGCAGUAAAUUUAGCUGCUAGUGCAAUUGCUCAUUCAUCGAAGUACAAUUUUGGAUUUUCAAGGUUUGUAUGCUCAGUUGUAAUUAAAAUGCUUAGUCACUUAUUCCUAAUCUUUCUGAUUUUCAAGUUAUUUUAGGUCCAUAAACAGUUUUCACACAUGUUUCAAUGCUUCUUGUAAUGACAAUUUCAUAUCUUGCAUCUCUAAUGUGCAUCAUGUUUGAAACAGCUUUCGCGGUAAAGUCUUCGAUGCUUGUACAAUGGCUGUGAAGAGGCACACUAAAUUCGGUACAUUUUGGUACGGCCUCCUAAUGCUGGUAUAAUGUUGUGUAUAUUUAGUUUGCAAUUAAAACUUAGGUAUACAAAUCUUAAUCUGCAAUAGAUCAUAGUGUACAAAGUUUCUAUUAAUGAUAUGGUGACUGAAAGUUUAAUUAUCUUAAAAUUUUUCUAUGACUCUCUUUUACUUUCUUUGUACAGAGUACUUGUUUUGGCUGAUGUGUCUAAUUCAUAGAAAUUCAUUUCCAUCGGUUUCCAUUGGUUUGAGCACAAACAGAAACAGAGGUCUGAGGAGAAGUUUCACUUCUUGCGGUAUUAUGCCUUUGUUUCUUUAUUCACCAUAUUUGUUCGAAUUCAUGCCCUCAUUAAGAAUUUAAAGCCUUUUCCAGGCAGCUUUGUAGCCAAAUUUUGAUGCCAUAAAUGCAUGAUUGUCAUUUAGAUUUUCCGAAUAUUUGUUAUUUGGAGAAAUAUUGUUAAAAGGGCAUUUGAUUAGCUACUUACCCUAUGAAUUUAGUUGCCAAUAAUAGAUUGAAAUUGAGUAGGCUAAUGGUUGAGGAAAGUUAUUGUCUUAAUUAAAUUACAGGUGAUAAGAUGUUGCUUGUGUAAUCAGAUAAAUGGGGCAAAUGUCAGAACAAAGAUUGUUCAGUGCUGCUGGUAGGGCAAGGAUGAUGAUGGUGAGGAAGAUUGUUCACAAGCCAAGUAGAGCCCUCCAUUUUGAGAAAUAUCAUCCUCAAAUUUGAAUUGUUGAGCAUAUGAAGUGAUGCUAAAGCCUUAAUAUUAAGUCUUUCUGAAAGUUUCAUUUGAAUGAAUUUUCGGAGAUUGAAUGUUCUUAGCGUGAGUAAGAAAAUUAAGCACAUAUCUGCGAUUUGGAUCGUCGGUGAAUGUUUUCCUUUAAUAUUUGUACAAACCCGUUUCUUAGUAAAAUUUUCUUCAUGUCUUUUACUAUGACAUAGGCUAAUAGCCGUACCACAUAACAUUAUCUUCUUAUUUCUUUAUGCUUGGUUUUGCUACAUAUAAGAAUGCAAUUUUGUAACUACUUAACUCUGCUUCGGCAAAGUUAAGUAGUUACAAAAAUUUUUUUUUUUCGUUUUUCUUUCUCCGAUAAAAUUGCCACAAAUGGAAGCGAUUGGCUUGAUUUUUGCUUCUGUAAAAAGUGGUGGGAGCAAUGUCUUGUGUACCCGCAAGUUAUAAAUCGUCAUAGUUUAAAUGACGAAUCCCGAGUUGCCAUCCAAACUAAAGAAAUUGCAAAUUAAGUAGUUCAUUACAAAUGAUAUAUUUUGAGUUGCUAAUUAUUAAGUAUUUCAUUCAAAAAUGUUCUCGUUCCCACAGUUUCUAAUGUUUAAAGUGCAUCAUUGCUCUACUUCCGUCAUAACAGCAUAAGAGAAUUUAACAUAAUACUGAGAAAAUGAUUAUUUUACCCUAAAUGUAAAUGAUUAUUCUACCCUUAACAUAAAAUAACUAAUUUGCCCUAAUUUAAUAACGAAAAAAAUAGAUGACUGCAAUAUAGAUAUUAAAUAAUAAAUAAAAUAAAAAAUAAGAAUUAAAACUAAAAUAAUUAAAAGAGAGCUCAAGAGAAAACGCACUUUAAUCUGGUACCUGUACCCGUGGAUCGUGGCGAUGGCGGAUUGGGGCUUAUUACCAAGUCGUUUAAGAAUUUUAAACUUUCAAAUUUUUUUUAAACCUUGAAUUUUUUAGUUUAUUGGUUAAGUGAUAAAAUUUGGUGGUAGUUUGAUACUGUGUUGUAUGUUGUGUUAUUUUAGCUCAUUAACUUUGUUAUGUAAUUCUUCUUUAAAUACGACGUCGUUUUUGUCCAUUAAGAGUCCAAUGACAAGUUUAUCAUUCUGACAUGAGUAAAAUUCUAACGGCGUGAUGACAAUAGUGUAGAAAUGAUAGAUUUUGUAAACAUCAGGUGGAAUUGUUAAAAAAAAAAAUGUGGUCGUGUAUUUUUUAUAAAGUCUAAAACAUCAAGUGAUUAGAGAAUAUUUGUGCUUAAGUAUUUGAUUCAAAAAAAUUUCCACUCCUAGACUAUUUAAGUUGUAACCAAAACUGAGAAUUUUUUUUUUUUUUUGCAUGAUGAAUCUCGAUAUUUAGGAUGAAUAUUUUAAUAUUUAAGCUUAAUGGUCACCCACUAUUGGUAGAAGAAUUUUUAUUCUAACACUAUACAAUUUUCGUGUGAGGUGGUCUUGGGCUUAUCUCAACCUUAAAAGUCAAAAGCUAGCUCAAUAAGUGAGAUUUUUUUCUCACACUUAUGAAAUCACCACGAGCUCCUCCCACAACCAAUGUGGGAUAAUCCCAACAAUCUCCCCUCACUCAUCGAGCCUUGGGUUGGAAGCAUAAACAUCAAUUCUCCCUAUUAGAUUGUUGGUUGAGUUGUUGGUGAACCUGAGCUUUGAUACUAAUGUUAGAUGGUCUUGGGCUUCUCUCGACUUCAAAAGCUAGCUCAAAGAGAGAGAUAUUCCCUCACAUUUAUGAGGUCAUUAUCAGCCUCUUCCACAAUCGAUGUCGGCUAACCCGACAUUUCUCUCUCUAUAUAAUACAUAAGUUGGAUAAUAAAUUUAUAUCUCAAUCUAGGUAUAAACAUUAAUUUUAUUUCUUUUUAUCAAUCAUUAUCCUAUUGGGUCUAUCGACUCACCGUACAAAAUGUUGUAAAACUUCCCCGCCGAAGAGACUUUGGUAGCUUUGAGUUUGUAAAUCAAGUUCCUAUCCGUCGUCCCUCCUAAUCCAUUCUUCGGCCAAGUACGCCUGACAUUCUUGUACCUUACAACGUCAUAUUUGGCACAAAAUUCAUGAAACUUAAACCAAACACUAAACUAUUAUUAGUUCUCAACAUUUUAUAUCAUUCGACGUUUUGUGUCAGAAUAAAUAUUUUAUCUUUGAACUUCUCAAGCACUUAUUCAUGGCUUAUUUCUCAACUCACUAUGGAUUAAUGAUGCUGAUGAAAUUGUGGAUUAACCAGACAAUAUUGUAAUUAUUACACAUACACACAAGCACACGUACAUACGUACAAAAGCAUAUAGGAGUUGACCUUGCUCAGGAUUUAAAAAAAAUGAAUAAAAUUUUCCAAUAAUUAAUUAAGAUAAAAAAGAUCAUUAAAACCCGAGUACCCCUCGCAAUUGUGUCACUUGAAUUCUCUGUAUUUAUGCACAUAUAAUAUUUUGAAUGAAUCUAUAAUGAUGUUAAUUUUUUAAUGAACUUAAUCUUAAAUUAAAAUUUUCUUUUGAAAAAAAAGAAGAAAUCUUAAAUAUUAUAAAAUAUAGAUCAGUUGGAAAACUAUUCCUAGAAAUGCAUCUUAGUUUUAUUCUUGGAAAAUGUUUCCUUUCGCACUUGCGAGGAAUUAGAAAUUGAACAAUAAUUUUUAGACUUUUCAUUGUCUUUGUGGUUAUAUGGUUGUCUUUAAUAUAAAUAUAUGAUCCCGGAGGCCAAAUGUCUAAGUCACAUGCAUUUACCUAAUACUUUUUUCUUUUUUCUUUGUUUUUCGGAUAGGGCAAUUAUUUAAUACCUUGAAGAAAGAGAGAUAAAAUAUAAUGCAUGCCAAUUUGUUGCAACAAAGCUUUCAUAUCAAGCGUUGGCAUAAAUUAUUAUGCCAAUUUGUUCAAGACAAUAUCUUUAGUUGGCAUGUAAGUUUCAUUAGCCGGCGUCUACUCUUAAUUUAUGUCAAAUUAAGUAAUCGCUCCGCCCCAAUAAUGUUGCCUUUGAUCUCUCAGCCCCAGUAAAAGAAUUGGCUAAAAGAGAAUGUUGGUCACUGUUUAAGCAAGUAUGCUUUUGGCGGUCCUUUGAGGAUCUUCAAAAUUUAGAACUAAUAACCAAUCAAAUGAAAAAUUGCAUACAAGUGUAAAAGCUUACCCCUUAAUGCAUAGGUAAUAGGAAUUCUCUUGCUCAACAUAUACACCCUUUUCUUUAUAAUCUUUUACUUUUGCUCUUAAGCUAAAGCAUUAAAAGGCCCAAUAUCCACUCUUUAUAUAUAGUAGUUUCUGGUCCGGGAUCAUAAAGUGCGGGAAAUAUUCGGAAAAAUUUUAAAAUCGUGGGGUUUUAAAUGCUUAAAACUUAAAGUGCUUAAACUGAACGGUUAAUAUGUUUUCCUGGACGUUCCCGCAUUUUAAAAUUCCGGACUGUAACAUUUCUCUCUCUCUCUCUCUCUUUAUAUAUAUAUAUAUAUAUAUAUAUAUAUAUAUAUAUAUAGGGAGAAUGCCAAUUUCCCCCCAUAUUGUAAUCAAUUUAUAUCAUUUAUGUCCUACUCUUAUAUAAUAGCCAAUAACUCCUGGAUAGCAUAAUAUAACAAUAUUAUCUUUAAUUUUAAAUACACUUUUAUUUAUAUUUAUUAUAAAUUAAAUAAAACAUGUGAAUGAAAACUAAAAUAAAUAUUAAAUAUUAAAAACAAUAAAUAUAUGUUUUGAUGUGAAUAAAAAAUUAAUAGUAAAAUAUUUUUCUUGUACUUCUUUUAUUUACAAACAUUUUCUAAUAAUACAUAUAUAAGAAAAUUAUUAUAAAAUAAUUAUAAAUUAAUAUAAAUUAAUAAUAAAAUAGUAUAAAAUUAAUAAUAAAAUAUUUUUCUUGUACUUUUGUAUUUUAUAUAUUUAUUAUAAGAAAAUGUUUAUAAAACAAAAAUACAAAAAAAUUUAUUAUUAAUUUUUUUAUUCACAUCAAGACGUAUAUUUCUUGUUUUUAAUAAAUUUUUUUUUUACCAUUCAAUAUGAUUUGUUUAAUGUAUAAUAAAUAUGAAUAAAGGUGUAUUUGAAAAUAAAAAUAAUAUUGUAGGAAACAUUUACCAUUUUCUAAGAGAAGCUUAAGAGUGAGUAAAGGCUUGUUUAAACCAGAUAUUUUGAGCCAUAUAUUUUAAAAUACCUCAAGGCACCCUCAUUGUUAAAUAUGCUAUAUUUCUACUCUUACUUUUUCUUUCCUUUUAUAAUAUUACCCUUGCAACAAUAUUCUAACCUUUUUGAGGAUAUCAAUGAAAGAAAAAAAAUUAAUUUAUCAAAAUUUGCCUUAAAAGUAACAUAAAAAAUUCCACAAAUUUUUAUGUUAUUAUUUUACUUUUAGGAUUAAUUUGGUAAAUUAAUUUUUUAUAAAAUAACUAUUAGUAAAAUUGUUGCAAAUAUAUUAAACAUUUCUUUAAGUUGGAUAAUAUUGAUUUAUUUAUAAAUAAAUUAUUGGCAAUUAGUUCUUUCAUACUGAAAUUUAUUAGUUAAUUUGCUAAUCAAUAAUUAUUGGUUAAUACGCUAAUAAACUUUUAUAGAUAAAUUAAUUAAUGUCAAGAAUAUUAUUGCAAGGUAUUAUUAUAAAAGCAAAUAGAAAGUAAGUGCAAGAAUGUAAUAUAUUUAAUUAUAAAGGUAUUUUGAGAUAUUUUUGAAAUUAUAAGAACUAAACAAGCAUUUACCAGUUGAGAGAAGAUGAAAUGGGAAAAAUUCAAGGGUUAGGAUAUAUGAUGAGUUAAGGAUUAGGUCUUGUAAAAUCUUGAUUUGGGGAGAUGAUUUUGGAGUGUUUCAACCCUAAAUUCAUUUGGGAAGACUCAUUGACGUACACAUUAAAGGUGGAAAGUGUAGAGAGAGAGAGAAGGAGAAAGUGUGUGUUUAGAGUGAGAGAUGUGUAAUUCAAGUAAACAAGUUGGAUACUUGGAUUUCUCACUAAAUAGAGUAAGAUUUCCAUCAUUCUAUCAUUAUUUAUGCUAAAUUUAAUUUAAAGAUUUGUUUAUUUUAUUUAAAUUAAUGUUUCCAACAUAUGGUAAAGUGGUACGAAGAUAAAUUUUGUAAUUUGUGGAUUACUUUAGGUGCACACAGCACCAACAAGGCAUUGUAGAGCCAAAAAGACUUAGCACUUGAUGUUUCUGGUUCGAUAUAUAAAUAGCUAAUAAUUGUGUAUUAUGUUUAUGUAGUUUAUGGUUAGUAAUGAGAUUGGUGGUAAUGUAGCUCUAUAAUUAACUAUUUAUUUCCAAAACUAAGGAACUUCAUAUCGUAUUUUCUUCCAAAACUAAGGAGCUUCAUAUCAUGUAUUUCAUUAAAAAAUAGUCUCACUCUUAGACUUUAUGAGUUGCUGUGAAAAAUAAAUGAUGAUAAAUUUUCAUACAAAUUUAUUUUUAUAAAUUGAUACGACAUUAGUUCAUUGGUUGCAUGAAAUAUAAAAGCAGGUAGCAGUUGGUCCUUUGAGGAUCAUAAAAUUUAGAACCAAUCGGUCUAAAAAUUGCAUGCAAGUGCAAAGGUCUGCUCUUGUUGCAAAGGUAAUAGAGAAUCUCUUAUUCUCUAAAAGAGUAGUAGAAGAAUAGAAAAGAAUUCUAGAUGGUGAUAUGUGGAAGCUAGAAGAGAUAAGGAAAGGUCUUUUGGCUCCUUUAUUGUUGAGUUAUAUUGCUAUGCCAUCCAUGGUAAAAUGAUUUUUCUCAUAUUGUGCUGUCUUUUCAAAAGACUACAACAUGUAUAAAGAGGAACUAAUUACCCUAUGGAUGACUUAAAGUUACCUUAGUAUAACUAAUUACCCGGCGUCGGAGGGUUUACACCGGGAAAACACUCGGCGUGCUCUGACUUGUCUCUGUGUACGCAGGAGUUUGCGGAGAAGAAGCCUUACGAGGAGAGAUCCUGAUCGUGGUCGAGUUGGUUGAGGAGAGAGCUUGGUCGUGGUCGAGCAGGGAACCAAAAUCUCGCAUCAACACAGUUUCUGUUGCAAUUGUAUUGGCCUGGGUUUAGGGAACUGUCAACUUUCAGAAGAAGAUGGAGUUUCUCAAACCAAAUCUAAGAAGAUAUCUCACAUUCCCCACAUGGUCUCAACGCACAGGUAAGUUCUUCUCUAGCUCUGUUUUUCAUUGUUUGUUAUUUUUAAUGUAACUAAGAAGCAGAGUUAAUCUCUUAUCUUGUCCUUGCUUUGAGAAAACCUGCUUUUACAUCUAUUUUUAAUUCACAUGUCCACAGUAAUUUCAUUUUAGUUUGAGCUGAGUGAUAACUGUUCAAGGCUCACUUACUCAUUGGGAGAAGCUGCAUGACGCAGGCUGCAAGGAUUUAGAUUUUCAUUCGAAGGCUCACUUACUCAUAGUGUGCAUGUUUCGUUACGAUUAAAAUGAUUAGUCUCUUGUUCUUAAGUAUACAAUUUCCAAUGGAUUUGAUAGAGCGGUCAUCAACCAUAUUGAUGUUAUUGGAGUAGCACUGUUCUUAAGCACUGCUUUGAGGUCUCUCCCUCUCUAUAUACAUUGAUAGACUAUUCUGGUCGUACCAAAUUAUCCUUGUUUUAUUGUUUUGUUUGUUAAACUUUGACUGGGGGAAUCUGUUUAUUUGUCUGAUAUGAUGUUAGUGUGGUUUCGAUUGAAGUGUGUUGAUCUAUCACCAAGUAUUAUUUCAAUUUUUCUUUACCUAAUCAACUUGCAUACUUUCCAAGUCUAGAUCCUUAACAAUAGUGAGACUCCGCUACAGAAGUACGAUUUCUCUAGUUUUGUAGUUAAAUACGUAAGAAUAGUUUUAAAUUAACAGAACUCUGAGAUAGUUCUCUGAGGAAAUACAAGUGGUGAAUAUGGUUCCAACUUUUAAGUGCCUUAAGAUUCCCAUUUGUUCAGCCCUGUGCGUAAACAAUCAGUAAUUUCUGUCCAAAUUCUUCUUUAAUGCCUAUAUGUGUUGGACUUUGUCUACUGUUCAACUUCUCAAAUGGAUUCCAUGCAGGGUUUUGAAUGUCCAAUUAGGAGAAAGAUCAAGGCUUGCUUGGCUAGGAGUGGAAGCGGAUCCACUACUUCAGUCAGAUGACCUUUUGAAGAAGGCUUACAACAGGCCGUCUCAGGAUGUCAAUGGCUCAACUCAAAAGUCCCCAAAGUGGUUGAUAUCGAAGAAUGCCGUUGUCUCUGGGCUUGGGCUCCUUGGCAUCAAACAAGGGAAUGUCGACUCUGUUGAAGGGGAAGCAAGGGCUCCUAAAGUGCGAAGAAAGAGGAUAGGCCGGAAGAAGGUGACCGCAUAAAUUUCUUGGGAGUUGAUCCUAGUCAAUAGCCCAAUUUUUUUGUCAAAACAUUGGUCCCGAUUCCAGCAAAACAGUAACUUCCAUUCAAAAGGGUUCAGCGUUGAGUGCAUGUAAUCUGCACAAGUUUGACAAAAAAUAACCGAAAAAAAAAAAAGAAACCCACGUCCAAAGAUGCCGUUGAAAAAAGUUAUUGGGUAUUCAUAAUAAAAUAAACAAAUAAAAAAAUGAAUAAAAAUUUAAAUACUUAAUUAAUUUUUAUCAAAUUCUUAUCAAAUAUUUAAAAAAGUAUAUAAAAUGAAUUAAUUGAUGGUAUUAUUAAUUUUCAUGAUGAUUUUUAAUAUUAUAUUAGUGAUUAGUAAGUUUAAUACAAUCAAUAAUGCAAGAAAUUAUUAAAUGGUUAAUUUUAUUGGCAAAUUUUAUCAAAUACGCAAGUAAUGAAAAAUUAAUCUCAAGAGUUAGUAGAAGUAAAGUUCUAAUUUAACCAGAUGAUAGAUAAUAAAUACAAAUAAAUUUUAAGUAAAUCAUAAAUUAAAAAUAAAUAAAUUAAUUAAUAUUAAGUAUAAAUAAAAAAUAAUGACAUAAAUUAAAGUCUCAUAAAUGGAUAACUUUUUUUCUUUAAUCUUAUCCUAAGUCCCAACUAAAGGAAUGUGUAAAUUAGGAUUAUUAAUCCCAUAAUUUUAGGAUUAAACUUAAAUUUAGUCCCUUAGUCCAAUUCAAUUAAGCUUACCAAAUAUGAUAUAAAUAUAUAAUCACAAAAUUAGUCCAAUUCCAUACUUAAUCCUAGUAUUCGAACAUGGCCGGAUAAAAUAGUUUAGAUAAUAUACUUCUAUGGCUCACAAUUUAAAUAAAUUUGAGAAUUUAAAUAAGGGAUGGAAAAUUCACAAUAAUCAUACCAUGUACUGUCUUUUCUUCCUUUUCUUAAUUAAAUAAAAGAAAAAAAAUUAAUGACAGAACCACUGCUGUGUGAUAUCGAUGAAGUCGCAUUCGCCUACCUAAUAUUGCGCAAUCAGAUAGAAAAAAGGGUCGGCUGCAUGAUUUUUCCAACUUUUGUCUUAUUUUUCUCUUUUCCACUACAAAUUAAUUUGAGAAUGUUAUAUUUUCCAAUUCUCUUUUUGUCGUGACAUAAUAGACUAAAGCGGAAUCACAUACUUUUUCAAAUGACCAAAUGGCUUUGGCCUACCUGAUAAUAAAAGGAAUGGAUCCAUACGUUAAAGCUAAAUUGAAAAAUAUAAUAAAUAAAUUGUCAGGAGAUGAUUUUAUCAAAAAUUUCACUCGCACGGUCCCGACCAAAUACAAAUUUGUGAUGAUAUUCAUAAUGAAUUUAUACCAUUAGGCGAAAUUACUCUAUAUAGUUUCAUCGAUAUAUAUUAUACCAUUACAAAUAUACUAAUAUUUAUAAUAAAAAAAAUUUAUGACUAUUUUAAAUCGACUGUAUUAUAUGUGAAUUCACAAGAUUCAUAGAUAGAUUGCACUGAGCUUUUUGUUGCAGUUUACAAAUAUUUUGUUACUAAUUAUCUUAAGAGCAGCAAGUAACUAAAUACAAAUGUAAGAAAUUUCACAAGUGCUGAUGCUGUGUACUCUGCAGAAUUAAUAAUGGAUUAUUAUGAAUCAGAGAAACAGGGCAGACGCUGUACAAUUAUUGACGUGGUGGAGCAGAAAGCUAGCCCCACAUGGUGACUCCUUUAAUUUGCAGCACAAAAGAACGUUCACAUUGACAUUGACUCGAGGGUAAAAAGAAUGCAAACAUGCUUGAAUGAACAUUCUCACAGAAUACAUAAAAGCAAGAAAAGCAAUUGCAGCAUUUUCCAUUUGAUCUAAUAUCAGAAUGGCUCUUGCGAUCGUUUGCGCUCUCUUGGACCAGCUGAAUUCCAUUGCUCAAGAAAAGUGGAGGCUUUUGACGGGUGUCGAACAAGAAGUGGGAAAGCUUACUACCAAUCUUCAAGCCAUUCAAGCUGUGCUGGAAGAUGCAGAGCAGAGGCAAAUGAAGCAGGACAGAGCUGUUACUCUUUGGCUGGAUCAGCUCAGAGACGCAUCCUACGACAUGGAAGAUGUGUUGGAUAAGUGGAUCACUGAAACACGGAAAUCGCAGCUUGAUGAGGGCGGCGAUGAUGAAGAUGAUGAUAACGACAAUGCUUUUGUUACUCUUUUGACGAAGGUAUGUUCCUUCUUUCCUGCUGCCUCAAACUGCUUUGGUUGUUUCAAACAACUCAGUCUUCGUCAUCAUAUUACUGUCAAGAUUAGAGAAAUCAGUAAAAGGCUAGAUGAUAUUGCCAGACAAAAAGAUAGUUUCAAAUUUGUUGAGAAUGUGAGUAACAAUGUUAAGAAACCAGAGCGAGUGCGAACCACCUCCUUGAUUGAUAAGGGAGAGGUUUUUGGUAGAGUUGAUGAGAAAAAUGAGCUCUUAAGCAAGUUGUUGUGUGACAGUAGUGAACAACACCCUCAUAUCAUCUCAUUGGUUGGGUUCGGGGGUAUAGGCAAAACCACUCUUGCACAACUAGCCUAUAAUGAUGAUGAGGUGAAAAUAAAUUUUGAAAAAGUUAUAUGGGCGUGUGUAUCAGACACUUUUGAGGAGAUUAGGGUCGCCAAAGCAAUCAUUGAAGGUCUAGGCGAGUCAAAAAAAGCUUCUGGUUUAAGCGAAUUCCAAUCUCUUAUGAGCCAUAUCCAUAGAUCAAUUGGGGGAAAAAAAUUUUUUCUUGUCUUAGAUGAUGUAUGGGAUGGGGAUUCCAAUAAAUGGGAUCCAUUCUUCUUUUGUCUAAAGAAUGGUCUCCACGGAAGUAAAAUUUUGGUUACCACACGUAAUGAGUCAAUUGCACGUAUGAUGGGAACAACAGAGUCAGAUACUAUCUCCAUUGAACAACUGGCUGAAGAGGAAUGCUGGUUGUUUUCCAAGCAGUUAGCAUUUUUCGGUCGCUGUUUCGAGGAUUGUGAAAGAUUAGAACCAAUCGGGCGAAAAAUUGCACGCAAGUGCAAAGGCCUGCCUCUUGCUGCAAAGGUAAUAGGGAAUCUCUUGCGCUCUAAAAUUACAGUAAAAGAGUGGCAAAGAAUGUUAGAUAGUGAAAUGUGGAAAUUAGAAGAGAUUGGGCAAGGUCUUUUGGCUCCUUUGUUGUUGAGUUAUAACGAUUUGCCCUCCAAUUCGAUGGUAAAACGGUGUUUCUCAUAUUGUGUUGUCUUUCCAAAUGACUACAGUAUGAAUAAAGAAGAAUUGAUUAGUCUGUGGAUGGCUCAAGGCUACUUUAACGCAGAAGAAGACGAAGAAAUGGAGAUGAUUGGAGAAGAGUAUUUCAACAUAUUAGCAGCACGCUCUUUCUUUCAAGAGUUUAAAAAAGAUUAUUUCAAUGGUGAUUUUAUGUGGUGUAAGAUGCAUGACAUAGUACAUGAUUUUGCCCAAUUUAUAAGUAGAAAAGUAUGUCUGUGGCUAGAAAUUGAUGGUACCAAAGAAUCAGUCAUAAACUCUUUUGGUGACAAAGUCCGUCACUUAGGGUUAAAUUUUCAAGGAGGAGCUUCAUUUCCUAUGUCCAUUCAUGGACUUAAUAGAUUGCGUACCCUCUUAAUUUAUGAUAGAAGUCAUUUCAUUCCAUCUCUUAGUAGUAGCAUCCUUUCGGAGUUAUUUAAUAAAUUGGUGUGUUUAAGGGCAUUAGUUAUAAGGCAAUUUAACCUUUAAGUUUGCAUCCUGUGCCAGAUAGGAUUAGAGAAAUUCCAGAAAAUGUUGGAAAAUUGAUACAUUUAAAAUAUCUUAAUUUGAAUGGACUAUGUAUAAAGAGACUACCUGAGACUUUGUGUGAAUUAUAUAAUUUACAAAAGCUAGAUAUUAGGUGGUGCCGAAAUCUUAGAGAAUUGCCUGCGGGGAUUGGGAAGUUAAUGAACAUGAGGAGUUUACUGAAUUACGACACUCGUUCGUUGAAAUACAUGCCAAUAGGGAUUUCCAGAUUGACCAGCCUUCGAACAUUAGAAAAGUUUGUUGUGGGUGGAGGUGUUGAUGGCGGCAGCACGUGUAGGCUUGAAUCUUUGAAAAAUCUUCAACUCCUUCGUGAAUGUCGAGUAGAAGGGCUGAGUAAUGUAUCGCAUGUAGAUGAGGCUGAGAGGUUACAACUUUACAAUAAGAAAAACCUCCUUCGUUUGAAUCUCAAGUUUGGUAUAGCCGUAGAUGGGGAAGGCGAAGAAGGGAGGAGGAAGAAUGAGAAAGAUAAACAACUUCUUGAAGCCUUACAACCGCCUUUGAAUGUAGAGGAAUUACGGAUUUUGUCCUACGGAGGCAACAUGUUUCCCAAAUGGUUGACUUUGCUAACCAAUCGAAGGGAACUAAGGAUUGAUUUUUGUGAAAAUUUGCAAGAACUGCCAAUUCUAGAAGAUUGCAGGACAACAGACAUACCGCAUCUUUCUUUCUUGAUUAUUCAGAAUUGCCCCAAAUUAAAGGUGCUGCCGGAUUACCUUCUUCGGACGACGACGCUGCAGAAAUUGACAAUUUGGCGAUGUCCCCUUUUGGAAAACCGUUAUAGAGAGGGGAAAGGAGUAGACUGGCAUAAGAUAUCUCACAUUCCCCACAUCAAGUUGUCGCUGUGGAUGCCGUAAGAUAUCACUGGACGGUAAUUUCUCCUCCUCUGAUAUACUUCGUUGUUGCUUGCAAUGAAAUUAAUAAAAAUAAUUAUAUUUUGAAUUAAAAUUCUAUAUAGAAUCAAUCUUGGUAUAAAUAUGUAAAACUUCCUAGUUAUCAAAUCUGUUAGACUUGUUUUCUAUAUUUAUUUACUUUAAAAAAAUAUGUGCUCUUUUGUAAAAUUUGAUACAACAUCAUAGAAAAUCCCAAUGUAAUUUAUUUUUUAAUGUACGAAAAUUUGUUAUGUGUGACGUCCUGAGUGACAAAAUCUCCUUGAUACAUUUGCAGUAAUGUCGAAAACUAAAUUAUCAAUUUUAUCUUGUAUAAUGAUAAUCUUAUUUUUUUAUAUAUAAUUUACGUGACAUUAAUUCUUUAAAGUAAUUGUGUAAUUGUUUUUACUACAUUAGCCCACUUUGUUUUUUUUCAUACUUGUUUAAUUAUGUUCACCAGGGAUUCGAGGAAAUGUCAGAACUACACUAGCAAUUCACAGGUCCAAGCUAAUUUGGUUUUAAUGAUGCAGGCAGGAGAGCAAGACUAUGAAAAUGAAAAGUUUAGCCAAAGGAUUGCUAAAAUGUUCUGCUGGUAAUUCCCUUGCUUUAUUUUAUAGAAUUUCAUUUCUAUCUUCUUCUAUUGAUAUCUUGUUGUGAAUAAACAAGAACAGAGAGUAAAUGAUUGAACCACAGAGAAGUAAAGUAAUAUCAAAAUUCGCUAUUAUGAUGAUUUUAAAGCAAGCUCAAGCUCAAGCUUGCAUUUUUAUUUUAUUUUAUUUAUAGAACUUCCAUUUCCACCUGCAUUUCAUUUUUAUUAGACUCUAUGGAGCACAUUGGGGUAACCAAGGAUUAUCACUGUCGUUAUUGUGCAACGUUGGGUUGCUGGACUUUGAAGAAGGAAGCGAUGGCCGGGUCUGCUCUGUUUCAAUUGAGGAUGGAUAGCUGCCUGAAAGACAUGAUGAUUAUUAUUGCAUGAUGUUAAGGUGCUGAGAUCAUCAUUUCUAUCUUGUUUCAUUCUUGGAAUCGUUUAUCAUAUGCGUCAAUGGAGGCAGGUAUUUGGUGUUGACACUAUUAUGCAGGUAACCACACUUGAUAAUUUGCACAAAUUUGCGUUGUCAGAAUACCCUUUAAUAUUCAUUGUGUUUCUUUGUGUUAUCAGGUUAUCAUCUCCAAGGGUUUGAAAGAGCCUUUGCAGUUGUCAGAAUACCCUUUAAUAUUCAAUUAGGUACGUUUUGGUGCGGUCUCCCAAUGCUAAUAUCAUAUUUUGUAUAGCAAUUAAAAUUUAGCUAUACAAUUUUAAUAUGCAAUAAAUCAUUGUAUACAAAGUUUUUUAUUAAUUAUAUGGUGACUGAAAUUUUAAUUAUCAUAUCAAUUUAAAUUUUUUUGUAACUCUCUUUUACUUUGCUUGUACAGAGUACCUGUUUUGGCUGAUAUGUCUAAUUCGUAGAAAUUUAUUUCCAUCGGUUUCCAUUGGCUUUAGCACAAACAGAAACAGAGCUCUGGGGAAAAGUUUGACUUCUUGUGGUAUUAUGCCUUUGUUUCUUCAUUCAUCAUAUUUUUCGAAUUCAUGCUCUCAUUCAGAGGGUAAAGCCUUUUCAUGGCUGCUUUGUAGCCAAACUUUGACGCCAUUGAUGCAUGACUGUCAUUUAGAUUUUCCAAUAACGGUUAGAUUGGAGAAGAAUAAGAAGAUAUUGUUAAAAGGGUAUUUAAUUAGCGCCGUCUGAAUUUAGUUGCCAAUAAUGCAUUGAAAUAGUUGGGGAAAGUUAUUGUCUUAAUUAAAUUACAGGUGAUAAGAUGCUGCCUCAAUUUUGUAAGCAUCUCGUAUUGAGAAGAUUAAUUGUUGACAAGCCAAAUUUUAGGCAAAUUUUACCGUGAUUCUUGACAUCAUGGUAACACAGGUCAAAUUUUAGUAUCAAGACAUAUCUUCUUCUUUACUGUUCUGCCUCUAAAUAUUAAACUUUAGGCAAGUUGUUUUUGUUUGUGUAAGUUAUCAGGUUAAGGAUACCAAGCAGCUUAAUUGUUCACCACACCUGGUAGGAAUGAUCGCCAGGAAGAUUAAUUGUUGACAAGCCAAUUUUAUCAGUGUUAGAUUUUUUGCCUCCCUUUGAGAGAUAUCAUCAUCAAAUUUGUGUAGAGAAUCUUUGAAGAGAAUUUUGUUGUGAGAGUUUCACUGUAGUGAAUUUUGGGAGCUUGAACUCACUUGAGUGAGAUAAUAGAGUGUAUUGGGGAUUUGGGUUAUGAGUAAUCGUUAUCCUUCCAAUAUUUGCAAGCUCUUACUUGUUAGUAAAAUCAUCUUCGUAUAUUGACUCUGUUUCUUUGUUCCUUAUUUAAUUAGUUUCGAUUAUCAUAAUUAGUCACUCAUUCUGAAUUUUUCUAAUUUUAAAGUUCCUUAGGUCCGCCACCAGUUUUUCAAGUCUGCAUAUGGCUGCAAAAGAUCGAUGGUCAUAAAAUUAUCUUGAGCCUUGAGGCAUUGCGUUCGAGCUCACACUGUAACAGAGAUAAAGAUAAAGAAGACAGUAGAAGAUGCUCUAAACAUAACAAAAGUAUAUUUCUACGUCUUGUGGUUGCUUUAAUUUACUUUUGUUUCUUCUGUCAUCAUAUUUGAUUAAUUCGUUCGAAUUCACACUCUCACAUUAUUUAAAACUAUUUGUAGGUGGCUUGCAAGCUAGUUACGUUAAUGCAAAAACAAUACUCUAGACAAAGAUGAGCAAAUUAAAGGUGAUAAAUGCAAAUUGAAUGUCCAUGAAUAAUUGUUAGGCCGGUGCUGAUAAAUUGCUUCAAAGCAAGCAGCAUCUUCUGCUGCGAAGGCUUUCCCCACAUGAUAUGUUGUGAUUGUUACCGGCCCCGUAUUUAUUAACUCAGGUCAGUAUUAUCUUCUUCAUCAUUUUGGCUAUAUAUAAAGAUUAAAAUUUUGAACACUUGUCUCGGUUUCUUGUGUAAUCAGGCUAAUAGAGCAAAUGUUUACUGUCUAAGCACUAAUGCGACAAUCCCAUCUGUAAAUUUGGGCCAUCUUUGAUGUCUGACAGGUAAGCUGUGACAAUCCCAUCUGUAAGUACUAAUGCGCUUGGUUAUAGUGCUUUCAUUGGACUAUAUGCAAACAUGAGAUAUCAACUAUUGUGUGGAUUUGAUAGAGCGGUCACCAACCAUUUUGAUGUUAUUGGAGUAGCACUGUUCUUAAGCACGGCUUUGAGGUCUCUCCGUCUCUCUUUUACGUAUUUGUCUAUUGAUCGACAUCUCUAUAUAUACAUUGAUAGACCAAAUUACUCUUGCUUUAAUGUUAAUGUGGUUCCUAUAAAAGUGUAUAUAAAUCUAUCACCUCAAAGUCUGAUUUCAAUUUUCCUUUACUUAAUCAACUAGCAUCCUUUCCAAGUCCAGAUACUUACCAAUAGUGAGACUUUGCUACGGAAGUACAAUUUCUCUUGUUUUAUAGUUAAGUAUGUAAGAAUAGUUUCAAAUUUACAAAUUUCUGAUAUAGUUCUCUACGGAAAUGCGAGUGGUGAAUAUGGUUCCAACUUUUAAUAGGCUUAAUUGGCCCAUUUGUUCAGCCACAGUGAUUGCGGUCUGAAUUCUUCUUUACUGUCUCUAUGUGUUGGAGUUUGUCUAUUGUCCAACUUCUCCAAUGGAUUCCAUGCAGGGUUUUGAAUGUCUAAUUAGGAGAAAUCAACGGAUGACCUUUUGAAGAAGGCUUACACAACAGGCCAUCUCAGGAUGUCAUGGCUCAGCUCAAAAGUCCCCAGGUGGUUGAUACCAAAGAGUGCCAUUGUUUCUGGGCUUGGGCUCCUUGGCGUCAAACAAGAUAAUGGGAAAUAGGGGCAACUAAAGCGCGAAGAAAGAGGAUGGUCUGGAGGAAGGUGUCUGCAUAAAUUUGUUGGAGUUGAUGUAGUCAAUUGCCCAAUUUUGCUGCCUGUCGAAGAGACACAGCAUGGAAGUCCUCAUCAAACUCUGAGACACCUAAGAAAUAGUAUGAGGUGGUGGUAUUCCCCUGGUGUUAAUUUCCUGGCAAGUGUGGUUCACAGAUAGAGGGAUUCUUUUCUUGAUGUCUAAAUACCAAAUGUGAUGCAACGUCGUAUAUUCUAAGAUAUUAAAUUCUAUUUCAGAUUUCUCAUAUAGUGUCGUUGUCACUUCUGUGGUACACUUUUGAUCGCAAAUUUCCAUUUGAAGUAGCCGAUAUUCUUUACAGACUAAUUAUCUAAUGAUUAUUUUGUACAAAAAAAAUCAAAACUUUAAUUAUUUGAUCAUACUCAACUUAGGUCUUAUUCGAUAUUACUAGUUGUUAAUGUGUAAUAAAUGUAUGACUUUUAAAUAAUAAUUUUAAUAAAAAUAAUAAAGAUAUUAUAAGUUUUUUUUUAUAAUAAAGUAUGAGAUCAAAUCAAAUUAAUUUUGAAGUCACAAUAGCAAAUGUUUACCAAAACUAUUUAAUUAUAUGACUUAAAAGAUAUAGUUGUCCAAUCCCAACAAUAUAUAUAAAGAUUUACCAAACUUUACCCGACUUUAGUUGUACCCACUUGAUUAUGUAAGUCCAUUCUCCACGCGCUUGACCAUAUGAGAUGUUACUCAACUUUAACAAAUCUUACUUAAACUUUGCACGUUUGACAUGUUGGAUGAAAUAUAGCAUAUGAUGUGAUAGAAUACAAUAGGAAUGGUUGUAACAAGAUUAUAAUUAGUACUAGUUUGUAUUUUAUGUGAUGUAGAACGCAUUAUAUUACAACUUUUAGUGUUAUACUAAUUAAAAAUUUGAAUUAUUUUAUUAUUGUAAAAAUUUAAUAUCUUAAAUAACAGUUAUUUUAAUUAAGUAUUUUUGUUGCAAUGAAUUAUACUUUUUUAAAUAUAAUUGAAAAUUCUUAUUACUAAACUAAUAAAAAAUUAAUUAUUUGAGUUAUCUCCUAAACUACUUAGCUUACGAGAUAAAUUCACUUUGUUUAGAAUGAAACGGAUUACAUUUAGUACUAUUUUGUAUUUUAUGUGACGUAGUGUAUGAUUCAAUUAUAUUACAAAUUUUAUUGUAAUAAAAAAAUUUUGAAUUAUUUUAUUAUUGUAAAAAUACAAUAUCUUAAAUAACAAUUAUUUUUAUUAAGUAUUUUUUAAUGAUUUAAAAUAUAAUUGUAAAUUCUUAUUAUUAAACUAAUAAAAAAUUAAUUAUUUGAGUCAUCUCCUAAACUACUUAUUUCACGAGAUAAUUUCACUUAGUUUAGGAUGAAACGGUGGGUUAUUUUUAUGUGGGAGCCACAUCCUUUCCAUAUGAGAUGUUACUCAACUUUAACAAAACUUACUCAAACUUUGCACGUUUGGCAUGCCGGAUGGAAUAUGAUAGUAUAUGAUGUGAUAGAAUAUUAUAUGAUUAGAUGUAAUAGGAUUAUAUUUGGUCUUGUUUUAUAUUUUAUGUGAUCUAGUAUAUGAAUGGAUUAUAUUACAAAUUUUAUUGUUAUAAUAAUUAAAAUUUUGAAUUAUUUUAUUAUUGAAAAAAUAAAUAACAGUUAUUUUGAUUAAGUUUUUUUUUUCUGUUGAAUUAUAGUUUUAAAAUAUAAUCCAAAAUUUUUAUUACUAAACUAAUAAAAAAUUAAUUAUUUGAGUUAUGUCCUAAACCAACUUAGCUCACGAGAUAAAUUCACUUAUUUUAGAACGAAACGGCGGGUUUUAUGUGGGAAGCCACAUCCUUUCCAUAUCAACCUCAACAUCCAAACAUGAAAUUGGACUAAGAAUAGUUCUUUCCCAUGUAUUUACGUACCCUCCUGCCACUAAACGUAAUUGUAUAUUUUGGACCUUAUUUGACUUGAUUUUAUUAACUUAAUUUUCUCCAAUUUCCAUUGUCGACGUUGAGUGCAUGUAAUUAAUCCACAAGUUUUGAUUGAGCAGAAAUAGCCAAAAAAAACUGAUGAUAUGAUAAUAGCAAAAAAUCUAAUGACACCCACGUCCAAAGAUGCCGUUGUCACAAAGGCCUGGACGCCAUACCUCGAACCCAUCCCCUUUUACCAUGAGUGAUGAUACAGCCACAAACUCUUAUACAAACUUAUUUUAUACAAACUAAUGUGACAUCAAUUCAAUGGUUGAAUGAAAAUAUAAAAUAAUGAAAGUAAAUCAUGUGGGCCAAGAGAUAUUUAAUUUAACCAAUAAAUUGACGCCACAUAAGUUUGUACAAAAUAAAUUUGUAUAAGAGUUUGUGGCUGUAUUACUGUAUUAUUACUCUUUUACCAUAUUUUAUAAUUAAAGAGGUCAUUGUUUGAAAGAAAAGAAUGACAUGUUGGUAUGAAAUUACGUUAAAAUGAAUAUAUCACUUUUUUUUUUGUGUGAGUGAUGGCUUCGUUUAAUGACAAUUGGCAGACAAUGAAUCAUCUUUUAAUUUUAGUUUUGAUUUAAUAAAAAAUAUUAAUUUUUGUAGUUUCGGUAGAUGAAAUUUCGAAUCAAAUAUUAAUAUCGUUAAAGUACGCAACUCAAUAUUUACUUAAAUCAGAAAAAAGAUUAAUUGCUUUACAUGAAAAAGAAAAGAAAAGAAAAGAGUGAUCACUUGAUUUAACUUCCUUUACUAAAUUUACGAUUUAAAAUCUAAAAUGGAAAAAGGAAAACAAGUUUUGGAAACACACUCGGAGUUUUAAAUUGAUAUGAAAAAAGAGUUUAUUAUUGACAAUCUUUUUCCCAAAAUUUAAGCUAAGACAACAAUAUGUCCAAAAUACCCUCCACAUUAUCCCAAAACUUUAUAAACUCCCCCGUUCCUCUCAACAUCAUCUCUUCCAAAUCUUUCUUCCCCCCAAAAACCAGCCAUGGCUUCAUAUUCAAUUACCUCAACACUCCAAUAUUGGCUUGUAAACCACCCCCAAAUCCUCAACUUCACAUGGACUCCGAACCAAACACUAGCUUCCUCCCCACACUUCCUCAUUCUCUCCAUCCUCACUUACCUCUCCCUCACAUUCAUCCUCUACCACGCAUCAACAUCAACAUCACCACCUCUCAUUGGACCCCACAUCCUCAAGCCCAUCACAGCCGUCCAUAACCUCACCCUCUUCGUCCUCUCCCUCAUCAUGGCCGUUGGUUGCACUCUCUCCAUCAUCCUCCAUUUACCCUACCUCCGUUACACCCUUUGUUUCCCCACUACCAUUUCUCCGUCUGGCCCUCUCUUCUUCUACGCUUACAUCUUCUACCUCUCCAAAAUACUCGAAUUCUUUGACACCCUUUUGAUCAUUUUAUCAAACUCCAUCCAACGGCUCACGUUCCUCCACGUCUACCACCAUCAACCGUCGUUGUAAUGUGCUUCCUUUGGUUACAGACGAAGCAGUCUUUGUUUCCUAUUGCAAUUGUCACCAAUGCAAGUGUGCAUGUGAUCAUGUACGGGUACUAUCUAUUGUGUGUGAUGGGGUUGCGGCCAAAGUGGAAGAGAUUGGUCACUGAUUGUCAGAUUCUUCAGUUUGUGUUUGGUUUUGCUGUUUCGGUUUUGAUGCUGUAUUAUCAUUUCACGGGUUUUGGUUGCUCUGGGAUUUGGGGAUGGUGCUUCAACGUUGUGUUUAAUGCGUCCCUUUUGGCACUUUUUGUUAAUUUUUAUUCCAAGAGCUAUGCUAAGAAAAAGAAGCAGGGAUGAUCAAAGUGCUAUGAUUGUUUUGUGUUUUCUUUUUUAAUUUAUUUGAUUUUGGUUAAUUAUGAAUGGUGGUAAUUGGUUGAAUGCAAUUGAAGAGAUGCUUUCAGUUGCCUAAACUUUGUUUUUUCAAUUUUUGUUAUAGAUGUCAUAUGUCACCACAUUUUUUUAGUCUCUCCCUUUAAAAUUCCCUCACACAAACUUCGGAUUUGUAUUUUGUAAACUAGAAUUUUUCAUUUUCGUUAAUGUGUUAGCUGUUAUUAUCUACAAUUAUGUCAUACGACACACAUGUCACAUCAACUAAAAUUAGAUUAUGAAUUUUGGGCACAGGGCCAAGUCCCACCGUUUGGUAGGAAAUAAGUGUUGGAUCAUAAACUUGAUCCAAGAUAAAUAAAUUCAACCUUAACUCAUGGAAGGUUCCAUGAGUAGGUAUGGUUAGUGAGGUUUGAAUUAUUUGUGUUAGGUGUGGUAGGUGUGGUUGGUGAAGUAGGUGAGUGGUAGGUUUUAAUGGAUGGUGAGUAUUUGUGUAUUAGUUGAAUAAAUGAAUGGUUGUGAUUAGUUUGUUUCAUGGAUAAAUACCCCCUCUCCCCUUUGGUUUAAAUAUCAAGUGAAAUAACAAAAUCUCUAAGGUGUAGAGAGUGAAAAAUAAGAGUUGUAAUUAGUGAGGAGUGUUGUUGAAGAAAUAAAAUAGUGUGUUUUAUUUGUUAACUCUCCAACAAAGUGGUAUCAAAGCUAGUGCUUGAUGCUAUAUAUUGUCAUAUAGCAUAUCAAAUCGAAGAUCUCGAUGAGAGGAACGUGACGCCGCAAAAAUCAUCCUGACCAAAGACCAGACGCGCCCAAGCUCGCCGUCAGAAUUUUUCUGUCCUGAAGCUGAGUCGACUCACCGAGUUGAACCAACCUGAGUCGAGCCGAACUGAACCGAAUCAAGUCGAACCAAGCCAACUGGAGUUGAACCAAUCCGGACCGAACCAAGACUACUAAGCCAACGCUGACCGUUGACUGAAAGUUGACUCAAGUUCUUCCCAAGGCUUUUCGACGUGCCGGAUCCAUCUGUGCUUUCAGAAUCUCCAAAUUCUCACUCAAUUUGUGAGUUAUGGAAAACGGUGGUCUGAUGUCAUUUCAAGUUCCACAAUUAAAGAGAAGUAAGUUUGACAAUUGGAGUAUUAAAAUGAAGGCUCUAUUGGGUGCACAUGACGUAUGAGAUAUCAUGGAAAAAAAGCUUUAUUGAGCCAGAAAAUGAAGCCACUUUAACUGCGGCAUAGAAUGAGAAUUUAAAAGACUUGAAGAAGAAAGAGAAUAAAGCAAAGUAUCUCAUCUUUCAAUCAUUAGAUGAAGAUGCCUUUGAAAAGAUUGCUGGUAAAACGUGAGAAACUAGAGACCUCUUACAAAGGAGCGAAGAAAGUUAAGAAGGUUCAUCUCCAAAUAUUCCGAGGAGAAUUUGAGUCCUUACACAUGAAGGCGUCGGAGUCAAUUUCUGAAUACUUUACUUGGGUUGUGACCAUUUCUAAUGAAUUAAAAAGAAAUGGCGAGGAGUUAAAAGAGGUAAGGAUCAUUGAAAAAAUACUUCGAUUAGUAUACUCGAAGUUUGACCAUAUUAUUGUGACAAUUGAGGAAACAAGAGAUCUAGAGGAUAUGACGAUCGAGCAACUUUAAGAAAGGUUGCAAGUCUAUGAAGAAAAACAAAAAAAGAAGCAAGGAAUCGAAGAACAACUUCUCAAGAUGGAGGUCAAUCCAAAGAAAAGAAAAGAAAGCUCCGACAACGGAAGAAGGCAUAUUUAUCUCCCAAGAAAGCUAUACAAAGGAGAUUCUAAAAAAGUUCAAGAUGAAUGAUUGCAAGCCUAUAAGCACGCCAGUGGAAUGUAGAGUCAAGUUAUCUAAACAUGAUGAAGGGGAAGAUAUAGAUCCAACAUUCUUUAAAAGUUUAGUCGGAAGCCUACGUUAUUUGACAUGCACCAGACCAGAUAUCCUUUAUGUUGUUGGACUUGUGAGCCGAUACAUGAAGAAUCCAAAGACCACCCAUUUUAAAGCUGCAAAAAGAAUCCUUUGCUACAUCAAAGGUACAACUAAUUUUAGCUUGUUAUACUCAUUUUCUAAUGACUCCAAGCUUGUUGGAUAUAGCGAUAGCGAUUGGGGUGGAGAUGUAGAUGAUCGAAAGAGCACCACAGGAUUUGUGUUCUUCAUGGGAGAUACUGCUUUCACAUGGAUGUCAAAGAAGAAAACAAUUGUCCUGCUAUGCACCUAUGAAGCUGAAUAUGUAGCUGCCACAUCAAGUGUUGAUAAUAAUUUGGCUCAGAAAUUUGUUGAAGGAAUUAGGUUUGCCACAAAAAGAGCCAACCGAGAUUUGUGUUGAUAACAAAUCAGCAAUUGCCCUAUCCAAGAAUCCAAUCUUUCAUGAUUGAAGCAAACACAUAGACACUUGCUAUCAUUUCAUAAGAGAAUUUAUUACAAGAAAAGAAGUGCAAGUCAAGUAUGUAAAAUCACAAGAUCAAGCAGCUGAUAUCUUCACUAAGCCACUCAAGCAAGAAGACUUCGUAAAAUUCAGAAGUUUGCCUGGUGUCACAGGAUCAAGUUUAAGGGGGGGUGUUGGAUCAUAAACUUGAUCCAAGAUGAAUAAAUUCAAGCCCAACUCAUGGAAGGUUCUAUGAAUAUGUAUGGUUGGUGAGGUUUGAAUUAUUUGUGUUAGGUGUAGUAGGUGUGGUUAGUGAAGUAGGUGAGUGGUAGGUUUUAAUAGAUGGUGAGUAUUUGUGUAUUAGUUGAAUAAAUGAAUGGUUGUGAUUAUUUUUGUUUCAUGUAUAAAUCUCUAAGCUGUAGAGAGUGAAAAAUAAGAGUUGUAAUUAGUGAGGAGUAUUGUUGAAGAAAUAAAAUAAUGUGAUUUUUGUGUGUUUUAUUUGUUAAUUCUCCAACAAUAAGGAGCAUUAAUGAAAUAUGUUUAAUUAAGUAAUAAUUUGUUAUUUUAGAGUGAAAAAUAAGGGUAAAUUGUAUUCUACCCCAUAUUAGAUUGACAAACUUCAAUUUACCCCUUAAAAGUACAAAAACUUCAACUUAUCUCCAAAUACCAUUUUCUUCCCGUUAAAUUUAACUAUCGAAAGUAUAAAAUUAUAGUCUUACAUUCUCUCAACAGUCAACUCAUGGAUAAGAAGUCAAAACAUAUAUAUAAGGUAAUUUCCAUAAAACCCAAUGUAGGGGCGGGCAAUUGUUUGGUUUAGAAGUUAGGAACCGAAUGGUUUGAAAACAAAUGAACUGAUUGGUUUAUAUUUGGUUUACUUUGAACUGACAAACCGAUUGGUUCGCUUAAACUUAAUUAAAAAUACAUUUAUUUUAAAAUAUAAAUGCUUAAAAUAAUUUUUUUUUUCAUUUUUCAGUUUCCUAAUCUAAAAAUGUUUCAUAACCCUAAAUCAGCCGCCAUCUCUCUCAAGGUCGACGGCGGCACAACAAGCUCUCUCGGUCUCUCCCUCGCAAUCUCAUGGUGAUUGAUUUCUCGUGAUGUCUCCACUUUUGUUUCUUGUUCUUGUGUGAUCGAAUUCUCUCUAUACACACAUAGCCUAGCCUCUUGUUUUUUGGCUCAAUGGAGUUUCGUUUCUUUUCUCUCAGUUUCUUUCCUGUUGAAUUCUCGUGAUGUUUCUAUUUUUUUCUUUUUUUUUAGACAUGUUUUCGAAAUUGGCAUAAUACGAACCAAACCUGAACUGAAUUUCAAAAUCAAAUCGAAUUGAACCAAACUGAAAUUUUUAUGUUCGGUUUGGUUCGAUUAAAAAAUUUGGUAUGCGUUCGGUUCUCUUUCUUACGAACCAUUGGGUUUUAGUUCGGUUCGGUUUUGGUCUAGAAAAGAACUAACUAGAACCGAACCAAACCAAACCAAACCAAACCAUUUACUGGCCACCUUGCUCAUAUGUUUCAACAAAUUUCAAUGCACACUUAAACAUUUCAAUAAAAUUCGCUUUGUACCCAAAUUGAUAAUUUUUACUUUUUAAUUAGUUAAUUGUUAACUGCAGAAGUAUAAAAAAUUAUUUCUUUUUAAAAUAAGAAAAAUAAUUUUUUUCUAACUUUUUUCCUUUUUUAUUUUCUAGUUAAUUUCUUUAUCUGGUUCGGUUCAUUUUUCCCUUUUUUAUUUCUUACUGUUUUCCGCAUGUUCUCCACGCUUGAACUUUGCCAAGCAUCAUAAGGCCACAGUAGCCAUGCCAGCAACUUGCAACUAGGGGUGGGCAAAAAAACCGUAGUCUUAAAAAAACCGAACCGAACCGACGGUUUUUUCUAAUUCGGUUCGGUUUUUAUUUUUUUAAAAAACCGAAUAUACCGUUUGUAAAAAAAACCGAAAUGUCGGUUCGGUAUUCGGUUCACUUAGCUGAACCGAAAAACCGAACCGAAAAACCGAAUUAUUUUUUGAUUUUAUUCAAAUCAAACAUGUGUUAAUAAUUUUAUUCAAAUCAAACAUGUGUUAUUUCUCUUUAUAACAUUAUGAUUAUGUUUAUAUAGAUGGAGUAUUGGAGUUUGGUUAUAUAUUUUGAAAUUUUAAUAUUUCAUAUAUUUGGGAGUAUCUUAUUAAUAGUUAGUAAGAUAUUAGUGAUAAAAUGUGUUUUGAAUACUUUGUAUUUAUUGUUAAUAUUUGUAAUAAAAUUAGGAUAAAUUAAUUGUUGAAAAAAAUUAUUACAUUUAUGAGGCCCAAUGGGCUAAAAAUUUUAAAAUUCAAAAUAGGCCUAAUAGGCCCAGAACCGAAAAAACCGAACCGAACCAAACCGAUCUGAAAAGAACCGUUUGAGUUCGGUUCUUAUUGAGUUUGGUUCUUAUUCGGUUCUUUUUAUAAAAUAACCGAUUUAAAUCGGUUCUACUUAAUUUCGAACCGAACCGAACCGAACCGAACCGAACCGUGCCCACCCCUACUUGCAACAAAGUUUAGAGCUGCGCGAUGGUUGCAGCAACGUUAACGCCGCUAUUCCAAGUCUUGGCCCAUCAUCUCCUUUUCAACAAAUCUUAGCUUCUUCCCAAAUUCAUCAAUGAACCCCAAAACCAGAAUAAUCAUUAAAAUUAUUAACAACCAUUUGCUUGGAUCAAUGUAUGCUUGGCAUGUCUAUGGGCUUACUUGGAAUGGUCGCUGAUGGCCAUGGGCUUGCUUGGAUUGGCCGCGCACAGCCAUGGGCUUGCUUGGAAUGCCGGUACCCGUUUGCCACGGUUUUGCUAGCGUAUCCAUGGGUUUUGUUGGACAUGGCAGUGCGAGGCCAUGGGUGUUGCCGGACAAUGGACAUGGGUUUUGCUGGGCUGAUUAGGAAUUAACAGAGGCUAUGGAGUUGUUCAGUGUGUGAAAGAGAAAAAAACAUGAACGAAGAAGAAUAUGAACAGGGAAUAGAACGAAGAAGAUGAAGAAAGUAGAAGAGAGGGAAAAAAUAUUUUGCUUUUUUAUAAAUUUUCGGAUUUUUAUUUCAAAAUUUAUAAUUUUUGUUUAAAUUUGAGAAUCUUAAGGGUAAGAUUUUCUUUGUAACUAUGUGUAGAAGGAGGUUUUCAGAUGGUUUUUGGUUGGGUUAACAUGAAAUAUGCUUGUUUUAUGAAAUAUUAUUAUUGAGGUUUUGUUUUAUUUUCUAAAAAAUAGAUUAGAGGAUGAUUUUCAUUAAUGACACCCAUAAAGUUUGAAUUAGUUAUAUUAUAGAAAUAGUAGGGAUUUAAAUGAUAUAUCUUUUCAACAUAAAUAUAUCAGUAACAUAAGUUAUUCUAUAAUUAACAGGGUAUUAUCGUAUUUUAGUGAGUCAUUAUUGGUUGAUAGUUAUAUUUAACAGAUUUUAGACAGUAAAUUGAAGUUUAUUUUUUUUAUUUUUGAGUAAAUUAAAAUAUGUCAAUCUCAUAAGGGGUUAAAAUAUAAUUUAUCCAAAAAUUAGUGUUAAAAUUUUAUAGAUGAGUGUAUAUUAAGAUGUUCAAAGUAUUAGAACAUAAAUAAUCUUAGUUUUAAUAAAAUUUUGCCACAUAGUGAAUAUUAUCCUCAACCUCAAGAGAAACAUAUCAAUAAAAUAUACAAAAAUAGAAUGCAUUAGUACAUGUCAAUAACAAGACCAAUUAGAUCAUGUCAUAUUUGUUAUGUAGUUAUUUAAGCUAAUAGAGUAAGAAGUCCCAAAUACAUGUACAUCAUAUCUUGGUGAAGAAAUCGGUUCUACCCGAAAUACUUCUUCGUAUUGAAAUCAAUGAUGAUUGCUUGUUUAAAUAAUGAAAGUUAAAAUAAUUUUGUAAAUAAUUUCAUUCUUUAAUUUACGGUAUACAAAUAAAUUCAAAAAAUGUUAAUUUCUCUCAUACUUUUAGGACCCAAAAAAUAACAAAAAGUCUUAACAUAUUUAAUGGUUAUAUAUAAAUCAUCCGUACGUAUUUUUCUUGAGAGAAGCUCAAUUCGAUAGACAAUGCUCCCCUUAAUUUUCUUUUCUAAUUAGAUAAAAGAACAAGAGAAAUUGAUUACAAGAAUAACAAACUUUAAUUUACUUCUUAAAGGGUAAAAACCUUAAUUUACUUCUUAAAGGGUAAAAACCUCAAUUUGUCCUUAUAUUUGUUCAAAAGAUACAUUUUGUCUUCUUAAUAUAAACAAGUUAAAUUGAUGUUUCACAUCUUUUAGAAAUAAAUUAAAGAUUGUUAUUUUAAGUAGGAGGUAAAUUUCAAAUAAAACAUGUGUUCAUAUGAUAGAUGUGCAUUUUACAAUAAUUAAUAAACAAAAGGGUAGUGAUAUUUUCAACCUGUAAUUUUUGUAAAUCCACCCCCACUCCCAAGAAAUAAUUACAAUAAAUUCACAUAACUUUUUUAAAACUCAAAUAAAGAAAAAUUUUGGAGAUUUAAACUAUUGUAUACAAGAGGAUAAGAGUAAAUAUUUUUCAUGCAGUAUAAAAAGAAUGCGACAGCUCCUUUUCUUUCGGUAUUUUCACAACAAAAGCACACUUAAUAACUCAUCAAAUUAUUUCUCCUUUUCUUUGAUCGCUUCCCCUCUCCUGGAGCUGCUGAACUCCUUUGUUGCUGAUGAAGGGAACAAGUGAGGCUUUUCAAAAGAGGGCAAAGAGAUGGUGAUUCGAUUUGAUUCGAUAAUAGUAGUUUAUUUUAAUUGUUAUUCAUUUGAUUUCAUAGAAGUAAUUUUUAUUUUCAUUUUUUUGUUGAAAAUUGGUAAAAACGAACUAAAAUGAGAUAAUUACAUUAAAACAAUCUUCAAUGACUAAAGUAAUUUGAAAAAAUAAAAAUAAAAAUAAACAAGCUCAAAAUUUACCCCUAAUCCGAACAUUAUCCGAAUUCAGCCUAAUUGACCCAAAUCUAAUUGUAAUCCAAACUUGACAUGACCCGCAUAUAAUUAUAACCCGAUCAGAUCCAAACUCGACCUGAAUUUUUAAUUCAAUACGAUCCAAUCCAAAUAUUCCAAUCCCAUCAAAAUGAAACUUGAUUGGGUUGAUCCGAACCCGAAUUUGCCACUUCCGGAGGAGACCAUGACCCUAAAGGCUUUGAAAUAAUCUUUGCGGUUUCUUAAUGAAAUAGUAAAAGUUAUGCGCAAAAAGACUGUUUUGACCCUAGAAUACAUGAUAUAUAAAUUUCAGACAUUAUAUUCUGUGAAAUAAAGUCAAAGUAAACUGGUUGUUUGAUUUUUUAUUAAUUAUUUUCCAUUAUGACAAAAUGACAAAUAGACUUUAUUAAAAGUUUAAUAAAGUUUGGGCCUAACUCCUUGAUUUUUAUUUUUUUUAAUUAUUUUUCAUUUUGUUUUUUACUUGCAACAUUAGCUUUAAUUAUCAAUAGUCUCCAAAUCAAAAUGACUGCAACCUGUAGCUACAAGCAAAAUUCUCAAAUUUUGAAAUUUCUAACGACUACAUAAGAGCUAUAAAUAGAAAAAUCAUCUAAAAUUAAUCCUCCUUCAGAGGCAGAUUAAAUUCUUAGUAAUUUCAUAUAAUUUCAUUUCAUCAGAACAAUUUUCCAAAAGCAAUUUUAUAAAUGGUUGUCGAAAGCUUUAUCCCUUAAUUAUAUGUCACGUAUUUUCUUUGUGAUAUGAGGCGUGUCCAUAGACCAUAGUAUGAUAUUUAUUGUAAUUAAAAUCAUUAUGGAACUGAUUUUAUUCUUGUUUCUCAAACAAAAUAUCUAACUGCAGAUGUAAUAAAUUACUAAUUACCAUUAUUUGAGUCGCACUCUUUGAAUUGGAUCUUGGAGUUUCGAAUGACCAAAUGAAUUAGUGAGAUAAUGGCUUUUGCUUUUGUCUACCUGAUAAUAAAAUUUGUCCACCAUAUAGACAAGAAAUGGAUCGGAUCCAUAUGCUAUAGCUAAAUUGAAAAAUUUAUGUGGAGUUUUAUUGUAAGACAUUUUUAUCUGAAUAGAAAAAAUAAAUUUUUUUUAUUUUUAUCUAAAUGAUAAAAUAUCUGAAUAAAAAAUCAGUUUUCUUCUCACAAAUACCCUCAUUAAAUAUAUUUAUUUUCUACUUAGCUAUUAGAUGUCAUAUUAGAAUUUCCUUUGAUCUCAGAUUUUACUUGGUAUUAAAUACUUAAUCUGCGUUCGAUUCGAAUUUAGACAAAUUCUUUUGUCAUUAGAUAACAACGUUUUUACUGAAUUUGAUGUUCAUACAGAAACAGUCAAGUCCUUGUUGACUGAAAUUGGCAUUUCUCUUGUCUCUGCUCCUAUCAUUUGGUGUGAUAACCAAAGUGCAGCUGCCUUAGCAAGUAAUCCUAAAUUCCAAGAACUUAAAUUUAACUCUAAUAAAAGCUCAAAGUUAGUUAUGUUCCAAGUUCUCAUAAGUCAUAACUCAUCUGAUAUCCUUACUAAAGCUUUAGCUUAUCACCCUUUUCAUUAUCUGAGAGACAAGCUCACCCUGACUUCACUAGGCUGAGCUUGAGGGGAGAUGUUAAGAGUAUAAGCUGAAGCUGCUGAGCUGGCUGGUGACGUGCUGACGGUGUUGAGUUGACUAAUGUUUUGUAACUAAGUUGCUGAGCUGGAUUGGGUUGUUAUUUGCACUGAAUAAGUUGUAACGAAUUGUCCAGCUGGCUUGUUAUGAUUGGAAGGCUAAUUAGUUUGUUAAUAUUGCAGCUUUGAGCUCUGUUUCUGUAAUCAGUUUUGAGUGUAACUAUAAAUAUCACGCUCAUAAUGUAUGAUUUCAGCUUUAAUCAAUAAGAAUCUGUGAUUGUUCCAGAAACUUCAUAGUCAAAUUUUCUUUCUUAAUUUUCUUUCACUUUCUCUCGUGCCAAACACCUUAUUGAUUCAAAUAAAACUCCAUCCAAAGGCUCACGUUCCUCCACGUCUAUCACCAUGCAACCGUCGUCGUAAUGUGCUACCUUUGGUUACAUAGUAACCAUGUUAAAUUGGAUUUUCUAUAUGAUAUUAUCGUUAGCUUCAUUGUUUAAAUAUACCGUUAGUGAAAGAAUCGUUCGUGAUUAGGUACUUUACAACUACAACACGAUAAGCAAUCAAAGUUACAUGAAAGAAUCAGUAAUUAGUAGUUAGGUUAGAGGUGAAACGUGCAUGUUACAGGGAAGUAGAAAACAUGUCAAGUUGUUAUCAUAAAGUGAAUAUCCAAUUUAAGAAGAUAAUAACUGGAUUUUGAAUUCAAUUUCACUCUGUUUUAGUAGUAUGUAUUAUAUCUCACGAAUAUGAUAUCAGUGAAAAAUGUAUAAGUUAUGGGCUUUGAAUUUAUAUUAAUGCAUAUAUACUAGCUAUGAAAAUGACGAAUUCUAAACAGAUUUUGCUAUUUAACAAGUAAUUAAGAGGUCUAGCAAUCAAUUAAUAAAAAAGUAAUUCAAUAUAACAUUGCUACAAAGAAAUUAAACUAUAUAUAACAACUAUUUCAAUGAGACUAAUGAUAAUUAUAUCUAAGGUUUGAUCGAACAAACGGGCAAGAACAGCAAAAGCUAAUCUUAAUUUAGAAAUUUUUAUAAGGGGGGAGGAUUGUAAUAUACGCACUUGGACUUUCUUAAUAAAGUGCUGAUUUUUAUUUUCCUCUUCUCUAUUAAUUUUUAAUUUCGUCACUAUAGUUUAAUUGGGAUAAAUUGAGCUCGAUUAUACGCGCCGAUGGUCGGAUUUUAUUUUCGUAACGGGUCUGAAAUUCGCUUAAUUUGUAUUAAGCUUAAAAAAAAAAAAAAAAAAAAAAAAAAAAAGAGGGGCAGAAUUGUAUAACUGGAAAGAGGGAAACGGGUUUUCCAUUUUAGAGAGAAAGAACCCGAGAAGAGAGAGAAAGAUAGAGAGAGAAGUCAGACCCGUUGACCCGAGAACCCGACCCAGUAACCCGCGGAUUGACCCGACGAUUUCUCCCAACUCCAGCCACUUUACCGGCCGUGCUUGGUACCGAUCUGAAGCUUGGAAGCAGACCAUCGUAUCCCUGCUGUUAUCGUCGCCGGAAACUGGCCAGAACGCCGGUGAUCGAGCUCGAAAAGUCGCGGCUUCGACCCGUUUUCGUUGCCGUUGAUCCCGCCGGAGUUGUGACGCGCCACCACUUGGAACUGGUUCCUCACAUCCCCAGCAACAUUUCCCGACCAGCAACGACCGCCGGGGACGCCCGGAACUCGCCGAAUGAUCUCCGAAAAUUUGCGGAACUUUGGAACUUCGAUCCGCCGCCGGUAGCGCGCGUGGCGACUCACUGCCACCACCGUUGGAUUCAUCGAGGCCGGAACUAGCAGACCUAAGCUCCCCGUCAUCGUUGACUGAAGUCCGGUCACCGUUGACCGGCAGGGGCAAUUCGGUAAAUUCAUGAAACUUUGGGGUGAAUUUGUAAUUUUAUGUAAUCAGUGGACAUUUCGGUAAUUUUAUGCCCUGAGGGUAAUUUCGUAAUUUCGGACAAUGUGAUUAAUUUAUGUAAUCUGAAUUGAGGACAAUAUGGGUAUUAACGAAUAUGAGGAUAAUUUGGUAAAAUCAUGAAGUUUGAGGAUAAGUUGGUAAAAUAUUGAUGUUGGGGUAUUUUGGUAAUUUUGGCCUAUAGGGGCAUUUUGGUAAUUUUAUACAUGCGGGACUAGUUUAUCGUUAAUAGAUAUUUGUUUCGAGAUUUAUUAUAUUAAUUGGUUUUUACGGAGAAUAAUUAUGGUGUUUUCCGUGAUUAGGAGGAUCCGCAUCCGCGAACGAGAAUCUACCCGCGGACGUUGUUGAUACUGAGUCUAGACAUCAUCACUGUGAGUGGAAUAUACAAAACCUAUUUUCAUAGUAUAUGCUGAUUUUCUUAUAUAGUACAGUAUGUUUGAGAAAUAAAUGUUUAAUGCGUUGAUUUAAUGAUUUUCCAGCGAAUUGACUUUUAUUUAUGUGUUGAUAUUUAUUAUGAUUGAGAAUGAGUUCGAUUUAUGAUUUUAUUAGCGUUUUUGAGUAAAAGCAUGAUAUUAGAAUUGAGCAGACUUGAGAUAUGUUGAAUAGAAAGAAAAUGAGAUUUCAGAUGGGAUCAUAUGUUUACUAUCAGUUUUGAAAUCAUUAGACAGUACCCUUCCCUCCAGAUACAGAGAUACAGAUAAAAAGAGAUACAGAUAAGAGAUACAGAUAAGAUGAGAUAGAGGCCUUUGGGGCCCGUCGGGACACACAUAGAGGCUUUGGGCCGUGUGUUCGGGCGCUUUUGCCUUUUGGGGGCUUAUGCAUGCACAGUACAGAUAUAUGAGAUAAGAGAUAUGAGAUAUGAGAUGAGAUCGUCCCCAUCUAUCCGUUGUGGCUCCGGGGCGUGACGUUACCCAGAUAGUGCGUUAUUGCCUGGCCGUUGUAGCCCGGAUAUGAUCAGAUUAUCCCCUGGGUACUUGUUUGAUGACAGUUUUUAGUAUUCAGUAUUUAAUAUGAGUAUGGUGAUUCCAUCGAUUUUAUGCAGAUUUAUUAUUGCAGUUAUUCAAUUUGAAUUAAAUGAGUUUAUGAUAUUUUGAGAAAUUGAUUUGAGAAUUGAUUUACGAAAUUGAAAUUGAUUUAAGAAAAGAUUUGAGAAAGAUUAAAUGAUUUUGAAUAAUUUAUUAAAGUAUCAGCACCUACUAUCCACUCACUGAGCUCACUGAGUUUUAUACUCACCCCUCUUUUAUUAUAUUUUUCCCCCCACAGGAGAUUUACAGGUACAUCAGUCAACCCAGUAGUGAACGUUAGUUUGAUAUUGUGGUCACGUGAUGGUGCUAGAAGUCGUGGAUUUUAUUAUUAUAUUCGAAAUUUGUGUUAUUAUUUUAUGUUAUUAAGGAUAAUCGUUGUAUUUUAAUAUUCGGAUGAUUUUGGUGAUAUUUGAGAAGUUGGUUUGAGAAGUUGGUUAUGGAGGAUGUUUGGUUAUUAAAUUAUUUCGGGAGUGUUAUUUUGUCAAUUGCAGGGUUGGAUAUGUUUUAUUUAUAAGGGAGACUCUGCCGAAAUUUUUAUAGAUUUGUUAUUAAUUCGAUUUUACGAGUUUAGAUAGACUCGCCCUGGGGGAGGUUGCGGGGCGGGUCGUUUCAGUUGGUAUCAGAGCAUGGUUUUAGAUUCUGUAGACUUUAUGGUCGUAAAUAGAAUAAGUUUUGAUUAUUAAGUCGGAUUUACUAUUUUGUAGGCACCAUCAUAAUUAAAUUAGUUAGAAGUAAAAUUAUCUCUCUAGUAUUAUGCAAGGGUAGAAAUUUGGGUUGUACCAUGUUAUAAUUAUCAAGGAUAGUUUUGAUAGAAUUCUAAUUGUAAUAUAUGACUGUAUAAAAAAAAAAGAACAUUAAUGAAAGAUGUUUAGGUAAGGACUAUCUUGGAAUAGAAUUUUGAUUGUAAUAUAUCAAUAUAUAAAAAAAAAAUUUAUGAAAAAUGUUUAACAAGGACUGUUUUGAUAUUUUAAUGAGUAGUAAAAAUUAAUGUUAAAAUUUGAUAGAACAUAUAUAAAUAAUCCUAGCUCUAAUAAAAUUUUGCUACAUAAUUAGUUUAUCCCUUAAAGAAACAUAUCAAAAAAAUAUACAAAAACACAAUGCAUGAGUACAUGUCAAUCACAAAUGAAAGCAAUUAAGAUAAAGAAUAUGAUUUAUUUUAUUUUAUUUUAGUUAUUUUUUUGUUUCUUUUGAAACAAGACCAAUUAGAUCUGCAAGAAGUAAUUUUUUAAAAAAAUAAUAAAAAAAGGAGAAAUGAUGAAACCCACGUCCAAAGAUGCCGUUGUCGCGGAGGCCUAGAUCUCACUACACCCCAUCCCCUUCUACCAUAUUUUAUAAUUGAAGAGGCCAUUAUUGAAUUGAAAAAUUAUGAUUCAAAUAUCCAAAAGUAGAAAAAGAAAAGCAAUUGUUGGAAACACACUCGGAGUUUUAAAUUGACAUGAGAAAAGAAUAUAUUCAUCAACCUCAUACGUUAAUGAUGCGACGAGUUUAAGAAUAUAUUCCUAACGUGUGGGAAUUUAAAGACGUUACUACAAAACAUGUGUUCGUCGGUGGAGUAGAAUCAGGGAAAUUAAAGAUGCUACUACAACCACUAACGUGUGGGUGGAGAUAAGCAUAACUUUUUUCAUCAAAUGCCAAAUCCCCCCAGGUGGAGAGUGGGGACUCCUUCGCAUAAAUGUUGAUAAAAUUUUGACUAUGAUGUUAUUAGGAAUUAAGGGAAACUGUGGUGCAAUUGUGGUAUCGUGUCACAGUUGUAUUUGGUCGUUGGAUGUCAGUAGACCCUACCCAUAUAAGUGUAUCUAAUGGCUAAAUGUAAUUAUAACACGGUACCGCAAUUGCACCGUAGCCGAACCCUAAAAAUUAAGAUAUUCUCUCUCUACGUAUGCCUGCACGAAAUAAAUAAUAUGCAAAUAUAGUAUUUUAGUUUAUUAUUAAUAGUUUUACAAUAAUAAAAAUCAUUUUGAUAGACUGGAAAAUGUCAUAUUCGCAUUUUAUUUUGUACGGACGUCUGCGAGAAAGAACAUAUAUAUAUAUAUAUAUAUAGAGGAACGUGUAUUUAAGAUUUAGCUAGUGUGAAGUUGGGAAAUUUUUUUUUUGAACCCAGGCUAAAAUUAUUUCAAUAAAUUUUGAUCAUGGAGACUAAUAAGAUUUUUUUAGUUAUAUUUAUUAAUUUUUUAGGGACUAAUAAAUUUUGAUCAUGGAGACUAAUAAGAUUUUUUUAGUUAUAUUUAUUAAUUUUUUAGGGACUAACAUGAAUAUUAAUAAUUUUAUUGAGAUUAUUAAAAAAACAAUGUGCUAUUUUACAUCUAUGACUUUUCCAAUCUUUUUUUCUUUCGUUAUUUAUUCCUUUGUGAAUUUUAGUUAAUGCUUGAUAUUAUUUUUUUGCUCAUUUUUUAAAGCAGUAAUUAAAUCUGAACCCUUACAGUAGAAGAUUAUGAAAAAGUAAAGACACAAAAAUCAUAAAAAUCAUUAGUACGUCCAAAUUGUGCUAUUUUCAUACAUAACUUGAGAAUAUUUAUAAUUACGCAUCAGAACUAGUGGAGUAGAAUCAGGGAAAUUAAACAUUCUACAAUCAUUGACGUGUGGGGUGGGGAUAAGCAUAAACCUUUUCUAUGCAGUAUAAAAGAAUGCAAUAACUCCUUUUGUUUCAUAUCUUCGCAGCAAAAGCACAUCUAAUAACUCUUCAGAAUUCUCGUCUUCUUUGUCAGAAUGGUUGAUGCGAUCGUUUCCUCUCUCCUGGGGCAGCUGAGCUCUGUUGCGGCUGAUGAAGUGAAACAGCAGGUGAGGCUUGUGACUGGUGUCCGACAAGAAGUGACAAAGCUUACCAGCAAUCUUCGAGCCAUUCGAGCUGUGCUGGAAGAUGCAGAGAAAAGGCAAAUGCAGCGCGACAAUGCUGUUACUUUUUGGCUGGAUCAGCUCAAAGACGCAUCUUACGACAUGGAAGACGUGUUGGAGGAGUGGACCACUGCAAGGCUCAAAUUGCAGAUUGAAGGCGUUGAUGAUGACAAUGCUCUUGCUCUUGCUCCUCAUAAGAAGAAGGUACGCUCCUUCUUUUGUGCUGUAUCAAACUGGUUUGGUAGUUUCAAACAACUUAGUCUUCGUCAUGACAUUGCCGUCAAGAUUAGGGAAAUCAAUGGAAAGCUAGAUGGUGUUGCCUCCCAAAAAGAUACGUUUAAAUUUGUUGAGAAUGUGAGCAACAAUGUUAAGAAACCAGAGCGAGUGCGAACCACCUCCUUGAUUGAUGAGGGAGAGGUUUGCGGUAGAGUUGAUGAGAAAAAUGAGCUCUUAAACAAGUUGUGUGAAAGUAGUGAACAACAACAAGGCCUUCAUGUCAUCUCACUAGUUGGGUUAGGGGGUAUAGGUAAAACCACUCUUGCACAACUAGCCUAUACUAAUGAUGAUGUGAAAAGAAAUUUUGAAAAAGUUAUAUGGGUGUGUGUAUCAGACACUUUUGAGGAGAUUAGGGUCGCCAAAGCAAUCAUUGAAGGUCUAGGCAUGUCAGCUUCUGGUUUAAGCGAAUUCGAAUCUCUUGUGAAACAGAUUCAGGAAUAUAUUACGGGGAAGAAAUUUUUUCUUGUUUUAGAUGAUGUGUGGGAUGUAGAUUACAAAAAAUGGGACCCAUUCUUUUCUUGUCUAAAGAAUGGCCACCAUGAAAGUAAAAUUCUAAUUACCACACGUGAUAGGUCAGUUGCACUACAGUUGGGAUCAAUAGAUAUUAUCCCUGUCAAGGAGUUGGCUGAAGAGGAAUGCUGGUCGUUGCUCGAGCGGUUAGCAUUCUUCCGUCGUUCUGUUGAUGAUCAUGAAAAAUUAGAACCAAUCGGGCGAAAAAUUGCACACAAGUGCAAAGGCCUGCCUCUUGCUGCAAAGGUAAUAGGGAAUCUCUUGCGCUCUAAAAUUACAGUAAAAGAGUGGCAAAGAAUUUUAGAUAGUGAAAUGUGGAAAGUACAAGAGAUUGGGCAAGAUCUUUUGGCCCCUUUGUUGUUGAGUUAUAACGAUUUGCCCUCCAAUUCUAUGGUAAAACGGUGUUUCUCAUAUUGUGCUGUCUUUCCAAAAGACUACGAGAUGGAUAAAGAGGAGUUGAUUGAUCUGUGGAUGGCUCAAGGUUACCUUAAUGCAGAAGAAGACGAAGAGAUGGAGAUGAUUGGGGAAGAGUGUUUCAACAUUUUAGCAGCACGCUCUUUCUUUCAAGAGUUUGAGAAAAAUGAUGAUGAUGAUGAUAUUAGGAGUUGCAAGAUGCAUGACAUAGUACAUGAUUUUGCCCAAUUUGUAAGUAGAAAAGAAUGUUUGUGGGUAGAAAUGUAUGAUAACAAAGAAUCAGUCAUAAAGUCUUCUGGUGUCAAAGUCCGUCACUUAGGGUUAAAUUUUCAAAGAGGAGCUUCAUUUCCUACGUCCUUUUUUGAAUUUGAUAGAUUGCGUAGCCUCUUAAUUUAUGAUAGAAGUUAUUCCAAUCAGGUUCUUAAUAGUAAAUUGGCGUGUUUAAGGACAUUAGUUAUAAGGCAAUCGUUCCAAUAUUUUUAUCCUAUUUCUCUUGACUCAAAUGCGAUUAGAGAAAUUCCAGAAAAUGUUGGAAAAUUGAUACAUUUAAAAUAUCUUAAUUUGUCUAAAUUAGCCAUAGAGAUACUACCUGAGACUUUGUGUGAAUUAUAUAAUUUACAAAAGCUAGAUAUUAGGGAGUGCCGAUAUCUUAGGGAAUUGCCAGCGGGGAUUGGGAAGUUAAAGAACAUGAGAAGUUUACUGAAUGAUAAAACUUAUUCAUUGAAGUACAUGCCAAUAGGGAUUUCCAGAUUGACCAGCCUUCGAACAUUAGAAAAGUUUGUUGUGGGUGGAGGUGUUGAUGGUGGCAGCACGUGUAGGCUUGAAUCUCUGAAAAAUCUUCAACUCCUUCGUGAAUGUAGAGUAGAAAGGCUGAGUAAUGUAUCGCAUGUAGAUGAGGCUGAGAGGUUACAACUUUACAAUAAGAAAAACCUCCUUCGUUUGCGUCUUUGGUUUGGUGGAGUCGUAGAUGGGGAAGGCGAAGAAGGGAGGAGGAAGAAUAUUGAGAAAGAUAAACAACUUCUUGAAGCCUUACGACCGCCUUUGAAUUUAGAGGAAUUAGGGAUUGUAUCCUACCAAGGCAACAUUUUUCCCAAAUGGUUGACUUUGCUAACCAAUCUAAGGAAUUUAUUUCUUUCCUCGUGCGUUAACUGUGAGCAUUUGCCUCCUUUGGGAAAAUUGCCUCUGGAAAAACUCAAACUAUGGAAAUUAAAAAGUGUAAAAAGAGUGGGUAAUGAGUUUUUGGGAAUAGAAGAAAACAGUGAGGACGACCCAUCUUCAUCUUCAUCGUCAUCAUCAGUUAUUGCCUUCCCCAAAUUGAAAUCACUCGAAAUUUGGGACAUGGAGGAAUUGGAAGAGUGGAAUUACAGGAUUACGAGGAAGGAAAACAUCUCCAUCAUGCCCCGUCUUUCUUUCUUAAAAGUUGUUUUUUGCAACAAAUUAAAGGCGCUGCCGGAUUACCUUCUUCAAACGACGGCACUGCAGGAACUGCGUAUUUUUUCUUGUGAUCUUCUAGAAGAACUGCCCAUUCUAGAAGAUCGCAGGACAACAGACAUUCCACGUCUUUCUUCCUUGCGAAUUUCGGAUUGCCCCAAAUUAAAGGUGCUGCCGGAUUACCUUCUUCGGACGACGACGCUGCAGGAAUUGACUAUUGACGAAUGUCCCCUUCUGGAAAACCGUUAUAGAGAGGGGAAAGGAGAAGACUGGCAUAAGAUAUCUCACAUUCCCCACAUCGAGUGGUAAAUUCUCGAAUGGUUGCAAUUACUAUCACCCACCGGUAAUUUCUCACCUCUAUUUUACUUUGUUGUUACUUCAAACAACGACACUGCAAACAUUGACAAUUUGUACAUAUCAAUAAAAUGUACAAAGUUAAAAAUAUAGAAUGCAUUAGUACAUGUCAAUAACAAGACCAAUUAGAUUAUGGCAUUGCUUUAUUUUAUUUAUUUAUUUUUUUGAUUCUUUUGAAACAAGAUCAAUUAAUUAGAUCAUGCUAGAAGUUAAUUUUUUUUUUCAAAUGAAAAAGGAGCAGUCAUACAAAGUUUGAAUAUAAAAUUUAUAAUCUAAAACUAAUAAUGUGACAAUUAGCAUGUUAUUAACCUAUCUAAUAGAGUAGGAAGUCCCAAAUACAUCAUAUUCUGCUCCAGAAAUCCAUUCCACCUAGAAUACUUCUUUCUAUUGAAAUUAAUGAUGAUUUGUUUGUUUGCAUCAUGAAAGUUAAAAAUAAUUUUAUGAGUAAUUUGAUUCUUUACGGUACAAAAAAUAAAUUUGGAAAGUACUAAUUUCUCUCAUACUUUUUGGGCUAAAAAAUAAAUGUAACUCCAACAUAUUUAUUAUUUAAUGGUUCUAUAUAGAAUCAAUCGUGGUAUAAAUAUGUAAAACUUCCUAGUUAUCAAUUUUGUCUUGCAUAAUGAUAAUCGUUUUUUUUUAUAUAUAAUUUAUGUGACAUUAAUUCUUUAAAGUAAUUGUGGAAUUGUUUUUACUACAUUAGCCCUCUUUGUUUUAUUUCAUACGAGUUUAAUUAUGUUCACCAGGGAUUCGAGGAAAUGUCAGAACCACACUAGCAAUUCACAGGUCCAAUCUAAUUUGGUUUUAAUGAUGCAGGCAGGAGAGUAUGCUAAGAAAAUGAAAAGUUUAGCCAAAGGAUUGCUAAAAUGUUCUGCUGGUAAUUCACUUGCUUUAUUUUAUAGAAUUUCAUUUCCAUCUUCUUCUAUUGAUAUCUUGUUGUGAAUAAACAAGAACAGAGAAGUAAAGAUAUAUCAAAAUUAACUAUUACGAUGAUGCUAAAGCAAGCUCAAGCUCAAGCAUUGCAUUUUUAUUUUAUUUAAUUUAUAGAAUUUUCAUUUCCACCUGCAUUGCAUUUUUAUUUAUUUUUAGGUUGACUUUGAAUACUUCAUGGUGAAAAUGACGAGUUCAGCCAAAGGAUUGCUAAAUGUUCUGCUGGUAAUUCACUUGCUUUAUUUUAUAGAAUUUCAUUUCCAUCUUCUUCUAUUGAAUCUUGUUGUGAAUAAAGAAGAACAGGUAAGUAAAUGAUUGAACCACAGAGAAGUAAAGGUGUAUCAAAAUUCGCUAUUAUGAUGAUGUUAAAGCAAGCUCAAGCACAAGCAUUGCACUUUAUAUUUUAUUUAGUUAAUAGAAUUUUCAUUUCCACCUGCAUUUCAUUUUUAGGUUGACUUUGAAGACUCUAUGGAGAACAUUGGGGUAACCAAGGAUUAUCACUGUGGUUAUUGUGCAACGUUUGGUUGCUGGACUUUGAAGAAGGAAGUGAUGGCCGGGUCUGCUCUGUUUCAAUUGAGGAUGGAUAGCUGCCUGAAAGACAUGAUGAUUAUUAUUGUGUGAUGUUAAGGUGCUGAGAUCAUCAUUGCUAUCUUGUUUCAUUCUUGGAAUCAUUUAUCCUGUAUAAACAUUUGUUUUAACAAAUGUUUCAAUGGCUGCUGUAGUAACAAUUUCAUAUCUUGCAUCUCUCGGGUGCAUCAUGAUCACGGGUUUGAGAAAGCAUUUGUGGUAAAGCUUCAAAGCUUGUACAAUGGCUGUGAAAAGGCACAUUCAAUUCGGUACGUUUGGUGCGGUCUCCUAAUGCUACUACCAUAUUUUGUAUAGCAAUUAAAAUUCAGGUAUACAAUCUUAAUAUGCAAUAAAUCAUUGAGUACAAAGUUAUCUAUUAAUUAUAUGGUAACUGAAAUUUUCAUUAUAAUUUUAAUUAUCAUAUUAAUAUUAAAGUUUUUUGUAACCCUCUUUUACUUUGCUUGUACAGAGUAUCUGUUUUGGCUGAUAUGUCUAAUUCGUAGCAAUUCAUUUCCAUCGGUUUCCAUUGGUUUUAGCACAAACAGAAACAAAAAUCUGGGGAAAAAGUUUUACUUCUUGUGGUAUUAUGCCUUUAUUUAUUCAUUCAUCAUAUUUGUUCGAAUUCAUGCUCUCAUUCAGAGAGCAGCCUUUUCCAGGCUACUUUGUAGCCAAAUUUUCAUGCCAUCGAUGCAUGAUUGUCAUUUAGAUUUUCCAAAUAAUUGUUAGAUUGAAGAAGAAUAAGAAGAUAUUGUUAAAAGGGUAUUUAAUUAGCACCCUCUGAAUUUAGUUGCCAAUAAUGCAUUGAAAUGGUUGGGGAAAGUUAUUGUCUCACUUAAAUUACAGGUGAUAAGAUGCUGCUCCAAUUUUGCAAGCAUCUCGUGUUGCGAAGAUUUUGCCCACAUGAGAUGUUAUGAUUUUUGACAUCAGGGUAACACAGGUCAAAUUUUAGCAUCAAUAGAUAUCAUCUUCUUUACUGUUCUGCUCGAAAUAUUAAACUUUAGGCAAGUUGUUUUUGGUUGUGUGAGUUAUCAGGUUAAGGAUACUAAGCAGCUUAUUAAGGCAAAUGUCAGAAUGCAGAUUGCUCACCACACCUGGUAUGCAUGAUGGCCAGGAAGAUUAAUUGUUCACAAGCCAAUUUGAUCAGUGUUAGAUUUUUUUCCUCCUUUCGAGGGACAUCAUCAUCAAAUUUGAGUAGAGAAUCUUUGAAGGGAAUUUUGUUGUAAGAGUUUCACAGUAGUGAAUUCUAGAAGCUCGAACUCACUUGAGUGAGAUAUUAGGGAGUAUUGGGGAUUUGGGUUAUGAGUAAUCAUUAUCCUUCCAAUAUGUGUAAGCACUCACUUGUUAGUAAAAUCAUCUUCGUAUAUUGACUAUGUUUCUUUGUUAUCAGGUAGAGUGUGAUCUUCAAGGGUUUGAGAAAGUCCUUGCAGUAAAGUUUCCACCACAAGUAAUUGCUCAGUUUCAGAUUUUCUAGGCGUUUAAUUAGUUUCGAUUAUAAUAUUUAGUCACUCAUUCUGAAUCUUUUCUAAUUUUCAAGUUCCUUAGGGUCACAAUCAUUUUUUCAAGUCUGCUGUGGCUGCAAAAAGAUUGUUGGUCAUAAAAUUAUCUUGACCCUUGAGCCAUUGCGUUUGAGCACAAACAGAAACAGAGCUAAAGGAAAAGAACUUGACGCAAGAAGAUGCUCUGAAUAUAACAAAAGUAUAUUUCUACUUCUUGUGGUUAUUUACUUUUGUUUCUCCUGUCAGCAUAUUUGAUUAAUUCGUUCGAAUUCACACUCUCACACAUUAUUUAAAACCAUUUGUAGGUGGCUUGCAAGCUAAUUAAGUUAAUGCAGAAGCAAUACUCUAGACUUUAGUGAAGUUGUUUUUGUUUGUGUAAGUUAUCAGGUUAAGGAUACUAAGCAGCUUAUUAAGGCAAAUGUCAGAAUGAAGAUUGUUCACCGCACCUGGUAUGAAUGAUGGCGAGGAAGAUUAAUUGUUCACAAGCCAAUUUGAUCAGUAUUAGAUUCUUUUGCCUCCCUUCGAGAGAUAUCAUCAUCAAAUUUGAGAAGAGAGUUUUGUUUUGACAUUUCACUGUAGUGAAUUUUGGGAGCUUGAACCCACUUCAGUGAAAUAUUAGGGAAUACUGGGGAUAUGGGUUAUGAGUGAUCGUUAUCCUUCAAAUAUUUGUAAGCUCUCACUUGUUAGUAAAACCAUCUUCGUAUAUUGACUUUGUUUCUUUGUUGUCCGGCCGAGUGUGAUCUUCAAGGUUUGAGAAAGUCUUCGCAGUAAAAUUUCCACCACGUGCAAUUGCAGUGAAGGGGCAUAUACAUUUGAGUAAUUCAGUUUCAGAUUUUCAAGGCGCGUUUGUUUAAUUAGUUUCGAUUAUAAUAUUUAGUCACUCAUUCUGAAUCUUUUCUAAUUUUCAAGUUCUUUAGGGCCGCCAACAGUUUUUCAUGUCUACAUGUGGCUGCAAAAAGAUUGAUGGUCAUCAAAUUAUCUUGAGCCUCGAGGCAUUGCAUUCGAGCACAAAGGGAAACAGAGCUAAGGGAAAUGAAGACAGUAGGAGAUGCUCUGAAUAUAACAAAAGUAUAUUUCUACUUGUGGUUAUUUUAAUUUUGUUUCUCCUGUCAUCAUAUUUAAUUAAUUCGUUUGAAUUCACACUCUCACACAUUAUUUAAAACCAUCUGCAGGUGAUAGAAUAUGGGAGACGUUGUUAAUGGAAAAACAGUACUCUAGACAAAGAUGAGCAAAUUGAAGGCGACAAAUGCAAAUUGGAUUUCCAUGAAUAAUUGUUAGGCUGGUGGAGAUAUUCUUAAAAGGGCAUUAAGCUAUCUUAUGGAAUUGGAAAGUUAUUAUUACUUGAAAGCAAGCAGCAUCUUCGUUGCGAAGGCUUUCCCCACUUGAUAAGAUGCUGAGAUUGUUAUCGGCCCCUUAAUUAUUUAUUAACUCAGGUAUUUAUUAUCAGUACAUCAUCUUAUUCACCAUUUUGGCUGUAUAUAAAGAUUAAAAUUUCUAACAGUUGUUUCGGAUUCUUGUGUACUCAGGUUAAUAGGGCAAAUGUCAGAAUGAAGAUUGCUCAGUGCAACCGAUAUAGCAAGGAUGAUAGUUGUGAGGAAGAUUGUUGGCAAGCCAAAUAGAGCCCUCCAUUUGGAGAAAUAUCAUCCUCAAAUUUGAAUUGUUGAGCAUGUGAGGUGAAGCUAAAGCCUUAAUAAUGAGACCUUCCUGUGGAAGUUUCAUUUGAAUGAAUUGAACGUUCUUAGUGAGUGAGAAAUUAAGCAUAUAUCAGCGAUUUUGGUCGUCAGUGAAUGUUUUCCUUCAAUAUUAAUACACUGGCAUUUCUUAGUAAAUUCCCUUCACGUCACUUCCUCCUUGUUGGUGGGAUUAGUAAACAAAUGCCAUUUCUUAGUACAUUUUGAGAAUUUUGACUCCCAAAUAAGCCUGCAGAGCGGUGUAUGGUGGGAUUAGCUGCAGGAUUCUUUGCCAAACUUCCUUUUUAUUCCUUUGUUCACUUAUUCGUUAUAAAUAAAGUAAAAUUAGAAUAUUGUUCCGUUUACUGUCUAAGCUGGUCUAACAUUUGUUUAAUUUGGGCAAUUUUUAAUGCCUAACAGGUUAUCUGUGACAAACCCAUCAGUGAGUGUAUGCAACUAUUGCGUGGAUUUGAUAGAGUGGUCACCAACAAUUUUGAAGUUAUUGGAGUAGCACGGCUUUGAGGUCUCUCCCUCCCUCUUUUACGUAUUUGUCUAUUGAUCGACAUGUCUAUAUAUACAUUGAUAGACCAACUUACUCUUGUUUUAAUGUUUUGUUUGUUAAAAUUUGACUGGGUUAUGUUUAUUUGUCUCAUAUGAUGUCAAUGUGGUUCCUAUUGAAGUGUAUAGAUCUGUCACCUCAAAGUCUGAUUUCAAUUUUCCUUUACUUCAUCAACUAGCAUCCUUUCCAAGUCCAGAUACUUACCAAUAGUGAUACUUUGCUACGGAAGUACAAUUUCUCUUGUUUUACAGUUAAUUAUGAAAGAAAAGUUUUAAAUUUACAGAAUUCUGGUAUAGCUCUCUUAAGGAAAUGCGAGUGGUGAAUAUGGUUCCAACUUUUAAUAGGCUUAAUAGGCCCAUUUGUUGAGCCACAGUGAUUGCGGUGUAAAUUCUUCUUUACUGUCUAUAUGUGUUGGAGUUUGUCUAUUGUCCAACUUCUCAAAUCGAUUCCAUGCAGGGUUUUGAAUGUCUAAUUAGGAGAACGAUUAACGGAUGACCUUUUGAAGAAGGCUUACACAACAGGCCAUCUCGGGAUGUCAUGGCUCAGCUCAAAAGUCCCCAGGUGGGUGAUAUCAAAGAAUGCCAUUGUUUCUGGGCUUGGUCUCCUUGGCAUCAAACAAGAUAAUGUUGACUGCAUAAAUUUGUUGGAGUUAAUGUAGUCAAUUGCCCAAUUUCGCUGCCUAUCGAAGAGACACAUCAUGGAAGUCCUCAUCAAACUCUGAGACACCUAAGAAAUAGUAGGAGGUGGUGGUACUUGCCUGGGGUUAAUUUCCUGGCAAGUAUAGUUCACUGAUAGAGGGAAUCUUCUCUUGAUGUCUAAAUACCGUAUGUGAUACAACGUCGUAUAUUCUAAUUUUCCUUGAGUUAAAUUCUAGUCAGUUAGGAAAGUUAAUUUUGUUUUCGCUAUGGAUUGUUUCCUAGAUAAUAAUAGUUUCCAUGUUCCUUUGGGGUCUUAUUAACUCUCUGUAACCCAGUUCAAGUUUGCAAAUUCUAUUUCAGAUUUCUCAUAUAGUGUGCCUUUGUGACUUCUGUGAUACACUUUUGAUCACAAGUUUCCAUUUGAAGUAGCCAAUAUUCUUUAUAGACUAAUUAUCUAAGGAUUAUUUUAUACAAAAAAUGAAAACUUUAAUUAAUUGAUCAUACUUAACUUAGCUCUUGUUUAAUAUUACGAGCUGUUGUGAGAACAAAAAAAUAGCAGAAAGUUGACAGUGUGCAGUAAAUGUAUGACUUUUAAAUAAUAAUUUAAUAAAAUUAAUAAAGAUAUUAUAAGUUUUUUAAUAAUAAAGUAUGAGAUCAAAUUAAAUUAAUUAAUUUUGAAUUAUUUUAUUAUUGUCAAAAUGUAAUAUCUUAAAUAACAGUUAUUUUUAUUAAGAAUAUUUUUUUGGUAAUGAAUUAUACUUUUUAAAAUAUAAUUGAAAAUUCUUAUUAAUGAACUAAUAAAAAAUUAAUUAUUUGAGUUAUCUCCUAAACUACUUAGCUCACGAGAUAAAUUCACUUAGUUUAGAACGAAGCGGUGGGUUUUAUGUGGGAAGCCACAUCCUUACCACAUCAACCUCAACAUCGAAACAUGGAAUUGGACUAAAAAUAGUUCUUUCCCAUGUAUUUACGUAACCUCCUCCCAGUAAACGCAAAUAUGUAUUCUUGAGUGCAUGUAAUCCACAAGUUUGAUUGAGUAGAAGAUGUCGUUGUCACAAAGGCCUGGACGCCAUACCUCGAAUGAUAUGUUAGUAUGAAAUUAUGUUUUUUUUUUUUUUUUUGAGAGAGGUAUGAAAUUAUGUGAAAAUUAAUAUAUCACUUUUUUUUUCUUUUUUCCUUUUUUGCGUGAGUGAUGGCUUCGUUGAAUGACAGUUGGCAAAUAAUAAGUUAUCUUUUAAUUUUGGUUUUGAUUUGAAAAAAAUAUUAAUUUUUGUAGUUUCGGUAGAUGAAAUUUCGAAUCAAAUAUUAAUAUUGUUAAAGUACGCAACCCAAUAUUUGCUUAAAUUACAAAAAAGAUUAAUUACUUUGCAUAAAAAAAAAGUGAUCACUUGAUUUAACUUCCUUUACUAAAUUUACGAUUUAAAAUCCAAAAUAAAAAAAAGGAAAACAAUUUUUGGACACACACUCGGAGUUUUAAAUUAAUAUGAAAAACGAGUUUAUUAUUGAUAGGAAAACAAUCAAGUGAUCACUUGAUUUAACUUCCUUUACUAAUUUUACGAUUUAAAAUCUAAAAUAAAAAAUUGUUUAUUAUUGAUUGUCUUUUUCCCAAAAUUUAAGCUAAAACAGUAAUAUGUCCAAAAUACCCUCCACGUUAUCCUAAAACUUUAUAAACUCCCCCGUUCCUCUCAACAUCAUCUCUUCCAAAUCUUUCUCCCCCAAAAAACCAGCCAUGGCUUCAUAUUUAGUUACCUCAACACUCCAAUAUUGGCUUGUAAACAGUAGUGGUUCGACCUCUAGGCAACUUAGGUGGUUGUAUAGGACUCCGCUUUAUAUGAAAACCCUACGAGAUGAUUAUUUUGUAUAUAAAAGAGGAAAAUGAAUUUAAAAGUGAUUAUUAUUUAUUUAAUUUAUUAUUAUUUUGUAAUUAUCUUUUUCUAAAUAAACUAUCAAAUUCUUAUAAAGUUUAUUUAAUGUACUACUUAAUUGUUUUAAUUAAUUUCUACAAAACCAAUAAAUUAAUAGUUUCAAUCCUAAACAUUCUCUAUUUCAUUGUUAGAAUUAAUAAGUUAUAUUUCAAAAGUUUUAUAUUUAUUUUAAACCUCUAUAAAAGCCCCACAUUUUAUUACUUAUCCAUUACAUUUUUCCUCCAACAAUCAAGACAUCUUGGUGUUUUAGAGAAAGAAAGAGAAAGAAGGAAAAAAAUCUUGCUUCCCCUACUUUCUACUCUAGAAGAAACAGAAAAAAUCUAAUAGUUUUCUCUAUUUUCUAUGACUAUUGGUCGUUACUCAAAUUUUCAAACAAUAGCCUUAAUAUAAAUAUAAGUUAAUUUAUGAUUUCAUCUCAAAUUUUUGAUUUUAUCUUUUUAUUAUUCUCUUAAUUAGUUGUGUUUUAUUUGUUCUUAUUUCUUUUUAAUAUAUUCUUUUAUUCAUCUAAUUUUUUUUUGUGCUUGUUUUAUCUAUUUUGAAAUAAAACUAUAUCAAAAAACUUUAGACAAUAGAAGAAUAGAAAAAUUAGUUUAAUUUAAAAAAAAAAGUAAAAAGAUAUAAUUUAACUUAAAAAAAUAAAUGAAAAUGUUAUAAUUGAAUUAAAAUUUUAUGAAUUAACAUCAAUGGAAUGAAUUUUUAUUUAAUAAUUUUACAUUUUAAAGUGUUUAAAGAAUUAAUUUUCAAUAAAUAAUAUACGUUAUAUACCUUCUAGAAGAUAUAUAACGUAUUUCAAUAAAUAAUUGUACAUUAUGAAUUAACAUCAAUGGAAUGGAUUACCUUCUUCAAACGACGGCACUGCAGGAACUGAGUAUUUCUUAUUGUCCAAUUAUGGAAGAACUGCCCAUUCUAGAAGAUCACAGGACAACAGACAUACCACGUCUUUCUUCCUUGCGAAUUUGGAAUUGCCCCAAACUAAAGGUGCUGCCGGAUUACCUUCUUCGGACGACGACGCUGCAGAAAUUGACAAUUUGGGGAUGUCUCAUUCUGGAAAACCGUUAUAGAGAGGGGGAAGGAGAAGACUGGUAUAAGAUAUCUCACAUUCCCCACAUCAAGUGAUCGCCGUAAUUUAUCACUCGCCGGUAAUUUCUCCUCCGCCUCUGAUUUACUUCGUUGUUGCUUGCAAUGAAAUUAAUAAAAAUAAUUAUAUUUUGAAUUAAAAUUUCUAUACUUAUUUACUUUUAAAAAAUAUGUGCUCUUUUGUAAAAUUUCAUGCAAUGUAAUUUAUUUUUUAAUGUACGAUAAUUUGUUGUGUGUAACUUCCUGAGAGACAAAAUCUCUGUGAUACAUUUGCAGUAAUGUUGAAAACUAAAUUAUCAAUUUUAUCUUGUAUAAUGAUAAUCUUAUUUUUUUAUAUAUAAUUUAUGUGACAUUAAUUCUUUAAAGUAAUUGUGUAAUUGUUUUUACUACCAGUUUAUGUUUCAUUUUAAUUAUGUUCACCAGGGAUUCGAGGAAAUGUCAGAACCACACUAGCAAUUCACAGGUCCAAUCUAAUUUGGUUUUAAUGAUGCGGCAGGAGAGCAAGACUAUGAAAAUGAAAAGUUUAGCCAAUGGACUGCUAAAAUGUUCUGCUGGUAAUUCACUUGCUUUAUUUUAUAGAAUUUCAUUUCCAUCUUCUUCUAUUGAUAUCUUGUUGUGAAUAAACAAGAACAGAGAAGUAAAUGAUUGAACCACAGAGAAGUAAAGAUAUAUCCAAAUUCGAUUAUUAUGAUGAUUAAAGCAAGCUCAAGCUCAAGCAUUGCAUUUUUUAUUUUAUUUAGUUUAUAGAAUUUUCAUUUCCACCUGCAUUGCAUUUUUAUUUCAUUUUUAGAUUGACUUUGAAGACUCUAUGGAGAACAUUGGGGUAACCAAGGAUUAUCACUGUGGUUAUUGUGCAACGUUUGGUUGCUGGACUUUGAAGAAGGAAGUGAUGGCCGGGUCUGCUCUGUUUCAAUUGAGGAUGGAUAGCUGCCUGAAAAACAUGAUGAUUAUUAUUGCAUGAUGUUAAGGUGCUAAGAUCAUCCUUUCUAUCUUGUUUCAUUCUUGGAAUCAUUUAUCCUAUAUAAACAUAUUGAAUUGUGCUAAUAUUAUCAUAUGCGUAAAUGGAGGCAGGAAUUUGGUGUUGACACUAUUAUGCAGGUAACCACACUUGAUAAUUGGCACAAAUUUGCGUUGUCAGAAUAUCCUUUAAUAUUCAACGUGUCUCUUUGUGUUAUCAGGAGUAUCAUGUCCAAGGGUAAAGGUGCUGCCGGAUUGGUGGAUGCCCCAAAUUAAAGGUGCUGCCGGAUUACCUUCUUCAAUCGACGACACUGCAGAUAUUGAGUAUCUUUUUGUGAAAAUAUGGAAGAACUGCCCAUUCUAGAAGACCGCAGGACAACAGACAGAUCACUUGCCCCAAAUUAAUGAUGCUGCCGGAUUACCUUCUUCAAACAAUGACACUGUGGAUAUUGAGUAUUUAUGAAUGUCCUAUUCUGGAAAAACGUUACAGAGAGGGGGAUGGAGAAGACUCGCAGAAUGUUAAGGUGCUAAUAUCAUCAUUUCUAUCUUGUUUCAUUCUUGGAAUCAUUUAUCCUAUAUAAACAUAUUGAAUUGUGCUAAUAUUAUCACUUGUGUCAAUGGAGGCAGGAAUUUGGUGCUGAAACUAUUAUGCAGGUAACCACACUUGAUAAUUUGCACAAAUUUGCGUUGUCAGAAUAUCCUUUAAUAUUCAUUGUGUUUCUUUGUGUUAUCAGGUUAUCAUGGUAUACAGAGUAUCAUUUUCAAGGGUUUGUAAGAGCUUUCGCAGUAAAGUUAGUCAUCACCACCUUGUGCAAUUGCACAUACAUUCAGAGUACUUCAAUAUUAGAUUUUCAAGGUUUGUAUGUUUAGUUGCGAUUAAAAUUUUUAGUCACUCAUUCUUAAUCUUUUCUAAUUUUCAAGUUCUUUAGGGCCAUAAACAGUUUUUCCAACUCAUUCUUAUUUUUUAGGUUGAUUUCGAGUACUCUGUGGAGAACAUUAGUGAGACAAAGGAUUAGACUGGCGAUGGAACUGCUGCCUCUGUUGUUAUUGUGCAAGGUUUGAUCACUGGACCUUGAACACGAAAGCCUUACACGCAUUCUGUAAUUCAAGCGUUCUCUAAAACGAACGAGCAGUAGAAGGAAUAGUGAUGACCGGAUCUGCUCUAUUUUAAUUGAAGAUCUCUGUGAUAUUGAGGGGCUUAAAGUAGUUGAUGCUUUUUGAAAAUUGUUAUUACGGAUGAAUUCAUUCCUGAAGACGAGUAGCUAAUGAUUGUUAAGGCUUAUUUUCUUAAAGUUCCUUUCUUAACAAGUGUUUCAAUGCUGGCUGUAGUAACAUUUUCAUAUCUUGCAUCUCUCGGGUGCAUCAUGUUCACAUGUUUGAAAAGGCAUUUGUGGUAAAGCUUCAAAGGUUGUACAAUGGCUGUGAAAAGGCAUAUUCAAUUCGGUACGUUUUGGUGUGGUCUCCUAAUGCUAAUAUGAUAUUUUGUAUAGCAAUUAAAAUUUAGGUAUACAAUCUUAAUAUGCAAUAAAUCAUUGUGUACAAAGUUUUCUAUUAAUUAUAUGGUGACUGAAAUUUUAAUUAUCAUAUCAAUCUUAAAUUUUUUUGUAACUCACUUUUACUUUGCUUGUACAGAGUACCUGUUUUGGCUGAUAUGUCUAAUUCGUAGAAAUUCAUUUCCAUCGGUUUCCAUUGGCUUUAGCGCAAACAGAAACAGAGCUCUGGGAAAGAGUUUGACUUCUUGUGGCAUUAUGCCUUUGUUUCUUCAUUCAUCAUAUUUUUCAAAUUCAUGCUCUCAUUCAGAGAGUAAAGCCUUUUCCAGGCUGCUUUGUAGACAAACUUUGACUCCAUUGAUGCAUGACUGUCAUUUAGAUUUUCCAAGAAACUGUUAGAUUGGAGAAGAAUAAGAAGAUAUUGUUAAAAGGGUAUUUAAUUAGCGCCCUCUGAAUUUAGUUUCCAAUAAUGCAUUGAAAUAGUUGGGGAAAGUUAUUGUCUUAAUUAAAUUACAGGUGAUAAGAUGCUGCUUCAAUUUUGGAAGCAUCUCGUAUUGCGAAGAUUUUGCCCACAUGAGAUCCCGUGAUUCUUGACAUCAGGGUAACGCAGGUCAAAUUUCACUUUCAAUAUAUAUCUCUUCUUUACUAUUCUGCCUCUAAAUAUUAAACUUUAGGCAAAUUGUUUCUUGUUUGUGUAAGUUAUCAGGUUAAGGAUACUAAGCAGCUUAAUAGUUCGCCACACCUGGUAUGAAUGAUGGCCAGGAAGAUUAAUUGUUCACGAGCCAAUUUGAUCAGUGUUAGAUUUUUUGCCUCUCUUUGAAAGAUAUGAUCAUCAAAUUUGAGUAGAGAAUCUUUGAAGAGAAUUUUGUUGUGAGAGUUUCACUGUAGUGAAUUUUGGGAGCUUGAACUCACUUGAGUGAGAUAUUAGAGCGUAUUGGGUAUUCGGGUUAUGAGUAAUAGUUAUCCUUCCAAUAUUUGCAAGCUCUCACUUAUUAGUAAAAUCAUCUUCGUAUAUUGACUCUGUUUCUUUGUUGCCAGGAAGAGUGUGAUCUUCAAGGGUUUGAGGAAGUCUUUGCAGUAAAGUUUCCACCACGAGCAAUUGCUACAAAGAGGCAUAUACAUUUGAGUAAUUUGGUUUCAGAUUUACAAGGCGUGUAUAUUUAAUUAGUUUUGAUUAUCAUAUUUAGUCACUCAUUCUGAAACUUUUCUAAUUUUCAAGUUCCUUAGGACCACCACCAGUGUUUCAAGUCUGCAUAUGGCUGCAAAAUAUUGAUGGUCAUAAAAUUAUCUUGAGCCUUGAGGCAUUGCAUUUGAGCACACACAGAAACAGAGCUAAAGGAAAAGAAGACAAUAGAAGAUGCACUAAAUAUAACAAAAGUAUAUUUCUACUUGUGGUUAUUUUAAUUUUGUUUCUCCUGUCAUCAUAUUUGAUUAAUUCGUUUGAAUUCACACUCUCACACAUUAUUUAAAACCAUCUGCAGGUGGCUUGCAAGCUAGUUAAGUUAAUGCAAAAACAAUACUUUAGACAAAGAUGAGCAAGUUGAAGGCAACAAAUGCAAAUUGAAUUUCCAUCAAUAAUUGUCAGGCUGGGGCAGAUAUUCUUAAAAGGGCAUUAAGCUAUCUUAUGAAAUUGGAAAGUUAUCAUUGCUUGAAUGAAAGCACCAUCUUCUGUUGUCAAGGCUUUCCCCACACGAUGAGAUUCUGUGCUUGUUAUCGGCCCCUUAAUUAUUUAUUAAAUCAGGUUUCUGUUAUCAAGUACAUCAUCUUAUUCACCAUUUUAGCUAUAUAUAAAGAUUAAAAUUUCUAACAGUUGUUUCGGAUUCUUGUGUACUCAGGUUAAUAGGGCAAAUGUCAGAAUGAAGAUUGUUCAGUGCAACCGGUAUAGCAAGGAUGAUAGUGGUGAGGAAGAUUGUUGGCAAGCCAAAUAGAGCCCUCCAUUUUGAGAAAUGUCAUCCUCAAAUUUGAAUUGUUGAGCAUGUGAAGUGAAGCUAAAGCCUUAAUAAUUAGACCUUCCUGUAAAAGUUUCAUUUGAGUGAAUUGAACGUUCUUAGUGAUUUUGGUUGUCAGUGAAUGUUUUCCUUUAAUAUUAAUACACUGUCAUUUCUUAGUAAAUUCUCUUCAUAUCACUUCCUCCUUGUCGUUCUUAUGGAAAUACCUUCCUGUUUGACUUGCAAAAUACAUUACAAAAGCUCCCAAACAGUAUAUUUGAACAGAGUUACCCAUUUUGAGAAUUUUGACUCCCAAAUAAGCCUGCAGAGUGGUGUAUGGUCGGAUUAGCUGCAGGAGCAGUGCAAGAUUCUUGUCAAACUAUCUGGCUGGUAAAAAGACUGUUGUCAAACUUCCUUUUUAUUCCUUUGUUUACUUAUUCGUUAUAAAUAAAGUAAAAUUAGAAUAUUGUUCCGUUUACUGUCUAAGCCGGUCUAACAUUUGUUUAAUUUGGGCAAUUUUUAAUGCCUGACAGGUUACUUCAUAUGCGGCACAAUUUUUACAUUAUUUUUAAUGGCAAUUUUUAAUUCAAUAAAGAAAAGUAUUGUGAAGUAAAAAUUGAAAAGUACAAUCCGUCGAUCAUUUGAUACGUAUUUUUCUUCACAGAACCUCAAUUCAAUAGACAAAAGCUCCUCUUAAUUUUUCUUUUCUAUUUAAAUAAAAGAACAAAAGAAAUUGAUUACGGAGCCAUUAAUUUCCAAGAAUUAAUAAAUGAAAAGGCCCAUAAUUUUUGUUAACCCACCCCACUCUCAAGAAAUAAUUACAAUAAGUUCAAAUUAUUUUUUAAAAAUUGAAAUAAAGAAGAUGUAAUUACAAUAAGUUUGGAGAUUGAAUCAAAUAAAAUAAAAAACCUAAACUAUUAUAUACAAGAACUCUUGAUUCUUGGGGUAUUUUAUUCAUUUUAUAUUAUCAUGGUAAAUUAGUCAAAUAAAACUUAUCUUAAAGCAACCUAAAUGGUCAAAGACACCUAAGUUAAAAAAAUAAAAAAUUAUAUGAAUGAUUUAAUUUAUUGAUUGUCUAUACCUUUUAUUGAUUUAUAUAUUUUAAAAAUAGUAUGAACGUAUUACAAUUAUUUUCUGACAUCAAGGUAGAUUUGUAAAAGAAGUGGGUAGAUUUGUAAAAGAAGUGGAUAGAAAAUAUCCCCGUCCUCAAACAAAUAAAUGAAUUAUCGGUGACGCAUGCUUUUUCCCAACUUUUGUUUUUUACAAUUAUGUAUCACAGUUGUGGAGUAGAAUCAGGGAAAUUAAAAAUGCUAAAAUUAUUGACGCGUGGGGUGGACGACAAUAACCAUAAACAUUUUUCGUGUAGUGUAAGAAGAAUGCAACAACUUGUUUCUUUCAGUAUUUUUGCAACAAAAGUACGUUGAACAACUUUUGAAAUUAUUUCUCUUUUUCUUUGCUAGAAUGGAUGUGAUCGCUUCCCCUCUCCCGGAGCAGCUGAACUCCUUUGCUGCUUGUGACUUACCAUAAAUCUUCAAGCCAUUCAAGCUGUGCUUGAAGAUGCAGAGAAGGCAAGUUGAUAUAAGAUGGUUGCAUGGAAUAAGCAGGGUAUCUUCCGAGGUUAGAAAUUGGGCUACGAGUAUUCGUUUUGGACAUAUAAUAGAGUUUCUAAGCUUGCGAUGAGUCGAACCAAAUGCAGAACAACCUAGGCUGUUAUGCCCUGCGAUUAAGCUAAAAAUUUACUUCAUUUAUAGUCGUUUUUCAGUUUUAAGAUAUUUUUUUAUUUUUCUUGAUUCUUCUAGGAUUUUAAAAUAUUAGAUUUAAGUGCCAUCUAUUUUCUUUCUCUUAUUUAGAUUCGAAGAAUUUUAUUAUCAUAUAAUAUUUUGAAUUUGCUUAGUUUGUUAAAUUUGCCUCCUUUUAGGCUUCUAUAAAUGGGAUUCAAAACCCUAAUUUUGUUCAUUUAAAUUAUUCUCAAUAAAACUUAUUAUUCAAAUCCUGGUUUAUAUUAUCUAAUAGCUUUUUAGUGUUUCUGCAUAAUCAGCUGGUAUCAAAGAAAGUUUGCUUGUCAUCAUGGUGCGAUCACACAAUCAAAGGAGCAAACAUCCCGAAGACAAUGUUUAAGGGAUGUAGGCAACGACUGUGGAGGUUAUCAGAUAGAUGGUCAAAGGAGCAAUCUUGCAAGUCAUGCAGGACGCAUAUAACCUGAGAAUGGUAGCAGACAAAUAUUAGGUUAUCUCUUGUAAGCCAUAUUCAUAAAUGUAUUGAGGGAAAGAUAUUUUUUUCUUGUCUUAAAAGAUGUGUGGGAUGGACGUUACAAUUAAUGGGAACCAUUCUUCUGUUGUUUAAAGAAUGGUCUCUACGAUAGUCAAAUUUUGAUUACUGCAAGUAAUCAGUUAGUAGCAAGCAUGAUGAGAUCAACAAAUCUUACCUUUCUUAAGGAAUUAAUUGAAGAAGAAUGUUGGUAAUUGUUUAAGCAGGUAGCAUUUUUUGGUCAAUUCUUCAAGGAUCGUGAUCAGUCGAUCAAAAAAUUGCAUGUAAGUGCAAAGGCUUGCCUUUUGUUGCAAAGAUAAUAGGGAAAUUCUUACACUAUAAAUGACCAAUAGAAGAAUAGAAAAAAAUUUUAGAUAGUGGAAUGUGGAAGGUAGAAGAGUUUGGGAAAGGUCUUUUGACUCCUUUCUUGUUAAGUUAUAAUGAUUUAUCGUCCAUAGUAAAACAAUAUUUCUCACAUUGUGCUAUCUUUUCAAAAGGUUACAAUAUGUGUAAAGAGGAACUAAUUACACCAUGGAUGGCUCAAAGUUACUUUAAAUGUAGAAGAAGGCAUUGUUUAAAGCAUGGUCUCCACGGAAGUAAAAAUUUGGUUUCCACACGUAAUGAGUCAGUUGCACGUAUGAUGGGAUCAAAAAAUAUUAUCUUCAUUGAGCAAUUGACUGAAGAGGAAUGUUGGUUGUUGUUCAAGCAGUUAGCAUUUUCCGGUCGCUCUUUGGAGGAUGGUGAAAAAUUAGAACCAAUCGUGCAAAAAAUUGCACGCAAGUGCAAAGGCCUGCCUCUUGCUGCAAGGUAACAGGGAAUCUAUAGGGUAUGAUAAAUGCAUAUAUAGUGGCCAAGUCACUCAUUACAUUUCAUCUUGUUGAAAAGUCAGAAGCAAAUGCCAACUUUGCAACUGUUAGCAUGAAGGCUUUGAAGAAGCAAAAUCCAAUUCGGUUUUUGUUAGCCGAAAAGAAAGAAUGGAAAAAGGGGAUGUAUUGAAAAUAAUAAUAAUUAUUUAUUAUAUUUUCAAUUAUUUUAUUCUUUGCAUAGUGCCAACAUUUUUCCUAUAAAUAGUUAAGGAUUUCAUUCAUUUGAAAUCAUCCCAAAAUUGUUAAGCUUAGUUUCUAAGCUUUUGAGAGAAGUGAGAGAAGUGUGUCUGGGGAAUGUAUUUUUCCUGCAGAGUGUGAGAGUACUGGGUAUAUUUGGGUUUCUGGGAAGUGAGAUUCGUUACUCAAAUAUUGUAUUCUAUUAAUUGUUUUGUUAAAUAAACAAUUAUUCUUUCUUGCCUCCGUGGAUGUAGGUUUAAUUACCGAACCACGUAAAUUCUUGUGUCCUUUAUUUUUCAGUAAUUAUUUGGUGCGCUUGAUUCCGCAUUCCGCGCGCACAACAAGUGGUAUCAGAGCCGAAGGUUCGUACUUAGGGGGGAUACGGUACUGUUCAUGUAUACGGUAUUAUAUCCGUAUAUAGUACUAUUCACGUAUAUGGUAUUCUUCACGUAUACGGUACUAUUCACGUAUAUGGUACUGUUCACAGAGGUACUAUUCACGAAUACGGUGGAGACGGCCAUUUGUACUUGGGAGACAGUCUAUUGUAAGUAGUGUGUAUUUUUGCAUGUCUAGGAAAGUUCUGUCAAAAAGGCGAUAAGAGUCUAAGGAUUCUGGUUUUUAAUUGGGACCGGGUUCCCGUCCAGUUUCCUGGGAACUUUCCUGGUGCAUUUAUUCACGCGAAAUUAACAUCAUAGAGGCUGUUUUUCAAGUGGAAAUAGUUCAUUGAGAAAAAUGGUAGAAGGUGAAACUUCCAGAAUUGGGGAGAGAUCUACCGAGACUAUUUCAGGAGACACUUCAGGUGGGAGGCGAGAUUUGUCAAAUCGCUAUUCAGCACCUGUUAUGGGAGGCCAGAAGAUCGAUGUUGAAAAAUUUGAUGGGAAAAUCAACUUCGGCAUGUGGAGGCGCGAAGUUAUGGAUGCCCUUAUUCAAAUCGAUCUUGAUGUUGUUCUGAAAAAUAAAAGACACUUGUAUGAUGAAGAAAUUUGGGAUCGUAUGAAUGAAAAAGCCUGUGGUCAGAUCAGAUCUUGUUUGACCAAGGAGGUGAAAUACUUGGUGAAAGAUGAGGAGUGUGCGAUGACUUUAUGGCUUACAUUGGAGGAGAAGUACCUGGUGAAAAGUCCUGAAAAUCGCCUUCAUGCAAUGAGCCAAGUAUAUGGUUUUCGAAUGAAGCAUGGGGUGUCAAUGCACGAUUAUGUGUCAAGAUUUGAAAAGUUACUUGCUGAUUUGAAGAAUCUUGAUGAAGAUAUUAAAGAUGAAGUCAAGGCUAUGAUUCUGUUACACUCACUACCAGAGGAAUAUAGCCAGUUUGUGACUACUUUGAUAUAUGGGAAGAGUGUGAUCGUCUUCAAAGACGUUUGCACAACAUUGACUAGUUUGGAGAUUCGGAAUAAUGAUAAAAAUUCUGAACGAGCAUCGUCUGAAGCUUUGGUGAGCAGAGAUUGGGCGAUGGAGAAAAAGAAGAAGCGUGGUGGAAAGAAUUCUCGAUCCAAAUCGAGAAGCAGAAAUCUAGCUCGUGAUGAGUGUGCCUUUUGUCAUGAAAAGGGCCAUUAGAGGAAAGAUUGUCCAAAGGCUAAAAAGAGAGAUGGGAAGAAACCAGCAGCAGCAAACAUGGCACGGAAAGAUGAGGAUUCUGAUUAUUCACUAAGUAUCACUCCUGCAGCAUGUGUGGCUAAUUCGAGCGAGUGGAUACUUGAUACUGGAGCAACCUAUCAUUUGUGUCCUAUUAAGGAAUGGUUUGCAGAUUUUCGUAAUCUAGAAUCCGGUGCAGUUGUGAUGGGGAAUGAUAAACCUUGUCGCACAAUGGGGAUAGGAACAAUUCGGCUCAAAAUGUUUGAUGGAAUGGUCAGGGAACUCAAAGAGGUUAGAUUUGUUCCAGAGAUAAAGAAAAAUCUAAUUUCUGUGGGUGCUUUGGAAGAUAAAGGCUACAAGGUUACCAUUGAAGAUGGUACAAUAAAGUUUACACAUAGAGUUAUGGUGAUUCUGCAAGGGGUUCGGCGUCACAAUCUGUACUAUUUGAAGGGAGGUACACCUGAUGAAGCAAAUGUUGUUGAGGCGCACAGUGACACCACCAAGCUAUGGCAUGUACGACUGAGACAUGCAGGAGAGAAGUCUUUGCAAAAUCUGAUGAGGCAUGGACUCUUAAAAGGUACCAAAACCUGUAAAUUAAAUUUCUGUGAGCAUUGUGUAGUAGGCAAGAAAACAAGGGUCAAGUUUGGUACAGCUAAUCACGAAACUCGUGAGAUCCUUGAAUAUGUUCAUAGUGAUGUAUGGGGACCAACCAAGACUGCAUCAAUUGGUGGAAGCCAUUAUUUUGUUAUAUUUGUUGAUGAUUUCUCUAGAUGUGUAUGGGUGUACACCAUGCGAGCAAAGGAUGAGGUUCUAGAGAUUUUCGUGAAAUGGAAGAAAUUGGUGGAGACUCAAACUGGCAAAAAGAUCAAAGUAUUACGAUCUGAUAAUGGGGGUGAAUAUACUUCUGAUCCAUUCUUGCAAGUAUGCCAGAACGAGGGUAUUAAAAGACAUUUCACGGUGAGACAUACUCUGCAACAGAACGGUGUGGCUGAGCGUAUGAAUCGUACUUUACUGAAGAAGGUACGGUGUAUGUUAUCUAAUGCUGGUUUAGAUAAAAAGUUUUGGGCUGAAGCUGUGAGCUACGCAAGUCACUUGGUAAACCGAUUGCCUUCUGCUGCAAUUGGAGGUAAAACUUCUAUGGAAAUGUGGUCUGGAAAGCAUGCACAAGACUAUGAUUCCCUUCGUAUAUUCGGGUGUCCAGCUUAUUAUCAUGUCAAAGAUGGUAAACUGGAUCCUCGUGCAAGAAAAGCUAUCUUUGUGGGAUUCAAAGGUGGAGUAAAGGGCUUCAAGCUUUGGGAUCUCGAAGACAAAAAGUUUGUGUGUAGUAGAGAUGUCACAUUUGAUGAAGCUUUAAUGAUAAAAGCUUCAAGUUCUCAGCAGGUGGAGAACAAGACCACAGAGGUAUUGCAGCGGGUGGAGUUUGAUGCAACUCCAUAUGUACUAGUUAGUUCUACAUCAAAGAAUAGUUCAACUAUGGAGGUGACACCUAGAGUUAAAGAAGAGGUUGUUUCUUCUGAUGUCCCACAAAAUGAAGAAACAAUUGAUGAUGAUUUUAUAGCAACAAGGAGGCCAAGAAGAGAGAUAAAGAAACCCGGAUGGCUUACUAAAGAUAUGGUGGUAGCCUAUGCACUUCCAGUUAUUGAUGAUGACAUCCCCAACACUUUCGGUGAAGCAUUACGCAGCAGUGAAAGUGAUCAGUGGAAGCUAGCCAUGGAGGAAGAGAUGAAAUCUCUCCAUCAAAAUCAGACUUGGGAACUUGUAAAGUUACCAAAGCGGAAAAGGGCUAUUGGCAAUAAAUGAGUCUACACCAAAAAGCAAGGAUCUCCGAAUCAAACAACUCCUCGAUAUAAGGCAAGGCUCGUGGCAAAAGGUUUUGCUCAAAAGGAAGGUAUUGACUACAAUGAAGUUUUCUCUCCAGUUGUAAAACAUACUUCCAUUCGUAUCCUACUUGCCUUAGUUGUAGAAUAUGAGUUAGAGUUGGCUCAGUUGGAUGUGAAGACGGCGUUCUUACAUGGAGAUUUGGAGGAGGAAAUCUAUAUGAUUCAGCCUUGUGGUUUCAAAGUUGCUGGAAAAGGAAAAUCGUGUUUACCGAUUGAGUAAAUCUUUAUACGGAUUAGUAUGAACUACGGUUGGCUUGAUCCCAAACUUUGGGUACGUAGGCAGUCGGAUAGAUGCAGCCAAUGUGGAUCCUUUUGAGGAUCAUGUGGGGGAUGUUUGGAACUACGGUAGGCUUGAUCCCAACCUUGGGGUACGUAGGCAGUCGGAUAGAUGCCAGCCAAUGUGGAUCCUUUUGAGGAUCAUGUGAGGGUUCGUUGGUAGUCGGCUCAGAUUUGGCUAAAUCUUCGCCGAGGUGGAGAAUUGUUGAAAAGUCAGAAGCAAAUGCCAACUUUGCAACUGUUAGCAUGAAGGCUUUGAAGAAGCAAAAUCCAAUUCGGUUUUUGUUAGCCGAAAAGAAAGAAUGGAAAAAGGGGAUGUAUUGAAAAUAAUAAUAAUUAUUUAUUAUAUUUUCAAUUAUUUUAUUCUUUGCAUAGUGCCAACAUUUUCCCUAUAAAUAGUUAAGGAUUUCAUUCAUUUGAAAUCAUCCCAAAAUUGUUAAGCUUAUAAGUUUCUAAGCUUUUGAGAGAAGUGAGAGAAGGGUGUUUGGGGAAUGUAUUUUUCCUGCAGAGUGUGAGAGUACUGGGUAUAUUUGGAUUUUUGGAAAGUGAGAUUCGUUACUCAAAUAUUGUAUUCUAUUAAUUGUUAAAUAAACAAUUAUUCUUUCUUGCCUCCGUGGAUGUAGGUUUAAAUUACCGAACCACGUAAAAUUCUUGUGUCCUUUAUUUUUCAGUAAUUAUUUGGUGCGCUUGAUUCCGCAUUCCGCGCGCACAACACAUCUCUCAUAUGAACAUGAUUCUGAAUUUGAAUUUCCAUGAAUAAUUGUUGGGCUGGUGCAGAUAUUCUUAAAAGGGCAUUAAAGCUACCUCAUGAAAUUGGAAGUUAUCAUUGUUGAAUGAAAGCACCAUCUUCUGUUUNNNNNNNNNNNNNNNNNNNNNNNNNNNNNNNNNNNNNNNNNNNNNNNNNNNNNNNNNNNNNNNNNNNNNNNNNNNNNNNNNNNNNNNNNNNNNNNNNNNNNNNNNNNNNNNNNNNNNNNNNNNNNNNNNNNNNNNNNNNNNNNNNNNNNNNNNNNNNNNNNNNNNNNNNNNNNNNNNNNNNNNNNNNNNNNNNNNNNNNNNNNNNNNNNNNNNNNNNNNNNNNNNNNNNNNNNNNNNNNNNNNNNNCCAAAUAGAGCCCUCCAUUUUGUAAAAUAACAUCCUCAAAUUUGAAUUGUUGAGCACAUGAAGUGAUGAUAAAGCCUUGAUAAUAAGACCUUCCAAUGAAAGUUUCAUUUGAGUGAAUUAUGGGAGAAUGAAAGUUCUUGGAAUGAGUGAGAAAUUAAGCAUAUAUCAGCGAUUUGGGUUGUCAGUGAAUGUUUUUCUUUAACAUUAGUACACUCUUAUUUCUUAGUAAAAUUCUCUUCACGUCUUUGACUGUGACGUAGACCAAAAGCUAAACAAUGUAAAAUUAUAUUGUUAUUUCCUUAUGCUUGUUUUGCUAUAUAUCAUUUCUGUGCAAUCAAGAAUGUAAUUUUGUAAUUAUUCAACUCUGCUUCCGCGAACAUGCGGUAUCUUGCAGAUUUUUUUUCUCCCUUUUUCUUUCUGCGUUAAAACUGCAACAAAUGGAAGUGACUGGCUUGAUUUUAGCUCCUGUAAAAAAGUGCCUGGGGCAAUGUCUUUUGUAUCAGCAAGUUAUCAAACAUCAUAGUUUAAAUAUAGAAUCCUGAGUUGCUAUCGAAAAUUCCAGGUCUUUCACCUCUCAGUUUCUUAAAAGCUACAAAGCUUGAUAGAUAUUGACAAAGCAAACCGUCUGCGGGCUGAAAUGCUUCCACGGAUCAGGAAGGAAUUUGGUGUUGACACUAUAUGUUAUGCGGAUAACUACAGUUGAUAGUUUUGACCCAAAAUAUGUCACAGUUGACAAUUGACUUACAGUGUUUCCUUGUGUUACCAGGCUCUCAUGUGUGAAUUGAAAGAUUAAGAAAGAUUAAUUCUUACUGACUUAUGCAAUUGAAGAUUAUGAAAAAGCAUUUGCACUAAAGUUCCCAGCUUGUUUAAUUGCUGUGAAGAGGCACAUUCAUUCUGAGUACUUGAGUUUCAGAUUUCCAAGAUGUGUAAUUUUAGUUGCCAUUGAAGUAUUUAGUCGCUCAUUCUUAAAAAUCUGUUCCAAUUUUCCUGUUAUUUUGGGCCAUAAACAGUUUAACAAGUCUGCAUGUGGUUUCUAAAGAUUGAUGGUUAUGAUAAAUAUUGUGAGGUAUGAAAUAUUAAAUUGCUAUAAAUAUGUGUACAAAUUUUUCCUAUUACAUUGGGAAUGAAAUUGUAACUUGCGGGUCAAAAGAAAUCCUAAUUUGCUUUAGGUAAGAAAUCUUAAUUUGCUUAAGUGUCUGCAUUUGUGUACAAAGGAAAAAUAAGAAAUUCUGCUACAUGGGGACCGAAAAUUUAAUUGGCAGGGUCUUCAUCAAAUGUUUGUUAUCAAUACUGAUCCCGGAAUGUAUGGAACACCGUGAAAAGUUUUUCAUAGUUUCGUGAAGAAGGCUGAUUUAUCUGAUUCAUAGAUUUGUUAAAAGCGCAUCGGGCGGGGGACAAAAGAAGUGUUGAAAUUGAAAAGGUUAAUGGUUGAAGCAUGCAGUGUUGCAAUUAAGUUAUUAUUGUCUUGAAAUAACAGGAGAUGAUAAGAUGCUGCUUAAAGCAUGCAGUUUCUGUUACAAUUGUAUUGGCCUGGGUUUAGGGAACUGUCAGAACUUUCAGAAGAAGAUGGAGUUUCUCAAACCAAAUCUAAGAAGAUAUCUCACAUUCCCCACAUGGUCUCAACGCACAGGUAAGUUUCUUCUCGAGCUCUGUUUUUCAUUGUUCGUUAUUUUUAAUGUAAAUAAGGAGCAGAGUUAAUCUCUUAUCUUGACUUUGCUUUGAGAAAACUACUAUUAUAUCUAUUUUUAAUUCACAUGUCCACAGUAAUUUCAUUCUAGUUUGAGCUGAGUGAUAACUGUUCAAGGCUCACUUACUCAUUGGGAGAAGCUCCAUGAUGCAGGCUGCUAGGAUUAGCUUGUACAAUUGCUGUGAAGAGGUACGUUUGGUUGCGAUCAAAAUUAUUAGUCUCUUGUUCUUAAUGUUUUCUGAUUUUCCAGUUCUUUAGGGGCCAUAAACAGUUUUCCAAGUACUGCAUGUGGCGGCAAAAGAUUGAUGGUGAUAAUUCUAUCUUGUGGCAUGUGUGUUGCAUUUGAGCACACGCAGAAACAGAGCUCAAGGGAAAGAAAUUGGAAGAUGCUCUAAAUAUAACAAAAGUAUAUCUCUACUUGCGGUCAAUUUAUAUUUGUUUCUUGUGUCAUUAUGCAGAUUAAUUUAUUCGAAUUUAUCCUAUCUCAUUCAUUUAUUUUGGACAUAAGUUCGAAAAAAAAAAAUUUUAAGCAUACAGUUUCCAAUGGAUUUGAUAGAGUGGUCACAUGGCAUUUUGAUGUUGUUGGAGUAGCACUGUUCUUAAGCACGGCUUUGAGGUAUCUCCCUCUCUCUUUUACGUAUUUGUUUAUCGAUCUACAUCUCUAUAUGCAUUGAUAGACUAUUCUUGCCGUACAAAAUUACUCUUGUUUUAGUGUUUUGUUUGUUGAACUUUGACUGGGGAAUCUGUCUCUUUGUCUGAUAUGAUGUUAGUGUAUUGAAGUGUGUUAGAUCUAUCACCGAGUAUUAUUUCAAUUUUUCUUUACUUAAUCAACUUGCAUCCUUUCCAAGUCCAGAUCCUUAACAAUAGUGAGACUUCGCUACAGAAGCACAAUUUCUCUUGUUUUACAGUUAAAUAUGCAAGAAUGGUUUUAAAUUAACAGAACGCUUGAGAUAGUUCUCUGAGGAAAUGCAAGUGGUGAACAUGGUUCCAACUUUUAAGAGCCUUAAUAUACCCAUUUGUUCAGCGCUGUGUGUAAACAAUCAGUAUUGCGGUUUACAUUCUUCUUUACUGCCUAUAUGUCUUGGACUUUGUCUCAAAUGGAUUCCAUGCGGGGUUUUGAAUGUCCAAUUAGGAGAAAAAUCAAGGCUUGCUUGGCCAGGAGUGGAAGCGGAUCCGCUACUUCAGUCAGAUGAACUUUUGAAGAAGGCUUACAACAGGCCAUCUCGGGAUGUCAAUGGCUCAACUCAAAAGUCAUUGAUGUCAAAGAAUGCCAUUGUCUCCGGGCUUGGGCUCCUUGGCAUCAAACAAGGGAAUGUCGACUCUGUUGAAGGGGAAACAAGGGCUCCUAAAGUGCGAAGACAGAGGAUAGUCCGGAAGAAUUAAGGUGACCGCAUAAAUUUCUUGGAGUUAAUCUUGUCAAUUGCCCAAUUUUGCUGCCUGCCGAACAGAUACAACGCGGAAGUCCUCAUCAAACCUUUGAGACAUCCAAGAACUAGUAGGAGGAGGUGGUAUUCACCCUGUUUCCUGGCAAGUAUAGUUCACUACUUCACUGAUAGAGGGAUUCUUUUCUUGAUUUCUAAAUACCAUAUGUGAUACAACGUGGUAUAUUCCAAUUUUUCUCCAGUUAAAUUCUAGUAAGUUAAAAAAGUUAAUUUUGUUUUUGCGACGAAUUGUUCUCUUAAUAAUAAUAAUUGCAUGUUGCUUUGGAAUCUUAUUCACUCUCAGUAACCCAAUUAAAUUUUGCAAAAUUUACUGCAGAUUUGUCAAACAGUGUCUUUGUGAUGACACUUUUGAUCGCAAAUUUCAAUUUGAAGUAUCAUGUAACACCAAAAAACCAUAACUUGUAAUUACUUGAUCAUACUUGACUUCCUAUUUAGGUUCUGUUUGGAAUUGAAGUGUUGUAGCUACAACUAUCUUGUGGAAAAAAAAAAGUUAGAAUUAUGAAACAAAAGUUAAUAAUAUGUAGUAAAUAUAAAUUUUAAAUAAUUAUUUUGAUAAAAUUAUUAAAGAUAUAAUAGAUUUUCCAUCAUAUAAGUGAAAAAUUAGAUCAACAUAACUUCUAAAUUAUAGCAAUUAGUGUUUACCAAAUACUUUAGUACUGUAACUUUUAAGUUACAGUUGUACAAUUUCAAUUCCAAACACGCCCUUAGUACUACUGUGUUGUAGUUAUAGUUAUUGUGAAAAAAGAACUAAAACUAUAAUAUAAAUGUUGAUCGUGUGUCAUAUAUAUGAUUUUUAAAUAAUAAUUUUGACAAAAUUAAUAAAUAUAUUAUUGAUUCUUUUAUACUCCCGGUUUAAUUUUUAAGUCACAAUAUUAAAUAUUUAUUAAAUAUUUUGAUACUGUAACUUAAAAACUAUGCUCUACGACACUCUUAUCUAAUUUUAUUUGUACUUUCUAGCUCGAUUAUACAAAUCCUUACUUGAUGUACUUGACCAUACAAGAUGUUACUUAACUUCACUUAAUCUUACUCGACUUUAAUUGUAUAUUUUAUACCGAAAUUUUUGUCAAAAAAAAUUGGUCCCAAUUCCAUGCUCCUUCGGGGAUCCCAGCAAAACAGUAACUUCCAUUCAAAAGGGUUCCAUGUUGAGUGCAUGUAAUCUACACAAGUUUGAGAAGAAAUAACCAAAAUAAAUAAAUAAAAGAAACCCACGUCCAAAGAUGCCGUUGAAAGUUGAAACAAAAAUUUAUUAUUGAUACGAGAAAAGAGUUUAUUAUUUUCUUAACAAAAAUUUAAGCUAAGACAAAAAUAAUGCCCAAAACACCCUUCUCAUGAUCCCAAACUUUCUAAACUCCCCCAUUCCUCUGAGCAUCAUCUCUCCCAAAUCUUUCUUCCCCCACAACCAGCCAUGGCUUCAAAUUCAAUUAGCUCAACACUCCAAUGUUGCUUGUAAGCCACCCACAAAUCCUCAACUUCACAUGGACUCAAAACCAAACCCUAGCUUCCUUCCCACACAUCCUCAUUAUCUUCAUCGUUACUUACCUCCCUCACAUCCAUCCUCUGCCACACAUCAACAUCAACAUCAACAUCACCAUCAUCAUCACCUCUCAUUGGACCCCACAUUCUCAGAUCCAUCACAGCCAUCCAUAAUCUCACCCUCCUCCUCUUCUCCCUCAUCAUGGCCGCUGGUUGCACCCUCUCGAUCAUCCUCCACUCACCUCACCUCCACUACUUCCCCUGUUUCCCCCCUACCAUUUCUCCCUCCGGCCCCCUCUGCUUCUACGCUUACGUUUUUAACUCUAAAAAAUACUCGAAUUCCCAGACACCCUUUUGAUCAUUUUGUCAAACUCCAUCCAACGGCUCACGUUCCUCCACGUCUACCACCAUGCAACCGUCGUUGUAAUGUGCUACAUUUGGUUACAGACGAAGCGGUCUUUGCUUCCUAUUGCGCUUGUUACCAGUGCAAGUGUGCAUGUGAUCAUGUACGGGUACUAUCUAUUGUGUGUUCUGGGGUUGCGGCAGAUUGGUCACUGAUUGUCAGAUUGUUUAGUUUUGCUGUUUUGGUACUGAUGCUGAAUUAUCAUUUCACGGGAUUUGGUUUCCCUGGGAUUUGGGGUUGGUGCUUCAAUGCUGUGAUUAAUGCCUCCCUUUUGGCCCUUUUUGUUAAUUUUCAUUACAAGAGCAUAGAAGUAAAUAAUUGAAUUAACUAUUAUUAUCUACAUUAAUGUGAUGGAACACAAGCCACAUCAACUAGAAUUAGAUUAUGAAUUUUAGCAGCCCCAGCAAAAAACAUUUAUGAAAGANNNNNNNNNNNNNNNNNNNNNNNNNNNNNNNNNNNNNNNNNNNNNNNNNNNNNNNNNNNNNNNNNNNNNNNNNNNNNNNNNNNNNNNNNNNNNNNNNNNNNNNNNNNNNNNNNNNNNNNNNNNNNNNNNNNNNNNNNNNNNNNNNNNNNNNNNNNNNNAUGGGCCUAAGUCUUUGAUUUUUUAUUUUGUUAAUUUUUUUUUAUUUUUUACUUGCAAUAGUAACUUCAAUUAUGAAUCAAAGUCGCCAAAUCAAAAUCGCUGCAGCCUGUAGCUACAAGCAAAAUUCUCAAUUAUUGAUCAGAAAGCUAGCCCCAGACGGUGACUCCUGUGGGGACUCCUUUAAUUUGCAGCACAAAACAACGUUCACAUUGACAUUGACUUGAGGGUAAAAAUUAAAUAUCUCCUAUUAGUAUAAGAAGAAUGCAAACAUGCUUGAAUCAACAUUCUCACAGAAUCACUAAAUUCUCAAAUUUUGAAAUACCUAACAAUUACAUACUAGCUAUAAAUAAAUAAAUAAAAAAUUGUCUAAAAUUAAUUCCCAGCUAACACUUGAAAUUUGAAUUUGGGCCUCAUGAAGAUUUACCCCGAGCUCUACCCCUGGAUAUGGAACAAAAUAUUAUUAGUUUUGCUAGUGAAAUUGCCAAUUAUGUUUUUGUUUUGUAUUUUCCGCUUAGGGAAGAAGAAAUUUCCUACAAAUUUUGUGGUGAAUAUCUUGUGAAUAUAUGACAGUUUAAUCUUUAGUCACCACUUGUUUAAAAUAAAAAAGAGAAAAGGAUAUCUAUAUCCCCAUGGUUUGGAGAAAUAGUCACCAACACCCCAAGUUUUCUAAAAAUGACAUCAAGACUCUCUUUUGACCAUAAUACUCUUUACCUUUAGUAUCCCGAAAAAUUUAACUUGCAAAUUUUUAGUAAACACAAAUAUUAUAUAAAUAAUGUAAUCUAUGUAGUAGAUUAAUAAUAUUAAAAUAAAUUUAAAUAUGUAAAUUAUUAUAUUUAUUUUAAUAAUAUAUUUGUAUUUAUUGUAGAGAUUUUAAAUAAAUAUUUGCAUUAAAUACAUUUUACAAUUAAAAAAGUCUCACAUACUAAUAAUAUUAAAAUUAUUAUUUUUCAUAAUAAUUUAAAUUUUAAUACAUUUAUUUUAAUAUUAUAUUUCUAUUUAUUAUAAAAAAAAUUAAAGUUAACUUUUGGGAUAAUAAAAGUAAAGGGUAUUGUAGUAAAAAAUGAGUUUUAGUGUCUCUUUUUGAAAACUUAGGACUUGGAAGCGUUGGUAACUAUUUUUCCAAAAUUUGGAGAUAUAGAUAUCCUUUUCCUAACAAAAAAUGACAUUUUUGAUAGGAGAUAUAAUAAGUUUUGUUCCUUAAAAAAAUCCAUCAGAUAUAUUAUGCCCCCGGUUGCUAUUGUUAAAAACAAGUAAUUCUUCUUUUUGUAUAUUAAAAUAGUAAAAGGGUGGAUAAUAUUUAAAAUAUUUUUUUAACCUUUUAUCUUUUUUGACAUUCGAAUUUUAAACUCGAGAAGUCAACCAAAUAGACUUCUUGAGAGGUUAACUAAAUUCUUAGUAAUUUAAUAUAAUAUCAUAACCGUUCUUCAAAAGCAAUUUUAUAAAUCAUUGUGGAAAAAUUUUAUUCCUUAGUUAUCUUUCGCAUAUUUUAAUUCUUUGUAAUAUGAGGUAAGUCCGUAGACAAUAGUAUGAUAUUUAUUAAAAUCAUUAUGGGACAGAUUUUAUUCUUUUUUUUUUUCUCAACAAAGUAUCCGACUGUAGAUAUAAUAAAUUACUAAUUAAAAUUAUUCGAGUCACACUCUAAAUUAGAUUUUAAAGUUUGUCAUGACAUAAUAAAGUUACAUUCUCAAAUGACCAAAUCAAUUAAUGAGAUAAUGGCUUUUGCUUUUGCCUACCUGACAAAAAGAUGUUGUCGGCCAAGUUGAAAAAUAUAGUAAAUAAAUUUCACUUGCACGUUCCAGAUCGAUCACAUACAAAUUUGUACUGAAAUUCAUAAUGGAUUAAUAUGAUUGGGCGAAAUUACUCCAUAUAAUUUCAUCAAUACCUAUUAAACGAUAAAAAAUUUAUUAAUAUUUAUAAUUAAAAAAAUCUAUCCACUAAGACUAUUCUAGAUCAACAAUUAAUAUAUUAUAUAUAACUUCAAAAGGUUCAUCGGUGGAUUGAUUUAAGCCCUUUGUUGUAGUUUAUAAAUAUUUUGUUGCUUAUAAUGUAAGAAAUUUUAUAGGAGCUGAUGCUGAGUAGUCUGAAUAAGAAAAUUAAUUAUAUUUAUAAGUUAUUGGGUAUCCAUAAUAAAAUAAACAAAUAAAAAAUGAAUAAAAAUUUAAAUACUUAAUUAAUUUUUAUCAAAUUCUUAUCAAAUAUUUAAAAAAGUAUAUAAAAUCAAUUAAUUGAUGGUAUUAUUAAUUUUCAUGAUGAUUUUUAAUAUUAUAUUAGUGAUUAUUAAAUUUAAUACAAUCAAUAAUGCAAGAAAUGAUUAAAUGGUCAAUUUUAUUGACAAAUUAUCAAAUAUGCAAAGUAAUGAAAAAUUAAUCUCAAGAGUUAGUAGAAGUAAAGUUCCAAUUUAAUCAGAUGAUAGAUAAUAAAGUUCCACUACUGUGUGAUAUCGAUGAAGUCGCAAAAUUAGUCUAAUUCCAUACUUAAUCCUAGUAUCCGAACAUGGCCUGAUAAAAUAGUUUAGGUAAUAUACUUCUAUGACUCACAAUUUAAAUAAAUUUGAGAAUUUAUAUAAGGGAUGGAAAAUUCACAAUAAUCAUAACAUGUGCUAUCUUUUCUUCCUUUUCUUAAUUAAACACGAUGAAGUCGCAUGAAGUCGAUGAAGUCAAUAACCACUGCUGUGUGAUAUCGAUGAAGUCGCAUUCGCCUACCUAAUAUUGCGCAAUUAGAUAGAAAAAACGGUCGGCUGCAUGAUUUUUCCAACUUUUGUCUUAUUUUUCUCUUUUCCACGACAAAUUAAUUUGAGAAUGUUACAUUUUCCAAUUCUCUUUUUGUCGUGACCUAAUAGACUAAAACGGAAUCACAUACUUUUUCAAAUGACCAAAUGGCUUUGGCCUACCUGAUAAUAAAAGGAAUGGAUCCAUACGUUAGUAUGGAUAAAUUGAAAAAUAUAAUAAAUAAAUUGUCAGGAGACGAUUUUAUCAAAAAUUUCACUCGCACGGUCCCGACCAAAUACAAAUUUGUGAUGAUAUUCAUAAUGAAUUACUCUAUACAGUUUCAUCGAUAUAUAUUAUACCAUUAAAAAUAUACUACUAUUUAUAAUAAAAAAAAAUUAUGACUAUUCUAAAUCGACUGUAUUAUAUGUGAAUUCACAAGAUUCAUAGAUAGAUUGCACUGAGCUUUUUGUUGCAGUUUACAAAUAUUUUGUUACUAAUUAUCUUAGGAGCGGCAAGUAACUAAAUACAAAUGUAAGAAAUUUUACAAGUUGCUGAUGCUGUGUACUCCGCAGAAAGCUAGCCCCAGACGGUGACUCCUGUGGGGACUCCUUCAAUUUGCAUCACAAAAGAACGUUCACAUUGACAUUGACUUGAGGGUAAAAAUUAAAUAACUCCUAUGGUACGUAUAAGAAGAAUGCAAACAUGUUUUUUUUUUUUUUUUGAUUACAUGAGACUAUUGCUCAAAUUACAGUUCAAAUUACAACUCAUAUUACAUGAGAGUAUAAUUGAUAUGUACAAUCAUAUAUUUAUACUGAGCCCUAUUGAUAUGAAUACUGAUAUGACAUCGCUCAGAUUUUUAACCCUCUCAAAUAUUCGAGGGAUGUCAAACUCCCAUCCUGGGAGAAAGACUGUCUUCACUCGAGCUCAAGGGCUCCAAGAAAGAAUAUUUAAAUUAAACCCCUACAAUGCGACUGCGGAGGCUCGAACCCCUUCCCUCACAUUUGUGAGGGAGGGGCUCUAGCCACUUGGGCUAAGCCCAAGUGGUUAGAAUGCAAACAUGCUUGAAUGAACAUUCUCACAGAAUACAUAAAACCUACUUUCCUCUGAGCAUUUUAGCAGCAAGAAAAGCAAUUGCAGCAUUUACCAUUUGAUCUAAUAUCAGAAUGGCUCAUGCGAUCGUUUCCUCUCUCCUGGACCAGCUGAAAUCCAUUGCUCAAGAUCAGGUGAAAGAAAAGUGGAGGCUUGUCACGGGUGUCGAACAUGAAGUGGGAAAGCUUACCACCAAUCUUCAAGCCAUUCAAGCUGUGCUGGAAGAUGCAGAGCAGAGGCAAAUGAAGCAGGACAAAGCUGUUACUUUUUGGCUGGAUCAGCUCAGAGACGCAUCCUACGACAUGGAAGAUGUGUUGGAAGAGUGGAUCACUGAAACACGGAAAUUGCAGCUUGAUGAGGGAGGCGAUGAUGAUGAUGAUGAUGAUAACGACAGUGCUUUUGUUACUUUUUUGACGAAGGUAUGUUCCUUCUUUCCUGCUGCCUCAAACUGCUUUGGUGGUUUCAAACAACUCAGUCUUCGUCAUCAUAUUGCUGUCAAGAUUAGAGAAAUCAGUAAAAGGCUAGAUGAAAUUGCCACUCGAAAAGAUAGGUUUAAUUUUGUUGAGAAUGUGAGUAACAAUGUUAGGAAUCCAGAGCGAGUGCGAACCAUCUCCUUGAUUGAUGAGGGAGAGGUUUGCGGUAGAGUUGAGGAGAAAAAUGAGCUCUUAAGCAAGUUGUUGUGUGAAAGUAGUGAACAACAAAAAGGCCUUCAUGUCAUUUCACUAGUUGGGUUGGGGGGUAUAGGUAAAACCACUCUUGCACAAUUGGCGUAUAAUAAUGAUGAGGUGAAAAGAAAUUUUGGCAAAGUUAUAUGGGUGUGUGUAUCAUACACUUUUGAGGAGAUUAGGGUCGCCAAAGCAAUCAUUGAAGGUCUAGGCGUGUCAGCUUCUGGUUUAAGCGAAUUCGAAUCUCUUAUGAAACAGAUUCAGAAAUAUAUUACGGGGAAGAAAUUUUUUCUUGUUUUAGAUGAUGUGUGGGAUGGAGAUUACAAAAAAUGGGACCCAUUCUUUUCUUGUCUAAAGAAUGGCCACCAUGAAAGUAAAAUUCUAAUUACCACACGUGAUAGGUCAGUUGCACUGCAGUUGGGAUCAAUAGAUAUUAUCCCUGUCAAGGAGUUGGGUGAAGGGGAAUGUUGGUUACUGUUUAAGCAGAUAGCAUUUCUACGUAGGUCCUUUGAGGAUUGUGAAAAAUUAGAACCAAUCGGGCGAAAAAUUGCAUGUAAGUGCAAAGGCCUGCCUCUUGCUGCAAAGGUAAUAGGGAAUCUCUUGCGCUCUAAAAGUACAGUAAAAGAGUGGCAAAGAAUUUUAGAGAGUGAAAUGUGGAAAGUAGAAGAGAUUGGGCAAGGUAUUUUGGCUCCUUUGUUGUUGAGUUAUAACGAUUUACCCUCCAAUUCUAUGGUAAAACGGUGCUUCUCAUAUUGUGCUGUCUUUCCAAAAGACUACAAUAUGAAGAAAAGGGAAUUGAUUAGUCUAUGGAUGGCUCAAGGUUACCUUAAUGCAGAUGAAGAUGAAGAAAUGGAGAUGAUUGGAGAAGAGUAUUUCAACAUCUUAGCAACACGCUCUUUCUUUCAAGAGUUUGAAAAAUAUUAUGACAAUGAUGAUAUUAUGAGUUGCAAGAUGCAUGACAUAGUACAUGAUUUUGCUCAAUUUGUAAGUAGCAAAGAAUGUUUGUGGCUAGAAAUUAAUGGUACCAAGGAAUCAGUCAUAAACUCUUUUGGUGACAAAGUCCGUC